RNAcentral lists this long non-coding RNA (187474 nucleotides) under Lotus japonicus. Its description in RNAcentral is "long non-coding RNA (LJAP_LNC001540)". The record is from RNAcentral. Lineage: Eukaryota; Viridiplantae; Streptophyta; Magnoliopsida; Fabales; Fabaceae.
CAGAACUUCUGAAGCUUUUCCACUGUUCAUACUGAACAUGGUGAAUGCGAAAGCGUUGCUUGGGUCGCUCUAUAUACACAGUGCUUCUGAUUUGUGUGAGAUUGAGUUGAGGUCAGAGCCUGUAAGUAGCACACUCAGAAAAACACGUUAGAGUACCACAAUUGUUCAUAUCAAAAGGUUAACUUGUAAUCAUCAAAACAUAGAGUUGUACUACUAGAUCAAAACUUGAUCUUACAGUACCCUACCCAAACCCUACCCAUUGCCAUCCCUAAUCACGAAACAGCCGCACAGGACGCGUGCAGGGCUUGAACGACUGUUUCAUUGCGUGCAGAAGAUAGGGAGUUGUGCCUCAUGAUGACAAGAGAGGAUGAUUAUCUUGAAAAAGAAAACAGCGCAAUCUUAGGAGGGGUUGUAAGUGUGGGGGUUGGUUUGAACUCUGCCCUUUAUGACGUGAGGUGACGCUUCAAAAGGUGGCAGUUGAGAUUUUGAAGAUACGCUGACAUUUCCGCUUCGCUGACGUGUCGACGCACUAGGCCACUAAGCGACCAAACUCACCACGAUCGUCGCCCCCCCCCCCAAGCGUGGCGAGCAAACACUCCACGGCCGCCGCUCGUGGGCUUGUGGACUUGUAAGUUUUACUGCUUUAAACGUCAUGUCGGCGACAUAAAUGUUUUAGCACAAUAGUACUUGUAGUUAGUCAUUUUAAUCCUUAAAGACACACUUAGCCAUCAUGCUUCGUGCUCGGUGUCUUGUGGACUGGUGGACUGGCCGAGCCCCUAGGGGUUACCCGCCAGGUGGCGGUCUCCCAGCCUAGAAAUUGGGCCUCCUCCCGCGAGGCCCAACCGGCCCAACAAAGGCAGUUAUGAUACACUAGCCCAGCUCCCCUACUAUAAAUAGGGAGCGGUUACCAUUUGUAAAGAGGUUUUAGCUCAUUUGAUCAAUACACACUUGAGAUUCAGUUAUUUUCUCUCUCUCUUGAGCGGUUAUUCUCUCUCUUAGUGCAAUCCUUCAAACUAUAGGUACUAUACUCUAUCUCAAUGUUCAUGGCAAGAACACUCAUCCUCUUUCGAACUUGAACCACUGGCUUCGCCCCUAGAUUAAUCGCCAAUAUGUGUGAAAUAAAGUUGGGGGUAUAUUCCAGACACAUCCUUAAUUGACCGUGCAAAGUGGCCUAAAUUCUGCUCUAGUAAUUUUCUCAAUCUUUCCUCCUUCUCAACAGUCAACUUGCUCUACUAAUUUUUAAGAAUCUGUCGCCCACCUACGAUCAAAAUCCACCACGUUCGUUUAAUUGAAACCUCUAACGACGUCACUGCCAUCCUUAACACGAAGCUGCACAUCCUCAUGCCCAACAACCGAUCCAGAUAAGCCAUCUACGCGUCCCAACAACCCACCACAACCCAAGGAAGCCAUCAAGACAGAACAAAGAUCCCUCACCAGUAAAAUAGAGUCGAACAAAGAUCAUAAUAGUGACAUACAUAUAGGAACGAAGGGAGUAGCUUAUAAGUUUUCUGUUAACUUAUAAUCUAGCUAGGCAGACGAAUCAUAGCGUAUGUGACUUUAUUUACAAUAAUUUUUAAUUAAAAAAUAACUAUAUUUUUUACUUUAAAAAGGUUUAAAAAUAACUACUUUCUUUUUGAAAAAAAAUAACUAUUUUUAAUGUUAAAGAUAUGAAAAAUAUAAUAUAAAAAGAGUUUAAUGGAUAUAAAUCACACAUGUAGGAUGGAUAUUGAAUAGUAAUACUCGUUUUAAUUUGAUUAAAACAAAAAUAUUUUUUAAAAUUUACCGAAAAUACUUUGGAUGUAACUUAGAAAAAUGUUUAGAAUGUACUCAUGCAUGUGGCUGAAGAAUAUAAUUUACAGGUCCAAUAAUUUAGAAAGUAUGGGCUACCCUAUUGGUGCCUCUUCUUUAAAAACAAAAUGAUAAAAGCUGCUGCUGCUGCUGCUGCAUGGUCCAAACUCCAAUCUGCAACAUUUAAGCUCCUAUGCAGAGACACAUAAUGUGAAGCUGCAGCUUGAAACUCACCCCUUUCAUUUCUUAUCACGACCCAUUUUAUUUUUGUUUCGGAGCGAGGAGUUAGUACAAACAGUCCUGACUAUGCCAUAUGCCAUGUGAAUUAAUUGAUCAGUAUCUUGAAAUAAUUGAAGAAGGAAGGGUAACUGCUUGGCUUAUGGAGUGUGCCAGAAUAUGCCGUUGAAGCUAGCCUCAUUGUGAAUUGUGUGGUCCUAGCUAGCUCACAGCAACCACCCAACGCAGAGACAAAGAGACCCACAUACGUACACAACCAACGCAGAGACACAAAGCUUCAGCAAAAUAGAGGUCCCAUUCUGUAUGACACAUAAUGUGAAGCUGCAGCUUGAAACUCACACCUUUCAUUCCUUAUCAUCACGACACUCAAGGGUGGAGGACACCAUAAUGUGGAGCUUGGUGCAACAGCCACUCUUGUUGCUACAUGUCACGGACUCACUAUGGGGACCCCUGACAUGAUAAUUUUAACAUGUGCGAGUUCUUUUAUUUUGCGUUGACAAAACAGAAUCGGAUCUCUUGAUUCUCUUUUCUGAUUCAUGAUUGGGCGGUCCUAGCUCACAGCACCCACCCAACGCAGAGAAAGAGACUUCAAGUAGUACCCACCCGGCACCACAUACACAAAGAAACCCACAUGUCCAAACUUCAAUCUGCAACUACAUUUAUGUAGUGUUUGGUACUUCAAGGGAACAAGACAUAAUAGAAGGGAAAAGAAUGACUAUGUGUUCUGUUUGUAAUCCCAAAUCAUCUAACAUAACUAUAAUUUUUAAUUACAUAUAUAAAUUUAUGUUUAAUAUUUGAUUGAGAAUAAAAAAUGAUCUCAAUUGAAUAUUAUGUAGAGAGUCUGUUUGUUAUCACUUAUUAAGUUAUUAUAUAAAAUAAUCACUUGUUUUUAAAAAUAAUCACUUUAUAUUAUUUAAGCUCUUUGAGUACGCUUUUGAUGAAAAGGUAAAUUAGGUUUUCUAAAUAAUUUGACUUCCGCUUUUUUUAAAAUGUUGAAACAAUCAUAAAAAUACUUUUUUAUUUAAAAAAACAUUAUUUUCUAAAAAUAAAUUGAAACAAACAUAAUCUAAUUGACUCGUUUGUCAUUGCUUAAAAAAAGUGAUUUUAUUUUUGAAAAAAUAACUGAUUUAUUUUAAGUGAUUUUUUUAAAAAGUAAAAAAUUCAUUUAUCUUUGUUUACAAAUAUAAUAAGUGAUUUUCACUUUAAGCAAUAAUUUUAAACUAUUUUUUUUUUUGGUACAUAAGUUUAAACUAUAUAGAUAUAAAAGAUUUGAAAUAUAGCGAGGCUUGGUUUUUUAUAUAUGUUGUAGUGACUGUUAGUGUAGCUGUGUCUUUUUUUUUUCCCCAUGUUUUAGUACCCUGUUCUGGUCUGCUCUUCUUUUUUCUUGCCUCUGUUUUUUCUUUUAGACUACUUCUUCCUUUAAUUUCCUUGGUUACUGUUAGCUACAUUGUAAUGUGGGUUUCUACACCAUGAUUAUGUUAAUAUAUUAGUUUGGUUUUUCCACAAAAAAAAAAUUACAGUAUUUUUUACCAUGUAAAAGUUUUAAGAAAGUGUUUCGUUCCAUUCCACCUUUUUCAAUGGAACCAAAAUGUCAUGUUUCUGGAGUCUUAUGUCAUGUUCAGUUUCAUCUUAAAAAUAUGACAAACAUGGAGUGAAACCCAUAAGUAUCUUUCCUUCCCACAUGUCUAUCAAAUGGUAUCUUAGGGUGUAUUUGGUGGACACGAUUAGCAAGCAAGAGGAUAGUGUAGUCAUGUCAGCUCUAAUAUGUUGUUUGUUGCGCUACCAGGAAAGGAUAACGCAAUCAUGUCCCUUAUCAUAUCAUGUUCAUCAUGUGUAUAAAUUAUUUCUUAGAGAGAGUAAUGAUGAAAUUAUCCUGCUGAUAGGAUAGGAUAGCGGUUUUCGAUUCUUUUUUAGUACCUUAACCCUAAAUUCAAUUAUUUCAAUAUUUAUAUUUUAUAUAAUUUAUAAUAAUAAUUAAUUAAUAUAUGAAUAUUAACGUUGGAGCUUGGUGUAACAACCAGUAGGGGUGUUCAUAACAUAUUAAAUCCAAAAAAUCGAUCCAAAUAAACUGAAAUUCAAUUAAACCCAAAAACAAACCAGAGUUUAAAUUUUGAGAUAAAUUCAUUGAAUGAUAGAAUCAUAUAACCGAUAAAAUUACAUCAAAUAACUUUUUUCUUUAAAACCGAAUCAAUCCAAUUCGCAAACACCCUAACAGCCACUCCUGCCUCAUUUUCAAAUUGAUAGCAAUAGUGUCGCAAAUGAAAAUUAUUGCUACAUGUGAAUGGGACCCCUGACUAUGCGAAUAGCAAUAGUGUGAGUGUCGCAAAUGAUAAUUUUGACAUGUGCAAGUUCUUUUAUUAUUUUGAAAAUAUGUGCGAGUUAAAUGGUGAAUAUUAAAAUUUAUUUUUCUUUAAUUAGAUAGGCACCUCAUAUUAUACAAGUUUGAUAUUUUUUUUCGACGACAAAAAACAAUUUUAUUAAAUGAGAGAAUGAGACAAUAUUUCUAUAAUUCUAAUAUAUUCAGAACUCAAUAUAAUUCUUCCAUCCUUGAAAAAAAAUAUAAUUCUUCCAUUUUUUUUCAACAAAUAUCUUUUUAUUAUAUCAUUUUCUGCAUAUAUCAUUUCUAUUCUUAUCUUUCUCAAAAUUGUAGUGGAUUUUUAUAAUUUGGAUGUAAUAGAAUUGAUUGAACAAAACAACAUUGGAUCUCUUUUGAUUGUCUUUUCUGAUUCAUGAUUAUUUUAUGCAUCUCAUAAACUGCAUUAUCAAUCUCUUGUGACUUUCUCAGAUUGUGUUGGGAGGCUUCCAUCCUCUUAUAUUAUUUAGGCUUUGUACUUGACAUGUUUUCUUAAUUUUUACUAGUGUUUUUUUACCCGUGCGAUGCACGGGAAAUUUGUAUGUCAUAUUUUAUAAGUGAGUCAAUACGUUGAUUACUUAAAAUAUAAUAAACAAAGAUGAAAUAGAAGAGUCUGAUACGCUAAGCAAAAUGAGGGAAAAGUCUUAAAUUGAAUCACUUGUUUGAAAUUCGUGCAGUUGAAUAACUAAUAAACAAAGAUGAAAUAGAAGUGUCUGAAAUGCGAAGCAAACGACUGAUUAACUAAUAAGAAGAUUGGUUAACGAAACCUCAAAUUCUCUCAAACAUAUAAGGGGACGGUUUUACGGUGUCUAAUAAACAGUAGCUGAGUUAAUCUGCAGUGACCGUGAUUAUGCGCGUCAUUUUCCGCUCACACGUUCUCAAAAACUUAUUUGUAGACAACAUUGCGCGUGGAGCUCGAAACCACCCCUUUCUCAUCCACAAUGACCACCUUUAGUCCUUUUCUAGACUUCACCCUUGAGAGAGCGACAUACAGCUGUGCAUGAGUAAACACAGGUCUCGGAAGGUACAAACCGACAUGAGAAAGGGACUGGCCCUGACUCUUGUUUAUAGUCAUCGCGAAGCAUAAAGUCACCGGAAAUUACCUUCGAGAGAACUUGAAGGGAAGACCAGAGUCAGAAGGCGUUAAGGUUAUCCUCGGAAUGUACUCAGUUUUACCCAGCCUCAUUAUAAACCAUUUAGAUCAUUCCUUCAUUUAUGAUCUACCAUACAAUUACCAUGUGAAAAAAAUAAUCUUAAAGUGACCAUUGUUUCCUUAUAUAAUUAGAUCCAAACUUUUCCUUUACAAAGUAAGAAACAACUUCUAAAGUAAUUUACAAUUGAAUCAAUAAAAGUAUACCCUUCAACAUAAUUAAAUUAAAUUUAACCAAUAUAGUUAACAGUACAAAUAAAUUCUCUCGUGUGUUGAACUCCAACCAUUUUCUAAAAUUACUUUCUUCCUGUAGAUUUUCCUUGAAUUAUCUUCAAAUAAGAACCUCUUCCUUUGAAACAUUCACAUAUUCCUUGGCUUCUUCGUAACUCCACCCCACAACUAAUUCUUUGGAUCCAUUGUCUUGUCAUGAUUCAUGACUUCAAAAUCCUGGUUCUUUGUAUGCUACUGUAACAACCCUUCAGAUUCGUGGAGUUGAGGAAUGUAGCAAGGUCUAAAUGAACAAUCAAACUGGUCAAAGUCUAUCACAUUCAUUUAAGGUAAUAUGAACCACCGCCCUUUUCCCAAAAUCUGUAGCAUCUACAUACUUUAAACACCAAGGAAAAUGCAGUAGAAAUCCAGAAAAACAGUUCAAGAGAUCAGUUAUGUCUAAAUGCGAUUUAAAACUAUCCAACACUGAUUACGCACUAACAAUAAAAGUAACAAAACACCCAUCUUUUUUUUCACUGAGGAACUAAAAGCAAGCUCCAGAAAGUGAUUUCUCAAUCGAAGAACAACUGAUUAACUACAUAAGAGAUUUAAUUCCUUAGUUGUCUGUCAUGUGAUAGACAAUGUUCAUUCCACGGUCCCACAUAAUAAGAACGAUUAGCUUGUUUAGUAAAGAAAAAAUAUUUGUAAAUAAAUCAUAGAAAUCAACACAGCCACGGAGCAAAACAAAUAAGAAAGACCUUCCAGCCAAAUGAGCAAACUUAUCACCAUUACAAAGUACAAAUUGAAGCUUUAAAAGGAGCUAAAAGUAGCAAGGGAUAGCUUAAAGAGGCAUUGUGGUUUGUUACUCUAGCUGUGAGACUCAAUUAGCUUAUCAGGUUGUUAACUUAUGGCUAUUAGAAUUAAGGAUUUCCAUAUAUUCACAAAGCUUCUAAAUAAAGCUCACUUGAUGUCAACUAACUACUGUGAAUGUUGAUUUCACAGUGAGAAAAAAUAACUUUGGGUUGAGGUUGUAUGACACUUCAAUAUGAAUAUGAUGUUAUUUACACAGUGCAGAACACAAAUAACUUCAUUACAAAAUUGAAAUUAAUGGAGUGAAGUAAAUACACAUUUGGAGUAUACAUUACAUCUACUUAUCUUGGGCUAUGUCUUCAAUUCUAUUACCAUAUUUGCAUUUCACAUAGAAUGGAAGAGCUUACCCAGAACAAAUGGCCAAAGAUGACUCAAGCCUAAAUUAACUUGUACACUUGAUGCUGCUAUCAAUGCGGCCUUGUUUUAAUAUGUGAUGCGUAAGCUAACACAAUCACUUACCUUUGACAAAUUCUUUCUAGAAAACCCUUUUGGAUUUGCAAAGCUAGCUCUAGGGUGAAGCUAUUCAUGUGAUUUCCAUGAACAAAAUUUCUCAGGUCAAUUAAAGUUGUGCAGUUUUGGGUGCUACUGCACUUUGGACAGAACCAAUCGUCCUCAGGAACUUCUGGCAAUAGAGGAUCGCAGCAAUCAAUAAGAGUACCAAUUCCACAGCCAAGGGAGCCACUUUCAUCACCACAAAUCAGCAUUAUACAUAAACCAAAUGGUGCUUACACCUGAAACUGUUUGGUUUAGAGAAUUAGAAAGAAAGGAAGAGAGAAUCAUGGAAAAACUAACAAAACACAGUGCAUUGAGCUCUGUGCAAUAAAUAAAAAAGAAACAAAUGAAGAAUUUAAGAAUUAAGAUCAUAACAAUAUCAUAAUAAACACCUAAAACUAUGAAAGGAGCAGAGCUGCCACUCACAUUUUUCAAGGAGGUCCUGUGUUCCCAAGCACGGGCAGAGGCUGAACCAACUCCUCCCAUGUCAGGGUAUUGAACCCCUUCUGCCACAGUGUUCUCAUGAUUCUCUAUUGGUCCCAUUCCUCUUGAACUUGAACCUGGUCCAGAUCUUGAUGAUUGCUUGGAAGAGCCAGAAAACUUCAGCACCAUGUCCUUCAAUUGCAUAUGCAGAAAGAAAGAAAUAAAAAAAAAUUAACACCAUUUGCAUGUAUCUAUCUAUCAAUCCAAAUAUUCAUCGUCAACAACAUUUUCACACAAAUCUGCAACUGAGGUGCCGACACAUAUAAUUUGCACAGGAGAAAAAAAAAUAAAGACAACGAUUAUAAGAAAAGCUCACUUUACACAGGAUCACGUGUGGUGUUACAAUGUCUUCAAUUUUUUGCCUCUCUAUGUGCCGGUGUCAGUGAUGGGAGCUCCCUUAUAUGGUUGUCAUGAUAUAGAUCUCAGCCUCAUGCAGUGUUGCACACUAUCCUAAACAUGGCCCAUACUAAAAAAUAAUCAAUCAUGUGAAUAUGAUCCAAUGGUUCUUCAAGCUCUCAAGAAUCAAUAGCAAAAUGAAAUAGAAGAGCAUUGUUGAAUAUUAGAAACAUGUCAUGUUGUAUAAUGGUUCAAAUAUCAUGUGUUAGAUGGUUCAAAUAUUAUGCAUACAUGUCUGCUAAUUGAUACUGAUAGAUAACAUGAGCAUGUGAAAUAAAAUGAAAGAUGCAAACCUCAAAUUGUUCUAGAGUCUUAUACAUCCCUUCAUGUAGUUUAGCCCUCAUGGUUGCAAAAUCCAUAGGCUCUUUAAUGACUGUAUAAUAAUCCUCAACCUUUAAGCACAAAAAUUCAUCAAGAAAAUGAAUUAGAAGGAGAAUAUGCCAAGUUAUAUCCGCAAGAUGAUAUGACAAAUUAUGAUCACACACCUCAUUUGGAUCAAUUGGUUCAGUGUUUCAAUGAACUUAAGCAUCAACACUUUUUUUUAUCUGAUCUAAAUAAUUGCUUCUCAUGCAGUCUAAAUGGCAAAACAAAGAGAAACUAAACUUCAGUGUACAUUAUUAGCAUUAUUUAGAAGAAAAAAUCAUACCACAACAUGUAGAUGUUACCUUUAACCUUAUAAUUACCAAUCAAGAAAUUAAGUAAAAAGGCAUAGUAUCAAUAUCAGAGGAGCAAAAAUUUAAGAAAUUAAAUGACCUUAUAAUUUCUUUAACCUAUUUUAUUAUAUACCUCCUUUAACUAUAUAAACUAAUCAAGCAAUAAGGCAUAUGGAGUUAACAUUCUAAAAGAGAAAAAUUAAACUAAUAUAUUCAUUGAUAUGAUGCAUAGUAGUUUCAGGAAAGACAAACUAAAGAAAUUAAAAAUUCUUACUUCUUUUCAAUGGCUUGCUUCUCAUACCUCUUUUAUGUUCAAGCUCUCUCAAGGAAUACCAUAAACAUCCUUCUCCUCCCGUGUUUGUACAGGAACAGAAUUGCAAAAGUGUACCCAGGAGGUCCAUGCUAUGCUGUAAAUGAACAUCUGCAUUCCAUUCAAAAUUGUUAAUUUAGUGCUUUAAUAAUAAGAUGGCCUUUUUAUGAUUUCACAAAAAGAAAAAUGCAAGAAAGGGUGGUGGGGAAUCACCUCCGCCACUGAGGAGGUGGCGCUGCUCUGGUUGCUGUUGUUGUCGUUCCAUGCAAUUACAACUUUUAAACAAAUACGAAGAUCAAAAUUGACUCCUCCCUCUGAUAAUUCCACCUUCUCUCUUUCACAGUGUUACUGUCACCAAUAGUUUGGGAAUUGAAACGAAUCACACACACAACCGACGGAGCCUGCAAAACCCUAGCAACCUUCCGCCGCCGCUAAACCCUAGCAACCUUCCGCCGCCGCCGCCUUUGCCAGCAUGAACCUCUUUUGUAAACCGAUGAGCAGUCAAUGAGAAGAGGUGAGAGGAGCCGCGCAAUUGAAAGAGGAGGAGGAAGAGCUUGGAGAAAUCAGGGCACAUGUGGAAAAAAUUUAACCGUGCAAGAAAGAGUGUUGAAGAAGAACGGUGAACGUAUGAAUUAAGCUUGGUGGCGUUAGGGUUUGGGCGCAGAGAGAAACAAAGUCACAGGAGGAAGAAGAAGAUUUCAGAUUAGAAUAAUAUGUUGAUGGUGAGCGGCGCAAAUUGAAAGAGGAGGAGGAAGAGUUUAGGUAUAGCACGUGUAAAAUAUCAGGAGAAAUAAGGUAAGAGCAAAUAGAGCCAAGGUGGAAAAGCUGAUGUGUAAAUUAUUAAAUGAGAAUUAAUAGGUGGAAAAGCUCACGUGUAAAUAAUUAAGUGAGAAUUAAUCUCGGAGCGACACGUCACUAACUUGGCCUGUGAGAGCGACACGUCAUGCUAGAAGUUGUUCUUUUCUAAUAUAUAUAGAUAUAUAGAUAUAGAUAGAUGUCUUUUAACCUUCCUCUGGUAACCAAUAUUAAAAUAAUUACUAAGUAAUUUUAUAUUCAAUAAUAUUGAAAAUAUAAAUGUAGUUCUAAGUAUCUUGAUGUAGUUAUAGCGGACGAAAAUCUAAAAAAUAUUGAUUUUAAAAUUAAUUAAUAAAUAAAACUAGUCAUGAUAUCAUAAUAUUUUCGAGUCUUUUUUUCAGAUAAAAAUAAAACAUGAAUGGAUUUUAUUUUUUUAGACAUCAGGUAGAUAAAAUUAAGUAAAUAGAAAGAGAUGCUCUAGAAGUGACAUAUCAAGGAAAUAAAAUUAAAGAAAAAUAUAUGAAUUAAUGAAUUACUUAUGAAAAUUAUAACAUAUUAACUUUGUAAAAGACAAGAUGACUAUUGUGUCCUUUAAAAAUUGAAGCGUUCCAAAAAGAAAGCCAUGUAAUAAAUGCAUACAAUGUGACAAAUAUUGAAAGAUAAAUAGAAAUAUUAAGUUACACUCGAUGUAUGUAUUGUCAAGCUAUUUCGAUCGCGAUUAAUGAGGACGAAGGUUAAGCUCCAAUCCUUGUUUAAUCAAGCUAGCAUGUCUGUGAUAACUUCCCUGUCCCAGAAGGUAGCAGCUGCACCUGGAUUCUGCAUAAGGGGCGAACGACAUCUAGACAAUCUGACACACACACCAUACUACGAAUGCCUAAGUUCCAGGCAUGAGUCAGUCCUAAAUCAAUUACUCGAACUUCUGCUUCGAAAGCUGAUCCAAGCUCAUGGCUUUCUAAGAUGGCAGAUUGCCAAACUCCACCAGGUGAUGUAAUUACCGCUGCGAAACCCAUCCUUCCUUGCGAUCGAUCCCAACUUCCAUCCACCUUCAAGUAGUGGAGCGUAAUUAUAUUUUGAAAUAAUUACUAUUUGUUAUUUUUAAUAGGUUUAAAAAUAAAUACAAAUUAUUUUUUGAAAAUUAAAAUAAAUAACUAUUUUUAAUGUUAAAGAUAAGCAAAAAAAUAUAAUAGAAAAAAAGUUUAAUGGAUAUGCAAGAACAUUAUGUCAUGUAGGAUGAAUAGUUACAUUCGUUUUAAUUUUACUUAAAAUAAAAAUAUAUUUUUGGAUUUGCUAAAAAUCAAUUGAAUGUUUUUUUUAGAAAGAGAAAGAUAAUAUUAGCAAAAGACUUGAGAGCAGGUAUUACAAUCCAACCAGCGCUGGCGGUAACCGCAAGACCACAAAAAAUUGCAAGAAGACCCAAAGCACCCGGCAAAAACAAUGUUUUUAUAAACAAAAUUUACAUUAAAAACUGUCAAUAUAUGCAAUUCUUAGAAAAAUGUGAAGAAGGUACUCAUGCAGGAAAAUGUAAUUUUUUACAGGUCCAAUAACUUAGAAAUUCAAGUUUUGACCUUCUUUUCCUUACUUUUUAAUUACUCCAAUGGGACAAUUUGUUCAUUGGUAUAAUGGUAUAUUCCUCUAUCCUCUUUCUCUAAGGUUAAAUUAUAUUUUUUUAAUUUAUUGAUAUCAUUUUAGGUACAAAUUAUAAUCUGGUUUAAGGUACUUAAAUAAUGACAUAUUUAUUAAAAAGUACGGGCUACCCUACUAGCUAGUGCCUCUUGUUUAAAAACAAAAUGAUAAAAGUUGCUGCUGCUGCAUGGUCCAAACUCCAAUCAAUAAUGUGACGCUGCAGCUUGAAACUCACCCCUUUCAUUUCUUAUCACGACUCAUUUUACUUUUGUUUCGGAGCGAGCUAGUACAAACAGUCCUGGCUUAUGGAGUGUACCAAAAUAUGCCAGCCAUUUAAGCUAGCUAGUCUCAUUGUGAAUUGUGUGCAUGGUCCUAGCUCUCAGCACCAACCCAACGCAGCGACACAAAGCUUCAGCAAAAAAGGGGCCCCAUUCUGUAAAUCGCUUAAUGUGAAGCUGCAACUUGAAACUCACACCUUUCAUUCCUUAUCACGACUCAAGGGUGGAGCCUAUCUUGUUGCUACAUGUCACGGACUAUAGGGAGCCCUGACAUGAUAAUUUUGACAUGUGCGAGUUCUUUUAUUACUUUGAAUGUACGAGUUAAAUGGUGAAUGUUUUUCUUUAAUUUUUUUUAAAUGAUUUUUCUUUAAUUAAAUAGGCCUCUCAUAUUAUACAAGUUUGAUAUUGGAGGUAAUAAAUAAGUCAUUCACAUCAAGUGAGAUAUAUCAUAUAUGGAUAAAUAUAAGGGUUAUGAGAGAUAUAAUAAAUUAUGUGAUAAAAACAUUAAUAUAAAAAAAAGUGAUUGAAUAAAAUUAAUAGAAAAAAAGUGAAGUGUGAAUGAAUAACAAUUUUAAAAAGAGUGCAAAAUGAAUCAAAUGACACAUUCAAGUAUUUCACGCUAGCUCCUUAGCGGAAUAUAUUCUUACAUACAUAAUAGAUAAUUUCGUAUGUGUUAAAAAAUCUAGACCCACUAAUUCAUAUAUUUUUAUCACCUACAUAAAUUUUAGAAAAUAAUAAAAACUUUGUUAGAAAGAUAUAUUUUCUUUUACGAUAAAAAAAGUUUCAAUCAAUCAGCAAUAGAAAACGGUACAUUCAUGAUAAGUAAGGGUAACAAAUCUGUCGUAUAGUCUUCAAGCCGCACAAUUUUUUUUAGGAUAAACUUUCUUAACAAGAUAAUCAGCUACUACGUUACAUCCACUCUUAACAUAAACAAAAACUACAAGGGUUAAAACCAGAAGAUGGAAACAAGCAACUUCUAACAAUGGAAGUUAAAUAAGAAGUAUCAUUCUGUUUUGAGACCCAUGUGCUGUGUAGAACUUGGCAGUCGUUCUCGAACGAAACUGUUACAAAAAUAUAUUAAAAAGCAUGUUCUUGAUGUUUUUUAAAAGAAAAAUAUUGGGUAAACCACUCAAUGAUCGUAGGCCAUCAUAUGAAGACCACAUAUAAAUUCAAGUCUUGGAUUUAGGCUUGUUUUACUUGUAUUGGGAAUUGGGUAUUGGAUGUAAGGCCCAAUUCUCCAAAUUCCAUACGGUUAUUGAUCCACCACCCUCUAUAAAAGGGGUCUUUUACUCACUAGUUUUUUACUCAUUAAUGAUAUAGUACACUUUUAUUCCAUCAUUUUUUCUUAGAGCAUCUCCAAUGCUACUUUUUAUUUCUUAGUUCUUAUCCUUCUUCAUGUGGACAUGUAUUGCCACAUGUGUUUAAGCAACUCUCAAACAAUUUUGCUCCAACCAUGAGUUCUUAGUUCUUAGUUCUUACCACUAUUCAUUUGGUCCCACCAACCACAUUAUUUAUACUUUUUAUUUUCAUAAAGUAAUAAAACAAAACCCAUAAAGUAAUAAAGUAAUUUAUAUGAAAGAGAAAUAAUUACUCCCUCCGUUCCAGAAAGUUUGUUGUUUUGCACCAUUUUUCAAUAUCCCAAAAUGUUUGUUGUUUUAGAAAACCAAUGCAUUUUUUGUUAAUUUUUUCCACCUAUACCCUCAUUUAAUAUAUUUUCUCUCACUUAUCACCUUUCAUAUUAACCAACCACAACUCUUUUCUAUUAAUUAGAUUCUUCUCUUUCUAAGUAUAAUUUAAUAUUUGCACAUCAUACUAGUAAAAUUAAAUAAGGACAAUUUAGUCAAAUUAUACUAUCAAUAAUUGCUUUCUUACUCUUUGUGCCACAACCUUAAACUACAAACUUUCUGGAACGGAAGGAGUAAUAUUUUAAGCUAAGAACUCAAAAAGCAAAACAUCUUAUAUAAGAACUGAGUUCUUACGUUUAAGAAUUAAGGAGUCCAUGUCAGCACCUACAAUGGUAAAGUUCUUAGUUCUUAGUUCUUAACUCCAAAAUAAGAACUAUGAACCUUGCAUUGGAGAUGCUCUUCUCCAAUGCUAGUUCUUAUUUCUUAGUUCUUAGCACUAUUCCUGUGGGCCCGUAUUGCCACAUGUGUUUAAGAAACUCUCAAGCAAUUUUGCUCCAACCAUGAGUUCUUAGUUCUUAGUUCUUACCACUAUUCAUUUGGUCCCACCAACCACAUUAUUUAUACUUUUUAUUUUCAUAAAGUGAUAAAACAAAACUUAUAAAGUAAUAAAGUAAUUUAGAUGAGAGAGAAAUAAUUAAUAUUUUAAGCUAAGAACUCAAAAAGCAAAACUCCUUAUAUAAGAACUGAGUUCUUAUUUAUAAGAACUAAGAAGUCCAUGUCAGCACCUUCAAUGGUAAAGUUCUUAGUUCUUAGUUCUUAACUCCAAAAUAAGAACUAAGAACCUUGCAUUGGAGAUGCUCUUAUUUGUGCUUUGCUGGGGUUUAUUAGAAUAUUCCUUUAAAUCUAGUAGGACCUUAGCACGGAAUAUUGACUGGGAGUAGAGCUGGGUACACGGGUGGCCCGCCACGCGCAGGCCCGCCUUGCACAAGCCCGCCCCGCGUUGACUCGCCCCGCAUAGGCUCGUAUUUUAGCGGUCCUCUAUUUUCCGGGUUGUAGCCCGCACUAGUCUGCGGUUUCGCGGGCCGAUCCGCGGGCUUUGGCCUCUCUUACCCCUUUUUUACCCUCGUAGGCCCGCCCCGCAUUGACCCGCGCUGGCCCGCUCCGCGUAGGCCCAUAUUUUAGCGGUCCUCUAUUUUUCGGGCUAUAGCCCGCACUAGUCCGUUGUCUCGUUGGCCGGCUCGCGGACUUCGACCCGCUUACCCAGCUCUAGUUGGGAGAGUCCUUCUCAAAUAUGGGACCCGCCAAAAGACUAAAGAUAAGGACUCCAUAUCAAAUCGUGGGCGGGCUCUCAGACAAGGACAUGACCACCAAGGGAAGACGAUCUCGGCUAGGCAGGGAGAGUCGCUCGCCCAAGUGUUGGAUUUGGGCUUGUUUUACUUACUUGUAUUGGGAAUUUGGCCUUGGAUGUAAGGCCCAAUUCCCCAAAUUCCAUAGGGUUAUGGAUCCACCCUCUAUAAAAGGGGUUUCUCCAUUGUAUUCACUAGCUUUUUACUCAUUAAUUAUAUAGUGCACUUUUAUUUCAUCAUCUUUCCUUAUUUGUGCUUUGCUAGAGUUUGCUAGAAUAUUCCUUUAGAUCUAGUAGGACCUUAAUUAGCACGAGAUAUUUUUACAAGCUAGUUUGAAAUGCUUGAUAGCAAAGGUUUGGUUUUUAUAACUUUUGACUAAGUUUUGAGUGAGAAAAAUCCUAUCUUCGAUGUUUGAAGUUUCUGCCACGUGAUGUUCUUGGGGUUGAGAUUUUUCCAACUCUGUUCUAAGUGUUAUUAAGUGUUUUUUUUUUUUUUUUGAAAACAGAACAAGUAAUCUAUUAAAAGAGAGAAAAGAACAUGGGAACAAGACUCUCCCAAGUAAGUCAACUGAUAAAACAAAAAAGAAAACAGAUAAAAACCAUGGAGAUGAGCCAAACCUAAAACAAACCAAAAAGAGCCCUAACGCUAAAACAUCAAGAACACAAAUCAGGGGAAAAAGCAUAGGAGCCAAAAGCUAAAAAUCUCCGGGACUGUACAACACAAAAACACAACUCGAGAGGCCAACAAAUGGAGCAAAAAAAACACAGAAGCAUGGAGCAUCAAAACCCCUUAGAAUUGAAAGAAAGCUCCAGGGACAAAAAUCACGCCACCUGCAUGUUGUUUAAUAGCUUCGAAUUUUUACAUGUUAAAAAUAGCUUCGAAAGUGGUUUUAGGAAAAUGGUAAAAUUGGUUGUGUUUUGUGGAGUAUGGCCGAGACUAUGACUAGGGUAUAAGGUCAAGUUUUGUUGUUUAAUUUGGAACUUGCUAAGUGGUGAUGCAUGAGUUCUAGGACUAAGACUAUGUGCUACAAAAGUUUGGGCUGAAAAUGCAAGCUUUGAUAAGUUUGGUGACCAAUAUUUAGUUUAUAAAAACCGAAGGAUUUUUUUGUAAAUAUUUAUGUGUUGAGGACUAAAAAUUAAUUACUUAAAAGUUCAGGGAUCUUUUAAUGAUCAUGUGAUUUCUCCAAGGACUUGUUCGUAAAUCUUAGAACUUGUAUUCAACUCCAACGUUAGUCCCUUUUUAGUGAUGCAUGUGCAUAUAGUCUAGAGAGUUAGAAGAACUAGCUAAGUUUGACUUGAAACAUAAAUCUUAGAAACUAAGGUUAGAAUAGAAUAUAUGUAUGUACAUGUUAAGGUUCAGAGCACACUUCGGACUAAGAAGCUGACACUAGGAAAGAUAGCUCAUAAGGUAAGGGCACUUCUAGUUUCUGAACUUUAGUGUGCAACUUGUUUAUUAGCUAUAGGAAUCUUGGGUUGGUUUAAUGAUGUUGAGGAUGGGAUUAACAUGUGAACUCAUAUUUGAGAUUAUAUUAUUGUUCCUUUAGUUGAUUGUCUACAUUUUAGCUAAGUAUGUUUGUGUGCCAAGAUGUCGGACAAGUUGUUGUAACAUCGUGCUAUGAGAUGUGUCCAUGGGAAACGUUCUGUAACUUGGCUGAUCAGUUGUGAAGCUUUAAGUUGAUUACUUUGUGAUCAAGUUAGGUUAUUGUGGGAAGCUUCUGUGCGCCGUCAAGGAAUAUUCUAUGUGUAAUCAAACCCGGUUCAAGGGGGUUUGAUUUUGGAAGUUGAAAUCUGCACUUUUAUUGAUUACCCGAAGAUCAAGUGCAGAAUUGUUGCCUGUUUGUUUCUAAUAACAACUUCCUGAUUGUGUGUGUGGACUCUGUGAUCUUUCAAGCCCAACGAAGACAAGGCCUGGAAGACUAUUACUUAUGAAGACCCAAGACCUAGUUUGCUAGGGAUCGAGAGAGACUAUUGUAUUAUGGUUUUAUUGAGUUCAUACUGUUCUUGUUCUCUUAGCAGAUUUAUGUAAUUGUUGUGAGCUAAGAGUUGUGUGUUUACUAUGUGAUCUUGAGAUCUGUCUUUGUAACUCGUGUUUGAGUUCAAUCACUGUGGCAAUGAUUGUGUAAGAGAGAGUGAGAGGGAGGUCUCAUACUUAGGGGGAGACCUAAGUAAUAUUCCACGGGUAGAGUUAGGUAGAAAAGGUAGUUGAACUGGGGCAGUUCUUGUGAGACCUUUUGUGUAUAAUUUCUCUAUAAUAGUGGAUUAUCUCUCUUGGGUGAAAACCCUCCAGACGUAGGUGAUAUUGCACCGAACUGGGUUAACAAUCUCUUGUGUGGUUUUAGUUUUUCUGUCAUUUAUCUUGCUGCAAUAUUUACUGUGUUUUGAGUAAUGUUAUACAAGAUGUCUUAGACAUCUGGUAGAACAUCUGUCCUACAAUUGCCAGAAUUUCAGAAAUGAUAUAUGAGAUUGUGGUACAUUAAUAUGUAAGGUCAACAUGCUCAACAAGUUGAAGCCCACAAAGCAUCAUCUGAAGACUCCAUAAUUCAACAAGCAAAGCUCAGCGUCCAAAAAGAAGAAGCGUCAAAGAGAAGAACUAAAGAAAGCAAGAAACAGUCUUGUCCAUCCAAAGAAUGCUACAAGACUUGCAUCAAUAUGAAAGCAACAAUUCAACUCAAUCAGACAUCGUCACUCAAAGCAUCAAAUAUCCACUCCAUCUAGAAGAACAAAGAUUGCUGAUGAGAGAGAUGAAUGAUGCAAAAGGAAAUACUAUGAGACUAUGUCAUUCCAACAAGCACUAAAAUUCAACUGUGUAUAUACAUUCAUAGUCUGAUAAGUUGAAGUGCUCAAAGCCAAGACAAUGUGCAAAGGUCUUGCACAAGUUUCUACUAACGUCUGAUCUCCCAAGUCCAGUAAGACAAAGCUUAAAGCUCAGAUCGUCCAAAACUCAGUCUUACUAAUUCAUAAUACAUUACUACGAUUUCUGUGCAAAGAAAAUGUAUUCAAAGGAGAAGAAUAGUCAUGAUGACUAAAGCAUCCAGAAGAGGAACAAGUCUCCUAAGGAAGUAAUGGGAAUCAAGCAUCGCUUCUAAGCAAGCAACUAGAACUAAGUAACCAAAGUCAAAUAUUGUGCUUGUUCACACGUGACUAGUUGAGCCUAACACACAGUACUAAUCAAGGCACAUAGUUGUCACUUCCACAAAAUCUAUGAGGAACGCAUAUGAGCCGAAAGAAAAUAUGUCUUAUCAAGCACAAGCUUCAAUGACCUAUCGGCUACAUAGAUUCAAACUACACUCUGACAUGAUGCGUUGAGACAACCAAGCAUAUCUUAUAGCUAUCAUAGACGCUGAAGACUUGUGCACAAGCGUACUUCAACAUCGUCAAAAGUAUUCAUCCUUCUGAAACAGAGCAGAGAAGCUGUCAACAUGACCUGUGAACAAAACGACUAUUUUCUACUCUCCAAUGUCCAUUGCAUAAACUCAGUAAGUUACACUAUAACGAUCAUAUUUCCAAGACUUGGUAUAAAUAGUAAAUGUAGUUGAAAGGGUAAAGGUUUUCGUUGUAGAUCGAACUAAUGGAGAGAUUAGUGAAUUGCUUAGAAGCAAUCAAACACAUCUUAGAUGAGAAUAUGAGCUUAAGAGUCAAUACUGAGAGAAAAGAAGAGAUGAAAAGAAAGAAGAGAAAAAUAUGAACUAAAGUGUCAUAUCUAAACAUGCUUUUGAGAGAUAGAGCUUCAAAGUCAUAUGCAUCUUGUUGACAAGAUGAAGAUGAAGAAGGGGAAGAAGAAGAGAUAGAAUGCACUGAUUGAGGGGAAACAUUUCCAAUCUAUUGAGUAGUGAAUCUUCUACAUGAAUUCUCACAUGCAAAAUUGAUUGAUUCAUUCAAUCAAAAAGCUAUGUAGCAAGAAGAAAAAGAAGAUCGUUGAUGUUGAUGUUCUAGUUCUACACUCCUACUUUCAGAAGACCACAAAUACAAGAGAAACAACACGAUGAAGAAUAACAAGGCUGAGCUAAUUCAAGGAUAACAUCCAUGCCUAUGCUAGACAGAAGAAUGAUCUUGAUCAAGAGUGCCCAGUGUCAACUAAACAAGGAGAUCAUGUCAAUUCCAUAAAGUACUGAGACCACUUCAUUGUAUAUUAGCUCUAUCCUAUACAACUAGAGAUAAAUUGAUUGUAUUGCGUACUUGUAUACAUCUCAUAAGUCUGUAUGAACAACACUCUCGAUUGUAAUUACUUCAUAUAUGCCUGAAGACGCAUGGAAAAGAAUAUGUGUAAUGCCUAAAGAGGUAGGAGAAAGAAUACUCAACAAUGCGUGGAGAGGCGUGAUAAAGAAUAUUUGUUUACCUGGAGAGGCAAUGUAUAAAAGAAUACUCGUUUUCCUAGAGACGCAGUGUAUAAAAGAAUACUCCUUUGCCUAGAGAGGCAGUAUAUAAAAGAAUAUUCAUUUUCCAGAAGAGGUAGUGCGGAAAAGAAUACUCUUUGAACCUGAAGAGGCUCGUACAAGAAUACUCAACAAUGCUUGGAGAGGUAGUGGCUAAAGAAUACUCAAUGUUCCUGAAGAGGCAUGUACAAUAAUGUAAGGAGAAGUCUCCGAUACUUGAUAGUGAAAAUCUUGGUUGUUGUCAAGGACUGGACGUAGCCCAUCGAUAUAGGGUGAAUCAAACACUACUUGAUAUGGACGAUGACGAACGCACUGUCGCGGGUGCGUGUCAAAGUAUUCUGCUUUGAAUGCAGUACAAGGUGUUGAACACCAGGAUCGAUCUCACAAGGACUCAGUGAAGUAUUAAUUGAUAUUAGAGUAAAACAAAAGAAAAUUAAAAAGGGGGUUUGGUUGAAUUGAUUGAAAAGUAAGCAAACAAAAAUUAAAAGAGAUUUAAAUCAAAUAAAAGAAAGUGUUAGUCAUCGGAUUAUAACAUUCAAGUGCAACAAACCUUCAUCGGUGACAAAAGAUUAAUUCUUCCUUAUUUUUUCCCUAAUUCGUGAGAGUUGAUUAACUAAGCGAAAAUCAAUUCACAGUUUCCUAAACUAAGCGAUUAAGAAACAGUUACGAACUAACAUGAACUAAGCGAACAUGCAUCAACUCUUAUUUCUAAAACUACGGAAUUAAGCAAACCCUAGAUCAGAAAUAGAGAUGAAGAGAAUUAAUAAAGAAGAAAUUUGCAUUAAGAACAGAACCUCAAGUUUGUAAACACAAGAAUAUUAAAAAUCCUAAGACUAACUAGGGAGUUUAGCAACUCAUACUAGAAAAGAUGGAGAGAGAUAUUAGGAGAAGGUGGAGGAGGUGAUGGUGAGAUGUGGUGAGGUGGUGAGGUCUAAAAAAAGCCUAAACUCACUUAUUUAUACUAAUAAAUAAACUUGUUCAUCAAGUAACAAUCUUUGUUAUCUAAAUCUUUUCUAAAUCUUCACAAAAUCGGGCCCACAUAAAGGAGUAAGCUGCUGAACAAUCAGGCAUUCGCGGGUCUCACAACAAGUUUGAAUCUUCAAUCGAGGUAAACAUGAGAGUUAUAGCUCUUUAAGUCAGCUUCGCGGGCCUUCAAUCGGAUCCUAAUUCGGAGUUCAGUAGCCCAAGAUAUGAUCAUUUUAGUGCAGACUGUUCCAGACUCGCAGGAUUAGCGACAGCAACUUUGCAAGGCCAUUUUGACCAUGUUAGAGGCUUGUUCUGCAAUUGUGCUGAACAUGAAAGUUGUAGGGCUUCGAGCUAGCUUUCCAAUGACAUAUUAUGGGCCUUAUUUAGAUAUUGCUAGCUCCAUAUUCAAUCUGUUCUAGCAAAACAAUCAUAGAAACUAAAAGUGUAGAAUUAAGCUCUUUUCCAAGAAUAAUCCAAAUAAACACUAAUGGUCAAAACAUGGCUAAGUCAUAACAAUUAAGCACAAAAAUGUAUAUAAUGAAGCUUAGAAAGACACACGUAAAGUGCAUCAAUUAUGCGCUUAUCAGACGACGACAAGGCUUGGGAGAUCAACCACGUGACUGGUGGUUCAUGUAUGGUUCGACAAGAGCAGAUGAUGUGGAAUGAUGUGUUGCGAGACAUGGAGGAGGCCUUGGGGAAACGUGAACUAUGAGUCGGUUUUGGGGUGUGAUAAUUGAUAAUUAAGUCUGUUCUUGGGGGUGAGCUAAGUUUGUUUGUAGGGUUCAAACCUAAACUAGAGGUCUUCUUGUUGUGUUGGUUUGGGAGCGGUCGAACACUAGUUUAAUAAUUAUGUUUUAAUUUCAAAGAAUCAUUGUACGCUUCUAAUGCUUUAUUAUUAAUAAAUGAGUUUAUUAUGUUAUUCCUUUUAAUGUUAGGUUUCUGUUUAAUAAAGUUUUAAUUUUCGGCAAAAAAUCACCCACGUUUUUGGAAAGAUUACUAAAGUGACAUUCGAGAAAUCAAGGCGUUACAAGUACAAAGAAUGCAAAGCCCCAAAAAAAACAAAAGAGGCCAUCAUACCUACCAAGACCAGCACAAAACCCCCGAAACCGACCCAAAAAAACAACUAAAGAAGACACCCAUCAUACAAGAUCGGGAAGAUUUUCUUUAAGUGAGCUUUUAACCCCUUGAUCAUCACCUCCUCAUGGCCUUUAUACGAGAGAGACAAUUCCUUCCCUAAGUUCUAUGUCCUUUAAGCUCUUGCCCUCACCCGAGCGAUCCUUCCCUUGAUUCAUAUGACACCACAAGAGGCAGAGAUUUCUUGUUGCAACUACCUUUCGGUAUGCCCCUCCCUUGUUUUACACCUUAAUCGGACUAGAACCACCGACAUUGACCAACUAAUUUUAGGAAAUUUAUUUUGCUUUCAAAUUUUAUUUAAAUUUAGCCGUAUUUUUAAUUAAAUACGACAUAAGGAGGUUUCUAAGAAUAGUAUGGAAUAGAGAAAAAGUCAAGAAAGGAAUUUCGGCGGGGGUGAUGUGUGUUAGGACUUGUCCAUUUUUUUCUUUUAAAGUAGUUUUUUAGUAUAAGAUUUGUCAGAAUAACUAUUACUCAUAAGUCUUUCCAAAUCAUAUAUAUAUAUAUAGUAUUAAAAUUAUGGGUCUAAUACAUUCUUAUUCUUGUGUAUCCAAAUAAUCAUUACUCAUAAGUUAAAUAUAUAAUAAAAAAGUACAAAUUAUUAAAAAUAUUUAAGUAAUAGUGUCACUGCAGGUGUACUUCGAAAGGUGUAACCACAUAUAAAUUUAUGAAAGUUUAUCUUCGUGCUCUAAAUAAUAUAUAUAACUUUGCCUAUAAUAAGACAACAUCUAUAAUAAGACAACAUCUAUAAUGGCACAAUGGUUUUUUUAUAAGCCAUGAAGAAUAUAGUGGCACAGUGGUAGCAGCAACUUUUUGCUUCCUUCACGUCCUGGUUUCGAACCUACUUGGCUACCUUUUUUAAUUUUUUUUUACAAUAACUACAAACUGGCCGGUACUAAGUCGGUCUGAUUCUGGCCGAUUUUCCCAGUUCUUAACCGGUUUAGCAGCUCUUUCUCCGGUUCUGUGAGUGUCCGAUUUAAUAUGUCAACUGAACCAGCCAUACUUCCGGCUCUCGAUUAAACGGUCGGACCGUCUGGUCCGAUCUGAUUUUCUGAACACUGAAAAAUAGUAUAUAGAAUAUGAUUUUCCCCAAAAAAAAAAUAGAUAAUAUCCUUAUCAUAAAACAUUCCUAAUAUCAUGAGUAUAUAUAUCAUACUUAUUUUACAAACAAUGUCUUUUUUUUUUGUUGCAAUGAGGGGAGAGAACCCCAAGAAAACACAAAGAAACUAGCUAAGGCCUACAGGGGGGCCAAGGACAGGGAACAUAUCCUGCUGCAAAAUGCUAUGGCACUCCCCAGAAGGGGAAUCAAAGUAAUGGUAACCAUAUGGAAGAUCGAGGCCUAUGCGAGCCAGAUAAUCAGCUAGGGAGUUAGCUGAUCUCGAAGUGUGCUGGAACAGAAGGGAGCUGUGGGCACUCUGUAAGUGAAGGAUAUGAAGAAUAAUCUGCUCAAACCGAUGGGAGCCAACCGCUGAACUAAGCACACUAAUAGCAUCCAUGGAGUCUGUUUCUAUAAUCACAUGAGAAAGAUCAAAACCCAUAGCAAGCUCGACCCCUGUUUUAACUGCUACAAAUUCAGUAAGGAAAACAUUGGCUGAUGAAAAAACACCCAAGUUCCUGCUAAUUUUUUAAAAAUAAAAAUUUAAACUUAGGUAUGAUUUAAAAAAUAACUCUUUUUAGUGUUAAAAAUAUGGGAAAAUAUAAUUGAAAAAGAGUUUAAUGAUUUUUACACUCAUAUUCAAUUACAAUAUGUCAUGUAUGAGAAAUAGUUACAUUCGUUUUAAUUUUACUUUUAUUAAAAAAAAUUAAUUUUAUCUAAAAUUAAUUGGAUGUUUGUAUAAACAAAACUGACAAGUGACAACCGUCAAUGAAAUUCUAUUGUUAGAAAAAUGUGUAGAAGGUACUCAUGCAUGUCACAUGAAAAUGUAAUUUUUACAGGUCCAAUCAUUUAGAAAUUCAAGUCUUAACCUUCUUUUGUUAACCUUUGUAAUUACUCCAACGUGACGAUUUAUAUUGAUUGGUUAUUGGCAGAUACAAUUUAUAGCUCACAUCUUGAAGUGAUGUUUAUUUUUUUUCUGUGUUGGAGGCAAGCUAAGUACAAAAUUAAUGUAUAAGAAGACAUUUAAAAUGCAAGGUUGACAGUUGACACAUUUGAUAAUCAUGCUAUACAUUGUUGCUAUAUGUGACUGGACUCACUAUGGGACCAUUGGCUAUGCCAUGUCAAUAGCAAUAGUAUGGCAAAUAUAAUGAUAAUUUUGACAUGUGCGAAUUCUUUUAUUAUUUUAAAAUUAUGGGCGAUUUAAAUGGUGAAUAUUUUUCUUUAAUUAAAUAAACCCCUCAUACUAAGGAUGUGUUUCGUUUGAGAGAAGGAAAGAGAAAUGAAUGGAAAAUAAAAAAUUCGAGAAAUGAAUUUAGACUACACCUUAAUCUAAAAUCAUUCCUCGGUUUCUGUGUUUUCUUUCCUUCCUCCUUUCCCUCCAUCCAAACAAAUAUAUUGUAAGAGAAAAUGUGAGAUGUGAUAGAUGAUAAGAAGGGAGAGAUAGAAACAAAAAUAGGUGAAAAUGAAGUGUUUAAAAAAUGAGGUUUGUAUAUAUCAUCAUUGGAAUGAAUGUGUUUGACAUGUAAUUAUUUCCAAUAGGUUUAUUUUACUGGAUUAAAUCAUAUUUAACUAGUUUAAAGUUAAGGCUCUUUAAUUUUAUUUUUUGUUAAAUUGACUUAUUUCAGUAGCUGAAUUGUUUUUUAAUAAACUAACUCGGUUAGCUUAUAGUGUAAAUCUAUUUAUUCUCAUUUUAAUCAUUAAUAUUUUAUUAAAAUUCCAUCCUUGCCUUUUUUAUAUUUAUAAAACCACUAAAUCCUAAUUAAUUUUAUUUUGAAAUAAUUACUAUUCAAAUUUUGAUAUAAAUACUUAAAUUAUUUUCUUAAUUUAGACAAAUAUAAGCUAAUUUUAUUAAAUUAAAAUAUUAAUUUAUUUGUUUUACUCUAUUUAAUUUAAUAUAAAUAUGAACAUAAAAAUAAAUUUAAAACUAAUAUUAUAUUUUAGAGAUGAUAAAUAUUUUGAACUAAAUUAAAAUAUUUAUAGUUGUAGUUAUUUUAAUAUAUAUGUAUAUAAAAAAAUUAAUAUAAAAAAUAAAAAGAACUAUUCAAGUAUGUUAUAAUUUUACGAUUUCAGCUUGUUUAACAGAUAUUUUUGUCAAACACAUUUUUAAUCAUGUAGCUUUUCAACUUCCAACUAUCAACUUUUCGCUCUCUUAUAAUUUUUCCAGCUAUACACUAGCUUAUAAACAUUCAACUAAUUUUUCAACUGUCAGCUAACAUAUCAUUUAGGCGUGUCAAACAUUACAUAGGUGAGUGAUGUACUAUAAUUUUUAAUUAUAAAAUAACUAAUUUUUUAAAAUUAAAAAUACCUAUAAUUUUUUCUUGAAAAAAAACUAUUUUAAAUGUUAAAGAUAUGCGAAAAAUAUAAUAGAAAAAGAAUUUAAUGGAUAUAUAAUCACAAUAUGUCAUUUAGGAUGAGAAUUUAAUGGAUAUAUAAUCACAAUAUGUCAUUUAGGAUGAAUACUUACAUUUGUUCUAAUUUUACUUAAAAUAAAAAUUUAAUUUUAAAGUUGCAGGAAAUCAAUUAAAUGUUUGUUUAAACAAAAUUAAAACAAACAAUCGUCAACGAAAUCCAUUUUAUUCAUUGUUAAGCUUCAUUUAUUAACUUUCAAAAAAAAAAGGUUCAUUUAUUAAAUUAGACUAAGACCUGCUCAAUGCAAUUUUGCAAAACAAUUAUUAGCGCCUUAUAUGCGCCCACUAGCAUGGUCCAAACUCCAAUCUGCAACAAUAUUUUAAGCCCCAACGCAGAGACACAUUUAAUGUGAAGCAGCAGCUUGAAACCUAUCCCUUUCAUUUCUUAUCACGAAUAUUUUGCUUUUGUUUCGUAGCGAGCUAGUACAAACAGUCCUGACUAUGCCAUGUGAAUUAAUUGAUCAUCAUCAUACACAGUCUCUUGAAAUAAUUGAAGAAAGAAGGAUAAGUGCUUGGCUUGAAGCUAGCCUCGUUGUGAAUUGAACGUGUGGUCCAAUCUCACAGCACGUACUUAACGGAGAGACAAAGAGACCCACAUUAUAUACAAAGAGACCCAACAUAUGGUCCAAAUAUGUGGAGCUUGGUGCAACUUCAUUCCUUAUAAUCACGACACUCAAGGUUGGAGGAGACCAUUAUGUGGAGCAUGGUGCAACUGCCAAUCUUGUUGCUACAUAUCACGGACCGCCUAUGGGGACCCCUGACAAUCUGAUCGACCUGGAAUUUUCACAUGUGCUAGUUCUUUUAUUAUGAUAUCAAGCAGCACCCACCCACAUACGUACACAAAACAGCUAGUAUCGGAUCUCUUUUGAUUAUCUUUUCUGAUUCAUGAUUGUGUGGUGACAUUGUUGCUACAUGUGACGGACUCACUAUGGGACCCCUGACAAAUGACAAUUUUGACAUGUGCGAGUUCUUUUAUUAUUUCGAGAAUAUGUGCGAUGGUGAAUAUUUUUCUUUAAUUAAAUAGGCCCCUCAUAUUAUACAAAUUUGAUAUAGGGGGUAAUAAAUAGGUCACUCACACCAAGUGAGAUAUAUGGAUAGAUAUAAGAGAAAUGAGAGAUAUAAUAGAUUCUUUGAUAAAAAGAUCUAAUAUAAAAAAUAAGUGAGUGAAUUAAAAUGGAAAAAAAUAGAGUAUGAAUGAGUAAUUAACAAUUCUCAAAAGAGUGCGAAAUGAGUCAAAUGACACAUUCCACUAGGGAUGUAAGCGAGUAUAUAUGGUCCGAUCCGAACACAUUACAGUGUGUUGGAUUGAAUCAUUGGUUUGGUUCAGAUUUGUUUUACUAAAUCCGAUCACCAUCGGUUCGGGUAUCGGAUUUGAGGAUUGAAAAACCAAUCAAUCUGAACCAACUCAAUGAAUUGAGAAUGUUCUUACAUUAAACUCAAACAUUUUCAGCCCAUUACAUUACAUAUUUAUAUUUGUAUUAUAGAUGUUAGUUUUAUUUGGAUUAUAUGAAUUAUGUAAUUAUUGAAUGUUAUGUUCUUUUAAAAUGUUGGAUUUUUCUAUUUUUUUUUUAAUUUUUCAAGUUUUAAGAAAAAAAUUCGUUCAUAUUUUCAAGUAAUAUUUUUUUUAUUUCAAACCCGACCAUGAACCGAACCAAUCCGAUUGAGAUCGGGUUGGUUUGGUUCGGUUUUAAAAGUAAAAAUCAUGAAAUCCGAACCAACCCAAACCGAACAUGUUUAAUUGAUUCAGACAUUUAAACACCCUAAAUCCGAACCAAUCCGAUCCGAUUACACCCGUACAUUCCACAAUUUAGUUUAAUUUCUCUUAGCGGUACAUUUCUUACAUACUUAAUGCAUAAUUUUGCCUGAGUGUGAAAAAAUUAGGAAAAUUAUACCCACUAAUUCUUAUUUUCGUAACACCUGCAUAAAAUGUAGUAUUAACUCUAUUCCUAAUUAAUGGUAAGAAAUACAAAUAUUAAAAAGUGCAAUUAAUUUUAUUAAUUUUUAUAAAAUUAUAAUUCUUUCCUAUAUUACUUUAUAUAAUGCAUUUUAUCUUUUCUAAUUUAUUGUUCUCACUUCUCACAGUGAUAUUAUUUAGAAAUAUAUCAUUUAAUGAUAUUUUAAAAUGCUAAUGAACAAAUAUAUAGAAAUAUUGUUUUUCUUUCUAAAUAGAACUGUAGGAGAUAGUAAAUAAUAAAAAUUUGUUAAAAAAUAUAUUAAAAGCCACGCUGUUGGCAUUUUUUAAAGAAAAAUGUUGGGUAAGCCACUCAAUAAUUGUAGACAAUUUUUUUUUUUUGAAAUCAUUGUAGACAAUCAUAUGAAUAUGAUAUAUACAUUCAAGUCUUGAUCCUCUUUUCUUUAUUUUUUAAAUAGUCCCACGCUACAAAUGCAAAUCUUGAAUAUAUUUGAAAUAGGUAAUUGUUAUUUUCACUCUCUUAAAAUGGCGAAGAGACAAAGUUUCUAUUAAUAAAAAAGCAAAACUACAAAAAUGUCAUUAGUGAAAAAAAAAACAUUACAACUCUUCACCCCAUCCUCACAUCCUCUCUCCUCUUUCUCUUUCUUCCCUCACCAACACCACUCAUCUUCAUCUCAUCCUCAUUCAUACUCAUCUCCAAACACAAUCUUCAUUUUCUUUUCUUUCAUUUUUUUGUCGUCGCUGUUGCCUAUUCCCAUUUGUCCAUCGUCGCCGUCGCCCCCAUCAUUGGUCGUCGUUGUUAGAGUCAUCAUUUUCAUAUUUUUUUCUGCAACUAAAAACACUUUAAAGUGCGUAACCUACGAACUUUAAAGUGCGUGACUCUCAUGCAAUUUAAAGUGUGUUUAGCUGUAAAUUUAAAGAGCGUUUAGCUGCAAAUUUUAACAUAACUAAUAUCAGAUGAUUUUAAAAAUUAUGAGACCACCACAAUAAAUCAAGAUAGGAUAUUUGGAGAUUUAUGGUGAAAUAAUUUUUUUCGAAAUUCAAAAUAAAAUAUCAGAUGUAGGAAUUUGGAUAAAUUCCACAAACCUUAGGACUGCAUGUGCUAAUGGACCAAUUACGUUAUUUUUCUCUUCAACUUUGUAGUUCACUCCGUCUUGAUCCAAGACUGAAAAAAAUUCAGUUUUUGGGACUGAAACGCUGAAAUUUGCAAUUUUCAUACUUUAAAGUGUGACCCUAUCACCCUAUAAAAGGAAUACCAUACAAAUGGAGAAAAUAAGAACUUGGUCCAUCAUCUAAGCUUUGAAGCCAGAAACUAAAAGAAAGUUCUUCACAACAUAUCAUAGCACUUUGAGCGCCAUGUUCUCUCUGAAAUACUCUGAAAAAGCCUAGUAAAAUCAAAUAAAAGCAGUCGUGAAAGAGUAACCUAAGCUUACAAAAUAUUUACAUCACUCUUAAGCAAGAGAACCAAAGUAGAACAUUAAUCUUGUUGGGUUUAGGAGAAGUCUUGUAGAAUAAUUGUUGGGAGAAGUCAUGUCGAAUACUUGUAGGGAGAAGUCCUGUCGAAUACUGGGAGAAAACAUGUUUAAUACUUAGUGAAAAUCUUGGUCAAAGCCAAGUUCAGAACGUAGCCCGCCGAUAUUGGGUGAUCCAGGAUAAAAAUCUAUGUGUUCCCUCCUUGUUUACUGUUUUCAUUCCUUAGUCAAAACCGUUCAACACUAUUCGCAGCACAAAACUCUUUCAAAAAGAUUUCUAAACCAGAAAUUUCACAAGCAUAAAUCUUUGAAAAGCUCGUAUUCUCUAACACAAAAUUCAAACUCCCCUUUCUUAUGUGAUUUUUAUUAUUAUCAAGAUGUUGAUGGUUGGUAAAGAGUUGGGUCGCGUUUGGGAGGACGCUUAUGAGGAGGCCACUGAGGAAUGUGUGCAACAUCUCAAACGUACCCACCCCAAUAAGUAUGGGGCCUCUUGAGGCAAAAAUUUUUAGUGGUUUAAGUUAUUUUUCCUUUCGUUGUUUGUUCCGUUGUUGCUUUUAGGGUUGCACUUUUUUGUUUAUUUUGGUAGAUUUGAUUUGCAUCGUUCACCCAUAUGAGAGGGUUGGUCUCAUAGCUGUUAUUUUCAUGAAAUAAAGUUGUACUUUUAAAAAAUAAAUUUUAAUAAAGGUUUUAUUUUGAUAUAUUGGUCAUAAUUGAGAAAAAGUGAAGGUAUAAAGUACGGGAAAUAAUUGUUAUACUACAUAAAAUAUUGAUAAUAUAGAUAUAACUAGUUUUUGCACUAUCCAGGACUUAAAGGGUUUUGAACACAUUAAUUAUUUUCCUAUUGUAGAUUUUUUAAGGCUAAGUUUAAUUGAGAUCUCAACAUUGCAUAAUAUUUAUUGUUUGUAGUCGUUGUUUGUAAUUGUUGUUUGCGUCGUUGUAAUUUUUCAUAAUCGAGAGGAUUUGAAUCUCAACUUUUUUUUAAUAAAAUUUUUGCUUUAAAAAAUUAGUGUGACUGAAUAUUUGAAGGAUCACCUACUUCGGAACGACCAUGUAUAGUUUGGAAUUUGGGACUUUAAUAGGCCAAGGUAAGAGCACUAGGUCUAGAGGUCUUGACCUCUUUUCGCAUGCCUUAUGAUUAUUGUUGAUUGUGAUUGACAACAUAAAUAAUUUUUAUAUUGUUGAUAUGGUUUAUUGUAUGCUUUGAUUGCUAACAUGCUAUAUUUGUUGUUGUAAUUAUUGUUGAGAUCUUGAUAUUUUGAUACAUUGAAAAUAUUGAGCUAUUUUAAGAAGCUUACUUGGACUUCGGAAUAUUAAAAAUUUGACUAACUUUAUGGCAGUUUCAUCUUGAUUGGUUAAGGGGAUGAACCUUAAUCAUAUUUAAUUUGAUCGUCUAGGGAGUUGGCCCUAUUCGUGUGCGGGUUCAAUCAAAAGAUUGAUUCCCCUUUUGUUGUUGCCUUUACAGCUACCCGAAUCAUUUGCUUUUUGAAGGAGACAAACCUUAAUUGUGCACUCAUACCUAGACUAACUCUAGGCGAUACUUGACUAGAGCUUUUGACUAGGAUUGUAUAAUGAACUAUGUUCCCUUACCUAUUUGUUAUGACAUGCUCUGUUUAAGUCUUAUUUGCUGGAGUUGACCUUACUUGCUUGUACAACUUGUUGUUUGGGAGCUGAACACGUUUCUGUUUGGUAAUUGUUCUUGGGCGCUUAACGCAAUUUUUAGAUGCUGGAGAACUAGUUGGUGAGAUUUGAGAACAAGGAGUCCAACGCGUGGACCUUUGAUGUGGUGACGCGGAGAACUACAUAUUGAAGUAUGGCUAGGCGUAGAGAAGCUUGAAGCGGCGAUGAUGAGGGUAUAUUUUUGCACGCGUUGUUAUUUUUCUUAAUUUCUAGAUAUAUUAUAUAACUAUUGGGUAUUAUUUAAAUAUUAUGAUAUAGAUAAGAGUUUGAAAAUCUUAAAUUCAAUUGGAAAUAUUUUACAAAGCGAGAGUUUAAAGAUAUACUCAUUUGAAUUUAAAUAACACUCUUAGGUUGUCUUAUCUAUGAAAAAUGAUUUUUAAUCAAGCAUUGUGUUGUACCUUACUUUCUUGAAAACUUCUCAGAUUGUUGCUUGGAUGAUGGUGGGCUUGUUUUAAAAAAUAACAUCACCUUUUUGAAGAAAAAAAUUCGAGCUAGUCCCUAGACUUGUUGGGUUACUAAUGUGAUCCAUGGUUGAUAAAUUGGAGCGCUACAUCACCUGCUCCUCUGGAUAAUGUGUCAUUCCAUCCUGAAGCAAGUGUUCAGAAGUGGAAAUUAUGUUUGUCAGGAAAAUAUUGCAUGUGAGAAAGAGUGUUGCCAAGAAGCUAUGGAGUGCAAGGAUAUCAUGGACUUUCUUGCUGAUGUUGGGUUGUCAUAACUCUAUGACUAUUUGUUAUGUGCACUUUGACUGCCUACAAUUAGGGGUGAGAAUAGGUCAGACCGUUCGUAGGGGCCUAUGGCCUAGCCUACCAUAGGCCCAGGCCAGGCCGGGCCAAAUUGUUGAAUAGGCAAGGCUUAGGCUUUUUGAAAAGCCUAUUUAAAAAGGUCAGGCUCAGGUCAUUCAACAAGCCUUGUAAGCCUUACAGGCUAGCCUAUUUAAGUAAAUAUGAUUAGUAUUUUUUUGGUAAAUUGUAAAUAUGAUAAGUAUAAAUAUAUUUUACUCUUGAUGAUGUCUAUAUAUUAGAAAUUUAAAAUAAUAUCUUGAUAUUAUAUACUUAUUGAGAUUCUUAUAUAUUUAAGCAAAUUGACUUAUAUAACGAUUCAAAGAUAUAAGUCUUUUUAAAAAUAAAUAUAUGACGUAUUUAAAUAUCUUAAUAUGACGUGUGAUUUUAAAUUGGCUCUCCAACUCUAAGAAACCAACAUAAUCUCCUUUAGUUUCAUCACUACCUAUUAGCUAAUAAUAUUAUAAGUUUGAUUGUUGAAAAAAUUAUUUUAGUAUAAUUUAAUCCGUUAGCCUAUAAGUUUGAUAGCUUCUUUACAGAUAAAUUUGUUAACAAACGUAAAACUUUUGUUGUGAAACGGGUCUUUAAACAGGCUACCAGGCCAAGCCAGGCUUUCGGAAGGCUCAAGCCAGACUCGAAAAAAAGCCCUUGAUAGGUCAUAGGCCAGGCUUAUGCCUUAAAAUUUUUAAACAGGCCAGGCCUAUUUAAGCAAAGUCUACCUAGGCCCAGCCUAUUCCCACCCCUACCUACAAUGGACAUCUUUGGUAAGCAUUUGUGGAUUUAGUCUCAACAUGUUUCCUGGUUUCAUCUAGCUACCUUUGCCAAAUUGUGCUAAUAAGGGGCAGUAAUAGUAUGUGUAGUUUCUGCUGCUGUGUUUGUGGUUUUGGUAGCAUCUUGCUACUGUGAAGAGGUUAGCUGGUUAGUUGUGGUUGUUUUCGAGCAGCAUCUUGCUGCUUAUGAUGUGUUAAGUGUGUGAUAUGUUGUGCUGAACUCUGAUCUAGUUGUUACUGCAUUUGGAUGAGUAUCUGCAGUAUGGUUGAGAGAUUGGUUUUGUACAUAGCUGCUGAAAAUAGCUAUGUUAAACGUGUUCGUUUGUGUAAGCUACCUUGAUAAAUUUUAUUUGCUCUGAUCUGAUAUUUCAAGCUGCAAGUUUUUCUGAAGAGCUUUAUGGUAAUGGAUUGUAUUAGCUAAAAUUUGACAAAGGGGGAGAUUGUUGUUGCUUUGUUAUGAUUGUCUACAUUUUAGCUAAUGUAUGCUGUGUGCCAACAUGUCGGACAUGAUGUAGAGGAUUGCAUUAGCUAAAAUUUGACAAAGGGGGAGAUUGUUGUUCCUUUGUUAUGAUUGUCUACAUUUUAGCUAAUGUAUGUUGUGUGCCAACAUGUCGGACACGAUGUUGUAACAUCUUGACUAUGACAUGUGUCCCUGCGGAUCUUAUAUGAGUUGGCUAAGUUAUCUGUGAAGCUUUGUUUUGAUUACAUGGUAAUCAAGUUAGGGUUUUGUUGGAAGCUUAUGUGCGCCGUUCAAGGAAUAUAUCAAGUGUGAUCAAAUCAGUUUUAGGGAUUUGACAUGAGAUAUUUAUGGAAGUUUUCAUCUGCAACUGAAACGCAUCUUUGAAGAUUUUCUGCAGAUUUGUUUCAUUAAUAACUUCAUGUUUUGUGUGAACUCUUUGCUGGCCCAAACUCAUCAAAGACAAGGCUUAGACAACUGCUACUUAAGAAGACCUAGACCUAGUUGCUAGGCGGUGCUUCUUGUUGAGAAAAUUAGGGUUUACUCUUGUUUUGUUCAAACUUGGUGUUCUCUCAGCAGCUCUAUGUUUUUACUGUAAGCUGAGAGUUGUUGUGUUAGUUGUUUGAUCUUGAGAUCGUCUUUACUCUUGUUGUAAGAGAUUAAUCACUGUGGCAGUGAUUGUGAGAGAGGGUUCUCAUACUUAGGGGGAGACCUAAGUAAUAAACCACAUGUAGGAAUGAUGACCCGGGUUUAUAUGAUGUUUUUAUGGUUUUUCCUUGUAGGUUUUGAGUCUUUUUCUUGUGUCUCAUGUAGUGUUUCAUGCAUUCUCAUGCAUUUUUACUUUUAUUUGUGCAUUUGCAUUAGUUUAGUAAUUAUGUAGUUUUAUAAGGACUUUAGUUGCAUUUUAGUAUAGUUUUGAGUCUUUUGUUAAUUGUCAUUAGUUUUUGAGUCCCUUGUGCAAUUAAAUGGUUGGUAUUCUUGAUGUUUUUCCUUGAGCUUUGAUGAGAGUAAUCAGGUCCGAAACUGAAGAAGAAGGAAGGUCAAGAAGCUUGGUGAAUUGAAGGGAAGCUUAAAGAGGCAUAAAGAGGAGUUAAAAUGAAGAUCAAGGGACUUUCCAGCGAGUCUGAGCGCCUAGGCAUGCUCCAUUGGCGCCUAGGCGCCAAUUGCCCUGUUCCAGAAAUUGGAAUUGGCGCCUAGGCACUCUGAAUUGGCGCUCAGGCGCUUUGAAUUGGCGCCUGAGCGCCCGGAACAGCCCAAACUCGUGAUUUUUGCCUAUAAAUAGGAUUUUAGUCAUUUUCUUUUGGGGAGUUGGAUAUCUUUUCAUACUUUGUAAAAUUCAGAGGUAGAGGAUCAUCUAGGAUAGUGAGAGAAGGCUUCCAAGCUUGUGUUCAAGGUUCUUAGCCAAGCAUGGCUCUUGCCAUGCUUCGCUAAUCUCUCUUCUUUUACUUUGGUUUUCUUGUAAGACUUUUCCUUUUAAGUUAUAAUCUUAAGUUCUUUCCCACAUGUUCUUCUUCUUUCCUUGAAUCCCAUAUCCAUGCUUUAUGUUUCAAGUUAGAACAUGUGCUAGCUUUAUGCUUUUGUAUAAUAGAACGGAAGUUUGUUAUAGAUUAGGGACUUGUUAUGGGAUUACCUCUUCUAUACUUGCUACUAGGAAUAGAGGAAGGGUUGGGGUUUGUUGGCCUGAACUUUAUAAUCUUUAUGCUUCAAACAAAUGUUUAAGUACACAAGGAAUUGGGCUUAUCUUUUGGUUUGAAUGAAUUAUCUAUGCGAGGCAUCGAUAGGUAGUUGCUUAGGCUAUAACAUCAAGGAGAGAUUCAUGAGAACAUGUGCUUAGAAUGAUGUGCUUGAAUUGAUUAGUUAAGCAAGAACCCAAAGUAAAUCACUCUUUCUUUUCAUUCUCUAUUUCAUUUCUGAAUUUAUAUUUUCUUUUUCCUUAUUACUACUUCGUCAUAUGUUUGCCUCAAUAAAACAAACCUUCAAACUCAAAGCUUGAACCGAAUCUAUUCACUCACAAUCCCUGUGGUUCGAUAUUUAAAACCGGGUGAACUUUAUAAUCUUUAUGCUUCAAACAAAUGUUUAAGUACACAAGGAAUUGGGCUUAUCUUUUGGUUUGAAUGAAUUAUCUAUGCGAGACAUCGAUAGGUAGUUGCUUAGGCUAUAACAUCAAGGAGAGAUUCAUGAGAACAUGUGCUUAGAAUGAUGUGCUUGAAUUGAUUAGUUGAGAAAGAACCCAAAGUAAAUCACUCUUUCUUUUCAUUCUCUGUUUCAUUUCUGAAUUUAUAUUUUCUUUUUCCUUAUUACUACUCCGUCAUAUGUUUGCCUCAAUAAAACAAACCUUCAAACUCAAAGCUUGAACCGAAUCUAUUCACUCACAAUCCCUGUGGUUCGAUAUUUAAAACCGGGUGGAUUCGUACACUUGCGGAUUUACCAACAAGGAAUAAGUAGGAAAGGCUGUGAACAGGGGCUGUUCAAUUUAGACCUUUUGUGUACUUGAUUCUCUAUAAUAAUGAAUUAUCUUUCUUGGGCUGAAGCCCUCCAGAUGUAGGUGAUGUUGCACCAAACUGGGUUAACAAUUCUCUGUGUUCUUUAUUGUUUUUUGUUGAUCUAAUACUAUGUUUCACUUCUGUUGUUAUCUGCUGUACGUUGUGCCAUAUGUCCUAGACAUUUGGUUCGACAUCUUUCCUGUGUGUGAACCAGAAUUUCAACCUAGUUUAUUAUAUUAAUUAAAUAAUAUUAAGUAAUAUUUUAUGUGAAUCAUGUGUGAUAUAUGGUGCAGUUAUUACCAGAGAUGCCUUAGCACGGUAAAUUGUUUGACAUAGGUGACAUUAGACACUAGUAAUAUCUGAACAAGAUGUACACCAUAUUACGACUGCUUUGACUGUAAUACUGAUAAUAUAAUAUUACAGUGACUUUUAGGGCAUAAAAUGUCUCAACUGUGUCGAUGAGUUAGUAGGUUCCGACGAUGUGGAAGAUUUUGUGGACCACACCAUGUGCCAUGAGUGGGGUGUGAAAAUAGAGGAUAUUCCAUGGGGAAUAUCCCAUUUUUCCUUUGGGAGAAUUUAUUUGAAUAAAAUGGAUAUUAUUUAAAUGGUAAAAGUUAUUUAAUUAUUUUUAUUCAAAGUUCUAUUACAUAAAUGUAUUGAAAAAAUAUUUUUGGGUAUUGAUGAAAGCCUUGGUCCAAUGUUUUGGGGGGAAAGGAAGAAAAAUUCUCAAAUUUAAAUUUAAAUAUUAAUUCUUGCAUUAAGUGUUAAUUAGGAGGCGAUUCGAGGGAAUGUUCAUUGACUUUCAUUAUGAAGGGUGCCACAAUUUGAAUGUGAAGAUUUUUCAAGGACCUUUUUGAAAGGAAAAUAAUUUUCUUUAAGUCACGAGGGCUGAUUUAAAGUCUUAAGGAGUUAAGGUUUUAAUUGGAUUUUUAAAAUAGAAUUAAAACACAAAGUCAAACCAAGUUUUGGGACCAAAUCAAGAGAAGGACUUUUUUGUGAAAACCCUAGGUUGAGCUUGGUGUAGUCGCGUUGCUUGUCGUUGAUUUCAAUCUUGGCGUUCUACGUUGUCCUUUAUCAGGGGGACUUGUUCUUGACACCUUGUUCAUUCAAUAAAUCUUUUGCUUUCGAAAAAAAUGCAGCAUGUACAAUUCAUACUUUAUUAUUCGCUCCACUAUUUUUUUUUGUCUUUGAUGAAUGUCUCCACCCAUUCGAGAAACUAUAGUUGUAUAUUCCCCCUUCCUUAUAUAGAGUUUUGGUAUUUGAUUGUGCAAGUCUUAUCGCACAAUGUGAAUUUUAUCACCAAAACAUUGGACACGUAUUUGGCUUAAUAGCAUUUUUUGUCCCUCACAUAUCACGAUUUGACAGUUUUAGUCAAUUAAGGUAUAUUAUAGUAAUUAUUUUAUCUCUUAGUAUUUUAAAUAAAUAUUCUAAAUAUUAUUUUAAUCAGAAUUACCAAAAUUAUAGUUCAGAAACUCUAAGGGGACUAAAAUGUAAAAAAAAUCUUUGAGGACUUAACUAUAAAACCUUCACUAUUCACGUUCACAUCAUCAUUAUAAUACUCUACGAAUUCAGGAGGUGGUGCUAUGCUUGCAUGAAUUUUUGAAGUAGAAAAUCAUACACUAAAAAUACACGUUUUUUAAUAACACUUUUGGUCUCUCAUUUAUCACGAUUUGACAGUUUUGGUCCCUUAUAAAAUUUAUUAGCCUACAACAUCCCUCACAUUUACUAAAUGUUACAGUUUUCAUUUUUCGUCAACUUUCAUCCAAUAUAUAAUGUUUUUUAAUUUAAAAAUCAAUUAAAAACAAGGCUUGAAGAACACUUUAAUCUUCUAUGUCUUCUAUGAUUAACAAUUUUAUGGUUUAUGGUUUUUUUAAGUGAUUUUUUGAUGAAAAACCGUUAAAUAUUGAAUGGAAGUUGGCAGAAAAUCAAAACUGCAAUAAUUAGUAAACGUGAGAGGAACGUUGUAGACUAAAAAAUUUAUGAGGAACAAAAACUCUCAAAUCGUUAUAAGUGAGGACAAAAAAUGCUAUUAAAGAAACGUAUUUUUAGUGUAUGAUUUUCUACUGGAAAACUUCAUGCAAGCACAGCACCACCUCCUGAAUUCUUAGAGGAAUAUUAUAAUGAUGAUGUGAACGUGAAUAGUGAAGGUUUUGAAGGCUUUAUGUUUAAGUCCUCAAAGAUUCUUUUCAAUUUUAGUCCCUUAGAGUUUCUGAACUAUAAUUUUGGUAAUUCUGAUUAAAAUAAUAUUUAUAAUAUUUAUUUAAAAUACUAAGAGAUAAUUUGAUUUUGUAAAUAAUUACUAUAAUAUAUCUUAAACUGAUACAUGUAUAUACACAUACCCAUAUAUAUAAUCUAUUUACAUUACAUUAAGCUAACAGGUUGUCAGUGGGAUGUUACAAAAUCGAUAUUGGUUCACUAUGAUUGUUAUGUUUUGUUGCUCCCAAAGUUAUUAUGUUUAAUUCUAGGGGUUGUCUAAAUGACUCAUGUGUGUUACUAAUUUAACAAUCAAUAGACCAAUAUGAUUUUUUAUAACUAAAUUAAUAAAUAAAAUAUAGAAAUUUCAACUCAUUUAUCUUCAAUGUAAUUGGGUGAUGAGUUAUUUAACCCAAACUUUCUCAUGGGUCAUUUAGACAACCCCUUAAUUCUAUCUACUAUUUGAUCAGCAUUGUGGUUUAUGUUCACCCAGACAGGAUUCUCCAGGUAGCUUCUGAGGAACAUUGUUUCCCCCCUCAUUCAGUUGGUUUCGAACUAGCCCUAAUGGCACUUGAUUCAUUUGGUUCAAUUGGGGCUGAUCUUUUUGGGGUACCACACUUAUCCUUAAUUUGGUUAGCAUUGUUUUGAAACUCAUUGUUGUAAAGGUUACCCACAUGGUCAUUUGUAACAUUUAAUGCAUUAGCAAUUAUACCCAUCUGCGGACUUGCCUAGUCAGUUACUAAAAAGUAUUAUUUGUGUUCUGAAGCAAUGGGUUAAACACAGUGCCAAUAUGUUGGGCUAACAUAUUGACCAUCUCAUGAUUGCUAACAUCCAUUUGUUGCCUUAAGACCCGUACAAUAACAUUUGUUAAAGAAUUCACUGGAAUAGACAUACCACCCCAGUCACCCCUGGGGGAUAAGAGCCGUUUCGACCCAUGUCGAAGCCAAAACCUGAAACGGAUUCCUAGGGGAACCUAUUAAAACCAAAUUAGCCGAGUAAAUGGAUUAAGGACGUGGGCAUGCCAUAUGGAGGGUCCCUUAUAUGAAUGGUUAACUUAGGUUGAAUGACACUCAUAACUGCUUGUGAGACUACCAGUGUGGUAGCCUGGUAGGACUAGGCAUAGUAACCACGACUGAAACCGAAAUUUCGGCUACACCGAUUGUAGUACCCGCUAGCUCCAUGUUAGCAUUAACCACAUUGCCAUUGUUAUUAACUGCAUUCUCACAAUUAUCGUCAAUUGUCCCUGAUUAACCACAUUUUGGUUAUUGCUCGGGCCAAGAUGGCAUGCGGACAAAUUAUUGUUUCUUGAUUUAGUAUUUUCCAUACAUAUUAACUUCCCACUUCUCAAACGCAUAAAACGUAAUAGAGAAGAACAUAAUUGACAAACUUAUAAAAAUAUUUUCACAAAAGAGUCUCAUGGGUGUGCCAAUUCUCUUACGCUGAUUUUUGGUAAAUAAAUAAGAGAAUCCAAAGAUCAAUCUGGGGACUGAAUUCAAAUCUUCUUGAUAUCUUUGGUAAAAAUAGUAUAAGGGUCAAUUAUAAAUAUAAGAAUAAAAAGUGAUUUAAAAUUGCAAAUAGUGACAAAUUAAGUAAUUUAAAAACAAAUGAAUCAAAAGAUAAAGAAAAUAUUUGGAUAAUCUUCAAAUAAGCAAUAUAAUACAUAAGAGUUUCAAAAGAUUUAUACUUUUUUCCUCCUUAAACUUUUGUUGCCUUCAUUUUCGACUUAAGUAUUUUAGAGUUAAUUAUAGCAAAAUAAUUUGUGAACCCUAAAUAUAACUUGAAAACACCUAAUUAUAGGCUAAAAUCCUAACUACCAUCUGUUUACGGCGGUUUUUGGUAAACAAAUAUCCUCUUAGUUCGACUAAAGGAAGUUUAGAUUCGGGGUCCUUUUGGGAAAACGUCUUGCCAAAGUGUUGUGUGUGAGUUGAUAUUUUUCGACAACAAUGCACGAUUCAAAAGAAAUUGGAUUUCAUUAAACACGGGUCAAUUACAUGAAGAUCAAAGUGCAACAAAGUGAAAAGAAAACUGCAGGGAACGUAAAUUUCGACAAGAAAUUAAGCAACAGGACUAGUAAAAUUAACAAGCGACGCUACAAACUUAAAUGCAAGAAAGAUAAACAUUUGGUUCUGCAACAUACUCCUCCAUCAUCACGUCUUGCUCCUUGAGUCUCAUUGAUGCAGACAUUAGAGCUUUUUAGUGAAUUUUUCAGAGUUGAGCUGGGAACCCUUUUUUCUGACUUGAAUUCUCCCAUUUAUAGAGCAUAUCCUUGGCGGUUUUCUUCUUCUUCUUGGAUGGGUUAGUCGGUCUAAUCCCCUCUUCCCACGAUCUGGAGUUGGUUUUGGAAGUUCCUUGUGCGGUGGUGGAGAUUGUGUGCCUCAACUGCUUCAACCGCUUCUUGGCCACGUAUUCAACCAACGUGGUGAGAAUCCGACUUGGUCAAUGCUGCACAUGUUAAAUGUGCCCCUGUUUGUAGCAGUAGUUCCCAUUGUCGAAUUCGACUGCUCCUUUAACUUGGUGCAUUUUUCCUUUCCCUUCUUUAGUCUAAAUUCGACCACCUUGUGUGCUUUGGGCCGAAUGCGUUUUUUCUUUUCUUUUUUGGGCCAAAAUAUUGGGCCAACACCAUCCAACGGAAAAAUAACUAUAACAAAACAUGUAUUCUUUGACUUGAUUUGAGUUCUACACGCGUCCUUAAAAACUAUAACUUCCAAAACCUUCAUCCCAGUUGCGUCAAAGAAUGAAGUUUUCCGAUUUCAAAUAAUGAUAUUUUCGACCUUGGAUUCAGCAAGAACGCAAUCUUACUUUGUUUUAACUCCAUCUUUAUGUUGCCUCGAGCUCUGAUAAAAAAAACAUGCCUACAACACUGUUUACGAUGAUAUUUGGUAAACAAACAUUCUCCAAUUCGACUGGAAAAAGUUAAAGUUAAGGGUUUUUUUGGGAAAACGUCUUGCCAAAGUGUUGUGUGCAAAGGGUGUGUUUUUCGACUGGAGCAAAGUUGUAAGGGAAAUCAGCGAUUUACAAGAAUUAAAACUUGAAUUGCAUUAAACUUGAGUAAAGUGCAGAGUACAAAAAGAGAAAUUCGAAAAGCAAAGAUUACAUCAAGUAAAGAACUCGAUAGGAAUUCAAACUAAACUUAAACACAAAGCAAAGUGUCAAGGCAUUAAUCAUAAAUCGUUGGUUCUGCAACAUACUCGUUCAUCAUCACGUUAGGCUCUUGAAGUUUCUUUGAUGUGGACAUGUGAGCUUUUUAGUGAGUUUUUAGAGUCCAGUUGGGAACCCUUUUUUCUGAAUGAUCUUCUCCUAUUUAUAGUGCUCUAUUGAUUCACACGUCCUUGGCGAUUUUUUCCUUUGCUGAAUGGGUUAGUGGGCUUGAGAAUCGGUGCUAUGCUCCAUGAUCUCUUGCUUAUUCUGGAAGCUUCUUGCAUCAUGGGGGAAGGCCUCCAUUUCUAACUGCCCACUUGCAUCGUGGGGGAAGGCAUGUGCUCUCAACAGCUCUUAACUGCCCACUCUUUCUGUAACCGUUUUAUGCGUUUAGCUGCAGGUCCCUUUUGUGGCCGAACUCCACAGCUAUGACUCAUUCUGCCAUUUAACUUAGCGUUUUUCAUGGCUGCCUCUUUUAUCAAAUUUCGACUAAAGUCGAUAAACCUUCUUUUGACGAAAUGAUGUCGACGAGCCUUCCCUUGGUGAAACUUUGAGCUAACAAACACUCAACUUAAUCUUCUAAUGUCAAAACCUAAAUAUUCAGUCGAAGCUUCUCUUCCAAUCCAAUUGGAAUUCGACUAAAAUUUCCAGCUUAACAAACAGUUUGUACAUCUGAACAUUAUAACUUAAAUCGGUCACAAUAUGAUUAAAUUGGAUCAAUUGUUCUGAUGCAGGUAAAUCACCACUGAAUUGUCUGUGAAUAUAAAUUAAGUGGUACACUAAUAGAGUUGGGGGUGCAAGAGAAACAUGUACCAGCAACGGGUCAAAGUUAGCCUCAAACAUGUACUUCCGUGUCUUAAAAAUUUCCAUCAGGAAGCUUCCCUUCCUCACAUUCAUUCUCAUCUUCUGAUAAAAAGCUUCAGCAUCCACAUUAUACUUCGUUGUGUUCAUGAACACCAUCACCUACGUUAACUUAAGAGUGCCACGUGACUCAUAAUUCACCUCAUAGUUUUAUGGUUGCAAAGGAUUCACUUCAUUUGAGGUGAAUUCUAAAAUCAAGCUUUAUCACAUGGCCAAAAGUAUCACAUUUUGGUAAAUAUUUUCCUACUAAAAUAUUUUUCAAUAUUUAAGAAAAACCAGAAGAAAAAAAGUGUGAAAAUUGAAAAAACGUGAUUCCUUUCCCUCAGCGUGGCAUAUUUUUUUUUGCUAUAUCGGAAAAUUGACAACAAAAACGAAAAAACUAAGCUACAAAAAGGGAGUCCCUAAGAAGGAUGAGUUGCAGCUCCUGCUCCAGCUGGUGAAUAGCCUGAGUGCUCGGAGAGGAGAGAUUAUAACCCUGCUUAGAAAGCCAGUCUGCAGCAGAAUUACCAUCUCUAUGUAUCCAACUAAUACUCACACGCCAGUUACGCGCCAUGAGCUGCAUGAUUUCUUUGAGGAUUGCAACUUGAGGAUGAUGGUGCACACGCUCCAAGUGCCCUUCUUCCAAUAAGAUUACCAGAUUGUCACAGUCAAUGUCACAUGAGAUGUUCCUAUGCCCUGAAUUCCAAGCCAUGAGAAGACCCUCCUUCAACCCUAAUGCCUCUGCCACAAAAGGAUCUCCACCAUGAGCCAGUGACGUAAAUCCUGCAAUCCAGCAUCCAGCCUUAUCACGAAGAAUACCGCCACCACCCAUGCAAUUUUUCGGUUCUCGAAAGCUUCCAUCGGUAUUAAGCUUGACAAAAUUCUCCUGAGGUGGCCUCCAUACAUUUUUUCUAAGACCCGCACCAAUACAUAUCAGAUCUGGUUGCAACGCAUGCAGAAAAUCAUCAUGGUCCCGAACCAGAUUACUCCAAGCAACAUGGAGGGGCCAAGGACUAUCGCCAAGCACCAUAUUAUUUCUCCACUUCCAAACACCCCAUAAGCCAGCCACGAAUUUAGUUGCGUUUGUACCUCUAGCUUGGAAAGAAAUCCAAACUGGCAGCUCCAGGGAAGAAAAGUUUGGCCAAGACCACGCUCCUAACUUCGCCCAAAGCUCCCUAGAAUGGGGACAGUCUCGCAAGCAAUGCAAACAAUCCUCUCUGGCUGAGGAGCAUCUAGAACAGCUCUCAGAAUGCGUCAGAUGGCAUUUGAAACGAUUUGAAUUUACCGGUAAGGCCUGGUGUAGAGUCAGCCAGAGAAAAACCUUUACUUUCUCUGGAACUUUAAUUUUCCAGAUCCAGCCCCAAUCUGCUGCAGGAAUUGAGGGCUGAUUGGUAUCUCUAAGCCAAGUAUAGCCCUCCUUCGAUGAGUAGUAGUCUGGGUUCCCAGGAUCCCAACACCAGCGGUCCUCUUCGUCUUGAAUACACUUUGGCAGCACCUUGUUGAAAAGCGCCAAAACCUGCUCAGACAUCAUGGUGCUGCAACGCUGAAGAGUCCAUUCUCCAUUCACCACGAGAUCCAACAGGCGCAUAGCCGAAUCAGAAAUGUGAACAAAAGGAACUUGGAGAGCAAGAGGGCCUUCUCCAGACCAGUCCUUGAACCACACCGAAGUGUUACCAUUGCCCAGCCGAAACCGAUAACCACCCUUUAGUUUGUCACGCGCCUUGAGGAUCCCUUUCCAAACUGGUGAUGCGUUAAGUCUCACCUUUUCCUCUAGAAUUGAUCUGCCCUGUAAGUAACGAUGCUCCAGAACUCGAAAACAAAGUUUAUUAGAGUUCUGAGCCAGAGCUCAUACUACUUUUCCCAUGAACGACGUGUUAAAAUCUCCCAUCUCUUUAAGUCCCAGGCCUCCAUCUUUUCUAGGCAGAGUCACGGUAUCCCACUUAAUGAGGUGCCAUCCUCGUUGCCCACUGUUUUUUGACCAGAUGAAGCUCCUCAUUAUUUGAUUAAUUCUAUGGAUUAUACUCCUUGGCAGCCAGAAGACCUGCAUGACAUAAGUUGGUAUCGUUGCAAUGACUGAUCUCGCUAGACAAGCUCUCCCAGCAACAUUUAAGAGGUUGGUUUUCCAAGACUCAAGUUUACGUUGGAUGUUUUCAAGCAGGAAAUUAAACUUGCUUCUCGACGCUCUACCACUACUCAACGUAAAACCGAGAUAGGUUCCAAGAUCACGCACAAAAGGAAUUGGGGCAAUGGCUCGUAUCUCUUCACACACUUCAGGUCGCACUCCAAGGGAGGUAAUAGCUUUUGACUUGUUGAUAUUCACCUUCAUGCCAGAACUCAAUUAGAAGGCUUGCAGCGUAUCUGCUACUAAUUGAACCUGCUCAGUGGAGGCUUUGCAGAAGAGGAGGACAUCGUCUGCAAAAAAUAAAUGAGAGAUAGGGGGUCCUUGGGGGGACACCUGAAUGGAUUUCCAAAGACUUGUACUCACCAAAUGAUCAAUCCUAACAGAUAGCCUCUCCAUACAAAGAACAAAAUGAUAAGGGGACAUAGGAUCACCUUGGCGCAGCCCACGCCCAGGGUGAAAGGAAGGAAGCCGAGAGCCAUUCCAUAAUAUGGACAAGGUGGACGCUGACACACAUCUCAUGAUUAGAUUAAUCAAACCAUUAGGAAAUCCAAACCAGUGAAGAAUGUCUUCAAGGAAAGACCAAGAGACACUAUCAUAUGCCGUCUCUAAGUCGAUUUUGAACGCCAAACUCCCGUUUCUUGCUCUAGAUGAAUUCAUAUAAUGAAUUAUUUCCUGGGCCAAGAAUGCAUUAUCCAUGGUACCUCUGCCAGGUAUGAAACUGUUUUCCAUGGGACCAAUAAGCUUGUUCAAGAAAGGACGAAUUCUAGCCACAAUAAACUUUGUGAUCAAUUUAUAGGUAACAUUACAAAGGCUUAUUGGGCGAAACUCUUUAAUUGACGUGGGAUUGUCCACUUUCGGGAUUAGAACAAUGAGAGUUUCCAAUAGCUUCUCAUCCACUGUGCUAGAAUCAAACGCAUUACAGACCACUCCAUACACAUCAUCUCCCACAAUUUCCCAAUAUUUUUUGAAAAAGAAGGGCUGGAACCCAUCCGGUCCUGGCGCUGUAAAAGACUUCAUGGACAUAAGCGCUUUGUAAACUUCCUCCUUGAGAACUGAGAGGGAGAGGGUGUUCCUAUCACUGAUGGAAAGAGAGGGAAAGUUUUCAUGAUUAAACACUACCUCUCCUGGAUCCCCUUGCACGGUAAACAAGGAUUGGAAAUAACUUUGGACUUCCUCAAUCAGCAUAUUCUUCUCCGUGCACCAAUCGCCAUCUCUCAAUUUCAAUCUAUGUAUCAUAUUGCGUUUCCUUCUAAUUACCGUGUGAGCAUGGAAAUAAGAGGUGUUGCAGUCUCCAAAACGAACCUGAUUGUCCCUCGCCUUCUGAUACCAUAAUAGCUCUUCUUGUUUUAGGAUGGUUCUAUAUUAUGUUUGAAGUGAAUUUCCAAGCCUGGUUAACUCCGAAGAGACCUGCUUGUCUAAUUCACGCUGCACUCCACGAAGGCGACCUUCAACCCAUCGUUUAUGCUGGAAUAUGUUACCAAAUACUUCUUUAUUAAAGACAAUUGAAUCAACCCUGACUUGAUCCAACUUUGACGUAAUACCAUUGUCCACCCGCUGCCAGGCAUGUUCUACUACUGUCUGAUAAUUUUCAUGAUCGACCCAAGAGGCAAUAAAGAGAGGUACCACAGUGUAUUAGCAAGGGACUGUGGUCGGAUGAGAUCCUAUUCAGCGUCUCAACGUAGGCUCCGGGAAAGGCUAUCCUCCAUUCAACAUCCCCCAUGGCUCUAUCAAGGCGUUUAGAAAGAAUAAUCCUAUUGUUUACUUUUCGGAACCACGUAAAAGUUGUGCCCACGAUUCCUAAGUCCACCAUUCGAUAGUCUUCAAGAACUUGGCCAAACCGGGCAGCUCUGGUAGCCAUGAAGUCACCACCCCUAACGUCACUAGGAAGAAGCACUUCAUUCAUGUCGUCGGCGAGCAUCCAAGGCAGCGAAAUACGUUGCCGCAGAUCCAGAAGAUGAUGCCAAAGCACUUCCCUUGUAGCUGGGCUAGGGGACGCGUAAACCGCACUAAAAAUCCAAGACAAAUUGUCCUUCCAAACUUCAAAUGUAAUGGCUUGAGAGUGCAUAUCAACCAACCUGAAGUUUAGGAGAACUUUGGUGUUAUUCAGAACCCAUAUUCCACCACUGAAGCCCCGAGCUUCAGAAAUAAAAGUAGGGGUGAAAUCUAGAGACUCCCAAAAUCUGCGAACUCUGGCAAACUGACAUCUUGUUUCCAUCAGAAUAACUUUUUCUGGUUUUUUAUUCCGAAUAAUGUCCUUGAGAACACGCCUACUAUUCUCAUUCAAGGCUCCCCUCACAUUCCAGGACAAAACUUUUGUUUCUUCAAACCCUAUCAUAAAAAACUAUUAGAUGAAGGGUAACAGACUAUCCCAGGAUAUUAACUUUGGGAUGGAAGAUUGUGAGUAAUUUCUCCCUGGCAACGGUUAGCCAUGAACGUGCCAGUAUGUUGCGAGCAUGCAUCCCUUCCUGUGUCCAGGUUGGUUUCUUGUUGACCCCCCACCUGUAAUGGCCUAUCUCCUGGAUCAAGAGAUUGAUUAGCUACAAAGUGGUCCCCACCUUGCCUAUUUGUUUCCUCAAAGCGAGACCUUUUAUUUCUAUUCCCUUGGACGCUUGGUUCCACACGGCUAGGACUGCCAAAAGUGAACUGGGCCCAAUUGUAGUGGGUUUCACAUUUGCAGUUUUUUCCUCUCUUGAUUUCCUCCCAUUCUUUCCUGGGCACUGAUUUUUCAAUCAUUGGCCCAUUAGACACUGGGCGUUGACCAUUCCCUUUCUGCCCCUGAUCUCUUGGAGUUGAUUUCUUUUUCUUCUUGGAUAAUGUGAUCCAAUCCCCCAAGAUUUCAAAAUUAUCUGCCAGCUUUAAUUGCACGUUUUUCGUGCCACCAAUGAUCACUCCGUUCCCCUGAACAUUCCCCUGACUCUCUCCACUAAUUUCGCCAGUAUCCAUUGAUUCAGUUCUUUCUAUUUCCGGUGCACCCGUUUGAUGUGCCCUAGCCUCCUACGCCGCCACUGCAUUAGGGUUCAGUGUUGCGCCGCCAGAAACUUCUGAUGCUGACACAGGCUGUUGUGCUCCUGUCUCCACCGGUGGUGGCUCAACACAUUCUCUGCUCCGAUGUCCAUAGAACCCACAUUUGGUGCAUAUAACAUGCAGACCCUCGUAUUCAAUAUUGUACCAAUAAUCCUCAAUACACACCUUCCCCACCACCGGGAGUGUUAGAUCCAGUUCCACACAUAUCCUCGCAAAUCUUCCCCUGUCAGCUUUCAGCAUAUUCCAAUCCACCUUAAUAGGCUUACCAAUUGCUCGUGCUAUCGAAAGCAGGUAGCUUUCAUCAUAGAAAACCACAUUCAACCCUGGAAUUCUGAUCCAUGCUAGAGCAUUCGUCACCUUUGCUGCUGGAGAGAUAAAUUUUGGACUCCGUGUUGAGACUGCUAAAUAAUGGUCAAAGACCAUCCAAGGGCCCCCAUUAAUUACCUUAUCCUUGUCUUCCUUAAUAUCAAACUUUACCAUGUAAAAUCCAUUGCCUACAUCAAUCAUAUCAAAAUCUCCAACAAGCCUCCAUAGAGUACCCAACUUUUGUUUCAUGGUGCGGUAUCCCAGUGUUUUCCCCAAGAGACUCACCACCAAAGCUUCUUUCCAUCGUGCACUCAUCUCCUCAACAACUGAGGCCUCUGUUACUAUUUUAGGUAGCAACCUAUUACCAUUUACCAACUGAAUCUUCAUUCGCCCUUGAUCCACUAAGUCUCUCACCUCCUUAGGGCCAUAUGCCUUGGCGCCACCCAUUAGUUUAUCACGGAACGAGGACCGGCCCGAAGUUUUUCCGGCAUCCGGCGGCGUAGAGUCAUCAACCUCCAUCAUAGCGAGCGUACCCUAGCAGAGCGAGCACAAAAUAUCCUUCAGCGUGGCAUAUUAAUAUAGUAGUCACUAUUUAAUCACUUUGUCUGCCAUGAAUAAAAAAAAGGCAUAUUUCUUUAAUUAAUUUAAAAGAUCUUAUCAACACUAAAUAUGAGUUUUACUUUCAAUUUAGGUUAACUCACAUAAAUUUCAACCAUGAGAAAAUGUUGAAAAUAAAGUGAUGAAGUGAUGGAGUGUUACUAGCACUCCGCAAUUAAUUUUAGUAUAUUAUAAGGACUAUAUUGUAAAUACAAUAUAUUAAAUUUUAUUACUAAACACAUGAUUCAUUAGUGAAAUUAGUGAAAUGCUCCCUCUGAUCCUAUAUUCAAUUGAGAGAAGAAACAUACAAAACGAAUGCAAUUAAUUUUAUUGAUUUUUAAGGAGUUUACAAUGAAUCACAUAUCAGUUAUGAUAAGUUGAUAACAACUAAAGCUUUUUUUUUAAAAAGCCAAAAUGAAUUCAUAAGAAGUACAAGAAAUGUUCAACCCUGUUGUUCCUUUGUUGUCAUCAAUUUUGUUAAAAACAACCUGAUGUCCUAGCCGAUGUUGUGACAUUUGCCUUGAUGAAGGCCAGGACAUCCGCCCCUGCUGGCAUGCAAGUGGGUCCCUUGUGGUUAUGCUUUAUGGUAUGAUCUGUGCUUACUUGAAGGUCAAGUAACUGUGUGUUGGGAGCCAGUUGCGGGUUGUUUUUGUUGAAGCAAAUCUGUGAUUAAAAAGAUUUGUUUCUAUUUUUACUUGUUGAUCACUCAUAUCAGAUCUUGAAAGAUUCUCUACUGAUAUGAGUUGGAUCAAAGUGUUCUUCAGCCCAAAUAAACCCUAGCCGCCUCUGCUGAAGUAUAUAUUGACAAAGACCUGAAGCUUGAAGUUGAUGGAGAGAAUCACCUUGAAGUUCAAGUGUUCUUAAGAGUGUAAGUUGUUCUUUGUCUUUGUUAGUUGUGAACUCGUCUUGCUCACUGAUUCUAUAAAGUGAGACUGAGUUCUGUGUUGUGUUUGAGUGUCAAACAAACUCUGUGUUAUUGUUGUUCACCAAUCACUGUGGCAGUGAUUGAGGAAAAGUGAGAGGGGCUCUCAUACUUAGGCUGUGGUUCUAAGUAGAAUACCACUGGGUAGAUUAGGUUAAGAACAAUGAACUUGAUGUGUUCAUGUGUGUCUGUAAUACCUAGUUCUUGAGAUAGUGGAAUUCCUUUUCAUUGGGCGAAAGCUAACCAGACGUAGGUGUAGUUUCACCGAACUGGGUUAACAACUUCCUGUGUCUUGUUUCCUUUUAAUUGUUUGUUGUUUUGUGUUCAGGUCUUUCAGUCGUAUGAUGUUCUAAUCGAUUGUCCCAGCAUCGUGCAGGACAUUUGUUCUAAGGGAUCUAGAAUUUCAAUUGGUAUCAGAGCAGGCACCCCUGUUCUGUGUGGGUGAGCUCCAGGGAGAUAUUUUCUUGAUCUCAUGGACAAUAAGGAGGGAGGAUCGAUCAACAGGCCAUCAAUCCUGGAUGGCUCCAAUUAUGAUUACUGGAAGGUUCGAAUGAUAGCCUUUCUCAAGUCUAUUGAUAUCAAAACUUGGAAGGCUGUUGUCAAAGGCUGGAAGCAUCCUGUCAAAGCUCAAGCAGAAGGAAGUACAUCUACUCCUGAAGAAAAACCUGAGGAUGAAUGGACAAGUGCUGAAGAAGAAGCUUCUCUGGCAAACUCAAAAGCAAUGAAUGCUAUCUUCAAUGCUGUGGACAAAAACAUGUUUAGAUUGAUUAAUACUUGCACUGUUGCCAAAGAUGCUUGGGAGAUUUUGAAAACAGCACAUGAAGGUACAACCAGGGUGAGGAUGUCUAGACUCCAGAUGCUUACUACUCGUUUUGAGAACUUGACAAUGACAGAAGAUGAGACUAUUUCUGAAUAUCACAUGCGUGUGCGUGAUCUGUCAAAUGCUUCAUUUGCUCUGGGAGAACCUAUGUCAGAUGAAAAGCUUGUGAGGAAAAUCUUGAGGUCUGUAACCAGCAAGUUUGCAAUGAAGGUCACUGCUAUUGAAGAAGCUCAAGAUAUCAGCAGUUUGAAAGUGGAUGAGCUGAUUGGUUCUCUGCAGACUUAUGAGUUAAAGUUGGGUGAAAAACCUGAAAAGAAGACCAAAAGCAUUGCUUUUGUAUCCAACACCACUGAAGGAGAUGAUGCUGAUAGUGAAAGUGAGAAUCUAUCUGAAGCUCUGGCCCUUCUUUCUAGAAAAUUCAACAGAGCUCUAAGGAAGAUAGACAAAAGGACUAGGCCAAAUGUCCAGGACAUUAAGUCAGACAACUAUAAAUCCUACAAUUCCCAGCGAAAGGUCAAAGAAGAGGACAAAUCAGGCCAAAACAAGGGUGUUCAGUGUCAUGAAUGUGAGGGUUAUGGUCACAUUAGAUCUGAGUGUGCAACCUACUUGAAGAAACAGAAGAAAGGCAUGGUAGUGACAUGGUCAGAUGAAGAUACUGAGGAUGAGGAAGAAUUAUCUGCCAACAAGGUUAAUGCUUUCUCAGGGGUUGUCAAUGACUCAGAUUCCAGUGGUGAUGAAAUGACAUUUGAGGAUUUGGAAGAGACUUACAAACUCCUACAUGUUAAAUGGAAGGAAACUUGCAAACAUCUGAAGGAGCAAGAAGAUGAGAUGAAACAAGUUAAGACUGAAAAUGAAAACCUAAGGGAGACCAUUGAUAAACUGCAAGAUGAUUUGGAUAAAUGGAACUCAAAAUUAAAGGAUGUUGAAACUGUUGAAAAAGCCAAGCUUCUGUUAACCAUAGCUGAUCUUCAAGAGAAAGUAGCUACAUUGACAGCCAAACUGGAAAAUACCUACAAGUCAGUGCGUAUGCUGAACAGUGGAUCUAAUAUGCUUGAAGAGAUUCUGGAAGAAACAAGCAAGCAAGGAAAGAGUGUUAAAGGCAUUGGUUUCAGUUACCAGUCUGGGAGUAGAGGAAAUCAGAAAGCAUCAAGGAAGUUUGUAAGAGCUAAAGAAAACUCUGAGUUUAAAAACCCAGAGAACUAUCAGAGGUCAAGCCCGAUGUCACAACAUAUGCCUCCACAUCCUACUACUCAGAAGGCUACUGCUCAAAUUCCAUGGAGAUGUCAUUAUUGUGGUAGGUUUGGUCACAUUAAGCCCUACUGCUUCAAGCUAUACGGAUAUCCUCAGAUCCAGAAGGUUCUCAAGACAUCUAAGAGAGCUUGGGUACCCAAAGGAGAAGUUUCAUGUCUUAUAACACACACAUCUUUUAGAGUCUCAUCAAGUGAAGACUGGUAUUUUGAUAGUGGCUGCUCAAAACACAUGACUGGGAAUAAGGAGUAUCUGGAAAAUCUCAAGGAAUACUCCAGUAAAUCAGUCACCUUUGGAGAUGGUGCUAAAGGAAAAAUCAAAGGCAUUGGGAAGUUGGUAAACUCUGGAUCUCCUAGUCUGAACAACGUUCUUCUUGUCAAGGGGUUGGCAGCAAAUCUAAUCAGUAUAAGUCAGUUGUGUGAUCAAGAUCUGGAUGUGAAGUUUAGCAAGACUGAAUGCAUGGUUACCACUAGUGAUCAAGAGAUUGUGAUGAGAGGUGUCAGGUCCAAAGACAAUUGCUACAUGUGGAUUCCACAAAAGAAAGCCCAAGUGUCUAGAUGUUUGAUAUCAAAAGUGGAUGAGUUGAAUCUAUGACACCAACGUUUAGGUCACAUCAAUCUCAAGAGUAUGCAGAAAGUUAUCUCUAAAGAUGCUGUACGAGGGCUACCAAAACUGAAAAUAGAUGAAGAAAAGAUAUGUGGAGAAUGCAAGAUUGGAAAGCUGACCAAAACAUCUCAUGCGAAGCUUCAGCAUCCAACUACAACAAAAGUCCUUGAACUUCUUCACAUGGACUUGAUGGGACCCAUGCAGGUAGAAAGUCUAGGAGGUAAGAAAUAUGUUUAUGUCUGUGUUGAUGAUUAUUCCAGGUUCACUUGGAUUGACUUCAUGAAGGAAAAAUCAGAAACCUUUGACAUAUUCAGAAGGCUAUGUCUGAAACUUCAAACUGAGAAGAAUUGCUCUAUAGUAAGAAUCAGAAGUGAUCAUGGAAGAGAGUUUGAGAACUCCAAAUUCUCUGACUUCUGUGAUUCAGAAGGAAUAAGCCAUGAAUUCUCAGCUCCAAUUACACCUCAGCAGAAUGGAAUUGUUGAAAGGAAAAACAGGACUCUUCAAGAAUCCACCAGGGUUAUGCUUCAUGCAAGGAAGAUUUCCAACAAGUUCUGGGCAGAAGCCAUGAACACAGCCUGUUACAUUCACAAUAGAGUAACCAUUAGAGCUGGAACCACAGUCACUCUAUAUGAACUCUGGAAAGGAAGGAAGCCAACUGUGAAACACUUUCAUAUUUUUGGGAGUAAAUGUUAUAUUCUGGCUGAUCGUGAACAAAGAAGAAAGCUAGAUCCUAAGAGUGAUGAAGGAAUUUUCAUGGGAUACUCUACAAACAGCAAAGCUUACAGAGUGUACAAUUCUCGAACAAAGGUAAUGAUGGAAUCUGUAAAUGUCUCUAUUGAUGAUCAACCAAAUGAAAGAGAAGACACUGGUGCAACUGAAGAUGAUGAUGGUCCACAUGUCACAGCCGAUGUCCCAACUAUUGACCUCGACAUUGAAUCAGAAACCAGUUCUGAUGAGCAAGAUCACCAGAUGACCUCUGCAAAUAAAGCUCCAUCGAUCAGAAUUCAAAAGAAUCAUCCUCAAGAGAACAUCAUUGGUGACCUUAAAGAAGGAGUUACUACCAGGGCUAGAAGCUACAUUGCUCAUGAUUUUUUUAUAUCCAAGUUAGAACCCAAGAAUGUCAAGGAGGCUCUGACGGAUGAAUACUGGAUAAAAGCUAUGCAAGAAGAACUUGAUCAAUUCAGAAGAAAUGAAGUAUGGGAUCUCAUUCCUAGGCCUGAGGGAGUAAACAUCAUAGGAACCAAGUGGAUUUUCAAGAACAAGUCAGAUGAGAAUGGUGUAGUAACUAGAAACAAAGCAAGACUGGUGGCUCAAGGAUAUACUCAGAUUGAAGGAGUAGACUUUGAUGAAACCUUUGCUCCAGUGGCCAGGUUGGAAUCCAUAAGACUUUUGCUUGGUGUUGCUUGUCUUUUGAAGUUCAGAUUAUUCCAAAUGGAUGUCAAAAGUGCUUUUCUAAAUGGUUAUCUGAAUGAGGAAGUUUAUGUUGAACAGCCAAAGGGAUUCACAGACCCACAUCAUCCUGAACAUGUCUACAAACUCAAGAAAGCCUUGUAUGGAUUAAAACAGGCUCCUAGAGCUUGGUAUGAACGUCUUACAGAGUUUCUGGUGAGCAAUGGUUAUUGCAAGGGAGGAAUAGACAAGACAUUAUUUGUGAAAAAUGAAAGAGGAAAACUCAUGAUUGCACAGAUAUAUGUUGAUGAUAUUGUAUUUGGUGGGAUGUCGAACACAAUGGUGGAACAUUUUGUCCAACAAAUGAAGUCAGAGUUUGAGAUGAGCUUAGUUGGUGAAUUGAACUACUUUCUGGGACUUCAGAUCAAACAAAUGGAAGACUCCAUGUUUAUUUCCCAGAGUAAGUAUGCUAGGGGCAUUGUCAAGAAGUUUGGACUUGAAAAAUCUGGACAUAAAAGGACUCCUGCUGCUACACAUAUCAAGCUGUCUAAAGACAAUCAGGGAGGGGAUGUUGAUCAAAGCUUAUAUAGAAGCAUGAUUGGAAGUUUGCUGUACCUCACUGCUAGCAGACCUGAUAUUACCUUUGCUGUUGGUGCUUGUGCAAGAUAUCAAGCUGCUCCAAAGACCAGUCAUCUCUUACAAGUGAAAAGAAUCAUUAAGUACAUAAAUGGUACUUGUGACUAUGGGAUUCUUUAUACAAAUGAUACUAACCCUUCUCUUGUAGGGUAUUGUGAUGCAGAUUGGGCAGGGAGUGCUGAUGAUAGAAAGAGUACAUCUGGAGGGUGUUUCUUCCUUGGAAACAACUUAAUCUCUUGGUUUAGCAAGAAGCAAAACUGUGUGUCUUUAUCCACAGCUGAAGCUGAAUAUAUAGCUGCUGGAAGCAGUUGUACUCAACUUAUUUGGAUGAAGCAGAUGCUCAAGGAAUAUGAAGUUGAGCAAGAUGUCAUGACAUUGUACUGUGACAAUUUGAGUGCUAUCAAUAUUGCCAAGAACCCUAUACAACAUAGCAGAACCAAACACAUCGAUAUCAGACAUCACUUCAUCAGGGAAUUAGUGGAGGAUAAAAUUGUCACUUUGGAACAUGUCUCCACAGAGAGACAAUUGGCUGACAUCUUUACCAAACCCUUAGAUGCUGCUACAUUUGACACAUUAAGAGGAAAUCUUGGGAUUUAACUCUUCGAAGAAGCCUAGCAAUUAAAGGCCCUUUUCUGUCUAACGGCUAGUUUCCUCGUAACUACCAUUAACUGCCGUUGUGACAUCAUUGCUUCCUUCUCACUCAACUACUAUAUAAUCAUCACCAAUGACUUCAUCACAAUCUCACCACAAGUUGCCAAUCUUGCUCUAACAAUUUCUGAUUCUCAUCACUUACAUUUCUCUCAAUUUCUUGUUUUUGUCCGUUUGCUUUACCAGUUCAUCAUGUCUUCAAGCAAGAAAGAGUCUGUGAAAGGAAAGAUAGAGAGAACUGCUGGUGGUGCUAGGGUUAUGGGUUUGCACACAAGUUCUUCCUCUCAAUCUAAGAAGAACUCAAGAACUCCUUCCAAGAAGCACUACAAGUCUCGUGCAACCCCAAUGCAAAACCCAGAAGCCCCUGUGCCUGAGGAAGUCUCCAAUACUUCUGUCUCUGCAAAUGUUGAAGACGAUGUCGCGACAUUGUCUGAUAAGCCUGCCAAGGAAGUUUCACUCUCAAAGGAUUCUUCCUCUUCAUCCAAGAGUUCUGAUUCCAAGGCUGCAAACUCAAUGGAUGUUUUGUCAGAGGAAUCGAUGAAGACCCCUCCUAUUGUUCAUGAUGUCUCUGAUGAUGAAGAUUCAGAGGAUGUGCCUCUGGCGAGUGUUGCUGCCAGAAUGCUUAAGCGAAGAAGAGCAUCUGUUGAAGAAACCCCUGUUGUCAAAAAGAAGAAAACCAAGAUCACUACUGGAUCUUCAAAAUCAAGGGCAACCGAUGCGUCACGGAAAGGCAAGCAGAAUGCUGUGGAAUCAUCAGGGAAGAAAGCCAAGAAGACUACUGGGAAAAAGCAUAAAGUUUCCAGAAUUGAUUUGGAGACUGAAUCAGAUGUUGAAGGCGAUGUCCUGGACAUCACUGCCUCUGAGAAGAAAAUGUUCUCUGGUAAGCGUAUUCCCUCAGAUAUUCCUAAUGUUCCUCUAGAUAAUGUGUCUAUGCAUGCUCCAGAAAAUGCCUUCAAAUGGAAAUAUGUCUAUCAAAGACGUGUUGCCAAAGAAAGGGAGAUUGAUUCUGCUGUGUUAGCCUGCAAAGAGAUCAUUGCCUUGAUAGCAAAAGCAGGGUUGAGGCAGACUGUGAUGAACAUAGGAAAAUGCUAUGACAAGCUUGUGAAGGAAUUUAUUGUCAAUCUCUCUGAUGAUGUUACUAAUUCUGCCAGUCCUGAAUUCAGGAAAGUGUUUGUCAGGGGUAAGUGUGUGAAUUUUUCUCCUGCUAUCAUCAACCAAACCCUUGGAAGAAGUGUGGUUGAAUUUGUUGAAGAAGAACUUUCUCUGGAUACGGUUGCUGAGGAAUUGACUGCUGGAAGAGUCAAGAAGUGGCCUGCUAAGAAGCUUCUAUCAACUGGGGUUCUGAGUGUGAAGUAUGCUAUUUUGAAUAGGAUUGGAGUGGUGAAUUGGGUUCCCUCUAACCAUACUUCUGCUGUUUCUGCUAUGCUUGCCAAGCUUCUCUAUCGCAUUGGGACUGAAAUUGCUUAUGACUUUGGCAACUUUGUGUUUUACCAAACUUUGAAGCAUGCAGAGACAUGUGCUGUGAAACUCCCCAUCUCCUUUCCUUCUUUACUGACUGCUAUCAUUCUGAAACAACAUCCUAAUAUCCUCACUGUUGAUGAUGUUCCUGUGCCUAAAGGCCCUCCCAUCACCUUGGACCAACGGUUGUUCCUGGACCCUCAUGUCCUGGACAUUGAUCUGCCAUCCAGUAGGACAUCUGUUCCUGCCUCUAUGUCUGCCUCAGGCACUCACAGUGUCAUUGCUGAACUUGAGGCCAUUUCCAAGGAACUUCAAGAGACGAUCAGGAUUGCUGCUGCUAGGAAGAUUAAGGUGGAUGCUCUCAUUCAAACUCUCCAGGGGGAAGCUGGUCAAGAGGGUGAGCAUGCCGCUGAUGCUGAGAGGGAAGGAUCUGCAGAAAAUGAUGAGGAACACUCCUCUUCUUCUGGUGUUUAGUGCAUCUCCUAGUUGAUUUUUAGUUGGCCUUGGUUAAAUUCUUUCCAUCUUUGCCAAAUUUGUGCUAAAAAGGGGGAGUAGUAGUAGAGUAGUAGUGUGUUGUGGUUUGUUUUUUUUUUGAAGACUUGGUAUUCUGGUUAUGUUAUGUAAUAAGUAUGCAGCUUUGUCAAGACAAGACCAGUUCAGGAGAUAUUUUAUGUUCAAGUGUUCAAGUGCUACAAGCUAGCUUCUGUUCAAGUAUUACCAAGUGUGCUUGUUGGAGAUAUUUUAUGUUCAAGUGUUCAAGUGCUACAAGCUAGCUUCUGUUCAAGUAUUACCAAGUGUGCUUGUUUAGUUUGUACUAUGUUGCAUAUGGGUUCUAUAUACUUUAUGCAGUGUUUAUUUGGAUGCAUCUUUUGAGGGGGAGUUCCUCCAUGUUUUGGCUGUUGUUGAUGCAUUGGUUUGAGGGGGAGUAUUUCUGCUGCUGACUCUGAUGAUUUUGAUAUUUUUUCCCUCUCUGGUAGUGAAGUUGUUUUUAGUCAAAAUUUGACAAAGGGGGAGAUUGUUGUUCCUUUGUUGUCAUCAAUUUUGUUAAAAACAACCUGAUGUCCUAGCCGAUGUUGUGACAUUUGCCUUGAUGAAGGCCAGGACAUCCGCCCCUGCUGGCAUGCAAGUGGGUCCCUUGUGGUUAUGCUUUAUGGUAUGAUCUGUGCUUACUUGAAGGUCAAGUAACUGUGUGUUGGGAGCCAGUUGCGGGUUGUUUUUGUUGAAGCAAAUCUGUGAUUAAAAAGAUUUGUUUCUAUUUUUACUUGUUGAUCACUCAUAUCAGAUCUUGAAAGAUUCUCUACUGAUAUGAGUUGGAUCAAAGUGUUCUUCAGCCCAAAUAAACCCUAGCCGCCUCUGCUGAAGUAUAUAUUGACAAAGACCUGAAGCUUGAAGUUGAUGGAGAGAAUCACCUUGAAGUUCAAGUGUUCUUAAGAGUGUAAGUUGUUCUUUGUCUUUGUUAGUUGUGAACUCGUCUUGCUCACUGAUUCUAUAAAGUGAGACUGAGUUCUGUGUUGUGUUUGAGUGUCAAACAAACUCUGUGUUAUUGUUGUUCACUAAUCAAUGUGGCAGUGAUUGAGGAAAAGUGAGAGGGGCUCUCAUACUUAGGCUGUGGUUCUAAGUAGAAUACCACUGGGUAGAUUAGGUUAAGAACAAUGAACUUGAUGUGUUCAUGUGUGUCUGUAAUACCUAGUUCUUGAGAUAGUGGAAUUCCUUUUCAUUGGGCGAAAGCUAACCAGACGUAGGUGUAGUUUCACCGAACUGGGUUAACAACUUCCUGUGUCUUGUUUCCUUUUAGUUGUUUGUUGUUUUGUGUUUAGGUCUUUCAGUAGUAUGAUGUUCUAAUCGAUUGUCCCAGCAUCGUGCAGGACAUUUGUUCUAAGGGAUCUAGAAUUUCAAACCCAUUACAAACUGAUAAAGGAACGAGAUUUUUUUACAUGACUAGUGCAACUUUCAAAUAAAUUUACCAAACUAGUGCAACUUUUGAUUUAAUUACAAAAAUAGUGUUAAUCGCCACUUGAAGUGGCGAUAUCUCUUUUUUUUUUUCUUUUUUUUUAUGAAAUCGUCACUAGCAGUGGCGACACAAUUUUUUUUUUUGACUUUGUUUAAUAGUGACGGAAAAUUGUCCGUCACAAGCUCUGUCGCUAAAAUUUUUGUGACGGAAGUAUCUAUACUUCAAUUUCCGUCGCUAAGUUCUUUUUCAUUGUUCACUAGGAUUUUGAGAUGAAAUAUACUUCAUCGCAAACAGAAUUCCGUCGCUAGAAACUUUGUGACGGACGCUAUCUUUCUUCACAUUCCGUCACUAAUAUCUUUUAUAUUAAAUAUUAGGAUUUUGUGACGGAUACGAUUCCGUCACUAACUUAGAAAGUAAAAAAAAAAAUAUAAAUAUAGUGUCGCCACUGUUAGUGAUGAUUUCAUAAAAAAAAAAAAAAGAGAUAUCGCCACUUCAAGUGGCGAUUUACACUAUUUUUGUAAUUAAAUGAAAAGUCGCACUCGUUUGGUAAAAUUUUGUUAAUACUACACUAGCCUUGUAAAAAAGUGAAGGAACGAAGUACAAAACGAAAAACAGAAAGAGGAGUAAUCUAAGAGGCUAUAGAUCAUAAGUAGAGCCAAUGUAUAUGGCAAGAAUUAAUAUGUAGCAAGCCCUUCAUUAUGAGAACAUAUCCACGGGGAUAGUCUAGAGAUUGAUUCAAUUGGAUCAAUUGUUCUAAUAUAGGUCCAAAUUCCUUCCUCUUUGAGCCAGGUGCCACCUCCACUAGCUAAAUAAGUUUCUACUGAAAUAAGUUCUUAUAUGAGAACCUAAGAAUAAAUAAAUAGUGAUUGUUAGGUCUAAUCAUGAAUGGUCAAGAUUAAAAUAAUUUAGUGGUCACACGAUCAUUUAAAAAUAUCAUGUGACUUUUUCAAAAGUCAAAUGUCUUCAUGUUUUAAUCUUAAUCAUUCGUGAUAAGAUUCGAUCAUGAUUUAUUCUUAUAUUCUCACAUAAUAACAUUUCUCUCAUAAGAUACAUCCUCCUAAUGUCAGUACCUAUGCUUUAAGAUGACAAUGCCAGUUGAUACAGCAGCAUCUUACUACGGUUUAAACUCUUGGUGGCAAUUGCAUUUCAGCAUAACAGCCUGCUUCCCCUCGAUCUUAUGCACAAUCCUUACUUCCAAAUUUCAUUUCCUGCUGCUCUGCUUCCCUUACUGUUCAAGCCCCCACCAAUGCCCUAUUACCAUUCUUUGUUUACAAAGGCACAAUUCCAGCCUUCAUGACCUGCAACCACCACAAACACACGCAGCACAUAUCAUAAAACGGCCUUCACUGCAAACAGAACGAGAAACACAAUCAUGCAGUAAAAGACAGAUUCAAAAGAGAGCCUGAGUCUCUGGCUAUGCUCUCUUUUGAAGAUAAGAACAUAUUCCAAAACAUGAAAUUUGGUUUUAAAAUAGAAAGCACAUUGAUAUUCAAGUUUGGAUAUGUUUCAAGAGAAAAAUAUAAAUUGGUCUAACAAGUAGAUCUUUUGCCCCGUGUCAUAAAAAAAAUAAUAAAAAAUCUUGUGCCCUGUUGUUUUGGCCAGUCAAGUACAGAUGAUAUGUUUUCUGUUUUCAAGAAGAUUGGCAAAGUAAAUAUUUUAAUAGAACAUAGCCAGGAAAUUUGGAAAGGUUAUUAUUUGCUAUUAAGGGAAUAUCAAAUUUAUUUCCCUCUGGUCUUCACUGGCAUAUGCCUAUGCCUGAAUGACCUUGCAAAACAAAUCAGCAAACAUCACCUUCAGAGUUUAGACUCAGCUCACCCAAAAAUAACAACCUUCCAAAUAAAGUUAUAAUCUGUACUUGCCUGAAUUUAAAAACAAAAACAAUCCAGAAUAACAAGAGAAAACAAAAAUUAGACUAGAAAUGAAUUCUUAAUCUAAGCAAAUUAUUUUAUAAAACAUCUCAUUAACUUUUUUUUUUGAAUUCACAUCUUAUUAAGACAUUAACUUAAAAAAAAUAAAAAAAAAUUUCCUUGUUGUUACCAAAAAAAAAAAAUAAAGAAACGACAAAUCUGCAAUCUGUUAAACCGUAACCAUGGUUCUGUUUCCCUUUCAAUUUCGUCAUUCCCAGAAAUUUUCUGCCUAUCACUAUCAUUCAUAUAAAGAUCAUCACUGAUAUCAGAUUCAUCACUUGUUUCUCUGAAAUUUGCAUCAUCGUCAUCACGAUAGUUUCUUGCUGUUCAAUCAAGUCUCUUUUUCUGAGGAUCACUUGCUGAAUUUAACUGACCAAAUAGAUCAUAUACAUAUAGAUACAGAUUACAGCAUGUUCUGAUUCAAUAAUGAGAAAAAGAAUUGUGCACCUGAAAGGAUUGAAGAAUACAUGAGUCUGUUGUUUGACCAGAGAAUGAUAGUGGAAAAACACCAGAGGAUGGAACUGCUCUCUGCACCUGGUAAUACAUUCUCUAGAUAAAUUGUCUAAUGGGGAAACAAUUUAUAUAUUACCAGUUGGGACCAGGGUCCCCUCAUUAGACAAAGUUAACUGAUCUAACCCAUCAUAGGACAGUUAAUAACAAAAGUCUAAUCUACCAUCCAUCAUAAUACAUGUAAUUAAAUUAAAUUAAUAAUUCACAUAAUUGAUAUUAAUAACCAAAACAAAAUAUAUCUUAGUUAAUUGAUAAUGUUAACCCACAUAACAAAAGAGAUAGUUAAUUAUAAAUAAAUCUAACAUUCUCCCACUUGGAUUAACAUUUGUCAAUUAAUAUAAAAUAUAUGUAUCAUUAAACGAAAUAUCAAUUAUGACAAAAUACAUGUAAUCCAAAGAAAUAUAAGUUGUGCACCAAAAGUUACUCAACAAAAGAUUAUAUCCGAUAGGGAUAAUAACCAUAUGUAACAAAGUCUUAUAUUUCAUACAAAACAAAGAUGGAUAUAGAAAGCACAGUGAUAACCAGAAGUGCUAUUCCAUAAAAUGACCCAAGCAUCUAAAAUGCUAUAUGAGAUAUGAUAACAAAAGCAACAACAUAUCUCAUAAACUACAAUUCAGACUCCCACUGAUCCUAAACAUCAAAAGACUUUAACCACAUGAGUUAUGUGACUCCAACAAUAAAGUCUUAGAUCAGUGAAUAUACCAUUAUCAAUAAUGUAUUUCAUUAGAGUCUGAAAUUUUAUCACAAGGGGUCUACAAGUUCAUUAGGCACCAUCAAAGCCACAAACAAAAUUCCACAAGGUCUAAGUGCAUUUUGGCCCAACAAGAAUAAUAAUUACAUAUUGGCUAAACAACAAAAUGCUCUGCAGAAAUUGACAUAUAAUUAAUUCAAGAUUUCCUAAACAAGUGACUAUAAAUCCAUGUGAAGCUCGAGUUUAACAAUAGCAUGGAUGAUACUUGUUUAAACAAAAUGAUAUCUUGAACUAAUAAAUCACAAAAUAUCAAUAAUGAGCAAGCACUUAUGAUUAUUGGUCUAAAACAAGAGUAUAAGUACCUUAAGAAUGUAAGAAAUCAUACUCGAUAGGAGUAGUGAUCCUAUGCAUCUAAGUAACUUUUACAUUUGACCAUACAGAACGUGGAAUGUUGGCUAGGAUCACAAGCACAGUAAAAAUACAUGCCAAUGUGUUGUACCAACAAAAUAAUGUUGGCCUAAAUCGAAAGCACCUCAAAAUUGCAUGUCAAAUGUGCUGUACCAAAACAUAAUGUUGGCCAAAACAAAAGCACCAUAAAAUUGCAUACCAAAUGUGUUGUACCAACCGAAUAAUGUUGGCCAAAAUCAAAAGCACCGUAAAAUUGCAUGUCAAAUGUGCUGUACCAACAAAAUAGCCCCAACCACUUAUUAAAAGUGCUUACUAAGAUUCAACAUAAUUAAUAUAUAUAUAUAUAUAUAUAUAUAUAUACACACACAUAUAUCUCUCGGUACACUAGAAUGAGAAUGAGUACCAAAGUCUCCAAAAGAGUAUGUCAUAUAAUUAUCAAAGUACGCAUAAGAGCAUAUGACAAUAAAAUAGCUCCAAAAAUAUACCAUGAUAACACAAAAGUGCACACAAAAUAUAUGGUAUAUAUAUAUUACUAAGUAGUCUUAAGACAAAGCAAUUGUAUGCACACUCCCACUAAUCUAAUAUACCAUGAUAAUAUUAGAAAUUCAUUAGUGGCAACUAGUACCAAAAUACUCUUAAUGAUACAACUUUUAAUAGUGGUUUAGUGGCUUCAUGGCAAAGUCAAUGUGAGUCUGGAACUCACAAUCUUUUUCUCUUCAAGGAUAAUUAAUUAGAGAGAAGUACAAUAAUGCAGAGUUAUCACGAGAAGUGAUUACUAAAGAAUCACAAGAUGGAGCUCAACAUAUAUACCACAAAUUCUUAUGAAAUUUGUGAUGAAACUAACCACAAACUCAGCAUAUGAGAUUAAAGAGAUUAUAAACGUCCAUUUAACAUUUAUCAACAUAAAAUCUCCUUAUAUUAUCACAUACAUAAAAUCAUUAAAGAUUUUAUCUAAGAGGAAACCCACAAUUUAUAAACAAAUGAGUGAGAUUAACAUCCCUAAUAUUUUAAAUAAAAUAUGAGAUCACUUGUAUGUUUUCAACAAACUCACUCAAAGUUCAAGUGCUACAAUAUAGACAAUCACUAAACACACUUGAUCACAAAGUUGGGUUACCACUAACAACAGCGGAAGCAUAUAGGACCUAUGGUUAAUCAUUGUAGAGGAUAUUGUAACAAGUAGUCUCUAACUCUCACUGUCACUAUAUAUUGUGGGUAAGAAGCAAUAGGUCAAUGCCAAUAUGCUAAUUUGAUAGUUUGACAAAUUAUCUUAACAAUCAUAGGGAGUUAAUUGUAUUCCAAUAUUCCUUUUGAAAGAUUGUAUUCCAAUAUUCUCAAAAGAGACUUAAUAAUAUCCUCAAUAUAGGUCCCACUAUAAAGUGAUAUCUAGUAGUAUAUCACACAUAAGUGUGUCAAUUUUCAAAUUUAACUAAUUGAGCAAUUAAUGGAGUGAGAGACAUUGCAUAACUUCAGUUGGAAAAGAUAAGAGCAAACAAGCCUCUCCCACUUGAUAGAGAAAAAUAGUUGAGUUAAUCAUACUAGAAUAAAACAACAGGAUACUUUAAGUAUUUUUAAAUUAAAAGAAUAGCCAAAACUAUUUUCUCUAUCACACAAUGAUCAUGUCAAGCAAUGUCAUACCGAUAAGGUAUAUCCAUUACUUACACAAUGCAAUAAUAAGGAAAAUUAUAUCAAUAGAUAUUUUAUUCAAUAUAAAUUUGCUUUGCGAUAGGCAAAUGCAAAUCUUUAAGAUAAUGUAUUGUAACAAAUUGCUCAAUUAAUAUAAUGUAUCUAAUCAUAUGUCCCAUAAAAAUUCUAAUAUCGAUAGGAUAGUAGAAUGAAUUGACAUAAGUUAACAACGCAUAAUACAUUACAAACAAAACAACAAAUUACACUAAUAAUAAUAUACCGAUAGAGUACAUUAUCAGUAAUGUAAAUAUACACAAAUUACAAGUAGAUUCUUUAAAGAAUUUAGGUAAUAUAAUUUGUUCAAAUUCUGAAUAACUACGCCCACGAUAGGUGAGAUCGCAGUUACACAAAAUAUAAUAAAGCGCAUGUAAUCACACCAAAGUAUUCUGAAUAACUGCGCUCACGAUAGGUGAGAUCACAGCCACACAAGAUAUAAUAAAACGUGUGUAAUCACACCAAAGUUUGUAUAAACCAUAAGAUGUAUUUUAUAUACAAAGAUUAUAGGCUUUAAUUAUAUAACGACCUAAAAUAUUAGUUCCAUAUACAAAGAAAAUAGCAAACAUAUUAUACUAAAAAUAUUGCUAGCAAACUAAAGAACUGUCUCCAUAAUUUUAAGGUCCAUGAGCCUAUAGCAUAGUAAUAAAAAAUUACUAUUCAAUAUUUGGUUUAUAUAAAUAGGAGCGCACAAAAGAAUUUUAAAUUUUCAACAUGAAACUCAUAUAGCAAAAUUUAGCCAUAAAAUAUGGUAGUCUGAUCACAAUUUAUAUUUAACUGCCACUUUAACAAACUAAGUAAUAACCAAGUAUUACAAUGGUUAAAUAAUAAAUUUAUUAUAGACUUCCAAAAAAAAAAUAUAUGACAUCAUGUCUUAAUUGCCGCACUAAUAUAAUUGCAUAGCUAAAAGAAACAUAAACAACAAUCGGAGAAUUAAUUUUAUUAACGAAAUUCUCCAAACAUGAAAUUAUAUAAUCAAUCAGUAUAUAAAGAUUUUAUAAUCAAAUUUAGAGAGUGUUCCGUUUAUCUUUGUGAGUAGAGCCAAUAAAAUUCAUAAUUUAAUAAGCUCAUGAAACUCAAUAUAUUCUUCUCUUUAAUGGGUGAUACAUUAAACUAUAAAAAUAUAAAAUACUUUUCCAUAUAUAAAAUAUAUAUUAGUGAUAAUUUUGAUUUCAUAAUUGCACUGGUAGAGAAGAAAAGAAAAAACGUGCUUGGAAUGCCAAUUCAUAUUGGUUUUGAUAUUUAAGAGCAACUCCAACCCCAAAAUUCUUAUCUAGUUUCUUAACACACUAUUCAGCACUAUUCCUGUGGGCCCGUACUGCCACAUCAGACUUAAGAAACUCCUAGGAAACUGAAGCAGAUUUUGCUCCAACCCAUGGUUUCUUAAAUUACUAUUUGAAGGGUCCCACCCGUGUCCCACCAUACAACAUAAAUUAAUAAUAUUUAUUUUCACUCAAUUUAGAUUUAACAUUUAAUACUAAAUCAAUACUUCAACUUAAAAAUAAUUUAAUUAAAAUUAAUACGAAUUUAAUUUAAAUUUUAUUUUACUUAAUAUUUAAAACAAUUAAAUUUAAAUAUCGGCAUGUUAACUUGAAACAAAAAUAAAAAAGUACAUUGUGUUUUUUAUAACAAAAACAAUUUUAUUGAAUGAUAGAAAUAAAGACGAAAGAAAAUACAUGACAAUGAAAAAUAAGCAACAAUACAUUUGAAAUGAAAUACAUAAUAACACUUGAAGGUUAAUUUUCAUUAUUCUCGUUUUCGGGAAGCUGCCAAAUAUGCUCCACAAAGUCUACUUGAAGUUGGUGAUGAUUUGACCUAUCAAUUUGAUGUGCUCUUCUUUCCAAGAUAUUUCUAAAAGCCGGAAUAGGACCACUUACUACUUCAGCAUUCAAUAUGUCAUUAUUGACCUGAUCAUAAACAAAAUUACCUCGGUACGUGUUGCGCUCAUCUUCAACAAUCAUGUUGUGCAAUAUGAAGCAAGCAUACAUUAUUGACAUCAUCUCAUUCGGAUGCCAAAAGCGUGAUGGACCACGAACUAUUGCAAACCGAGAUUGGAGAACGCCGAAUGCACGUUCAACGUCCUUUCUUGCUCCUUCUUGUCUUUUCGCAAAUUUUUGCCUUUUUUCUCCUUGCGGCAUUGGGAUGGUCUUCACAAAUGUAGCCCACGGGGGAUAGAUACCGUCUGCUAGAUAGUAUCCCAUGUUAUACAUUGUUCCAUUCACGCUAAAGUUCACCAUGGAAGCAUUUCCACUCAAAACCUCAUUAAAAACCGGAGAUUUAUUUAGCACAUUAAUGUCAUUGUUAGAACCUGUGUAACACCCCGAUUUCGGUGGCGUCACUUUAGUAACCAAAAUAAACUUAAUGCGGAAAAACGUAAAUAUUUUUUUUCGAUAAUAAUAUAAACAAGACUGAAAUAAAUAUAACGCAAAUGCGAAAGACAACAGAACCAAUAUACAAAGUAAAAUACAGCCCCCGCUGUAAGUAACAACCUCGUCACGAGUAACCUCCAGUGAAGGAAAGAAGAAAAGUGUAGCGCCCGUAGGCAAUAUAUACAAACCAACAGGAAAGGUUAAGUGUCCGCAACACCACCUCCAAAAAUGAGAAUAAGUUGGCCCAAUGGCCUGAAAGAAGACCUCCUAAGUCCAACCAACUCCCUGUGAUUCCCGUAAAGAAACCACACAAAAAGCUAUAGGUGGGAAACUAUAAAGUCAAAGCUCAAACAGUAUAAGUAAGAUAGGUGUGCUUGCACACGCUACGCGAGUAAUGGAACAUAUUAUACUGAAAUGAGAAAGAAUGGUUAGAAGGUUACCAUCGUUCUUGCGCUCUCCUGUGACAAACCCCUCAGCUCUCUCACCGUCCAUGGUGUAGACUCUUGCUAUAGCCGCAGAACGCUUUCCACGAGCAGUGUUCACGGUUGGCUCCGUCUUGGGUGCUCUGCACUGAUCGGCAGUGUGCCCCAUUUUGUUACAAUUAAAGCACUUGGGCCUCGUGUCGGAACAAGCGUUAGCAUAGUGCCCCGGCUUCCCACAUCUGAAACAAGUCAUCUCCCUGUUCAAAGUCCGAUCUCCAGAACCACCAGCAGUACCCGUCAUGGGUCGGUAAGAUCCUGAAGUAAACCCUUUUUCAGCAGGGCGCUGAUAUGGCCUCCCGUUCUGAAAUUUCCCUUUGCCUUGAAAAUUUUGAGAACCUGAUCUCAUCGGUCCUCCAGUUCCAGCACGGUUCAACCUUCUAUUCUUCAUUAGCUCCACUUCUGUGGCUUUCUCCACCAACGACUGAAAGCGCAUAAUUCCCAAUGGCCUCACUGAGUCCUCAAUAUCAGGCCUCAGUCCAUUAACAAAGCGCUUGCACAUAUAGCGCUCAUUCACAUGAUCAUGGAAGAAUUGAAAAUGCUUCGCCAAAGAUUUCAGCUUCGAAGCAAAUUCCAGUACAGACAUACCUCCCUGACGGAGUGUUAGAAACUGUGCCUCCCUCUCAUCCCGAGCACUUGUUGGAAAAUACUUUUCCAAGAAUGCGGUCCGGAAAGAGUUCCAGUUGAUCUCUUCAUGGUUGUCUUCCAUAAUCUCCCUGGUGCCCCUCCACCAGUACUCAGCAUCACCCAGCAGCAAGUAAGUUGCCAUGCCAACCUUGGCACCCUCAACAGUUUGCAAAACACCGAAAAUCUUCUCGAUUUCCUGGAUCCAGAGAUCCGCUUUGUCUGGGUCAGUACCACCAGAGAACCUUGGUGGGUUUUGCCUCCUGAAAUCAUUCAGGCCUUUGUUCUGGUCCAGAGUUACUUCCUUCUGGCGCUGAUGCUGUUCACGUGCCUCCUCAGCAGCACGCCUCAUCGCAUUAUCAUUAGCUUAUGAAGUUACAGCUUGGGCCAUAGUGGCCAUCAUCUCAGCUAACUGGUUAGUAUUCACCAUGUUCUGUUAAGUUAAACAAACAGUUAGUACUCAUCAUAAGAUAGCAUCUAGUAUAACUAUACAAUAUGAUUAAGCAAUAACUUCAAUCAAUUCUAUGCGAGAAAUCGCUUGCAGACAAUCAAUUUUCACUCUUUGUAGAGUCACACAACCUAGCACCGAAGACCUAUUCCCCAACAACUCCCGAAAGACUCGACCGUGCUAUGAUACCACAAUGUAUAUAAACGACAGUAAAUCACAGUUAUCAUGCCUCAAGUAGAACUAACAAGUAUCAAACACACUCAACAACUAAGUCAGUAUGCAUGUUGCAUGAGAUGAUAUGCAGGUUAACCCAGUCAACCAAAUGCAUUCCGGAAACGGAUGGACAUCAAACGGAUCAAUCCUAGCACCAGCAACGGUGGGACCAUUUCUGCCCGCGUGCCUCUUACACCACACAAAGGUAGUCAGAUCAGCCGUAACCCGUAGGUCUGCCAUUUCGGUCUGCUACAAGAGUCGUCUACAAACGCUCUUACACGGCAUUCCGGGUCUUAUGACCAUUUUGGAAACCGACGAGGUCCAGAGUACGUCCUGUGUUAAUACCUCAUUAAUGUUGCAUGAAUGCAGGAUGAUUAGUCAAACAACGUCUCCGAAUCUUACUCGACACGUCGCCAUGUGUUCUAGCUAAAUUAAAGUCUCUAAAAGCUUACCCUAAGGUAACAGUCGAUUCUGCGACAAAAGACCCUUCUCAAUAACACAUAGCUCAUGAUGAUCUCCAAAUCAUCCGACUCAUCUCAAUCCGAUGGUCGUAACUGCUCAACGAGCAAAGAGUACCACGUACUCGGAAACUAUCAAUUUCCCGGACUUAUCCCCAGGAUAGCCCAACAACACAGCUGCUCCAAUAGCACAAGAGUAUCCCGCAUUCACAAGGUCUCACGCCUCAGUGAAGCUUCUCGGCUCAUCCCUUGGAUGGCUAAACAAACUGCUCAACGAGCGAAGGAGUAUCAACAUACUCAGAACUUACCAAUCUCCUCAACACUUGGAUCCGACGACACUUCUCGUUUUCCAAAACUAAGAUUCGACUCCUAAGCUUCCUUCGAGAUUAUUAUCAUUACUUAAAGAUUUAGAGGUUGUUUAAGGUCUUAUGAGUUUUCUUCACAAAAUAAUAUCCUUUUAGCCUUAUCGCAAUUCUUAUAAGUUCUCGGGAUCUCCAAAUCCCCAAAUGACACCAGAGAAUGUCUCGAUCCAUGAAACACCAUAACAAGGUCCGAAUCUCAUUCGUCCUAUCAAACUUUCUCAAAACUCUCAAAAUAAAAUCGGCAUGACCUGCCCGCUAUUCUCACUACUCAGAAUCUCAGAUUUCAUAGCAGCAGCAUAAUUAACUCAUCACAGUCAACAACAUAUCAUGUAUCAAUACAUCUCAGAAUAAACACAUAGCACUUAGCAUAUAAAGCAUGCACCACACAUCCUAAAUUACCUAAUUAGCACUUAGCAUGUAAUUCACUCUCAAAAACAUUCAGUAGAUGAAUCAUCUACAUUGUCAGCCGAAGCCUCAGAAAACAUUUUUCCAAUCAAACACAAACAAGUGCAUAAACAGUAAACAAUGUCGAAAGCAUCGACCCUAAGCAUUAUCUAGAGAUUCAGUGAGAAGCCCUCACCUGUAGAUUCUCCAGGGUGAACUUCAAACUCUUCCUCACAAGCAAAGCGUUGCUCCUCAGGAAAUUCCUCAAAAGCUCCUUUAAAGCAAAAACACAGAAAUACUAUCAGAAUCUAUCGAAAACUAAGCUAUCGAUACUUACUAAGGUUACUCGAAGUAGUUCAUACUCCGAGGUACGAUAGUCUAGCGCGAAAGGACAAGUUUUCGGAAAAGGAAAUUUUCCUCCUCCUCCCCCUAUAAGCUCGGCCACUUUAGGUAAUUAGGGGACUCGAUUUUUCUUCGAUCAAACUUGGUUCCUAUGCUAUCAUUAGCCGUAACUAAGGGUAUUCUGAACUCGGAAAAAUUAUCGGAUCAAAACUGUCGCAGGGGUAUUUUGGUCAUGAUUUUUAACUUAUAAUUUCAAAACUGAAAUCCCAAAAACCAAAUUUGACAGGGACGUUACUAACGACGUUUAUGACAACUAAUCCUACUAGCACUAAGCUAAGGCGAUAGUUUUUAGCCUAAAGGUUGAAGCUUUACUCUAAAAACUCCAAAAAUGGGUAUUUAAGGCUAAAAUUGAUUCCGGCGGAAAUCCGGCGACAUUACGGAAAAUCUAAUCCGGCAGAAGUGAUCUUGGGCACAUAAGGAAGAGGUUUAGAAUCAGAAAUGAAAUAUUCAGGAUAGUUUUGCAAAAACCUCAAAACUAUCAGCUCAGAAAAGUCUACAGAAAAGCUAUGGAAAAAGCGAUCAGAGGUAAGGAUUAGCGACUAUACCUCGAAACCUUGGAGCAGCAACUGAUUAAUCAACGAUCAAGCAAGUAAUGAAGAAAAACUCUUCCUCCUUCUCCUUCUCUUGGCCGCGGGUUUGGGUGGGGAAAAUGGGUAGUUUUUUUUGUGUUUUUCUUCCUUUCUUGGCUAUAUAUAGAGGUUGGCAAAACGCGGUAAAAUGAAAGUUUCGCGAAUCUGAUUUUUCCGGCUUCAUUCUCCAUGAAUUCUAAGAUAGGUUUUGGUAACAUAAAUCCAGAACUCAAAAGAGGUUCCCUUGUAUUUUUGGUAACUAAUGCAAAGUCGGUGUAAAACUAUUUUACCCGAUAAGUUGCUUUUUGCAUCGGAUGUCGGAAUAGAAAACAUCCUUCUGAAGAAAGAUUGAAAUCAUCAAGAGAAAUGGGUGUACGCGUGUGGAAUCUUCAUUUGAAGCUCUGAAUAGAAAAAGUCUUCAUUGUCGGUUGAUUCUAGGGUUUUGAAAUACCAGGGAUUCGGUUUCGGCAAACUUCCGAUGAUUGGAAUUGGACGUUCGUAGAUCCUAGAGUUUCGCCUCGAAACGAUUGUGAUAUAUGGAAAAAGAGAAGUUCUAAUAUUACUCUGAAGAUUUUUGGACUAAAUUCCUACAGUGUUCCAAGGGUGGAACAUAGUUUGAUUUCCUAAGGUUCUUGUCCUAGGUUUUAAAACGAAUAUUAGUCGUGCUAUAACUUAAAUCGACUUCGAUACAAUCCUUUGACUUUUCCUGAACUUUCUCCUUCAUACAUUUAUUUCAUUUAAUAAACUCUUGUUCAGGUUUCCCUUCACAACCCAUCAACCCUAAUCGUGAAUAAGAUUUUAUUCACUUGGCAUAAGUUUAAAAACUUGGGCCUUACAUUACUAUCCUCCAAAAAGAAAGUUUCGACCUCGAAACUUAAGGGUCAGUAAAAAGUUCCGGAUAUUAUUCCUUGAUCUUUUCCUCUAAAUCCCAUAUAGCACCGUCCAUGUCUUUGUUCCAAAUAACUUUCACCGAAGCACUCUGCUUUCUGCUAGAUCGUUUCACUAUUCCAGCCCCAAUGCAGACCGACGGCGUCUCAAAAGACAUAUCAUCUUCCAACUCUAUGUUGUCCGGUUCGACCACUUGCAUCGGGUCUCUGUUGGAAAUAAUAUUUGUUGUCAUUCGUGCAAUCGCACGGCCUUUACCACUUAUUCCUUUGCUUUUGUUCGUCCAAAAUGUUGAUUAGAAACUUGGUACAUCUCUAUGCUCCGGAGUGAAUGCUCAACUUCAGUCUUAAUACCUUGUGCAUCACAAGACUCAUUCCCUUUAACAUUAACUUAUCAACAACUUAUAAGCUAAUCUUCAUCUUAAUAUCUAACAAUUCAUUAUUGUAGUCUUCGUCCUCAAAACCUUCCUCACUCAAACCAAUUCAGACUUACUGAAAUCCCUAACACUUCGCAUAAAUCGAGAUUUAUCCUCUAGAAGAUCAAAUCAUAGCUAUACCUCAAGGGACUUAACUAGUCAUUUUAUCAUCCCAUCCUCCAAUCAAUCCAAUACUUCUUAAAUGAAUAUUCCUUUCUUAAUACGAACACUCCUUCCCAAAGGAAAUCAAUUACUCAACACGAACUUUCCUCCCAAAUCCGACUAAUCCUCGACCAAUUCAAAUUCAUCUUACACAUCCUUCUAUCAAAGUCCAUAGCUAGCUGUGAUUCCGAAUAUCACCCCCUCAAUAUUAAGUUGAUCAGGCCUAAUACAUCGAAGGUGGAAAUAUAGAAAAAACCUACUGGAACAGUCAAUGAGUUCCUAUCAUCCAAUAGUCACAAAUAUCUUGAUAUUAAAUCCUCAAUGAUGUCGCUACGAAACUACAUACUCUCGACAUCAUAUGUAUACUAUCCAUACGAAAUCUCUCUAAGAUUCAUUCUUUAACUUCUAGCUUCUGGUUAAACGCAUCGGUACAAGACUACUUUCUAGGCUUAACGUGUUAUGUUAAACCUCGGGUACUUCUAUAGCUAAAAUACGAGCUACGGUCAAAUAAGGUAUUAAUAAGGUAUUAACCUGGCUCUAAUACCACAAUGUAACACCCCGAUUUCGGUGGCGUCACUUUAGUAACCAAAAUAAACUUAAUGCGGAAAAACGUAAAUAUUUUUUUUCGAUAAUAAUAUAAACAAGACUGAAAUAAAUAUAACGCAAAUGCGAAAGACAACAGAACCAAUAUACAAAGUAAAAUACAGCCCCCGCUGUAAGUAACAACCUCGUCACGAGUAACCUCCAGUGAAGGAAAGAAGAAACGUGUAGCGCCCGUAGGCAAUAUAUACAAGCCAACAGGAAAGGUUAAGUGUCCGCAACACCACCUCCAAAAAUGAGAAUAAAUUGGCCCAAUGGCCUGAAAGAAGACCUCCUAAGUCCAACCAACUCCCUGUGAUUCCCGUAAAGAAACCACACAAAAAGCUAUAGGUGGGAAACUAUAAGGUCAAAGCUCAAACAGUAUAAGUAAGAUAGGUGUGCUUGCACACGCUACGCGAGUAAUGGAACAUAUUAUACUGAAAUGAGAAAGAAUGGUUAGAAGGUUACCAUCGUUCUUGCGCUCUCCUGUGACAAACCCCUCAGCUCUCUCACCGUCCAUGGUGUAGACUCUUGCUUUAGCCGCAGAACGCUUUCCACGAGCAGUGUUCACGGUUGGCUCCGUCUUGGGUGCUCUGCACUGAUCGGCAGUGUGCCCCAUUUUGUUACAAAUAAAGCACUUGGGCCUCGUGUCGGAACAAGCGUUAGCAUAGUGCCCCGGCUUCCCACAUCUGAAACAGGUCAUCUCCCUGUUCAAAGUCCGGUCUCCAGAACCACCAGCAGUACCCGUCAUGGGUCGGUAAGAUCCUGAAGUAAACCCUUUUUCAGCAGGGCGCUGAUAUGGCCUCCCGUUCUGAAAUUUCCCUUUGCCUUGAAAAUUUUGAGAACCUGAUCUCAUCGGUCCUCCAGUUCCAGCACGGUUCAACCUUCUAUUCUUCAUUAGCUCCACUUCUGUGGCUUUCUCCACAACGAAUGAAAGCGCAUAAUUCCCAAUGGCCUCACUGAGUCCUCAAUAUCAGGCCUCAGUCCAUUAACAAAGCGCUUGCACAUAUAGCGCUCAUUCACAUGAUCAUGGAAGAAUUGAAAAUGCUUCGCCAAAGAUUCCAGCUUCGAAGCAAAUUCCGGUACAGACAUACCUCCCUGACGGAGUGUUAGAAACUGUGCCUCCCUCUCAUCCCGAGCACUUGUUGGAAAAUACUUUUCCAAGAAUGCGGUCCGGAAAGAGUUCCAGUUGAUCUCUUCAUGGUUGUCUUCCAUAAUCCCCCUGGUGCCCCUCCACCAGUACUCAGCAUCACCCAGCAGCAAGUAAGUUGCCAUGCCAACCUUGGCACCCUCAACAGUUUGCAAAACACCGAAAAUCUUCUCGAUUUCCUGGAUCCAGAGAUCCGCUUUGUCUGGGUCAGUACCACCAGAGAACCUUGGUGGGUUUUGCCUCCUGAAAUCAUUCAGGCCUUUGUUCUGGUCCAGAGUUACUUCCCUCUGGCGCUGAUGCUGUUCACGUGCCUCCUCAGCAGCACGCCUCAUCGCAUUAUCAUUAGCUUGUGAAGUUACAGCUUGGGCCAUAGUGGCCAUCAUCUCAGCUAACUGGUUAGUAUUCACCAUGUUCAGUUAAGUUAAACAAACAGUUAGUACUCAUCAUAAGAUAGCAUCUAGUAUAACUAUACAAUAUGAUUAAGCAAUAACUUCAAUCAAUUCUAAGCGAGAAAUCGCUUGCAGACAAUCAAUUUUCACUCUUUGUAGAGUCACACAACCUAGCACCGAAGACCUAUUCCCCAACAACUCCCGAAAGACUCGACCGUGCUAUGAUACCACAAUGUAUAUAAACGACAGUAAAUCACAGUUAUCAUGCCUCAAGUAGAACUAACAAGUAUCAAACACACUCAACAACUAAGUCAGUAUGCAUGUUGCAUGAGAUGAUAUGCAGGUUAACCCAGUCAACCAAAUGCAUUCCGGAAACGGAUGGACAUCAAACGGAUCAAUCCUAGCACCAGCAACGGUGGGACCAUUUCUGCCCGCGUGUCUCUUACACCACACAAAGGAAGUCAGAUCAGCCGUAACCCGUAGGUCUGCCAUUUCGGUCUGCUACAAGAGUCGUCUACAAACGCUCUUACACGGCAUUCCGGGUCUUAUGACCAUUUUGGAAACCGACGAGGUCCAGAGUACGUCCUGUGUUAAUACCUCAUUAAUGUUGCAUGAAUGCAAGAUGAUUAGUCAAACAACGUCUCCGAAUCUUACUCGACACGUCGCCACAUGUUCUAGCUAAAUUAAAGUCUCUAAAAGCUUACCCUAAGGUAACAGUCGAUUCUGCGACAAAAGACCCUUCUCAAUAACACAUAGCUCAUGAUGAUCUCCAAAUCAUCCGACUCAUCUCAAUCCGAUGGUCGUAACUGCUCAACGAGCAAAGAGUACCACGUUCUCGGAAACUAUCAAUUUCCCGGACUUAUCCCCAGGAUAGCCCAACAACACAGCUGCUCCAACAGCACAAGAGUAUCCCGCAUUCACAAGGUCUCACGCCUCAGUGAAGCUUCUCGGCUCAUCCCCUGGAUGGCUAAACAAACUGCUCAACGAGCGAAGGAGUAUCAACAUACUCAGAACUUACCAAUCUCCUCAACACUUGGAUCCGACGACACUUCUCGUUUUCCAAAACUAAGAUUCGACUCCUAAGCUUCCUUCGAGAUUAUUAUCAUUACUUAAAGAUUUAGAGGUUGUUUAAGGUCUUAUGAGUUUUCUUCACAAAAUAAUAUCCUUUUAGCCUUAUCGCAAUUCUUAUAAGUUCUCGGGAUCUCCAAAUCCCCAAAUGACACCAGAGAAUGUCUCGAUCCAUGAAACACCAUAACAAGGUCCGAAUCUCAUUCGUCCUAUCAAACUUUCUCAAAAAUCUCAAAAUAAAAUCGGCAUGACCUGCCCGCUAUUCUCACUACUCAGAAUCUCAGAUUUCAUAGCAGCAGCAUAAUUAACUCAUCACAGUCAACAACAUAUCAUGUAUCAAUACAUCUCAGAAUAAACACAUAGCACUUAGCAUAUAAAGCAUGCUCCACACAUCCUAAAUUACCCAAUUAGCACUUAGCAUGUAAUUCACUCUCAAAAACAUUCAGUAGAUGAAUCAUCUACAUUGUCAGCCGAAGCCUCAGAAAACAUUUUUCCAAUCAAACACAAACAAGUGCAUAAACAGUAAACAAUGUCGAAAGCAUCGACCCUAAGCAUUAUCUAGAGAUUCAGUGAGAAGCCCUCACCUGUAGAUUCUCCAGGGUGAACUUCAAACUCUUCCUCACAAGCAAAGCGUUGCUCCUCAGGAAAUUCCUCAAAAGCUCCUUUAAAGCAAAAACACAUAAAUACUAUCAGAAUCUAUCGAAAACUAAGCUAUCGAUACUUACUAAGGUUACUCGAAGUAGUUCAUACUCCGAGGUACGAUAAUCUAGCGCGAAAGGACAAGUUUUCGGAAAAGGAAAUUUUCCUCCUCCUCCCCCUAUAGGCUCGGCCACUUUAGGUAAUUAGGGGACUCGAUUUUUCUUCGAUCAAACUUGGUUCCUAUGCUAUCAUUAGCCGUAACUAAGGGUAUUCUGAACUCGGAAAAAUUAUCGGAUCAAAACUGUCGCAGGGGUAUUUUGGUCAUGAUUUUUAACUUAGAAUUUCAAAACUGAAAUCCCAAAAACCAAAUUUGACAGGGACGUUACUAACGACGUUUAUGACAACUAAUCCUUCUAGCACUAAGCUAAGGCGAUAGUUUUUAGCCUAAAGGUUGAAGCUUUACUCUAAAAACUCCAAAAAUGGGUAUUUAAGGCUAAAAUUGAUUCCGGCGGAAAUCCGGCGACAUUACGGAAAAUCUAAUCCGGUAGAAGUGAUCUUGGGCACAUAAGGAAGAGGUUUAGAAUCAGAAAUGAAAUAUUCAGGAUAGUUUUGCAAAAACCUCAAAACUAUCAGCUCAGAAAAGUCUACAGAAAAGCUAUGGAAAAAGCGAUCAGAGGUAAGGAUUAACGACUAUACCUCGAAACCUUGGAGCAGCAACUGAUUAAUCAACGAUCAAGCAAGUAAUGAAGAAAAACUCUUCCUCCUUCUCCUUCUCUUGGCCGCGGGUUUGGGUGGGGAAAAUGGGUAGUUUUUUUGUGUUUUUCUUCCUUUCUUGGCUAUAUAUAGAGGUUGGCAAAACGCGGUAAAAUGAAAGUUUCGCGAAUCUGAUUUUUCCGGCUUCAUUCUCCAUGAAUUCUAAGAUAGGUUUUGGUAACAUAAAUCCAGAACUCAAAAGAGGUUCCCUUGUAUUUUUGGUAACUAAUGCAAAGUCGGUGUAAAACUAUUUUACCCGAUAAGUUGAUUUUUGCAUCGGAUGUCGGAAUAGAAAACUUCCUUCUGAAGAAAGAUUGAAAUCAUCAAGAGAAAUGGGUGUACGCGUGUGGAAUCUUCAUUUGAAGCUCUGAAUAGAAAAAGUCUUCAUUGUCGGUUGAUUCUAGGGUUUUGAAAUACCAGGGAUUCGGUUUCGGCAAACUUCCGAUGAUUGGAAUCGGACGUUCGUAGAUCCUAGAGUUUCGCCUCGAAACGAUUGUGAUAUAUGGAAAAAGAGAAGUUCUAAUAUUACUCUGAAGAUUUUUGGACUAAAUUCCUACAGUGUUCCAAGGGUGGAACAUAGUUUGAUUUCCUAAGGUUCUUGUCCUAGGUUUUAAAACGAAUAUUAGUCGUGCUAUAACUUAAAUCGACUUCGAUACAAUCCUUUGACUUUUCCUGAACUUUCUCCUUCAUACAUUUAUUUCAUUUAAUAAACUCUUGUUCAGGUUUCCCUUCACAACCCAUCAACCCUAAUCGUGAAUAAGAUUUUAUUCACUUGGCAUAAGUUUAAAAACUUGGGCCUUACAACCUGCAAUGCCAAAAAAUGCAUGCCAAAUCCAGAAGUCUUGUGAUGCCACUACUUCAAGCAUGAUUGUGGGCUUUCCAUGAUCACCUCGGGUGAAUUGACCUUUCCACGCAACUGGACAAUUCUUCCAUUCCCAAUGCAAUUGAAUUCAAAUUUUAAUCUCAACUCAAAUUAAAUGUGGAUUGCUAUUUUGUUCGAAAAACUAAUACAAUCCAAUUUGGAGUUGCCCAACAUACCUGGAAAUCCACGAGACUCGCCUCAUUGAAGUAAGCGGGUAAUGUCUUCCUGGUUCGGGCGCCUCAAGUAUGUUUCACCAAAUACUGCACACACACCUUCCACAAAAUUCUUUAAGCACUCAAUUGCAGUACUUUCACCAAUUCGAACGUACUCGUCAACACUGUCAGCAGGUGAUCUGUACGCCAACAUACGAAUAGCGGCGGUGCACUUUUGUAAUGGUGACAGGCCUUGUCUUCCAACUGCAUCGACAGACAUUAAAAAGUACGGGUCAUGAGACCCAAGGGCCCCUACAAUUAUGAGGAACACAUGCUUUCGCAUUCGAAACCUUCGUCGGAAAAGCUCUUCCGUGUACACAGGAUUUUCGGAGAAGUAGUCAUUCCACAACCGCUCGUUCCCAGCUUCACGAUCUCUCUCUAUCACCUUUCUUGUUCGCUUGGGCCUAACGGUGUUGGCACGUCGUUGAUAAAACUCCAUAUCCUCCUGCAUCAUAUCUUCUAUAGUCGUGUCAUUCAUAAUAUCGUCAAUAAUUACGUCGUAAAUGUCCAAGUCGGACAUAUUGUUUGGAUCCAUUCUAUGACACAAUGAGAAACUAUCAGUGUAAUUGGAUAGGAGGAAGACAAUAUGAGAGGACAAAACAACUCUUGAAUGUUGAGAUGAAUGAAAUAUGACAUGUAUAAAUAAGAGAAACAACAACAGCUAUAUUCUCCAACGGCUAUAUUCUCCAACGGCUAUAUUCCACAACGGCUAUAUUCUCCAACGGCUAUAUUCCACAACGGCUAUAUUCCCCAACGGCUAUAUUCUCCAACGGCUAUAUUUCCCAACGACUAUAUAGAACACAUAAGUAGAAACGCAGUACACAUUAAGAAAAAUUCGAAUACUGAAAUUACAACAUUAAUGCAGAAUACAUAAGUAGAAAUGCUAAAAUUACAACACUGAUGCAAUACACAUAAGUAGAAAUGCUAAAAUUACAACACUAAUGCAGAAUCAAUAAGUAGAAAUGCUAAAAUCACAACAUUGGCACACAUUAAGAAAGACAACAACAAGAAUUAAGACAUUCCUAGUUCAUUCAUGGCGAAUUCAACUAGGCGCUGAUGCGUUGCUAACUGCACCUCGUUCAUUUCAGAUGUGUCCUCCAUAAGGAUAUCUUUGUAUUCCUUCAAUAACCGCGCCUUAUGAAGUUUGUUUUUUUCCUUUCUCACCUCCAGUUCUUCGGUCUUGAGCUUCUCAAAACUCGCCAGGAAUCUCAGUUUAGCUUUCCCGAUGGCUAUCAUCUCGGAGUUAGGAACAUAAUCGAGAUCACUUGAAGCUGUGUCUCCUACUUUGGCUUUCCUUUUCUGGUUCUUUUUUCCCAACGGGCGGGUUGCUGGUUGUGUGGCCUCAUAUUCGUCGCCCUCGAUUGAUGCACUCCGGUAAGACGAUGUUGCAUACACCCCAUCUCCUGACUUCUUCUGCCUCGUUGAACUGGUUGUCAUAAAUGUUCCCUUCCACUUUGGUUCAUCCUUCACCAACCGCCAUUCAUUCUCAUGUUUGAAAUCUUUACCCGUAUCUACAUGAUAUAAUUGAUGCGUCGUAGCCAUGAUGUCCUUAUCUGAGUGUCCACUUUUCCAAUGAUUGACGACUUUAGUGUGGCAACCGACAAAUUUUUGAAGAUCAGCAUUCAAUUUAUUAAAACGAGAUUUCAUGGAUAACCAUGUCCUCGAAGGAGAGGCAUCGUCGCGGUACUCCUCAUAUUGGGCUCGGAUCUUAUUCCAAAACAAAUCUGACUUUUGCUCAUUUCCCACGACCCGAUCGGUAGAAACGUUGAGCCAUGAUUGAAGAAGAAGUAUAUUAUCUUUACCACUCCCUUUGGUGCGUUUCUUUCCGGAUUCUUCAAGAUCAAUAUCAUCUAGACCCCGUUGAGUAGAAAAUUCAGGCUCAUCGGGCAUAACCUCACAUUGUGUACUUGAGACUUUUGAACUACUGCUGCUACCAGUAGGAGGUGCUUGGUAUUGUGGUGGAUACAUACAAUAUUGUGGAUUGUUUGGAUAAGGCAUUUGUGGUGGAUAUGGUCCCAUUUGACCCUGAGGUUGGUUUUGAUGGUAGAACGAUUGUGGAAACAUUUGAUACGAAGGAUUUUGAACAUUACCACCGGUGUGAGGAGGUUGGUUUUGAGGGUGACACAUCUGCGGAUGUUGGCUUUGUGGUUGAUACAUUUGCGGAUGUGGGUUUUGUUGUUGGAACAUCGGCAUAGGUUGGCUUUGCGGACGAAUCAUCUGCGAAUGUUGGUUUUGUUGUUGGAACACCAUCAUAGGUUGGCUUUGCGGGUGAAUCAUCUGCGGAGAUUGGUUUUGUGGCGGAAACAUAGGCGAAGGUUGCAAACCUUCACUUGUAGGAGGUGUUUCAUUGUCGAGCAGUGGAUAAUAUUGCUCAUAAGGAUUAGACAUUUUGAGAAAUUUGAGAAUUUGUGGACAAGAGAGAAAUUGUAGGAGUAAAUGUUGGUGUUUCAAAUGGUCUACUGCACUAUAUAUUAAGGUAAAGAAGCUGAGAAUUGAAAAAACGGUCAGAAAACCGGUCAAUUUAAAAAUAUUCAAAAAAAAAUGCCCAAACGGGCAGAAAACCGGCUCCAGCCGGUCUGGACCGGCCCGUAACGGUGGGAUGACCGGCUCAGCCGGUCACCCACUAUAUAAUCUAUUUUUCCUCACUCACUCUCCAUUCCAACUCUCAACCCUAGUCGCUCCUCUCUUCUUCCUCUCUUCUCUCACGCUCAGCUUCUUCUUCAACCUCAAGCUCUUAAUCACCUUCUUCUUUUCCCCUUCCUCUUUCCCUCUUCCUCUUUCUCUGACCUGCAGCGCCUCCUUUUCCCCUUCCUCUCACCCUGACCUGCAGAUCCUUCCUCUCUACCUCACUUCUCCUUUUCUUCUUCCUCUCGACGCCUCCUCUUCUCCUUCCUCUCUCCCUCACUUCUUCUCCCUCGAUCUCUCUGGUCCACGCCUCCAAAGCCCCAGCCGAUCACCAAACAUCAACCGCCGCCACCAAACAACCACAUGCAGUCACCAUCGGCCACCAAACAACCACCACCGCCAACAUACAGCCUCAAUCCAACCCCCACAACCCCUGUUUGCCAGCUUCAAAGCCUUGAAGCUUGCAAAAAUCCUUCCUUUUCACACAUGCAAGGGCCAAUACUCUCAGAUCAGAGCUUCCAGAACUUCACCGGAGAAGUUUUUUUUUUUUAGGGUUUAGGGAAAUAUCAAUUUUUGUGUUUUAAGUUUCAAUUUCUUCAUGUAAAGUUUCAAUUCAUUCAAUAAAAUUGCAAUUUUCGUCCUCUGAUUAUGUCUCUGUUGAACUUGAAUUGUUCAAUUUCAUCCUUUCUGUUAUGUUUGCCUCUGAAAGCUGUUGGGGAAGUGAGAGAAAAUAUAUUAUUUUAAUUAAGAAACUGAAAAAGCAAAGUUGCUUGCAGAAGCAACCAUGCACUAUAGUUAAGAAACUGAAACUGCCAACUGAGCAAGCUCCAAUGGGUUGAAAAGCUAAGAAACGUUUCUUAGCAACUCCAUUUGGGUUAAGAAACCAGCGUUGAAGUUGCUCUAAUAUACCAUCACCACCACAAGGAAUCAGUCAAGGCACGUGCGGUAAAGAAGUGCAUCAUGUGUAACCAACAUAUGUGCCACGUCCAGGAGAGAGAAAAUAAAGGAAAAUAACCAUUUUUGUUUUGUUUUGUUUAAUUUCUACAGCAAAAUAAUAAGAAAUGCUUCUUCUCUGACUCUCUAUUGAAGAACAGAACCCGUAUUGCAAAACAUAGCUAUUCAUGGCAGCCAAUUCAAUUUCAAUGUCUCAUGAAAUAAUUUAGAGCAUGUUAAUCGAAUUUUUAAGCAGAUUAAUAGCCCUCAAACAAAUUUUGAAAACAUGCAUCACAAAGGGAUAAAUUGCAAAUCGAAAAUUUAAGGGUUCAAGAUACUAAAGCAUCAAUUUCUCACAAAGUACUCAACCAAGUCACCCCAAAUUUUAGUAUGUAGGUCGAAUAACAUCAUCAAAACCACCCAAACAAUUUCUAGAAUCAUGCACAAAAUUUGGGAUGAAGAAAUAUAAUUACGCCAGUAACGCCGUUACAGACAAAAUACGCGAACUGAAACGCAUUGGAGUUUUGAUGCUAACAGGCACACAUACGGAAAUUACUUGAUUAAUAAAUCAUUCCAUAAAGCAGCCAUAACCCAUUUCUAUCAAGCUCUGAUACCAAUUGCUGAAUUUAACUGACCAAAUAGAUAAUAUACAUAUAGAUACAUAUUACAAUAUUACAGCAUGUUCUGAUUCAAUAAUGAGAAAAAGAAUUGUGCACCUGAAAGGAUUGAAGAAUACAUGAGUCUGUUGUUUGACCAGAGAAUGAUAGUGGAAAGACACCAGAGGAUGGAACUGCUCUCUGCACCUGGUAAUACAUUCUCUAGAUAAAUUGUCUAAUGGGGAAACAAUUUAUAUAUUACCAGUUGAGACCAGGGUCCCCUCAUUAGACAAAGUUAACUGAUCUAACCCAUCAUAGGACAGUUAAUAACAAAAGUCUAAUCUACCAUCUAUCAUAAUACAUUUAAUUGAAUUAAAUUAAUAAUUCACAUAAUUGAUAUUAAUAACCAAAACAAAAUAUAUCUUAGUUAAUUGAUAAUGUUAACCCACAUAACAAACAAUAGAGAUAGUUAAUUAUAAAUAAAUCUAACAUCACUCCCACCAUCUGAAUCACGGCCUCGCCUGCAACAUCAUCGUCCGGUGGCAAAAGACAUCAAUGGACAGGAACCACAAGUCUGAUGACAGUUACGUUUCUGGGUGAAAUCAUUUUAAUAUUUUUAAAUAAUAUUCAAAACUCUGAUAAUCAUGUGUCAAUUUAUUUGAUUUUGAUUGGUGUGAAUGUGAGCAUACCUAUUAAACUUUUUUAAUUUAGCAAUCAAUUUUAUCUUUUAAGAAAAAUUGAAAAAAUUAUAGUACAUAAACCCACACAAAAUUCUGUAGGUAUAUAUUACUAUUUUUUCUGUAGUUAUUACUUGAUAGGUAGAAAGUGAUAGGAAAAUCGAUAGCAAAUAUAUUGUGUUGGACCAUAGGAAAAUCUAUUGAAAAAUCUGGAUGAAAAUUCACAAAAGAAGUUGUAGAAAAAUUUGGAAAAACAGUAGGAGGAAUCUAUAGAAAAAUUGAUGAAUAAAUUUUCUUAUAAAUUUUUGCUACAAAUUUUUUCUGGGUAAAACUUCAUGAGAAUAUUUGAUAUUUCUCGUGAUUUUUUAAGGAAAUUUGAUUUGUAGAAAAAUUUAUAAGAAAUUUAGACAAGCAAAAAAGAUUAUUUUAAUAGCAAGGGGGGUAGGUUCUUGUAAGUUGGUCGAGCAAAUUAAUAAUAAUAUUUUAAUAGCAAGGGGUAGGUUCUUCGUUCUUGCAAGUUGGUCAGGAAAAUUGAUAAUAUUUUAUUCUUGUUUUCAAAAAAAAAGAUAAUAUUUUAUUCUUGCAAGUUGCUGGAGCAAGUAGCGGCAACCCACCCAGACGGAGGAAUUUAUUAUACACCUCUAAAAACUUGUGCAUAGUUGCACAUUUGCUUUUUAACCUGCAAUAGCAAGUUUAGUAGGUUUUUUUGUUAAAAAAUAAAAAAACAUAUAUAUUAGUAAACUAAUUAAUGAAGGAUUAAGUUAAUUAUUAACUCAGUAAUUAAAACCAAAAAAAAAAAUCUUCUUGCAAAACUCCCCCGAUCAUCCUCACCUUACUCAUCCCAUCUCCAGUCCCUAUCUCCCAGCCCUAACCCUUUCCUCCUCUUCUUUCUCCCAGCCACCGCAACUCCCCAGAUCUGCAACACCACCUUCAUAUCCCAACCUCCUUCUUCCUUUCAGCCAAGAAAAACCCACGCUCACUCUCUUUCAACAUCUUCAACAGUUUUAAGUUUCUUCCCAAAUUUCUUCAUCUUUGACAGAGAGAAGUUAAAUGCACCACCACGCCUUCCACCGCACUGCGCAACGCCUCCACCACCACCACUCGCAGCUUUCCCGCCCUCAGUUCAAGUAACCUCCAUCACACCGUCAUACACAUCCAUACGACCCCAAAGUCCCAAUUUUUCAGCUUCCAAACACCACUUUACGACCCCAUAAACAACCCAGAACCUGGGUGUGUCUCUUCUGGGCUAAAAACAGAAGAAAAAAAACAAGAUCUUGAUGAAGAGUAGAAGGCUUACUCUAUCGCUCCAUCUGAUGGGAACCAGAUCUGUGCGACGAAUCUUCUGCAGUCACUCCAUCGCUCUCCUUCUCGCACCUCUGAUUUUUGCUCCUUCAUCUUCUCUUUGGUUAUGGGUUGGGUUUUUGGGCUUAGUUUCUUGGCGGGGUUGGGGGUGAGGGUGGGAUGGGGUGCGAUGGGCUUCUUCUCUCUGCCACCGCCGUCACGCCUCAUCUCUCCAAAAUCCAUAUCACCCUCAGAUCUUCUUUCUCGACCCACGGCUGUUGAACGAGAUCCAGAUCAAGAGGGAGAUGCAGCUUAACGGCGAAGGCCACCCACAGAGAUGCAGCCCCAACGGCGAAGGCCGGUGCGGUUGGGUGGUUUUUUUUUUUUUUUAGAUCUAGAUUUUUUUGGGUUGUUGGUGAGAAUAACAGAGGAGAUGAAGGAGAAAGGUCUGUGGGGAAGACAAAGAGAGAAGAGGUGAUGAAGGGGGAGAGAGAAGAGGAACAGAUUUUUUUUUUUGAUAAAGAGGAAGAGGAACAGAUUAAGAUUAAGGAUAAAUGUUUUCUUUUUUAAUUAAUUAAAAAUAAAUGCUUAAUUAAGAAAAUAUGUUUUUUGAUUUUUUUUUUAAAAACUUGCUAUAGUGGGUCAAAAGGUCAAUGUGCAACCUUACACAAGUUUGUAGAUGCCCAUAAUAAAUUUUUCCAACCCAGACAAGCAAACUAAUCAAUAUAAUAAUGUAUUCUCCACUAUAAAUACCUAUAUGCAUCAAGCAAUGCAAUCACACCCAAAACCUUGUCUUCAGUUAUUCCCCAUUGAAGCAAGCAAAUUAAUCAUGUUACCUCUAGCAUUGGCUAUACCUGCGUUGCAGCUCCUUCUGAUAAUACUUUUCAUUCUAUCAGUUGCCCAGCUUCUUAAUCCAAAAGAGCAUAAAAAUGGUAGGAAAUAUCCACCAGGUCCCAAACCUCUGCCAAUUAUAGGCAACCUCCACCUGCUGGGUAAACUCCCACACCUCUCCAUUCACGAGCUUGCCAAAAAAUAUGGACCCAUCAUGUCCUUAAAGCUAGGACAGGUCCCAACCAUUGUGGUUUCGUCCCCUGAAACAGCAGAGCUAAUCCUCAAGACCCAUGACUCUGUUUUUGCUAGCAGACCUUUAACUCAAGCAUCCAAAUACAUUUGCUAUGACAGUAAGGGCUUGAUUUUCUCUGAGUACGGUUCCUACUGGCGCAAUGUGACGAAGCUGUGCACCUUUGAGCUCUUAAGCGUGAAUAAAGUUCAAAGUUUUGCUCCUUUAAGGAGUGAGGAAGUACGAGUGUUUGUGAAAUCACUUGAGAAAUCAGCAGCCUCACGCGAGGUUGUGAAUGUCAGUAAGAGAGUUGGGGAACUUGUAGAGAAUGUUGUCCAGAAAAUGAUUUGGGGUCCCAGUAACAUUGAAAAUUUUGAUGUCAAAAGGCUUGUUCAUGACGUUCUGCACCUCAUGGGAGUUUUUGAUGUGGGAGAUUAUAUACCUUGGGUUGGGGCAUUUGAUCUUCAGGUACUUCCAAUACAACCACUACUAGCAUGUUUGAAUCUACUUAUUUCGCUUCAUAAUCAUUUCUUAUAUGCAACAAUUAAACUUUUUUCCUAGAAUCAAUUUUGCCUUUAAAAGGACUAUAGAUCGAUUUUCGUACAUGUACUAUUGCAUCUUGUUCAAGGUUGUCAUCGAUUCUAAGUUUCUAGGUCCCAAAAAGAAUCAACUAGCAAGUAAACUCUAAAAUUUCAAGAAUCGAGCAAACUCUUGUUAACUUGGUAAACUCGCAUAGGCUUGCGAUUCUACACCAAGUUAGUCACGGAAAAAACAAAAACAAAUUUUUCCCUAAAUCCUGAAAUUAAAUGGAGUAAUUUUGGAUUUUCACAAAAAGCUUUCAAUUAAGACCGAGAGAAAAAUAGGAUUUUCUCAUUUUAAUCCAACAUUCUCAUUCACCUUCAAACUCUUGGAGAAGAUGAGACAUCAGCGCUGCAAGUCGUCGUCGCCGCUUUAAAUUUUUAGCUAUCUCCAAGACUUUAUUUUGAAUUAUGCAUUCUUGGUACUUUGAAUCUUUGAUCGUUUAUGUAUUUUAUUGAACUUUACUUUAUUAUAAAGUUGGUUGUUGAAUUUAUUUGAUUAUUGUCUCCUUAGUGGUUGUAUUAUGUAUUCUUUUUACACCAUGACAGGUUUUAUCAAGGUUUUUAUUUUGGUAGACUCUUACGAGUCUACGAGUUAACUUGAGGAAACGAGUUUACCUCCCAAAACGAGUUUGCGUAGACUCUCGAGUCUGACAACAUUGAUCUUGUUACUUUUGAUUCUUAAAAGUCUUAUGUGACAAACCUAGGACACAUCAUCAGUUAGUCCGUAGUGGCAUUCUACAAGGCUUUAUGAGACUGUAUGACACACCAUGCUACAUGCUGAUGUGAUAAUAUUGACAAUAAUAAAAAUCUCAAAUCUUUACACAGUGAUAAUUCGAACAUGAGACCUCAAUAUUUAUAGGACUUUGAACAUAUUUAAUCCUUAUUCUUAUCCUAAAAGAUUUUACAUUGUCCACUAAAUCUGACUUAAUAUUUAAUCCAUAUCUCAGGGACUAGUAAGAAAGUUCAAGAAAGCGCACGAGGAAUUUGAUCAAAUGUUAGAGCAAAUCAUCAAAGAUCAUGAGGCUCCUUCUCGUCUUAGCGACCAGAAAAACGGGCAAUCUAUUGACUUCACUGACACAUUGCUAUCACAUAUGAAGCAAUCAAAGGACAAACAUAUUAUUAACAAAACAAAUCUCAAGGCUAUUUUGUUGGAUAUUAUUAUCGGAUCACUUGACACAACUAUCAUGACGACUGAUUGGGCUAUGUCAGAACUACUGAGGCACCCGAAGGCUAUGACGAAACUUCAAGAUGAGUUAAAGAAUGUAGUGGGUAUGGGGAGGGUGGUAGAAGAAGAUGACAUACCAAAGUUGCCAUACCUCAAUAUGGUGGUGAAAGAGACCUUUAGGAUACACCCACCUGCACCCCUCCUCGUACCUCGCGAGUGUUUGGAAGAUAUAACAAUCAAUGGUUAUUUCAUUGCGAAAAAGUCACGGGUUUUAGUCAAUUCUUGGACAAUAGGACGAGAUCCUAAAAUUUGGUCAGAUAAUGCUGAGGAUUUUUAUCCAGACAGAUUUCAAAACACCGACACAGAUUCUCAUGGACUCCAUUUUCAAUUUCUACCAUUUGGUUCCGGUCGUAGACGCUGUCCCGGGAUGCAAUUGGGUUUAACUACCGUUCCGUUGGUUCUAGCUCAGUUAGUGCAUUGCUUCAAUUGGGAGCUUCCAUUGGGCAUGUCUGCCAAUGACUUAGACAUGACGGAGGAAUUUGGCCUUACAACGCCAAGAGUUCAAAAUUUGCUAGCGAUUCCAACUUAUCGCUUAGUAAAUGAAGGUAAUUGAAUGCAUCAAACCUCGUGACAAAGCAAGAAACUAUUUUAAUGUGUUUUUCAAUUUAUGUCUUUCUUUGUUUGUCUCUUAAUAAGAUCUUCAUGUGCGCACAGAGCUUCUUUGCAGCCCUUGGAUCGAUCAUACCUAAGAGAUUAUGCUGAUUUUUUUUAUUUUGGCACUGUAAUAAUUUGAUAAUCCUAUUACUCAUGAUGGGUUUCAAUACGUUAAGUCGGCGCAUAUCAUCAUGUAUUUGAACAUUGCAUGUUAUUUUCCUUUAGACAAAUCUCUCUAGCCCAACAACCAACAUAAAAAUUGGUUUCAAAACAAACAACCCAACACAAUUGGUAGCUAGAUAGCUGAGUUCGUUAAGCAUUUAUUUGAGAGUUUGAUUCUUGAGCAGUGUAUAUAGAGAAAGAUUUGUUGAAAAAGACUUACCCGCUCAAUCUAGAGCUGGGUACAAGGGUGGCCCACUCCGCACAAGCCUGCUUCGUGUUGCUUCGCCCCGCGUAGGCCCGCAUUUUAGCAGUCCUCUAUUUUCCGGGCUAUAACCCGCAGUAGUCCGCGGUUUUGCGGGCCGAUCCAUGGACUUUGGCAUCUCUUACCCCUUUUUUGCCUUUGUAGGCCUGCCCCGCAUUGACCCCCCCCCCCCCCCGCACUGGCCCGCUUCGCGUAGGCCCAUAUUUUAGCGGUCCUCUAUUUUCCGGGCUACAGCCCGCACUAGUCCACGGUCUCGCCGGCCGGCCCGCGUACUUCGACCCGCUUACCCAGCUCUAGCUUAAUCUAAUCUCAGAUCAUUGAAUAGAUUAGUCUUGGUGCUGCCAACUAUCAAAUACUUAAUAAAAAAUGGCUUAAAAGCACUUUUGGUCCCACAAAUUUCUAUUGUGUAAAUAGAGUCUUUAAUCUUUAAAAAUAUCACUCUUAAUCCCCAAUGUUACCCUCCAUCAACCUUCUUUGCAAUGGCUGAAGCUUGAAUUUUAUUUUUUUGAGGACCAUAGUAAAAUUUUAAUACGCAUAUAUACUUUCUUGGUUAUUUGGUGAGUUUCAGAUCAAAUUUCAGUAAAUAAACCAAAAUAUCUUUAUUAGAAAAACACAUAUGUAUACAACAAAAAUGAAAAAGAUUAACCUAACUUAUGUACAGGAACAAUAGAAAAUUACUAUAAGUUGUACUAAUAAUCUUUGAAAUUUUCUAUUUAGUUUUUUUUUCUUCAAGUUUUGGAUUAUUGGUAUAUAUAUUUUUUCCUUUAGAUAGCAUUUUUAUAUUUAUAAUCAAAAUUCUUUCUCUUAAUAAAAGAAUUUAUUCUUUAAUUUUUGGUUAUUAAUUUUUUGGGACAAGCUUCCAUAUGCCAUUUUUCUGAAGAGGCAGGGGUGCCCCCCUUUCCUAGCCAUUGAUUUAUAAUAUUUUAAUUGAACGAUCCGGAUCAGUUGAGGAAGAUAAUUAUGGCUUGGUCCUAUGCACUAGUCAAAAUAUAUCUCUGGUCCUAUUACAUUUUAUAUUCACGUAAAUGACUGUAAAGUUUAUGCAAUCCAUUAUAGACCCUAUGAGUUUUCAUAUCUAAAAAUUAGUCCUAACUAUAUAUACACAAAACCAUGAAUUAAAUUCAUUUUAUGCAUCCAAAAUCUGAAGGAUCCAUUGCUCUUCUCUCUUCUCCAAACUUACUUUCUCCUUCUCCUACAAGUGACAAUGGAUUAAAACAAAUGAGGAUGGAGAGUGGUGGAUCCAAAAGUGGGGAUUGUGCAUUGAUGAGUUGUGGAUCUAAAACUGGGGUUGUCCAUGUCAAAAAAUAUGUUUAUGGUUUUGUGAUAACAAUCUCAUAGAUAAGUAUAGUGAAAGAAUAGAAAAAUAAUUGCAUAAAACUAUUCUCACUUUCUGGGUUCCAUAAGUGGUAACUAGUUAGGAAAAAUAAUUUUAUGUUGUUGUUUGUUCAAUGUUUGGUGAGAAUUUGUGCAAAAUCUGUGUCUCCUUGAUGUUCCUCGUCAAGUCACAGUCCCAACAAGUCAUACUAGAGCUUUGAUGGUGACUCGAGGUGGUCGGAAUCAUCAUUUUCGAAAAUGACCCAUUUUUAAAAGUUCCUGAAAUGAAAAUCUGAGGUCAUAGAUGGAUUCAGAAGGUUGAGACGAGUCCGGAACAAGUUCCGGAAUCUCAAACGGAGCCUGGACGAAGCUACACUCUCCCGCACUUGCCGGCGAGGUGGCCGGAGAGUGAGCCCACUCUCGGCCACGCGCUCCACUCGCGCUAGAGGAAGAAGGAGAGUGGCGGCCACUCUCGGCUAUGAGACACACGCGCCUGAUGACGUCAGAGACGCUGAUACGGCUUGUUCUCAUGCUGACAUGUGACAGAAUGUGUUUUUUGGAAAUUUUGGGUCAUUUUUAUCCGUUUUGGGUUCAAGAGGAGUCGAUUCUAAGGUUUUCGACCGUUCCGGACGCAAUGGUGUGGUUCUUUUCUUGAAAAUCUUUCCAGAUUUGCAAAUAGGACCAGAUAUUGGCCUUUGAAUAAACUUAAGUAAUGUGUUUUUUUAAUAAAUUUGGUCAUUUUUAUCCGUUUUGGGUACAAGGGGAGCCGAUUCUAAGGUUUUCGACCAUUCCAGAAGCAACGGUGGUAUUCGUUUCAUGAAAAUCUUUCCAAAUUUGCGGAUAUGAUUAGAUCAAUUCUAAUAUUUAAAUGAAUACUAGUGAAUUGAUGGAUAAUGACACUUUUAACCUAAUUUAGUUAUUCUAAAGUCUACGUUAAACUAGGAUUAUCCAUUUUAAUGACCUCUUAACUUAACGUUAGUUAUUCCAUUGACCCUUUUAAACGAAUGUUAGUUAUACUAUUAUCUCGAUUAGACUAGGGUUAGUUAUUCUAAUGACCCUCCUAACUGAAGCUUAGUUAUACUAUAGUCUUAGUUAGACUAGAGUCUGUUAUUCUAUAGUCUCAGUUAAACUAGAGCUUGAAAUUCUAUAGUCUCAGUUAAACUAUAGCUUAAAUCAGGUUUAUCUAUUAUAGUGGUUUUCUUAACUUAAGAUUAGUCAACUUGUGUUAGCGCAAAAAAAAAAAAUCAAAGUAUGAAAAAAAGGGCCAUCAGCCAAACAAAAUUCCAACAGAAUUGGCUAAUGCAAAAAAGCCCAGAUAUGCGUUUUUUGCACCAAAAAAGGAGGGGUCAGCAGCAAAAAAAACUAGCCCAAGAAAAAAAACAAUCAAAUCCUUAUAGAAAAGUGAAGGGCCAUCAGCCAAACAAAAAAAACCAACAAAAUGGGCUAAUGCAAAAAGGCCUAGAUAUGUGUUUUUUACACAAAAAAGGAGGGGCCAGCAGAUGAAAAAAAAAAACCUAGCCCAUUUUUGUUUUUUUUCCGAGUUCUUUUUUCUUCUGAUUUCAUUUAUUCUGAUUUCAUUUAUGAGCUUUUUCUAAGGAUUUUUCAAUAUCAAAAACAUACUUUUGAGACUUUAAUUCACAGUUUUUGAAAUUAAUAAAAUCUCAUUUUGAUUGAUUAAUCUGAGUUAAAAUAAAUGAUUAACUAACUGUUGGUUGUUAUUAUAAAUACUCUUAAUUAUGUUGAUAAUCAUAAUAAGGAGGAGGGAUGAAAAAAUGAACUAAAGAAGAUGGAGAGGAAUCUUAUCCUUCUCGACCACUUUAAGCAUUAACUUCAUGAUGAUUAAACUCUUUGAUUUGGACCCUCGAGAGUUACGACACACCUCAGAGAACCCAAUGAUGAAGAGGAAACUAUAGAACAUUUACACUUGGACCUUGAACUAGGGUUAGUUAUUUCAUAGUCCUGAUUAAACUAUGAUUAUAUGUUCUACUAACUUUAAUAACCUAAGGUUAGUUAUUCAAUAGUCCCUAGCUAGGGUUAGUUAUUCUAGUUACACUCUUAACUUAAGGUUAGUUGUUUUAAUAGUUCCGAUUAAACUAGAGUAUCUAUUCUAAUGACCAUCUUGUUAGGACAGGCCACAAUUAUAGCAUCUAUAAAGAAUAUUCGAUCAAGAUGAACCAUAUGGAUGAUCAAGAUGAAACAUGUGGAUGAUCAGGAUGAACAUGAUGGAUGAUUGUGAUCUUGAUGAUGGAUGUCAUGAUGGGUGGUCAAUAUGAUCAUGAUAGAUGAUUAAGAUGAACCCGAUGGAUAGCCAGGAUGAAACUCAUGGAGGAUCAAAAUUGUCACGAUGGAUGGUCAAAAUGAAAUUGAUGUUAGAUUAUAUUUAUAUAAAAAGGUCAAGAGUGACUUGUCAGAAAGUCGACCAUGUUGAACAACACAUCGUUAGCUAAUCUCGAUCUUAAGUUCCUAAUAUUAGCUAGUUCAAGCAAGAUUAUUGACAUGUCAAAACAACAUAACCAGGCAUAUAAAGCUUUUAAGUUUUUAAGAUUAGAUAUUUCGGUUAAGAUCAACUUGUCGAAACAACCUGAUAAAGCUUUCAAGGUUGAUAAGUUACAAAGAUUAGCCAACUUGACGUGUUCAUACAAUCAAAAGAUUAAUUGGAUGUAUGUGUAAAGUGUAAACAAAGUUUACACUGUCGGUGCAUACACAUUUAAUCAUUCAAGUAAAUAACUGAUUUUAUUCUACUAAUAAUUAAAUAGAGAUUAAUUUUCAUGCACUGACAGUGUAAAUGAGUUUACACAGGUUCAAUCAUAUCUCAAUUUUUUGGCUCAUAUUUAAUUUUAAAUUUAAUAAUAUUUAAAAUAAGAAAUAGAAUGUUGUGAUUGAAUGAUUGGGUAAAACCUUUUAUACUGUGAGUACAUAAAAAUUAACAUGAACGAAAUAACCUGAUUUUAAUUUUUGGCGCUCAAAAUUUAAAUUUUCCCGCUCAUAUUUUGAUUUUUUUGAAAUUAAAACACUGAUUUUAGUCAAUUGAUUUUACGUGUGAGCUCCUCCUUUUUUGGCUUAUUUUAAUCUUUAUGCUCCUUUCAGAGUUCCCGCUCUUCCUUCUUUUAGUUUCCCUCUCUUUUUCAUCUGUCAAAGUAUUCAGGACUCAAUUGGAGAAGAAAAAUUAAAAAAUUCUAGAAAUCUUAUCUCUAUCCUACUUGAGAUUUCCUAUCUCACUAAUCUGUCCUUUUCAUCUUACUCUCUCACAUUUUCACUAUCUCUUUAUCUCCACCUCUUCUGCAUCUCCUUAUCACUUUACAGUCGGAUCCAGUUCCUCUCCUGCCAAUCUCUCUCCGGCGUCUCACCGCACACGGCCGUUGAAGCUCAUGACCGCCGUCUCCGCCAAGGACCCAAACAUCGUCGCGUCUCAUCGUUCUAUCACCGCUCUCGGCGCUGGCCUGAUCACGACCGCCUUAUCCCACCCAUUGUGCCUCUCGCUGACGAAGCAAACCCAACCGCGUCUCGCCGUCUCCGAUUCUCUCAUUCAAUUUGUCGCCGUCAAGCUCAAGCCCCAUAUCCUUCAGAACGACUACCCCUGGUUUCCAAUUUCAAAUUUAGGAACACGAAACCUGUAACAUUGUACAAGAGGAAUGCAUAUUGUCUUGGCAUUUUAGAUUUUUUGUGGUUGUACCAGAGGACAUGACUAGGUGAAGAGUAGUACCUCGGACGGUGAGUUCAAUUUCCUACCUUCCGCUCUUAUGUUCAAUUUUUAAUUUUACUUCCUCUGUUAUUCAUCUCUUUCUCAUUUGGCUUACCAUUUGUCAGGAAAACAAAAUUCUGUGCAUAUGCUAAACUAGCCAUUAAAAAAAUUGACUUUGAUAUGAGGGUGUUUUUUUGGAUGAUUGGUCUAUCUUGGCUUAGAAACUGAUUUUUGGUGAUUUGUUUUCUGCAGCAAAAAGGGUUUUCUGUGAUACUUUCAGACAUGCGUCCAUCGGUUUCUGGAAUCACAAUCGGUUGUUGGCAGUGCUGCUUCUUCUGUUCAAGCUUCAGCUGAUGAUGAUGAUGAUUAUAUUCGGGAGGAGCAAAGUGUUGAUGAUCCAUCCGGUUCAAAUGAUAAGGGAGUCUUGCAAGUUGGAGGGAACCUUAUUAUAAAGAUUUUGGAGAGUGAAGAUUCCAAAGGUGGUUCAUUUUUCUCAAGACUAGUUUUAUUCCAGCUGAUUUGGUUGCGUAAUGUGUUUAUUUAAUCUCUUUUGAAAUCUUCUGCUGCAGAAAUCAGUCAGAUUUGUAAACCAUUAUUUAGAAAGUCAUCGUAGCUGAGGCCUAAAGCCACAAGACCUUCCUCAAGAGAGAUCUAUUUGAUAUGUCAUGGUUUAAAGCCAGACGCAAAGACAUAGGUUGUUUUAUACGAUAUUCUUUGUCUGGGUGAACAUUAGGGAUGAACAACAUACAAAACUCACCUUCUCCUUUAUUUUUUUAUGUUCAUUUUCAUUACUAUAUUUGUGCUUGAUUUUGUUAAAAGGGUGUUCUACUUUUGGGCUCUACUAUGGUCAUGGGAUAUUUUCUAUUCUUAAUUUAAUUAUAAUAAACUACUUUUAAGAUCAGUCGGGGACCAUAUAAGAGACUAUCAAAUUUUUUACCUUGUGCUCAAACUGGAUUUUCUAAUAUUUUUGUUAUGAUCUUAUGUUCCUGAUUUAAUUUAUACCAUUUUAAACUUAAAUUAACAGGAUCUGUUGCAACAAUGGGUAAGAACCAUUUGUGAGUUUAGUGACAUAAUUUGAUUGUCACCUUGGUUUCAAUUGUGCAUGACACUCAUUUGUUUCUUGCCUUGUUUACUUUGUGUUUUCCUGAAUGAUUUUCUUGUUUGCUGUCUGACAAGUUUUUAGUUUCAGGCACACUAGUUGUUCAAUGAAAUAGGAUAAAUGUGCGAAAGCAAGAAUCAUGAAGGUGAAAGAGCAACCCGUUUUAGGCUGAGUAGCACCUUAUUGAAUCGCACCUCCAAUAUUUUGUUCAUUGUGAGAGGUCCAUUUGAAAAAUCUGGGAAUUUUUACAUUAUUCCUUCGAUUUGGGUGCCUCUCUCUAUCUCUCUCUGUCGAGUUCACCAAUUUCUUUGUCUAUCAUCACUAAUUCCUUUGUUUAUGUUCUGCAUAGUGAGAUUAAUUGAUUGCUUUAAAGAAGUCAAUUUAUGAGACUGGGCAUUCAAGGGAGUUCCAGUGAUUUGGUUACCGAGGUAUAUGGACUAUGUAGUGGAUUAUCUUUCACAAAUCGUACCGACUGUCUAGCGCAAGUUGAUCCAGGUUUCUCCUUCCUCGACCUUUCACAUUUUUUUAUGUGAAUUUAAUUUACAUUAUGAAUUCUUUAUUGAUUUGGGUUUGUGGAAAGUUCAGGACUUUCAUGUUUUAACCAUGUGAUGUGUCCAAUUGCAAUGAGUAAUGUUCAAAAUCACUCUUUGUCAUCAAAUGUUGGCACAUCAAAUUUGCGAUUGAAAUUUAAGAAACGUGAACUUUACUACGUAAUGCAUCCAAAUGGUAAAGCUCUUAAUUCAUUGUUGAUUUUUCUUUGGCCAUUCUCAUGAUUUGGUACUGUUAAAUUGUGCUAUUAACUUUUGAUUUUCUAUAGUGAUUGUGCAUGUUUUGUCUUUAUCUACUUUCUUCUUUCAUCUGUUUGUUGGCUACUUAGAUAUAUGACAUACUCCUAUUUUCUCAGAAUCAAUUAAUUUCCACACAUGCGCAUAGUGUGCUACUUGUUUCUAAUUUUGUUUCAUUGACUCCAUGUUCUGUGGUGCUAAAAUUAACUUGUGGCAGUUUGUAGGAGGAAAAAGGGUGGAUGGUUUCGUGUCUGAGAUCAUUUGGUCAUGCUAAUAUUGACUGUUUAAUAGGGAGGAUAAAGGAUAAAUUGUAAUGCUGUUUGGAAUGAAGGAGGAUAAAUUGUAAUGAAGGAGAUUGACAUCUGGUAUUGAUUGUAUUUGUUUAUAUAUGGUAAAGUGGCCAGAAAUUUCCUUUAGAUCAGAAAAGUAGAAAUGAAAGGUAGAGUGGAUCGUCUACAUUCACUGAGUGCAUGUUUGUAAAUUUAAUAGAUUUUCUCAUUUGGGGGUUAAAUGAUUCUGGAAGAAGCUAUCAGAAGUAAUUCUUACAUAGGGAAAAAUGAUCAUGAGAGAGUUAAAGUAGAUCCAAAAAUGGUGAAAAUUAGCUAUAUGUAUUACAGAGGAAAACAUUUUGAGGAUUGAUCGAUAAAAUUAAAUUAUCGCAUGAUAAUCCCAAUACAAGCAACCAGGAAACUCUAUAAAUGUCUAUACCAGCUUUUCCAUUUCUAAGUAUCUAGGAGAAUUAAAUUUAGUAGGUAUACGCAUAAUGUACAAUAUUGUUUUAAUUGCAUUAACAGUACAAAAAAGAAGAAAUUGUUUGUUAUGGAAUACUGGCUUAACUUUUCCUUCAAUGAAUUUCAUAAUAAAGUACAAAAAAAUGUGGAUUCCAUACAUUAAUUCAUUUGUGGGGCACUAUGAUCUAUUUGACUAUAGUAUAAGGAUCCAUCUCACACAUAACAUUACAUGUGCACAUUUCAUAUUAGAUGAUUUAGUUUCUAGCUUACUUUUUAAUAUUAUCAGUGUUACUUUUUAAUGGCUUACUUCAUUUUUGAGUCACUUGGUAUUCCAGUUCUACUGAGCUAGGUGUAUAUAACUUUGCUGUUUUUCACUGUUUCUUGGUGCAGAAAUUAGACCUAACACAACUAAGCCUUUGGAUUCUGAGUGUUUUUCCUCAAAAACUUGUGCUUCCUAGGCAAUUCUAUUUGCUUCAUUUUUUUUAUUCUCAACUAAUUGGAUCAAUUGCAUGAUUUAGUGAAGUUCCAACCCUGAUUAUUUGUUCCAGCCUUGGAACCACCUUGAAAAAUGAAUUUUGUCACUGACAUUCCUCCAGUCAGUGUUGAGAAAAAUAUUUUUUUUCUUCUCUUUUGAUGCCAAUCCUAUAAGAUAGCAAGAACAUGAACAUUUUUGGCAGAGAAUCAAAUAGCUUAUGGAGGAAUGUUGUGGUUGAAAGAUAUUCGCAAGACCCUUUGUCACUGCUCUGGCACUUAGAAUUAUCAAACCCUUCGGUUGGAUCCAUUGUAAUCCGGGACACUUAGAAUUAUCAAACCCUUCGGUUGGAUCCAUUGUAAUCCGGGACAUAUGGAAGGUGCUUAUAAAUGAUGAUUUGAUUUCUGCCGGUUUCAUGGAAAACCUUCUGGUUGUUGUGGGAGAUGGCAAGAAAACGAAGUUCUGGAAGGACCCAUGGGUAACUGAUUCUGCCCUUUGCAAUGUAUUCCCUAGACUGUAUGCUUUGAGUGAAAACAAAGAAGCCAGAAUUGCAGAUGUGGGCUCUUUCUCCAGAGGGUCAUGGGAUUGGUCAUUAAUAUUUCGCAGAUCGUUUUUUACAUGGGAGGAGGAACUUUACUCUUAGCUCCUGGUCUCGAUCAACUCCAUUAUUCCAGCUUCCUUGGGGGGGAGAUUACCUGAUAUGGUGUCUUAAUCAAAAGGGCUUCUUCUCGGUUAAGGAGCUUUGCAAUUAGGCUGAAGAUCAAACCUUCAUUAACCGUACUUGGCAAGUUCCUAAAAAUGUAGCAAAACUUAUUCCUCCCAAAGUUGCUCUCUUUUUCUGGCAGGCACAGAAGAACAAAAUUGCAACUAGAGCCAAUUUAAUUUCUAGAGGUAUUGAUCUAGCUGACUCAUCUUCUUGCCCUCUUUGCAUGACCAUUACAGAAACUUGCUCUCAUCUAUUUCUACACUGUAAUUACACUUGGUCUCUGUGGUGCUCGAUUGUAAAUCGUGAAGGUUUUUAUUGGGUUGUUCCUUCGUCUCUAGAAGGACUCAUCUCUGAAUGGGACCAUUUACCCAAACUUUCUGACAAGCUGCUUUGGAGUUUAAUACCAUAUGCGCUAUCAUGGUCAAUUUGGAUUGAAAGGAAUAAUGUGUGCUUUAAUCAGAAGACUUUCAAUUGUACAGAAGUAUGGGAUCUUCAUCUCUCACGAAUUGGGUGGUGGACGCAUGAUUUGCUCCUUCAAAAUGCUUACAGUAUUGAACAAUUGGCCAGGAAUUUUGAGCUAAUCAGAUUUGGGUCCAAAUUGCCUACUGCAAGACAUGCUGGCUGGACUCCUCCUGAAGUGGGUUUAAUUAAAAUUAACGUAGAUGGUGUUGCCAGAGGAUCACCGGGAAGAUGUGGUAUCGGUGGUAUAUUUCGAAAUAGUGAUAAUGAGAUUCUGGGUUUUUUCUCUAAACAUGUUGGGGAAGGCUUUGCUUUUGAAGCUGAGGUGUGGGCGAUCUUUGAGGCACUUACAAUCUGUGUUAACCGACAAUUGAGAAAUCUAACAAUUGAAAGUGAUUCUUCUCUAGCUGUCGGUUGGGUCAAUAAUCGAAGCAACAGACCAUGGAAAUUGUUGAACAAGCUUAACCAGAUUGACCUGUGGGUUGCGGAGGUAAAUUGUUUAUCGGUGAAACACAUUUUUAGAGAGGCAAACGGCGAAGUUGAUAAAUUGGCUAAGCGAGGAGCUGAUCAUCCGAGGGACUUAUAUUACUUCAAGACUUCCAGCCAUCAUCAAUAGUACUGGAUUUUUUUCUCCGAGGGUCGAGUAGUAGUGUAAACCGUGUGGGAAUUGUAUUCUAUAUUGGCUAGCUUUCCUUAUCUUUCUAGUAGGUUGUUUUAAGCUUGCGGUUUCAUGUACUUCACUUUGCCUAAGUUAUAUCUCCUCUGCUUGUUAUCUCUGUUUUGUGGUUGGUUGCCUUGGUUAGAGUACUCUUUUUCCUCUCCUUGGGUUUUUCCCACUGGGUUUUCCCUUGGAGAGGUUUUGAUGAGGCUUUCUCCUUGGCCGGGUUUCCUAACCACAUCUCUUUAGCAGUUUUGUGAGACUUUUUGUCCACAUGAGAGGAUUGUUCUCAUGGCUUUAUUCUUCAUUUUCUAUAUAUAUAUAUAUAUAUAUAUAUAUAUAUAUAUAUAUAUAUAUAUAUAUAUAUAUAUAUAUAUCAGUUGUUUCUCAAAAAAAAAAAAAACAAUAAAAUUAUUUUGUCCAAUUCCUUGUGACAGGAUUUAUUCUUAACUAGGUAAUAUGGGAUAAUUAUAUCUUCACACCUCAAAAAUGAGGUGUGGAGAAGUGGAGGAAGAGAGAGAUAGGAAGAAAGGAGAGAGAAAGUAAAGAUGUGAUAAAUGAUUUGAUUGAUAGAAAAAAGAGAAAUAAAUAGAAAUAAAGGUGGAAAAUAAGUGGAAAUGUGUGUAUAUAUCAUAAUUCGGUAAUAUGUGAUAUGUAGGGGGCGAUAAGUAACAAGAUCAAAUUUAUAAUAAAUUCUUAAACUAGUUUUCUUUGCACAAGACAUUGUUAGGAAUUGGAUGAUACUUGACCGAACUGCAAAUAGCAUAUUCAGGCUCUCAAUAUAGUAUAGCUUAAAAUCUAGUGUUUCACAAAGUCACCAACAAAUUUUGAAAAAAAAAGAAGAGGUGAUGAUUCAAGUGCUACACAAAGUCAAGAAACUACUAUGUUAACUCAAGAUGCGCUUACAGAAGUAAUGACACUUUAAGCCAAUUUGGCAUCAAUAAUUCCACUAGUUUAUUUGUUGUACAAAUUUUAUGAUCAUAGGGUUCUUUAAUCACAUACAGCUAGUGAAAAACCAAAUCUCAGCAAUCAGAGAUGGCGUAUGAAUAUAGAAGAGUUGAGAUAAGGUCCAACGAAAUAUGUGAGAGGAUGUGUUUAAGUGCAUUGUUAAGUGUGUGGAUAUGAAGUGAUGGAGCACAAUGACAUAAAGUUAAAGUGCAUCAGGAAGCGUGUCGACAUAAAGCUGACAUAAAGAUGAUGACAUCGUGUAACGUGUUGACAUAAAUGGUAAAUGGUGUAACCUAAUUAAUUGAGUUAGGAUUUAUUUACACCUUAAUUUCACUUUUACUUCACUUUUUUAUUUAUUUGUCUCUUAUCUUUCAAUCAUAUUAUCACAUAUCACAUCUCUUUUUUUUUUCUCUCUCUCUCUUUCUUCCUAUAACUCUAUUCUUUCCACCUCUUUCACACUUUUGAUGUUUCUGCAAGGUGGCUUAGACCACAGGCAUAUCAAUGUGACGUAUUGGUAGCCAAGGAAAUCCUAUAAUGCACCCUAAACACACACGUGGUUUCACUUGCACCAUUCAUGAAUGUACUUCAAUGCAAGAAAUUCUAUUUUAUUUAGUCUGUCCAGUUUUUAGACUUGGAGUGUCUAUUGCACAAGGACUGUCAGAUUGAUUUGAGGUGCAUUUCAUUAAAGCGCCACUUUACUUUGUAACUUAUGUCCCUUUAUGCAAUUUGGUAAAAGAAAUAUUUAUUUACUAUUAUGAGUAUUCUCCUCUUUCUCUUUUAUAGCAACGAAUAAUAGCAUUAGGUACAGAUUGUAAUGUACAAUCUUAAUGCGCAUAUGGAGCUCACUUUUACAAAAUUUGGUGCAAUAUUGGGCAUAUUCACAAAACUAUGGUAUACAGGAAAAUUGAAAAAAGAGAUGGCUUCUGAUUUACGUUGUUAGCAUAAUAAUUAAAUCUAGUCUAAGAUCAGGAAGCAUAUGAAUUUCGAGGUAGCCUUGCAAUUAAGAAUGGUGGUCUCUUAAAUUUGCACCCAGGAAUAAUUACAUAGACAGUUCUUGUUGGUCUUUAAUGGUCCUAUUGGCCUAGCUUACUACCUCUGAUAAAGUAGUUUCAACAGAUCUGUAAUACAAACUUCAGCCCCUUUGACUUUAAAUUUAAAUUUACAUCUUCCUAAACCUUUGUUUUUCCCCGUUUCAAAUUUAUCCCUUUUUUUUGGGAAAAAAAAACCUGGCUUUGUUGUUAAAAAUAAAAGGGUUAAUGGUCAAAUUGGUCCCUGUGUUUGUAGUGAAUUUUGAUUUUAGUCCCUCCCCGGAAAAAACUAGCCGAUAUCUCCCUGUAGUUGCAAGCAUUUUGGUUCUAGUCCUCACAGGAGGUCGGAGCUCCGGUGAGAGUACUGAGUGGCAGGCCAGAGAUGACAUGGCAUUAUCCACGUCAUUUUCAAUUUAUUUAUAUUUCCACGUAAAUAAUUAAUAACUAAAUUAAAUAAAAUUAUUAAUUCAUUCAAAAAUAAAAUCUAGAAAAUAUUGGGAAAAAUUAAAAUCAAAAUUUUAUAAACCCUAAUCCCCCUGCAUCUUCUCAAUCAAGCCUCUCUUUCUCUUCCCCACCCGGUUCCCAAUCUGAGCAGCAAAAAUCACCACCAUUCCAUUCCAGGAAUCAAAACCAACUCAAACCUCAAAACGGUGGUUUGACCUUCUCGCCUCACAACUCUCUUUCUCACCUUUGACCUUCCAUAAUCUUUUACGCGCUGGUGGUUUCAAUGGAGGUGCCACCUAGAACGGUGGUCGUGGCUUGGUGCGGUGGGUCGUUCAUCGUUGGAAUGAGAGCUUAGGUCGACGGAAAUAAAGGUUGUGGCAGACUAGCGGUGAAGGAGCAGAACCAGAUCGAGACCCCACUCACCCAGAUCGCGAAUCCGGUUUCUUGCGAACUCAAAAAGCGAAUCGCCCCUGGAUCCGCCUUCACCACCCCAUGUCGCCGCCGUUGUCGUCCUAAACAACCGAAGAGCCUUGAUGGGGAUACGUUCCAGUUGCUCAGUCAUGUCGGUUUUCUGGGUUUUGAUAUGUGUGGGUUAUGAAUCUGGAUUUUGUGGAUUACAUGGAUCUGGGUUAUGUGGGUUUUGAAUUUGGGUUUUGAAAACGAUUCAAUUGAUCUGGGUUAUGUGGAUUCUACGGAUUUGGCCAUUGAGUUUCUAACUAGAAUUUGUGUUGUUUUCUGGGUUUUCAAUGUUUGGCCAUUUUGGACUUUUUUCGUUUUCUGGGUUUGAUGAUGAGUUUGAAGAUGGAGAUGAUUAAAGAAGGAUGAAGGGGAAGAAGAUGAAGAUGAUUAAGACAUUUGAGCUUUUGUAUUUUUCACUUUAGUCAGGUCUGAAGUGUGGGCGUGGAUGGUAUUAUGUCAUGAAAUAUAUGAUGAGGAAAUAACUGAUAUGUUGGGUGCUGCAGAAAUUUUGUUAGGCGCACAUAAGGUGGUCAUGGUUGCUGAAAUCGUGGAUAUGGUUCUAAAUCUACCUUGUUAGGCGUGGAUAUGGUUCUUAGUACUUUGAACAAUUUUUGAAUUAAUUAAUAAUUUUAUUUCAUUUAGUUAUUAAUUAUUUACGUGGAAAUAUAAAUAAAUUAAAAAUGACGUGGAUAAUGCCAUGUCAUCUCUGGCCUGCCACUCAGCACUCUCACUGGAGCUCCGACCUCCGGUGAGGACUAGAACCAAAAUGCUUGCAACUACAGGGAGAUAUCGGCUAGUUUUUUUCGGGGAGGGACUAAAAUCAAAAUUCACUACAAACACAGGGACCAAUUUGACCAUUAUCCCAAAAUAAAAUUAUACAAAAAGAAAGUAGUACUUAGGGAACUAAUUCUUUGGAAAUUAAAUGGACGCAAGACUUGUUUAACUAAGGUGAGAAAAGAAAGUUGAACAGCCACAAUAACCGUUAAAAACUGGCCACUAUAAUGCUAGUCAUUCCACUAAAAAAAAAGACAAUCUAGAGAGCUGAAUCUAAAAGUUAAAGUUACAUUAAAAAUGUAGGAGCUUAAUACAGUGACACACAAUAAUUACCAUUCUGACAAAGUAAUGCUACUAAAUUAAGGGUAAAUAGCUCCCAACUUGCACAAAUUUUCUUCAAUUUGAGGCGAAGAAGAGGAAGAACUAUAGAACUCUCCUACUAAAAAUAAUAGACAAAUUAUAUGAGUCACUUACAAAGAACACAUUUGAAAAGUAAAAGCAACGUAAACAAAAUUUAGAUAAGAGGCUAACUUUGCCGGUUAAUAGUGGAGGCAUAAAAUCAAAGUGUAUGGAGCAUAAAAUUUCAACAGCAAUAAAAAGAUAAACAUAACAUUAUGAUGAAAUGUAACUCAUGGAAACUCAAAAACUUACUCAAUGACUCUUACUCCAUGCCACCAAGAACCAUUUUUUUCAACGAAUAAAAAUAUUCACAUCCCAAAGAUGAAUUUCCGAGGAUGAAUCUCACUUCAAACACAAACACAAAUUCAAUUCAUAAGACAAAGCAAUCACUGAGCCCAUACUUUGUUAGCUUCCAGCACUGGUCUUGCAUCAAGCUUAUCAAGGGUGAAAUCACAACCACCACUUUCCCAAUUAACAAUGAGGAAUCUGAAAGCACAGGGACUUACCUGCAUAGAAAAAACCUUCCUGUAAAUAAAUACACAAUUACUAAGAAGCACACAAGAUUAAUCAGAGAGAAAUAACAAAACCAGAUCCUGUUGCAGCAAGAACAAGACAAUCUUCAUUUGCAACCCAAGCAGCUAGGGCUUCCUUCUGAAAACUUUUCAAUGCUGAAAACCAAAAAUGCUUUUGCAACAACUUGCUAACUCUGUGCUCCCAAUCAGAUGCUACAUCCAAAUCUCCAUUCACAUCAGAGUCGCUGACGACAAAGGGAAACUCCGGGACGGUCUCGAUGCGGUGGCCGCGGGCGGGCGAGGAUGAAUGACGGAACAACGGAGGUUGCGAUGGCGGAGACCAGGGCGUGGCGCUUCUGGUUCACGUUGAUCUUGCGGUGCCAGCGACGCCAGAUCUUUGUGGGAGCGAACAUGUGACCACCACGACACAUGUUUCCGAAAGCUCCCUGGCCAGCAUGGUGGGUACAACCACCGGGGACACGGGGGAUACGGGAGAAAGCACGACCAGUUCCUCAAGACUCGGCGAAGCACUGGUGGCCGGCGCGACGGGAGACGGCGAAAGGCUGGCGGCUAUUUUUGGAGAUGUUGAAAUGGGCGAAAUUUUCGAUGUCAGGACGGAUUGAAGCUCUCAUGACAUUAGGGAUGGAAUGGUGGUGGCAGCAUCGGAGGACGCAUCGUCUCUUUUUCUGGUGGUGUGGCCGUGGCUGUUGUGGCUCGCCUGGAAUAGAGGAGGAUGUUGUGGCUCGCUUGGAACAGAGGAGGAGACGAUGGUGCACAACUCUGUCGAGGAAGGAGGAGCCAUAGAAGAAGAGUGGAACAUGGUGAUGUUUCAGCAGAAAGAAAACGAGAGAGAAGGAGAGUGAUGAGAGAGUGAGAGCAUGAAUCAGUUAGAUGAGGGAGAGAGUAAGCGGAUCUGAUUUGAUGAGAGAGGAGAGAUAUGUGCUUGAGAUGAGAGUAUUGAGAUAAGGAGGAGAGAGAGUACAUAGGUGCCUACAUCUCAUUGGUUGAAGGGGAAAGUUGAGAGGGAAAGUUAAGAGAGAAAAUUGGGAGGGAAAGUUGAAAGGGAAAGUUAAGAGGGAAAGUUGGGGGGAAAGUCAAGAGGGAAAGUUGAGAGGGAAAGUUGAAAAUUUGAGCACCUAAAAUCAGGUUGUUUCAGCUAUUUCGUUUGUUAAAUGAUUAAAGAUAUAUGCAAUGAUGGUGUAAACUUUGUUUACACAAACAUCUAAUUAAAUUUGGUUUGGUCAAAAAAUGUGUUUUUAUUUUAAUUGAACUUAAAAAUGAAUGUAAUUCUCUUUUCUAUGUUGUAUACAUUGAUUAGAUUGUUUCAACAAGUCGAGUUGGCUAAUCUUAGUAACUUAUCAACCUUAAAAGCUUAAUUAGGUUGUUUCGACAGGUCAAUCUUAACCAAAAUAUCUAAUCUUAAGAACUUAAAAGCCUCAUAUGCUUAUGUAAUUUUGGCAUAUCGAUCUUGCAUGAACUAGUUAAUAUUAUGAACUUAAGAUCAAGGUUAGCUAACUAUGUGUUGGUUCAAUAUCGGGUUCGUCCUUAUUAUCUAUCGGGUUCAUUCUAAUCAUCCAUCAGGAUCAUAUUGAGAUGGUGAACGAUCUCCUCAUCAUUAAUCACAUGCCACGGCAAUGUCUAUAGCUUAUGAGAUGGUGAAGAUUAAACUAAUACUAAUUGAUAUAUGAAAAGGAAAAUUCAAAUGCAUUGCACCAACAAUAUCUAUAGCAUAACUAAUUAGAUAGAUAUAGCUUAUCUUCUUAAGUAUCUAAUUUAAAGUUUGAUCUUUGAACGGAAUGUAUGAAUAAUUAUUUGUUGAGAGAUAUAUACUUAAUGCGAUCUCAGAAUCUCGAGAGAUUAAUAAUAUCAUUACCAGUUGUGGAUAUACCUUGUGAAAAAAAUACAUUACGUCAAAUAAUUAAAUGAGUAUCUUCAAGUAAUUAAUUAAUUAAUAUUGGAUUAAACUUAAGUAGUUUGAAAAGACAAUUAGUCUGCACCACUUGGCUAAAAUUAAAUAUGGUAAACAUCACACGUUAGGUGCCCAAUCAAAUAGUUAACAACCACUAAUAUAUGAUGUGAUCUGUGUUAUGGGGUGGUAGAUCAUAGGUCUUAUUCAAGCUCAAAACUGACAUGGGCUUCAACUUCACCUUUUUAAUGUACAUGCUAGAAUCCAAAAUUAAGAGUUAAAACUAGGAUAAGUUCAUUGUGAUCAAUGGUCGAUCCCUUCAUUACAGUACAACUAUAUAGAGCUUACAUUGAUAUAUUUACAUAUCUAUGAAAACAUAUGUAUAUAUGAACAUCAAUUUAAUCAGGGAAAUGCGUGUUGGUUAUAAUUUUUUCUUUGUUUUAAAUCAAUAUAUACUCAUCGGAGUGAAUUUUGAUCAUUUAGAUUUUCGCCAAACAACUUGUUCUAUGUUCCUUUUCUCAUGCCUUGAAUAAUGCUUAUUAGAGCAUUGUUCUUUCAUAUUAUCAAUGAAUAACUUGUGUUUACAUUGUUAGAAGUUCGUUUGACAAAAUACCAUUUUGCACUACUUUGAUCCAAUUGGAACACUAAACGAUGAAAUAUGAUGUUUAUAGGUUUUAAAAAGUAAAAACACAUAUAACUAGAAUUUACAAACCACUUGCCUUGAAGAGUUUAAAAGUAUCUAUCUUUACCUAAAUCUUUAAGUAUAUUUUUAUUUAUUUCACAUGUAAGAAAUAUGCAUUUUAAAAUACAUAUGUAUCUGUUAAUCUAAAUAGCAAAAAGUUGAAUUACAUUUUUGUGGUCAUUUGGCCACCAGUCUCCACCGGGAAAAGGAGAAAGUUCAAUUUCAUUAAACAUAUAGUCUUCAAUUUAAGUUAUAUGAAUAAGAAACACUAAAAAUGGUAGGGAAGAAUUAACUCCAUCUAAACGUUACUUAGAUUAAUUAGGAUUAGGAAGUCGCUUUGGCGCUUUGCCAACGCAAUUCAAAUUAGCAAAAAAAACACAUAUCUGGGCCUUUUUGCAUUAGCCCAUUCUGUUGGUUUUUUUUGUUUGGCUGAUGGACCUUCACUUUUCUAUAAGGAUUUGAUUGUUUUUUUUCUUGGGCUAGUUUUUUUUGCUGCUGACCCCUCCUUUUUUGGUGCCAAAAACGCAUAUCUGGGCUUUUUUGCAUUAGCCAAUUCUGUUGGUAUUUUGUUUGGCUGAUGACCUUUUUUUUUAUACUUUGACUCUUUUUUUUGCGCUAACACAAGUUGAUUAAUCUUAAGUUAAGAAAAUCACUAUAAUAGAUAAACCUGAUUUAAGCUCUAGUUUAACUAAGACUAUAGAAUAACAAGCUCUAGUUUAACUGAGACUAUAGAAUAACAAACUCUAGUCUAACUAAGACUAUAGUAUAACUAAGCUUCAGUUAGGAGGGUCAUUAGAAUAACUAACCAUAGUCUAAUCGAGAUAAUAGUAUAACUAACAUUCGUUUAAAAGGGUCAAUGGAAUAACUAACGUUAAGUUAAGAGGUCAAUAAAAUGGAUAAUCCUAGUUUAACGUAGACUUUAGAAUAACUAAAUUAGGUUAAAAGUGUCAUUAUCCAUCAAUUCACUAGUAUUCAUUUAAAUAUUAGAAUUGAUCUAAUUAUAUCCGCAAAUUUGGAAAGAUUUUCAUGAAACGAAUAUCACCGUUGCUUCUGGAAUGGUCGAAACCCUUAGAAUCGGCUCCUCUUGGACCCAAAACGGAUAAAAAUGACCAAAAUUAUUAAAAAAACACAUUACUUAAGUUUAUUCAAAGGCCAAUAUCUGGUCCUAUUUGCAAAUCUGGAAAGAUUUUUAAGAAAUGAACCACACCAUUGCGUCCGGAACGAUCGAAAACCUUAGAAUCGACUCCUCUUGGACCCAAAACGGAUAAAAAUGACCCAAAAUUUCCAAAAAACACAUUCUGCCACAUGCCAGCACGAGAACAAGCUACGUCAGCGUCUCUGACGUCAUCAGGCGCGUGUGUCUCAUAGCUGAGAGUGGCCGCCACUCUCCUUCUUCCUCUAGCGCGAGUGGGGCGCGUGGCCGAGAGUGGGCUCACUCUCCGGCCACCUCGCCGACAAGUGCGGGAGAGUGUGGCUUCGUCCGGGCUCCGUUUGAGAUUCCGGAACUUGUUGCGGACUCGUCUCAGCCUUCUGAAUCCAUCUAUGACCUCAGAUUUUCAUUUUGGGAACUUUUAAAAAUGGGUCAUUUUCGAAAAUGAUGAUUCCGGCCACCUCGAGUCACCAUCAAAGCUCUAGUAUGACUUGUUGGGACCGUGACUUGACGAGGAACAUCGAGGAGACAGAUUUUGCACAAAUUCUCACCAAACAUUGAACAAACAACAACAUAAAAUUAUUUUUCCUAGCUAGUUACCACUUAUGGAACCCAGAAAGUGAGAAUAAUUUUAUGCAGUUAUUUUUCUAUUCUUUCACUAUGAGGGACUGAAUAUGAAUCAAACAGAAAUAAGGGACUGAAUAUAAAUCAAACAAAAAUAAGGGGCUAAAAGUGGGAAGCAGAAUUUAAUUUUUAAAUAGGCCCCUGACGCAUUUACAUUAAUGGCGCCGAAAAAAUAAUAAUUUGACUUUCAGUCCUUUUUUUUUGGGGCACCUGUGCCUCUCCAGAAAAAUGGCAUAUGUAAGCUUUCCCCUAAUUUUUUAAGAAAAAUUUAUCACUAAUAGUCUAAAAUUGUUAUGUUCCAAACUCUCAUUUAUCUAUAGGAAAAAGAAAUGUCAUUAAAUUAAAGUGCAUUUAAUUUAAGCUUGUGUAGUAUACUUCUUUUUGUGUGGUAGACAAACUAAAAAUUUAUAAUUAUAGUACAAAGGUCACCAUUAAGAUGAAGGAUAAGUUAAAUUAAAAAAAGAAGUCAAUGAUAAAUCCUAUAAAAAUUAUGGAUGAUAAGUCUUAUUAUAAGUGCCAAAUUGCUAAUUAAUGAAAAAUGGAAAAAAGUGGGAGUUACGGUAAAAACCCAAGAUGGAAAUCUCGAACCUAUCCUUGGUGAUAUGCAAACUACUAUCCACCAGUACAACAUAGAAACAUACAAAACGAGCAAUUAAUUUUGUUGAUUUUUGAAAAAGUUGAGAAAAUAUGUGGGGUUGGAGUUCCCCGGCAGUGAGGAAGAGGUCAUUCAUGAAUUGACGGAAUUCCUUAGAGAAAAUGAUCUUGUUUGCUCGUAGUGGUCUUUUGUUGAUCUGUGGCUUUUGAGGCGCUUGGGGCUCUUGUUGUUGGGUUUGGGUUGUCUUGGCUUUGAGCCUUUUAGGGCUUUUGGAGUUCUCAUUGUGGUUUAGUUGUUGGUUGCUUUUCCAUGGCUGGGUUCUGUAAUUCUUUCGCGUCUCCUCUUUGAGAGAUUGUACUUUUCUUUUAAUUUUUAAUAAGCUCGCUCUUUUGCUCUCUGAAAAAAGAAAAAGAAAAAGCUCUUUGAGAGAUUGCACUUUUCUUUAAGUAUUAUUUUCUCUCAUCAUUUAAACUCUCACAUUAUUUAUGUUUUCCUUUAUUUCUCAAAAUUUAUUGCAAGAGGGUAUUAUUGGAAAAAAUAUAUUUAAUACAAUCUUAAAUGUGUAAGUCGUCAGUUAAAUAAAAACAAUUUUUUUCAUCAAUUGACAGCUAAAUAGUAACGGAGACAUGGUAGAUUCUAACAUGUUGCUGCAAUGCAAGCAAGCAAGCAAAUUAAUCAUGUAUUCUCCACUAUAAAUACCUAUAUGCAUCAAGCAAUGCAAUCACACCCAAAACCUUGUCUCCAGUUAUUCCCCAUUCAAGCAAGCAAAUUAAUCAUGUUACCUCCAGCAUUAGCUAUACCUGCGUUGCUCCUUCUGAUAUUACUUUUCAUUCUAUCAGUUGCCCUGCUUCUUAAUCCAAAAGAACAUAAAAAUGGUAGGAAAUAUCCACCAGGUCCCAAACCUCUGCCAAUUAUUGGCAACCUCCACCAGCUGGGUAAACUCCCUCACCGAUCCAUGCACGAACUUUCAAAAAAAUAUGGACCCGUCAUGUCCUUAAAGCUAGGAAAGGUCCCAACCAUUGUGAUUUCAUCCCUUGAAACAGCAGAGCUAGUCCUCAAGACCCAUGACAUUGUUUUUGCUAGCAGGCCUAUAACUCAAGCAUCCAAAUACAUUUGUUAUGACAGUAAAGGCAUAAUUUUCACUGAGUAUAAUUCCACUCACUACACCAGAAAAGGGCUUUUACAGCGCCCCUUUUACAGCGGUUUAGGUGGCAGCCGCUGUAACAACACAAACACGGAGCGGUUGAUGGGCUAUUACAGCGUUUUAUUAAACUAACCGCUGUAAAAGCAUUACCUUUUAACAGCGGUUCUCUUAGAAGGCGCUGUAAACACAAAAACACGGAGCGGUAAUAGGCUUUUAUAGCGGUUUAUAUACUGACCGCUGUAAAAAAUAGGUUCCAAUAUUUACAGCGUUUAUUAAACUAACCGCUGUAAAAGUAACGUAAAUAAUAAAAAUCAAGAAUUCAGGUUCCGUGGAUCGAACCCAGGUUCCCUUAAUAAAACGCAGGCUUAAUUGCAGUUUUGCUCCUUUAUCUUUCACCUAUGUGUGAUUUGACUCCUUCAUGUUUAAAACGAGCACAUUUACUCCCUUGUCUUUCAAUUUGUGAAAAUUAACUCCUUCCAUUAGUGAGUUUUUUUAAAAUUGACGGAAUUGACUGACGUGAUGUUCAUUAAAGGACAUGAUUCUGUUAAAAUUGAGCAUUUGGAUGUCAUUUCACUAAAUAAAUAAAAAAAUAAUUAAAUAAGUAAAAAAAUAAUUAAAUAAAACUGAAAUAUUAAUCCCUAAUUAAAUAUGAGUGAAUUUAGUUUUUUUAAUUUAUUUGUGUCAUUUUUAUUUUGUUUAUUUACUUAUGUGUCAUUUUGGGAGGUAAGUUACGUCAUCCUUGAUCGUGGAACAAGCAAAUUCCGCCUGAAAUUAGACGGCAAAUUGACAAAGGGAGCCAAUUUUCACAAAUUAGAAUUUUAGGGACCAAAAUCGCUCAUUUUAAAUAUGAGGGAGCAAAAUCACACAUAGGUGAAAGAUAAGGGAGCAAAACUGCAAUUAAGCCUAAAACGCAAUAGUCUUUCCACUAGGCUAGAUUCACUUUAUGGUAGAUAUGUACAAUUUAUAGUAUUAAUAUAAGAUUUAGUUGAUUUCUUUAAUAAUUGGUUCAAAAAAUGUUCUGUGUGGGAUUCGAACCCGAGGCACCACAGAAAAUAUAAUGAGUCCUUUCCACUGGGCUGUUACACGUUUUUUAUUAGUUUGUUCGUUUUGUAUAUAUAAGUAUUAUUUUCUUUAUUGAUUUUGUAAAAUUACAUCUGUAACUGCAAACCCUUAUUUUUUACCAGUUACAUCUUUCACCAAUCUGCUACCUCACGACGUAAUCUCGACCUGCUACUUCUCUCAAAGCCCUCGCCACCUCCUGCCUCCGCCGUCCUUGCCGUCGCCGCCUCCAUCCCUUCCGCCGCCGCCGCCGCCUCUGCCUCCGUCCCUGCUGCGCCGCUGCCUCUCUUGUUUUGGGUCGCUUCCUGCACGGUUGUUGCCCUGUUCUCAUUAUCAUCCUUUCGAGACUGUAGCUUUGAAGAGCGUUGCUUCCACCGUGUAAAUCAUGAUGUGGAGACUCCAGGUAGCUUCCAUUGCUCAAUGUUCAUUAUUGUUCUAACUCUUGAUCUUGCUCUUUGUUCAUCAUCGCUCCUAUUCUCGAUCGUGCUCUCUUUGCUGUUUGAUCUUGGAUUUAAUGCUCUAACUCAAUGGAUCUCAUAGGCUCUAACUCAAUGGCUCUAUUCGCUAUCAAAAAUCCCUCUUAUGCAGUAUUUCUCGCUCAAUUUCAUCAAUCUAGGUCUUCUCAAGAUCUGAUGCCUUAGUUCAAUAGAUAGUUUAGUCGAAGCUUGUUGUGUUUUAGAUUAAUGUUAGGGUUGUUUUUUUUUUUUUUUGCUAGAUUGACAUUUCAAUUAACAUUGCUUUGUUACUUUCAUCGAGGUGAACAAUGUAUGGUUAGAGGGAACACCCAUCAGUUCCCCUUUCAGCGCUCUGGAAGAGCGAAUUGGCGAAUGAGAAAACUAAGAACCGGAGAUGGUAGAGGCUAGCGAGAACAAGAAAGGAGAGGAUCUCAUGCUACUAAAAAUCGAAUGCCAAAGGGUGGUGGGAGAUGGAGUGUGUACAUACUCUGUUUUUUUAGUAUGUUUCUUUCUUGCGCCAUCACCUCCUGCUUUUCUUUUACUCAGAUUUGAUAGAUUGUGAUUUUGAUGCAUCAAAAAGUCAAUUUUUGUGUGAUGUCUUAUUUUCUAAUACUAGCAUGGCAAGAUGAUAAAGAAAAGUAAAUGAUUGAGUGAAAAUGUUAUGCUAUGCUGCUUGAUGCUGAGUUGCUUUAUAUUUGUCUCACCUUUGUUAUUCAGUUUGAAUUUUUAAAUAUUCUGAACUGUUGAUGCUACACAUGUAUGCAGAGGAUCAGGAGGUAUUCGCCGACUGAAAUUGAAGGCAUACACAAGUAUUUUUAUAACUUCGUAUAUUAAGAGAACAUAUUGAGUACCCUCUCUGGAAGCUAAAUAUUUGCAUGUGCUUGACAAUUUUUUCAGGAAUAUAUACGAGAUGGCAUUGACUGGGCUAAAGUUGAAUUAUACCUGUACCCUUCCUUGGAUGCUGUCAUUUCGGUUCAAACUGAUUUACGGAAGGCACACUUCCAUUAGCAAUGGAUUCACUCUUCUCCUUAUCUCUCUAUGUGGAUAAUGAUGUCUUAUGCUUGAUUGUGUUGUGUUUAUUAGGGUUUCAUUUCGAUUACAUUUCAAAUUUGUUGUUUUGUAUUUGAUUUAGGUUUGAAAUUGAUAUCGUUAACUUAUAAUUUUUAUUUCAGAUCUUUCUCUCUUUGAAUGCUGCAAUUUAAGAUUUGGAUUUGUGGGAGAUGGUGAUUCCGGUGUUGUGUUGCAGGUUUUGGAUGCAUGUGUCGAUCAUAAGAUGCGUUCAGUCUCUCAUACAAUACUUUCUUGAUUCUUCACUCUACUCCACCCUCACAACAUCGAUUCUCAGAAUUGAAGGGAAUAUGAAGAACACCUCUGUCCAAGCAUAGUUGACUAUGCUACAGUCCCCGGAAAAGAAGCAGGUACCACCAGUAUAAAUAAUAAUGCUAGGAAAUCAUCUUGCUCCUGUUCAGGUUUCUAUUUGUCUAUUUGUGUAUUAUUCCUAAUCUAAAGAAAUUAAAGCUAGGAAAUUCCAGAUAAAUUUUGUUAUAGAUGCAUGUGUCUCUUAGUUGGAUAGUGAGUCUAAAUUUUAGAUGUUAAUGUCCUAUAAUGAUAAUUCCUAUGAUUUCCAUCUCAGCUUACAUCGUCUUGUGACUUAAAUCAUAAACAGGUAUUGAUUUUGCAGCAAUAUAUUUUGCAGCAAUCAUAAAUCUGCAGUUGAUGUCUCAUGUUUAAGGUUUGCAUUGUUAUAAUCCAAACUCCACUGAGAAAAACUUUGAGAAAGUUGUUGUAUAACUGAUUUUGUUCUGAGGGAAAUUCCCUCAUCCGGUGGCAAACUGAGGAGAUGUUUUAGAAUAUCUUUCAUCUUUCCAGAACGUCCCGGGUGCAAUAAAAGAGAGAAUUUUUUCGAGACAAAGUCUCGGAGAGUCUGCAAUGCUUUCUGGGUUUCUUCAAUUUUGUAAAUGCAACCUAUGGGUAGCAACUAAAAAUAGAGAUUCAAAUGUGAGAGCACAGGAGCAUAUAAGCCUAUUAAGUGGUUGUAUUGUUGUUAAAACUCUGGAAUGAAACUUGAAUAAGAGUUAUUGUAUGUUUAAUGAAGCUGUGAAUGGAUUUGCAGAUGAUGGCUGGUCCAUGUUAGAGAGUGAUGGCAUUGAUGAUGUCACCCUUCUUGUGAAUUCAUCACCGAGCAAGAUGAUGGGUGCAAAUCUUGGAUAUAACAAUGGAUUCCCAUCCAUGACCAGUUCUGUGCUAUGUGCCAAAGCAUCCAUGUUGUUACAGGUAUAAUUCUUUAAUACUCCAUAAUGUGGACUAAUGCUAUUGCUUAUUGCUCAGCUCUUAGGAAUUGCUUUUACUUUCUAUUGUUUUCAAGCAAUUGAUUUCCAUGUAUUUAGUUGUCUCAUGCUCUUUUUCUGUCUUUGUAGAAUGUCCCUCCAGCUAUUCUUCUUAGAUUCUUGCGGGAGCACCGAUCAGAAUGGGCAGAUAGCAGUAUUGAUGCUUACUCAGCUGCUGCCAUUAAAGCUGGCCCCUGUAGCUUGCCAGGGGCCAGAGGAAGUUUUGGGGGUCAGGUUAUUCUUCCACUAGCUCACACAAUUGAGAAUGAAGAGGCAAGUUGUUUUCUCCUAAUUUUAUAAUCUAGUACAUAUUUACUAUUUAGAAAUUACCAUUUAAUCUUCCAACAUAAAAUUGAAUACAUGUUAACUUGGCUUGUGGAUUAUAUUAACUUUUUUGUGUUUCUCUUCCGGCAUAUUACAUACUAACUGACACUUUAUCUCUAAAAUAGUUCAUGGAGGUUAUUAAGCUUGAAAACAUGGGCUACUAUCGGGACGACAUGACUAUGCCUGGUGAUGUUUUCCUCUUGCAAGUAAGUACUGCUCCAUGAUGCCAUUCUUUUCAACAUAUCUAUGUCCAUACCUUACAGCAUCAUGGAAAAAUUCAUAAAAUUUUAAUUGAGGGAAUGCCUUCAAUUAAAAUCCAUUAAUAUUCUGUUGGUUAAUUUUUCUCAUUCGCUAACUAAUCGUCCCUGGCUUCUAGAGUUUGCAAAGGAUAAGAUGCAUCAAAUAUCAUGAAUGGAUUUGCAUGUAGUUAUAGGAAUAGUCAGGAAUUAAGGAUCUAUAUGAAGUUUGAUUUUAAUUGAAUAGCUAUAACACUUGCGCCUGCAUAUAGUUCAGAAGGUUUAAUCCAAUAUCAAGUUUAUAGCUAACAGUGUUUGUUGCUGCACCUGUCAUCAGCUUUGCAGUGGAGUGGAUGAGCAUGCAGUUGGCACCAGUGCAGAACUAGUUUUUGCUCCAAUAGAUGCGUCUUUCUCUGAUGAUGCACCCAUUUUACCUUCCGGUUUUCGUAUUGUACCUCUUGAUUCUGGCACGGCAAGUCUUUAGCUUGACACAUGAUUUGAUUGUGUUGUUUUUGAAAUUUGCUUGCUUGCUUUAAUUUUCCCUUUUUCUUUAAGUUAGGAUUCUGAUUUCUGUCUUAUAUAAGAUGCAGGAUGCUGCUAGUCCAAACCGGACACUUGAUCUUGCCUCAUCACUUGAGGUUGGAACCACAGCAAACAAAGCUGCUGGUGCCAAAUACAGACAAAAAAAAAAAAAACAAAUUACAGCGGUUCCGUGGUGGAACCGCUGUAAUAUAUAUUAUCAAAUACAGCGGUUACCGGCUGAAACCGCUGUAAAAGAAGACUCAAUUACAGCGGUUAUUCUAGAGAACAGCUGUUGUAGGUCUGUAUUUACAGCGGUUUUAUUAAAUCAACCGCUGUAAAUAAUGCAUCUUUUACAGCGGUUAGAACCGCUGUUAAGGCUUUUACAGCGGCGAGAUCUACAGCGGUUCUGGACCGCUGAAAACCGCUGUAAAAGGCAAAAAAAAAACCGCUGUAAAAGCCAUUUUUUGGUGUAGUGACUACAAAAAAACCUGUUUUUAGUGGCACUAUAUUUGUGGCAUUUAUAAAAGAAUGCCCCAAAGUGAUAUUAAUCUGGCAUUUAAGUAGAAUGCCACAAAUUUGAGAACGCAACCCUAGCUAAUUAGUAGCUAUUUGGCAGCAAAUUACUUGUGGCAUUUAUUUAGAAUGCCACUAAUUUAGGAUCAGAUUCGCAGCUAAUUAGUAGCUAUUUGGAAGCAAUUUUUUAAAGUGAUGAUAUCAAUCUUUUUUUUGAACGUGAUGAUAUCAAUCUAUUAUUUAUAAAAUUGAUAUUGUUAGAAUAUAUAUAACAAACCUCACUGUUAGAAUAUAUAUAUUUUUGAAAGACCGUUAGAAUAUAUAUAUAUAUAUAUAGAUAAUUUAACAUUCAAGGUUUCUUUUUUUUCAUUUUAAAAAAAUGGUUUCUUUUUUUAAUUUCAAAAAAAAGGUUACUCUUUCUUAAAAAAUAUCUUGCUCGAAAAUCACUCAUUCAACAAAAGUGAACAAUAUAUCUAUAGCUAAGUUGAAAAUCACCCACUGAACAAUCAUCGAACACACGCAUUCAUCUCUCACUCGCACAAACUCUGCAACUCUGCACCGAUCGAAAUUUCAGCGUCGCGCAUCAUCGCCGCGCAUCACCGCCGCGCAUCGGUUGUCUUCACCACCGUGACAGAGCUUCCGGAACACCACAACCCUCGCCUCACUCUCUUACUGGUUAUCUUUCUCACUCAUCUAUAUCUCUAGGGUUUUUCUGUUUGCUUAGAUUCCAAUGUGUGUGCGUCUUCUCCUCUAUAAUUUUCCGAUUCUGAAUUCCGAGUAUUCCAAUUUUGAAUUUUGAGUUUUCCAUUGUGCGAAAAUGCAGAAUCGAAGAACGACAAGGAAGAAGAAGGGAAUGGAAUUGAGUUGAUUGUGUGUGAGAACCGAACAUGACAUCGUUUGUUGCUCACUGAAGUAGGUAAAAUCAAACCAAACCAAACCUUCUUGACCUUAAUUUCAUGCUUUAAUCUCUCACUCGAUGUGUUUGCUUUCAUUUCUAUGCAUCGCUACUUGAUUGUUGAGGAAAUCGUGUAAAACAAGUGAGUCUAUGUGCGUUUGCGUUUGCGUUUGUGCCAGCGCAUGCAUGCCAGGUGUUUGAUGAAAUUAUUGCUUCAUAUGUAUCCCUGUUUUUUAUUGUUGAGAGUGUCAGAGAUCUGUUUCAUGAGUCUAAUUCUUGUAUCAUGAGAUCAUGUUCUGUUUUAAGGUGAUUUUGGUACUAUCUUGUAUAUACUUUUCAUUACAUUGCUGAAUUAUGCUACUGAGGAUUGGCCUGCUGAAACAUGUACUCUUAAUCCUAAUCCUACUCUAACCAUCAGAUUGGUCCAAGUAGGAUUAGGCCAUUAGUUUCCCUGGUGAAAACAUUUACAAGUUUGAGUAAUUUUAUGUUACAACUUCCCCUAUUUGUUUUUUCUUUCUAGAAUUGAGUCACUAAACCCUGCACAUUAGAACGAAUGCUGAUGGUUAGUACUGUCAAUUUAUUAAAAGGCAAUGGCUAUUACAAUUUGCUGAACAGGGCAAUUAAAUUGCUCACUUCAAUUUGUUGAAAAACAGAAAAAAGUUGUUCUAUAUCCAUUUAGACUUAGUUACAAUUUUAAUCCUUUCUUGCCCUGAUUUUCUUGUCUCAUUGUCUAUAUCCAUGUAAUCUGUAGCUAUUGUUAGUUUGGGUCUGUAUCUUGCCUCUGUAUCAUGCAUAAAAUCAAGUGAUCUAAAGCUAAAUUGAACUGCUCUCUCUUCUCGCUCCAGCAUGUUUUUUUUUAAUUACUUUUGCUGGAUAUAGUAAGUAAUUCUCUCUCUUCAUUGCUCUCAUUUCCUAUGCAGAUUCUGGUCUGGAACGAACUGCUUUCUUUCUUUCUCCUUCGUAAGGAUCUCUCUCGGGUUCACAAGGUACCCUCUCUCCCCUACUUGCUUUCGGUUUCAACUUAGUUACACGAUCACCAAAAUGGAUAAAUCAUGGAUUGAUAUGCCGCGAAACACAGUUGAAUAUCUUGAGGGGUUAGAUAAGUUUCUAAACUUUGCGUUUGAGAAGCGGUCAGUUGAUGGUGUAAUAAGAUGUCCAUGUCCUAUAUGUUGCUGUAAUAAAUGGGAAAGUAGAGAUGUAGUGCGUGACCAUUUGAUUUGCAAGCAGUUUCCAAAAAAUUAUAAGGUUUGGAUAUGGCAUGGUGAAACAUAUGAAAGUAUGACAUCAAGGGACACUGAAGUAAUAUCGGAGCCACUGCAAAAUGAAAAUCCAGUACUAGACAUGAUUAAUGAUUAAGUGCGGAGGGCCAGUACAUUAUCGUUGGAUGUAUCCAAUUGAGAGGUUAUUUCUUUUUAAUGCAUUAAACUCAUUUAUUAUUUUAUAUAAUUAUUAAAUAUGUAAUAUAUUAUUUUAAUACCUUUUUGUGAUCAUAGGUUUUUAGGACAUUUGAAGUCCUUUGUACGAAAUAAGGCGCAACCGGAAGGUUCCAUAAGUGAAGUUUACUUAGCUGAAGAGACACUCAAUGUGUAUUCACGAUAUGAAGGUGUUGAAUCGAGGAUGAAUAGGAGUCGCCGUGUUGAUGAUAAUCCAAAUAAUAAUGAAACUUCUCAAAUGUCCUCCAUUUAUCCUCAAUUAGGUAGACCAGUGGGGAGUUCAUCAACUUUCACUUUGGGGCCUUUAGAAAAAAUACAAGCGCAUCGAUUUUUGCUGCUGAAUUGUCCAAGAGUCAAGCCAUAUGUUGAGUAAGUAUUCUGAGGCAGUUCAUGUGAUUAUGAGAGUAAGAAUAUAUUCGUGCAUUAUUAACAUAAAACUUUUUUUUGUAGUGAAUUUAGAGCAUUCAUUAGGAAGAGGAGUAGAAAUCGAAGACCUUCAGCUACAGACAUAGAGAAGAUAGUUGCUAAAGAUUUUGCAAAUUGGUUUCCUCAACGGGUGAUGAAUCCAGACACUACAAACUCAAUUCCAGAUGAAAUCAAGUUUCUAGCCAGAGGUCCAAUGUCGUGUGCAAAAAGAUAUAGUGCAUAUAACAUCAAUGGGUUCAAGUUUAGAACGGUAGAUAGAGAAGAGGGUCUACAAACUCAAAACAGUGGAGUUUUUUUGACUUCAAACACACCAUGUGUUGCAAGUAGUGCUGAUGCAAAUUUAAGGCGAGCGGAUUUGCCAUACUAUGGUAAACUUGAAGAUAUAAUUGAGCUCAACUAUUAUGGUUAUUUCCAAGUUGUCCUUUUCAAGUGUAAAUGGGCAGAUACCACACGCGAUAGAGGGUUUAGAAAGGAUGCUUGGAAAUUCUCUUCAGUGAACUUUUCUCGAUGUAUUCACACUGGUGAUAGGGAAGAGCAUGAUCCAUAUAUCGAAGCUUCACAAGCACAAUUAGUGUAUUAUGUGGAUGAUGAGGUCAAUAAAGGUUGGAGUGUUGUGGUGCAUAUGAUGCCAAGGGAUUUGUAUGACAUGGGAGAAAUUAUGGAUGAUAUUGAAAGUGAGGCAUACCAAGAGCAAGACUUAAGCAAUUUAUUGUCAAAUGAAGAUGACACAAUAACAUUGGCUAGAGAUGAUGUAGAUGGUGAAUUCAUAUAUGGAAAUGCAGAGAUGAAUGAGUAGAAAAAAAUAAAAAGGGAAUAUCUUUGGGUAGUAUGACACAUGUUUUUAAGUUCAUUUAACUUAUGAUUAUUAUUUUAUACAUGUUGCCAUAUGGGCAAGCAGCAGUACUUCUUUCUAAAGCUUGUGGAUGCAUUGCUAGAGACCCUGAUCAUGUUCCUAUCAAUUUUGAAAGUUGGAAAGCAGUACUUGAUGAUUACAAAAAGGAGUGCUUUAAAAUUUUGAAGGUACGCAAAUUAUAUUGUCAAAUGUGUACUUUUAUGUUCUAUUUUUCUGGUUUCUGUUCUGUUUCUGUUUCCUGUCUAUGUACUGCUGGGAUGUUGCAUUUUACACUUGGUAUCAGAGCCUGAUGGGGAAGUAGGAACAUGCUAAAUAUGUUAGAUAUAAGUUAUUUCUCUGUUCUGUUCUUAUAUAAUUAAGCACUAUGGUCGGGAACUGGACUGGUAGUACACUUUGAACUAAACUAAAAUGAAAGCUCUUCUGAAAACCUUCUAGGAUUAUUACUAUUCAGACUUAUGAUCAUCUCUGCAGCGGAGGCGUUGAAGGCAGUAAGUCCCUGUGUGGCAGUAAGUCUAUAUUGGCCAUACUACAGACAUGUUAUUAAGUUCUGAAUAUUUUUAAUGUCCUUGUUUAGUUUCUUUUUGUGGUGGCUUAAGUCUGAUCCAGAUCUAUACUGCUCAACUAUUAAGAACAACGCAGAACCUAACUUAUAUUUCUAAUUUAUUUAUCUGUUUCUAUAGAACCAGGUGAUGGCGAUGAUACUUACGGGUAAGGAAGGUCUGUCUUCUAUGAUGCUUCGCUCUUUCUCUUCUAAGCUUUCUUUCAGAUCUUCCCAACCCUCUUCUUCUUCUAUCGAUCAUCCUCAUCAAUCCAAUCAAUUAUCCAAAUCUGUCUUCAAAGAAGAAAUUCAUUUUGAAGAUAUCAAUCAAGAUCUCGACAACUGGGAAAUCCCUAAAAUCUCUCAUGCUGAGAUCUACAAACCAAACGGAUCCUUUUUCAAACGAUCAGACUUCAUCAUCAAAACCGUUGAGCAAACCUACAAGCUCAGAUCUGAUAAUGAAGAAAUCCAUCUGCUUUCUGAGAAAAGCGUCAAAGAUCAUAUCAGCAAGAACUUCAACUAUCUUCACAUAGAUCUAACUGUCAGUCUGGAAGACAAAAACAUCCUUGACGUUCUCUUCCUAAAUAUCAAGCUUCACGGCCUUGAUAUGAAAGAAGAUUCCAUACCAAUCUCUUUGAUCUACAGGGUUCAAUACAAGGUAAUGAACUCUAUCAAAUCUUAUUUCUUGCGAACCAAUUGUGAGAAAUCCGGAGAAACAACUCUUUUCCUUACAGAUUAUGAUAAGGCAAACGUUAUUGUUCCCAAAACCAUCCAAUGGAGUGAUAUCACCCUUCCAGAGAAAUGGUCUUUGGAAAAGAAACCCUUUCUAACCUGCCACCUAAAACUCCUUUCCUUCUUAAAGGAGCUCAAUCUACACCUGUCCUAGCUUCUCCCUUCAAGACUAGAAAAGAAGAAGGGGAUGUCACUGGAAAAGACAUCAAAGACCUCAUGGAACAAUCCAAUUACACCAAUAAAUAUCUUCAAAUUCUUGGAGAAUCCCAAGUACAGGAUUCCUCUUCCAAGAAAGGAAAAGAAAAGGUCAAGAUUGAACCUUCCUCUUCUAAUCUUGAUAUCCCUAAAGGAUGUCAACUUGAGAAACCCCUUUUCAAACCUUUUCAAAUCAGUAGCCGUUCCAAACACUCGGCUCAAACUCUUCGAGCAAAAAAGGAAUCUGACAAUGAGCUCCUCCAAAAAGUGGUAGAGCAACUUCAGCUUCUCAAACAAGUUAUUCCUGAGACUCCGGAACCUCCUGAGACUCCGGAACCUACUCCGGAAGAAGUUUCUAAUCCCACUAUUACUGCUCUUCCUCCUCCAAAAACUCGUACUUCUACUCGUAAUACCUCUACUUCUUUAAAUAAUAUUGAAGAUGGUAAGGUUGAGUCUGAUUCUGAUAUUCAAUCUGACGUUCAAUCUAUCAAAAGUAUUCCUGUCAAUACUGUCAUUCACAAUUCUAAGAAUCAGUGGAGGAAAGAAACCAAGCUCUACUAUCCUAGAGCUACUGCUCCUGAUCUUCUUUUAGAAGAAUCUUCAAACUUCAAAAGCUUCAGUGCCAACAAUGUCUAUGAAUGGAACAUUGAUGGUGAAAAUGAGUAUGGUAUCACCAAAAUCCUCCAAAAUAUGACUAUGGUAGCCACUGCCUAUGUUACCGCCAACAAUUGUCCUGAAUCUCUUAUCGUUGAAGUCUUGGUUGCUGGUUUCUGUGGCCAGCUCAAAGGUUGGUGGGAUAAUUAUCUCACUCAAGACGAGAAGGAUCAGAUCUUGACUGCUGUCAAGACUGAUGAAGAAGGUAAUCCUAUCAUGGAAGAUGGAAAAUUCAUCUCUGAUGCCGUCAACUCCUUAAUCUUCACCAUAGCCCAACAUUUUGUUGGAGAUCCUUCCCUCAUCAAGGACAGAUCUGGUGAUCUUUUGUCCAAUCUUAAGUGCAAAUCUUUGGGUGAUUUCAGGUGGUAUAAAGAUACCUUCCUAACCAGAGUUUACACCCGUGAAGACAGCCAACAAGCCUUCUGGAAAGAGAAAUUCCUGGCUGGUCUUCCUAAAUCUUUUGGCGACAAAGUUCGUGAGAAACUUAGAAGCCAAAAUCCGGGGGGAGAAAUCCCAUAUCACACCCUUAGUUAUGGACAGCUCAUAGCUAUCAUUCAAAGAGUUGCUCUCAAAAUCUGUCAGGAUGACAAAAUCCAACAGCAACUCACUAAGGAGAAGUCUCAAAAUCGCAGGGAUUUGGGUACUUUCUGCGAACAAUUUGGAAUUCAAGGUUGUCCCAAGAAACCUAAACCCAGAAAGCAAGAUCCUCCUCCCAAACAACAAUGGAGAAAGAGAUCUAGCAGGAAUGAUCAUAGGAAACCCAAGCCUAGAUCAAAACCCCAAUCUUCGCAAAUUCCAAAGAAUCCUCCUGAGACUAGACCUUCUCAAGGAAAAGAUGUUACCUGCUACAACUGCGGCAAGCCGGGCCAUAUUAGCAGGUAUUGCAGACUCAAAAAGAGAAUCUCUGAGCUUCAUCUUGAACCUGAAAUUGAAGACAAGAUCAACAAUCUUCUCAUUCAAACUUCUGAUGAAGAAGAAUCUAAUCCUUCGGAUUCUGAGGUCUCUGAAGACCUAAAUCAAAUUCAGAAUGAUGAUUCUCAAUCAUCAUCUUCCGUCAAUACCUUGUCUAUCAAUACUUUGACCAAUGAACAAGAUCUUCUCUUCAGAGCUAUUAAUUCUAUCCCUGAUCCUGAGGAAAAGAAAAUCUAUUUGGAACGCCUCAGAUCUACUCUUGAAGAUAGGCCUCCCAAAAGUCCUAUAACCACCAAUAAAUUCAAUCUUAAAGAUACUUUCAAGCGUCUUGAGAAAUCUACGGUCAAGCACGUUACUAUUCAAGACCUUCAAUUUGAAGUCAAUUCCCUCAAGACUGAGGUCAAAAGUCUCAAGCAAAUCCAAAAAAGUCAGCAACUUAUUUUGGAGAAAUUGACUAAAAAUUAUGAAGAAGAUGAUUCUUCUAUACCUGAUUCCAAUCCUGCUCCUAACAACAAUUGCGAAGACUUUCUGGAGAAUAUUAACCAGGUCACCAUUCAGAAAUUCUUUAUCCAUGUUAAAAUCCUCAUUGGAGAUUUUGUUCUCGAAAUCCCUGCCCUCUUUGACACAGGGGCAGAUUCCAGUUGUAUCUCGGAGGGACUCAUUCCCACCAGAUAUUUUGAGAAAACAACUGAGAAGCUCAGCGCUGCUGAAGGAUCUAGACUAAAGAUCAAGUAUAAAAUCCCCUCAGCUAUCAUCAAAAAUGGUAGUCUUGAAAUCGAAACUCCAUUUCUGUUAGUCAGAAAUUUGAGUCAAAAAAUCAUUAUAGGGACCCCUUUCAUUAAGAAACUCUUCCCCUAUAAUACUGACGAAAACGGCAUCACUGUUCAGCAUCUUGGACAACCUAUCUUGUUCAAAUUCUCUGAACCUCCCAUAGAUAAGACUUUGAACGUCAUAUCCUACAAGGAGAAGCAGAUCAACUUCCUCAAGGAAGAAAUCUCUUACAGAACCAUUGAGGAACAAUUGCAACAACCUUCUGUUAAAUCAAGGAUUGAGGAUAUUUUGGAAAAUAUUCAAUCCAGCAUCUGUUCUGAUCUACCCAACGCUUUUUGGGAAAGGAAGAGCCAUAUGGUGGAACUUCCUUAUGAAAAAGAAUUUUCAGACAAACAGAUCCCAACCAAGGCUAGACCUAUUCAAAUGAAUGAAGAACUUCUUCAUUUCUGCCAAAAGGAAAUCAAUGAUCUCCUUGAAAAGAAACUUAUUCGCAGGAGUAAGAGCCCUUGGUCCUGUGCAGCCUUCUAUGUCAACAAACAAGCUGAGAUAGAACGAGGAACCCCUAGGCUGGUUAUUAACUACAAACCUCUCAAUCAAGCCCUUUGUUGGAUCAGAUAUCCUAUCCCCAACAAGAAAGAUCUCUUAGCCAGACUGCAUGAUGCUAAGGUCUUUUCAAAAUUCGACAUGAAAUCUGGCUUUUGGCAAAUCCAAUUGCAAGAGAAGGAUAGGUAUAAAACUGCUUUUACUGUUCCUUUUGGGCAGUAUGAGUGGAACGUUAUGCCUUUUGGGCUAAAGAACGCCCCUUCUGAAUUCCAAAGGAUUAUGAACGAAAUCUUCAAUCCUUAUUCCAAAUUCACUAUUGUCUACAUUGACGAUGUUCUAAUCUUUUCCCAAACUCUUGAUCAACAUUUCAAACAUCUCAAUACGUUCAUCUCUGUAAUCAAAAGGAAUGGCUUGGCUGUUUCCAAGACAAAAGUCAGUUUGUUCCAAACCAAAAUCCGAUUCCUUGGUCACAAUAUCCACCAAGGAACCAUCAUUCCGAUCAAUAGAGCCAUCGAGUUCACUGAUAAAUUCCCUGAUCAAAUCAUUGACAAAACCCAAUUACAGAGAUUCUUGGGUUGUCUCAAUUAUGUUGCGGAUUUCUGUCCUCAACUCAGUACCAUAAUCAAACCCCUUCAUGAAAGACUCAAGAAGGAUCCUCCACCUUGGUCCGAUAUUCAUACCAAUGUGGUCAAACAAAUCAAACUUCGUGUCAAGAAUCUCCCUUGUCUUUAUCUCCCUAAUCCUCAAGCUUUCAAAAUUAUUGAAAAUGAUGCCUCUGAUAUUGGUUUUGGUGGCAUUUUGAAACAAAAGGUUUCUGACAAAGAACAAAUUAUUGCUUUUACUUCAAAGCAUUGGAACCCUGCUCAGCAGAAUUAUUCUACUGUCAAAAAAGAAGUUUUAGCAAUCGUUUUGUCUAUUUCAAAAUUUCAAUCUGAUUUGAUCAAUCAAAAAUUCUUGGUUCGAGUGGACUGCAAAUCUGCCAAAGAGAUUUUACAAAAAGAUGUCAAAAACUUAGCUUCAAAACAUAUCUUCGCCAGAUGGCAAGCUAUUUUAAGUGUUUUUGACUUUGAAAUUGAAUAUAUAAAAGGAUCUUCAAAUUCUCUCCCUGAUUUCCUCACUCGUGAAUAUUUGCAGGGCAGAUCAUAAGAUGGCCUCCAAAGGCUCUUCCUCAUCCAGAGGAAGAGGCAGAGGUUCUCACAAGAACAAAGGUAUUACAAUUUAUGACUUAAUCCUCUCUGGGCCCACUGCCCAUCAAUCUGGACCCACUGUCCAAAAUCAAAAAUCUGAGCCCACUGCUCAAAAUCAAUCUCCCCAACCAAAACAAACCAAAGCAGAUUAUGCUUUAUCAAUUCCAACUCUCCUUGCCCUCAAACAAGCAGGCCUGGAUAAUGUUCCUCAGGGACUCAUCAAUUUACCCAAAAAAUCCUGGGCUAGCAUGACAGAAGAAGAUGAUGACCUUCAAUCUCUCCAAGCCAUCAUUGAUAAAACCAAAACCUUAGCAACUCAUUGCGGGAAAAAACCCGUUGUUGCUCAACCCAGUCAACCCAACCAAAAUACCGGUUAUCUAGCCAAAAUAAACUCCAAAUUCCAAACUUUUAUUGAACCAGAAUGGUGGGAUAGCUCUGGAGGAGUCGACCUUGCCAACAAAAUUGGCAUUAAACUCUUCCCAAAUCACCUUGAUCCCAUUCACCCAAACAAAUCCCAAAUUUUCUAUGAGUUUAUCCUUAUAGAUACAAACAGUGUAGAAAUCAAACACUUUAGGGAUAAAUCUGAUAACUCCCUUAUCACUCAUUCUACACUCCAAAUUCUCCGUGUCCUUCGUCCCACUGACUUUGGACCUAAUCCAAAUGGUUACAAAAAAUUCUCUCAGAACUUUGACCCUGUAGGUUUCAACUAUUGGGACUAUAUGAAAGCUUGGGAGAAUACAAUCCUUGGUCUACAAAAUCAGAAUUUCAAACACUCUUGGCUCAUUUAUUUUAAAUGGUCCAACAAAUAUUCUUUUCCAAAUUGGUUUCACUCUUGGUGGGAUUUCUUUGGACCUACUACGGAAAUCUUUCCCUCUGAAGUUCUUGAGGGUUACAAUCAUUUUUUAAAGCAUUGGAAUAAAGAUUUAAACAAUUAUCCUGAUUGUUUGAAUUUUUACACAAUCUUUUCCCUUUCUUGGGUAUUUGCCUGGCGUUAUGGUCUCAAGACAAAAGCCCAACCAAUUCUCCACAAACAACCCUUAAUCAAAUGGUGGAAGGUCUUUGAUGCUUCCAAAGCUCAUAAGGAGAAUGUCAAUCAGUGGUUUAAGUCUAACCAAAGGUGCCUUAAGCAUGCCAAUCCGCAAUCUAGUCUCUUGCUCAAUCAAAAGGCCCACAUCACAGCGGCCCUUGCAGGAGCUUCAACAGAAGAAGACUUGCUGAAGAAUCUCCAAACAGCUCUGCAAUUAUUGAAAGAAAAGGAGCCAAAGGAGCAGGCCUCAUCCUCAAAGGCCCCUCAGCAGAAAACUUCCUCACAAUCUUCUUUCGGGUCAGAUCUUGUCCCGGAAACACUGGAAUCAAGUGAAGAUGACCUCUGCUAAAGCUUUGUCGUCUUUUUUCAUUAUGUUUUGUAAUAAUUCAAUCUCAAUUAUUGUAUUCCACUGUAGCAACAGUAGAACUUUUUACUGUAGCAAAUAGUGCCCGUCAAAUAGUACCGUCUACCGGAACUAUUCAACCGGAACUAUUCAAACAGUGACCAAAUUUUUCUUUAAAUAGGCAUCUUCUGAGCUUUGUUAGGCAGAGUUUGGCAUAGCCUAGAUAGAGAGUUAUAGAGAGAGAAAACACUGAGAGUCCUUCUGUAAGUUCUCUUUCAGUUUUCCUUUCUUCAAUCUUUUCAGUUGUUCAGUUUUUAUAUUUCAGUUUUUGUAACCUAUGUUUAUGUAAUAUAUUUCCUCCAGUUUUAUUUUUUUGUUUAUGGAAGGCUGAGCCUCCUGUUUUAAUUCCUGUCUUUUAAUUUCUGCAAUUUAAAUUUCUGCUACUAGAAGCCCCUCCGUGGUGGCGUCCUACUUCUCUUCUUAAUCCUCAUCUCAUCCCCCUCCUUCUGUAUAUAUAUAUAUAUAUAUAUAUAUAUAUAUAUAUAUAUAUAUAUAUAUAUAUAUUUGGUAUUUCUAAAAACAAAUUAUUGAGUAUUGAAUUGUCUUUUAACCUUAACACUAACAAUUAUCUUUUUUGUUGAAGAAUCUUUUUCAUUUUCAGGCACCGGAGUUAAUUGCUAAGCGUUAUUGCUUUCUUACCAUGGGGAAAAAGUAUAGUGUAAAUUCAGGUUCCCUCUGACACGAUUGUCCUGCACGAUGCUGGGACAAGAGGUUCGACAACUGCUUAACAGUGAAACAAAACUUAACAACAGAAACAAUAACACACAGUAAUUGUUAACCCAGUUCAGUGAAAACUUUCACCUACGUCUGGAGGGUUUGCACCCAAAGAAAGGAAAUCCACUAUCUCAAGAUUCAGGAAUUACAGACACUCAUGAACACCUCAGUUCAUAGUUCACUUCCUAAUCUACCCAGUGUAUUUCUACUUAGAAUCUCAACCUAAGUAUGAGAGCCCCUCUCACUUCCUCUCAAUCACUGCCACAGUGAUUGGUAAACACAAUGAACAAUCAGAGUUUGAAUGUAAUCAAACAACACAGAACCCUUCUUUGCUUUAUAGAAUCAGUGAGCAAAGAGGAUUCACAAAUAACAAGAACGAAGCACAAUAACAAAUCCUAAAACACUCGAUCUCUCUCUAUCAGCUUCGGUCAUCUUCACGUUUUAGGUCUUCAUCCUUUUAUAGACUUCAGCAGCGGUAGCAUGGGCUUUAGGGUUGGCACGGGCUGAAGAAACAGAUAUCAGUAACAGCAAUUCAAAAACACAAUCUUGAUAGAUUCGGUUUCUUAUUGCACAAGUAACGAUAGAAACCAAUCUUUUAGCAAAGAUUGUUUCAACAAAUAACAACCCCACAAUUAAAACCCUUCUGGAUAGCUACUUGCUCCUCAAGUAACUCAAAAACAUAUCUUCAGUAAAUCUUCAGAGGGCCCACAAUAUAAACACAAGCUGAGGACUGAUGUCCUAGCCUCACGAGGUCAGAUGCCACGGCAUCUGCUUCGACAAUUAGUUGUUUUGACAAAAUGCAAGGCAACAUGUUCCAACAAUCUCCCCCUUUGUCAAAUUUUGUCUAAAACAACUCACAAUCAGAGAGGAUAAAAACAAGAGAAAUAACUCUCCCCCUUAGUCAGAGCUCCCCCUCAAACAGAUGCAUCUACACAACCAACUACCAUACUUCAGAAGGCAUAGUCGGAACAAACACAUUUUAACAUCGCAAACACACAACCAGAGGUACAAUCAACCUUAGCACAUGAUGUCUUCAAAAUGGGUCAGCUUGGACAUCAUCAUAUCAAAAAUACUACCAUCAGAAGCUGGCAGCACAUACCCAGAAGUACAGCUAACAGAAAUACUGCUCAUCAGAAGCACCGUCAGAAAUACAACUCAUCAGAAGUAACAUUUCAGAAAACAAACAUAGCCAUCGUCUUGAACUUGUCUUCAGACCAGAGCUAACACUAUCAGAACACACGUAGCACAGUAGAAACAGAAGCAACUUCACCUAACUUCUGAGAACAUGAACAUCUGAACCACAACAAACUUCUGAUCUGCGAACAUCUGAACAAAAACAACUUCUGAACCACUAACUUCUGAACAGAAACAUCUGAAAAAAAACUCUUCACUAACUUCUGAAACCUCAAAACAGCUGAAACAUAGAUCUUCACUUAAACAUCUGAUCAUAAAACACAUGCAUACUACUCCCCCUUUUUAGCACAAAUUUGCAAAGGGUGCACGAAUACAGCAGAAACAAAACACACUAGUCUUCAGAACUGGAGUCCUUUCCAGAUCCUUCUGCAUUUUCCUCUGCACACUCUUCAGAUCCUUCCUCCUCUUCAUUACUCACAUUCGGAGCAGCAGCACGUUGCUCACCAUCUUGACGUUCUUCUUCUUGUAGCUUGAGUAGCAACGCAUCAACUUUGAGCUUCCUGGCAGUGCUCACCCUGAUUGUCUCCUGCAAAGCCUUGGAAACUUCCAGUAAUUCAGCUAUGAUGGCCUUAGCGUCAGAUUCAGUCACAGGAGGAGCAGAUGUUCUGCUGGUUGGUAAGGCAAUGUCUAGAACAUGUGGCUCCAUAAACAAACGGUGAUCCAAAGUGAUUGGAACUCCACGAGACAUAGCCACAUCAUCUGCCCUCAGAAUCUGAGGAUGUUGCUUUAAGAUUAUCUCAGUAAGAAGUGAAGGAAAUGAAACAGGCAGCUUCACAGCACAAGUAUCAGCAUGCUUCAAUGUCUGCUCAAACACAAAAGUUCCAAAGUCAAAAGCCAUAGACUUGCCAAUCCUAUAGAUCAAUUUGGCAAGCGUUGCAGAAACACCAGAAGUAUGUUGAGUAGGAACCCAAUUCACAGCACCAAUCCGGUUAAGAAUAGCAUACUUCACACUCAGAUUUCCAGGAGACAACAACUUCUUGCUGGGCCACUUCUUCACAUGACCGGCAGUAAGCUCCUUGGCAACAUCAUCCAUGGACACUUCUUCAUCAACAAAUUCAAUAGCACUUCUUCCAUGUGCUUGAUUGAUCACAGCAGGUGAAAACAAUACACAUUCAGCCCGUACAUAGACUUUUCUGAACUCUGCACUAUCAGGAAGUCCCACAUCAACAGAGAGAUUCACCAGGAACUCUCUCACAAGCUUCUCAUAGCACCUUCCAACAUUCUGAAUAGUCUUCAUCAGACCUGCUUUCUCAAUAAGUGCAAUAACAUCUCUGCAUUCAAGAACAUCAGAACCAACAUCCCUUUCCUUGGCCAUUCUCCUCUUGCAAACAAACUUCCACUUCUGAACAUUCUCUUCUAAGUGGAAAGACACUCUAUCAAUAGGGACAGCAGGAACAUUCUGAGGAACACGCUUACCAGAAAACUUCUUUGUAUCAGAAGAUCGAAUGUCCUGAACACCGACUUCAACAUCUGACUCAGAGUCUUCAACUUCAACUGGAAUCUUCCUCUGCUUGUUCUCAGUGGGAGCCUUUGCGUCCUUUUGCUUCCCCUUACUCUUCACACUGACAUGUCUAGAUUUCUUUGAUGGAGUAGGUGUGAUUUCAGGAGAAGAAAUCCUUCUUUUCUUCUUCAUUCUCGCAGCAACACUAUCAGCAAAAGUCUCAGUCAGAGGAACAUCAUCAGAAGCAUCAUCAGAGAUGUUCUGAACAGAGGCUGGAUCAGCAUCCUUCGAAGAGGAUGAAACAGAGAUAUUAGGCGUGGUAGCAUCGCCUGAAUUUUCAUGAGAAGUGGAAUCCUUUCCAGGAGUUUCUUGAGCAGAACUUUCCUUAGACCCAGUUGCCUCAACAUCAGCCACAACAUCAGGCACAACUUCAGGAGGCGAUUUCACUGGAGAAUCUUCAUCAUUGAUUUCUUCUUCGUCAGGAACAUCCUCAAGGAUAGAAACAUUUGGGGCUUUGCUGUUCUUGACCUGUGAUUUGUAGACCUUACAUGUUGGGUUUCUUGAUCGCAUCUUCUUGGAGGCUUUCUUGGACACAAAAGACGGUUGAGAAGGAUCACUCUUCAAACCCAUACACUUGACUCCUUUAGCAGUUCCUUCAAUCUUGGCCUUGACAGAUUCCUUCUUUCCUGAACUUUGAGACAUGACGAAUCGAGAGGAAAUACAAACAAAGUUCAGAACAAUGAAACAAAUUUGCAAAUGAGAGAUGAUGAGUCUUGAAGAAGAUAGAUGCACAAGCGGUUGAGAGAACACAAUAUGCCCGUUGGAGGUAGUUAUAGGAUAUGUGAACCAUGAAGUAACUUUCUCUCUGCUGAUGUCACAACGGCUGUUAAUGAUGACCAAGAAUAAACUAGCCGUUGACACACUAGGGCACGCUAAUUGCUAUGCAUCAGAAAGACAAAUCCCUAUACUUCCUCUUAAUUUUUCAAAAGUGAUAGCAUCAAGGGGUUUUGUGAAAAUAUCAGCCAACUGCUUGUCAGUUGUCACAUGAUCCAAAUUAACAAUUUUCUCCUCCACCAAGUCUCUAAUAAAAUGAUGUCUAAUGUCAAUAUGCUUGGUCCUGCUAUGCUGUAUAGGAUUCCUUGAAAUAUUAAUUGCACUGAGAUUGUCACAGUACAAUGUCAUGACAUCCUGUUCAACAUCAUAUUCCUUCAGCAUUUGCUUCAUCCACAUGAGUUGAGUACAACUACUUCCUGCUGCAAUAUAUUCCGCUUCAGCUGUAGACAAUGAGACACAAUUCUGCUUCUUGCUAAACCAUGAAAUCAAAUUAUUCCCUAGGAAGAAACAACCACCAGAUGUGCUUUUUCGAUCAUCUGCACUACCUGCCCAAUCUGCAUCACAGAAACCAACUAACGAAGAAUUUGUAUCAUGAGUAUAGAGAAUACCAUAGUCACUCGUGCCAUUGAUGUACUUGAUAAUUCUCUUGACUUGUAGCAGAUGACUAGCCUUAGGAGCUGCUUGAUAUCUUGCACAUACACCAACUGCAAAGGUGAUAUCUGGUCUGCUAGCAGUGAGAUACAACAAGCUUCCAAUCAUGCUUCUAUAGAGACUUUGAUCUACAUCUUCCCCCUGUUCAUCCUUGGAGAGUUUGAUGUGUGUAGCAGCAGGAGUUCUCUUGUGACCAGCCUUUUCAAGCCCAAACUUCUUGACUAACCCUUUAGCAUACUUGCUCUGUGAUAUGAACAUAGAAUCCUCCAUUUGUGUGACUUGUAGUCCUAGAAAAUAAUUCAAUUCACCAACUAGGCUCAUCUCAAAUUCAGAUUUCAUUUGUCGGACAAAAUGCUCCACCAUUGAGUUCGACAUUCCUCCAAAGACAAUGUCAUCCACAUAAAUCUGUGCUAUCAUGAGCUUACCUUUGUCAUUCUUCACAAACAGAGUUUUAUCAAUUCCACCCUUGCUGUAACCAUUGCUUACAAGAAAGUCAGUUAACCUUUCAUACCAAGCCCUAGGUGCUUGCUUCAAACCAUACAAGGCCUUCCUCAACUUGUACACAUGAUCUGGAUGAUGCGGAUCUGUAAAUCCUUUAGGUUGUUCAACAUAGACUUCUUCAUUCAAAUAGCCAUUCAGAAAAGCACUCUUCACAUCCAUCUGAUAAAGUCUGAACUUCAAGAGACAAGCAACACCUAACAAGAGUCUUAUAGAUUCCAGUCUAGCUACUAGAGCAAAGGUCUCAUCAAAAUCAACUCCUUCAAUCUGAGUAUAUCCUUGAGCAACAAGCCUUGCUUUAUUCCUUGUGACUGUUCCAGUUUCAUCUGACUUGUUCUUGAAGAUCCACUUAGUGCCAAUGAUGUUUACUCCUUCAGGUCUAGGCACUAACUCCCACACUUCAUUUCUCCUGAACUGUUCUAGCUCCUCUUGCAUAACAUUUAUCCAGUAUUCAUCAGUGAGAGCUUCAUUGACAUUCUUGGGUUCUGUCUUAGAGAUGAAACAACUGUGAGCAAUCAUACUCCUGGAUCUGGUAGUCACCCCUUCUUGAAGAUUACCAAUAAUGUUUUCUUGAGGAUGAUUCUUCUGAACCCUAAUUGAUGGAGCUUUGGUUGAUGUGAUAUCUUUGUCUUCCUUUUCAUCAGCACUUGUUUCUGACUCGUUGUCGAGGGCGGUUGCUGGAGCAUCGGCUGGAACAUCUGCAUCAUCAUCAUCUUCAUUCAAAACUGCUUCUUCCUUCUUGCUUGGUUCAUCAUCCACAGUCACAUUCACAGAUUCCAUCAUGGUCCUUGUGCGAGAGUUAAAAACUCUAUAGGCUUUGCUGUUCAUAGAAUACCCCAUGAAAAUUCCUUCAUCACUUCUAGGAUCAAGCUUCCUCUUAGGAUCACGAUCUGCAAGGAUAUAACAUUUACUUCCAAAUAUGUGAAAGUAUUUUACAGACGGUUUUCUACCUUUCCAUAGCUCAUACUGUGUGGAGGAUGUCCCUGCCCUGAUGGUGACUCUAUUAUGUAUGUAACAGGCAGUACUCAUAGCUUCAGCCCAGAACUGGUGUGGAAUCUUCUUAGCAUGUAACAUUACUCUAGCUGAUUCCUGGAGAGUUCUAUUUUUCCUCUCAACUAUUCCAUUCUGCUGUGGAGUGAUAGGGGCAGAAAAUUCAUGGCUAAUACCUUCUGUUCCACAGAACUCCAAGAAUUUUGAAUUUUCAAACUCCCUUCCAUGAUCACUUCUGAUUCUCACAAUCACACAGUCCUUCUCAUUCUGAAGUCUCAUACAUAGAUUCUUGAAUAUUUCAAAAGUCUCUGAUUUUUCUCUCAUAAACUCAACCCAUGUAUACCUUGAAAAGUCAUCUACACAGACAAACACAUACCUUUUUCCUCCCAAGCUUUCAACCUGCAUGGGACCCAUGAGAUCCAUGUGAAGCAAUUCCAGAACCUUUGUCGUGGUCUGAUGCUGGAGCAUCUUGUGUGGCACCUUGGUUUGCUUACCAAUCUGACAUUCUCCACAUAGCUUUCCUUCUCCCAAGCUCAAAUUGGGCAAUCCCCUUAUUGCUUCAUCUGCAAGAAUCUUUUGCAUGCUCCUGUAGUUGAGAUGUCCUAGUCUUUGAUGCCAUACAUUCACCUCAUCUUCUUUAGUUAACAAACAUCUGGAAACAUGAGCUUUAUCUUCUGAUGUCCACAUAUAACAGUUGUCUUUUGAUCUGACUCCUCUCAUCACAACUCUCUCAUCAUCAGUGGUCACAACACAUUCUAUCUUAUUGAACUUCACAUCAUAUCCUUGAUCACACAGUUGACUUAUGCUGAUUAAGUUGGCUGUUAAACCAUUUACAAGUAACACAUUGUUCAAGUUAGGAGAUUCUGUGCUAACAAGAUUUCCUACUCCCUUGAUCUUUCCUUUAGCUCCAUCUCCAAAAGUAACAUAGUUGGUGGAGUGACUUCUGAUGUCUUGCAAGAAGCUCUUGUUUCCUGUCAUGUGCUUUGAACAACCACUAUCAAAAUACCAAUCUUCCUUUGAUGAUGCUCUGAAAGACGUGUAGGCUACCUGACAUCUGACUUCACCCUUGGGCUUCCAUUGCUUCCUCAUCUGAACAGGCUUUUUAUCGUGCAUCUGAGGAUAACCAUAUAACCUGUAACAGUAGGGCUUUAUAUGACCAUUCUUACCACAGUAGUGACACUUCCAAGGUACAGUUUUAUCAAGCUUAAGCCGGGGUUUCACAUGCAGAGGUACAUGUCUGGGCAAUGAAUCUGACAACUGAUAAUUUCUAGGCUUCUUGAAUUCAGUUUGUUUCGCAGCAGACACAAAUUUCUUUGAACCUUUCUGAUUUUCUUUGUUUGCAGUUCUAUAGUCAAAGCCAAUUCCCUUCAAACUCCCUCCUUGCUUGCUAGUUUCCUUCAGAAUUUCAUCAAGCAUAUCAGAACCACUGUUCAACAUUCUAACAGAUUUGUGAGUAGCUUCAAGCUUUCUUGUCAGAGUUGCCACUUCCUCUUGAAGUCCUGCAUUAAUCAACACUAGAUUAGCCUUUUCCAUAACAUCAGCAUUAUUAAACUUACUUUGCCAUUCCUCCAGAUCUUCCUUCAGCUUUGUGCUGAGCUCUUUCAGCCUUUCAUUCUGAGAGACAAGUUGUUCUAUCUCACUUUGCUUUUCUCUCACAAGUUUACAUGCUUCUUCCCACUUGAUGUGUAGCAGCUUGUAAGUCUCAGCCAGUUCCUCAUCUGUAAUGUCCUCAUCACUUGUAUCAGACUCAUAGACGGUUCCAGAGAAAGCAUUGACUUUGUUUGCAGAUAUCUCCUCCUCAUCUUCAGUGUCUUCAUCUGACCAAGUUACCAUCAUACCUUUCUUCUGCUUCUUUAGAUAAGUGGCGCAUUCAGAUCUGAUGUGACCAUAUCCUUCACAUUCAUGACACUGCACUCCUUUAUUCUGACCAGAUUUUUCUUCUUCUUUGGUCUUCCUCUGUGAAUUAGUAAAUUUGGGUUUGUUAUCGAACUUCAUGUCCUGGACAUUAGGCCUGGUUCUUUUAUCAAUCUUUCUCAAUGCUCUGUUGAAUUUUCUUGCUAGCAUGGCUAGAGCCUCAGUCAGAUUUUCACCCUCACAAUCUUCAUCAUCACCUUCAUCAGUGUUUGACACAAAAGCAAUACUCUUAUUCUUCUUCUCAGAUUUUCCACUCAGUUUCAACUCAAAUGUCUGCAAAGAGCCAAUAAGUUCAUCAACCUUCAUGUUCUCAAUGUCUUGAGCCUCCUCAAUUGUAGUGACUUUCAUAGCAAACUUAUGAGGAAGAGAUCUCAAGAUCUUCCUUACAAGCUUCUCAUCUGACAUAGGCUCUCCCAAAGCAAAUGAAGCAUUAGACAAGUCACGGACACGCAUGUGGAAUUCUGAAAUAGUCUCUUCUUCAGUCAUCAUAAAAUUUUCAAACUGAGUAGUAAGCAUCUGAAGCCUUGACAUCCUUACUCGAGUAGUUCCUUCAUGUGCAGUUUUCAGAAUUUCCCAAGCAUCCUUUGCCACAGUACACGUAUUGAUCAGCCUAAACAUAUUUUUGUCAACUCCAUUAAAGAUAGCAUUUAGAGCCUUUGAAUUUCCAAGAGCAGCUUCAUCUUCAACACUGGUCCAUUCUUCUUCAGGUUUUUCCACAACAGUAGUAGAGGUGCCUUCAACCUCAGCCUUAGUGGGGUGCUUCCAACCCUUGACAAUAGCUUUCCAAGUCUUAUUGUCAAUUGACUUGAGAAAGGCUGUCAUGCGAACCUUCCAAUAGUCAUAGUUAGUACCAUCCAGAAUGGGUGGCCUAUUAACUGAUCCUCCCUCCUUGUUAUCCAUGAGAACUUGAAUAAAAACUCCCUGGAGCUCACCCAACCAGAACAGGGUGCCUGCUCUGAUACCAAUUGUAAAUUCAGGUUCCCUCUGACACGAUUGUCCUGCACGAUGCUGGGACAAGAGGUUCGACAACUGCUUAACAGUGAAACAAAACUUAACAACAGAAACAAUAACACACAGUAAUUGUUAACCCAGUUCAGUGAAAACUUUCACCUACGUCUGGAGGGUUUGCACCCAAAGAAAGGAAAUCCACUAUCUCAAGAUUCAGGAAUUACAGACACUCAUGAACACCUCAGUUCAUAGUUCACUUCCUAAUCUACCCAGUGUAUUUCUACUUAGAAUCUCAACCUAAGUAUGAGAGCCCCUCUCACUUCCUCUCAAUCACUGCCACAGUGAUUGGUAAACACAAUGAACAAUCAGAGUUUGAAUGUAAUCAAACAACACAGAACCCUUCUUUGCUUUAUAGAAUCAGUGAGCAAAGAGGAUUCACAAAUAACAAGAACGAAGCACAAUAACAAAUCCUAAAACACUCGAUCUCUCUCUAUCAGCUUCGGUCAUCUUCACGUUUUAGGUCUUCAUCCUUUUAUAGACUUCAGCAGCGGUAGCAUGGGCUUUAGGGUUGGCACGGGCUGAAGAAACAGAUAUCAGUAACAGCAAUUCAAAAACACAAUCUUGAUAGAUUCGGUUUCUUAUUGCACAAGUAACGAUAGAAACCAAUCUUUUAGCAAAGAUUGUUUCAACAAAUAACAACCCCACAAUUAAAACCCUUCUGGAUAGCUACUUGCUCCUCAAGUAACUCAAAAACAUAUCUUCAGUAAAUCUUCAGAGGGCCCACAAUAUAAACACAAGCUGAGGACUGAUGUCCUAGCCUCACGAGGUCAGAUGCCACGGCAUCUGCUUCGACAAUUAGUUGUUUUGACAAAAUGCAAGGCAACAUGUUCCAACAUAUAGGAAUGGAAAGUUGAAAUUAUGGAAUUCUAAAGAUAACCCUUGUUAUUCUAGAGAACAACUUAUUGGUAAUGUCCCUAAAGGAGUUCCUAAAGAUCAAUGGUCAUCAUUUGUUGAUUAUCACUUGAAGCCAAAAUAUAAGGUAUAAUUUCCUAGUUGUUUGUUAUCUAUAAUUAUCUUUUUCAGAUUAUAUUUUAGUUAACGUGUUGUUCAUAUAAUAGGAGUUAUGUCAAAAGAAUGUGGAGGCGCGUAAAAAGCAAACAAUUCCACAUACCGGCGGAUCUAAACUUUUAUCAAGGAGACAACAUGAAAUGGUAUAUAACUCAUGUUAUGCCUUGUUAGGUCUUAAUAGAUUGAUCUAAUUAUUUUUAUUUGAUAUUUGGACUUAUAUGAGUCACACACAUAUGUAUAGGAAAUAGAGGUUGGACAUGCUAUAAGUCGAGGAGAAUUAUAUAUUGCAACUCACAAGAGAAAAGAUGGGUCUUAUGUCAAUGAGGAGGCAAGGUUUGUAGGGGUAAGUUACAAAAUUAAAUGUUUAUUCCCCUGCUACUGAAAUUGGAAUUUAAAACCAGAAUCUUGCUGUGCUUUUUUUUCAAGAAAUAGAAUCUUUGCGCUGCUGAUUUAGAAUAAGUUAAAGUUAAUGACAUGCUAUCAUUUUACCCAAAUGACAUGUAGGAGCAGGUUGAGCAAGAACUAAGUCAAACCAACAAUUUUGUAGAAGUUUCAAAAAAUGAUGCUCUUUCCAAAAUUUUGGGUCCAGAUAGAGCUGGAUGUGUGCGUGGAUUAGGCUUAGGUGCUCUUCAUAGUGUUGCAUUUGGAUCGACUAGUGGUAUAGCCUAUAAUAGCUCAGCUGAAGUAUCUCAAUUGAAAGAAGAACUUAAUUUUGUAAAGAGCAAGUUAGCAACUUCUGAAGAGAAUAUUUCAACAUUGCAAACUAUAAUGUUUGCAUUUAUGCAAAUGAAAGAAUUAAAUAUCUCAGCAAACUUGGGUGCUUUGUUCGCGACUUUUACUCAAAUGGUAAUGUUGCUUAUUGAUUUAACUAAGGUAAUAUGUUGCAGUUUUUAAUGAGUACAAAUGUUGAUUUGGUGUGGUUUUAAUUUUUAAGGACAAUGCCAAUGCUAAUGAUGAACCAGUUCAAACUGCUGAUCAUGCAAAGGGUUUUCACUAAUGUUAGUGAGGUUAGUCAUGUUUGCUACUCUACUUUGGAAAUUUAGUUUUGAAUGCUGAAUGUUUUCAUUUCUGUUUCUCCAUUGAAGUGAUUACUUGAUUGGGUAAUAAAUAAUAUGGUAAAGUCAUCCUUGAUUUGCCUUAAUAUUUUAUGUACAAGAUUACAGCCAUAUUGAUUAAGCUACAUAUCUAUGUCUAUCCCCCUGCUUGACUAAUCAGAAUUAGAUCCCAUUAUCUAGAAAUGUUUCUAGUCAUAUCUUAAACGAUGCUGUGACAUCCAAAGCUGCAUCUAAAUCAUAUUUUAUCAGUUUUCCUGAUUUUAGUUUCAGCUACUGAUUAGAAAUUUGACAAAUGUCUACCCUUUUCAUUGCAGGGUCAAUUGAUGACAAUAUAGAUAUAAUGAAGAAAUGUCUAAAAAUAAUCGAGUCUUUAAAUCCUUAUGUACUCAAAUUCAAAUGUUGGAACCAUAUAUUUCCUUUCAUGUUCAUGCCCAUUUGUGAGUUAGAUUGAACCUUGUGACAUCUUGAGGCAUACUCUGAAUUUAGUAAAGAUGUUGCAUAUUUGAGAUAUGUAAGUGAAUUGUAAUUUUUUUUUUGAGUGACUGAACCACCUUUGUAGAGUGGUCUUGCAAUUACUUGUAGCAUUAUCAUGCUCAUGCUCAUGCUUUUUAAAAUUCAUUAUGUUCUUUUUUAUCCUAUUCUCUCUUUGCUUAAUUUGGUGUUAGUUUAAUCCCUAAUCACCAACAUAUUAGAGAUUUUAAUAAUUCAUUUAAAUUGAUUCACAAAUAAAAAAAUAAAAAAUAAAAAAUUCACUUGGAUGGGUCAAAACCUGAAUUAUGCAUUUUGUGGCACUUAAAGGAUGCCAGUACUGUUUGAGCCUAAUUCAAUGGUUGGUGUAUUUCGUGGCAUUUAAAAGAUGCCAAUACCAGUUGUGGCAUACAAAACCGGCAUUUAAGCAAAAAAUGCCACAAAACAGUUGUGGCACCUGUAAUAGAGGCACUUAAAGGUGAAUGCCACUAAUAACACUUGUGGCAUUUAAUAAAUGCCACAACUUAACAAUAUCAAUGCCACUAAAAAUGCAUUUUUUUGUAGUGUUCCUACUGGCGCAACAUGAUGAAACUGUGCAUGUUUGAGCUCUUAAACAUGCCGAAAGUUCAAAGCUUUGCUCCUUUAAGGAGAGAUGAAGUAGGACUGUUUGUGGAAUCACUUAAGAAAUCAGCAGCCUCACGUGAGGUUGUGAAUGUCAGUGAGAAAAUUGGGGAUGUUGUAGAGAAUACUGUCCAUAGAAUGAUUUGGGGUAAAUUUGAUGAUAAAUUUAAUUUGGUGUAAAACAGCUUGCUCGUGACGUUUUUCUCCUCAUGGGAGUUCUUGAUCUGGGAGAUUAUAUACCUUGGGUUGGGGCCUUUGAUCUUCAGGUACUUCAACUACAACUACUACUAGAUGUUUGAAUCUACUUAUUUCCCUUCAUAAUCAUUUCUGAUACGCAAUAAACUUUUUUUCCUAGAAUCAAUUUUGCCUUUAAAUGUGAUUGAAGAACGAUUUGCAUACAUGUACUAUUGUUACUUUUGAUUGUUAAAAACCUUAAUUUAUGUGGCUAACCAAGGAGGACGAAUCAUCAGUUAGUCCCUAGUGGCAUCAUCAGUUAUGAGACUAUAUGACACACCAUGUUAUCUGCUGACGUGACAAUAUUGACAAUGAUAAAAAUCUCAAAUGUUAAUUACAAAAUGAUGAUUCGAACAUGAGAUCUUAUAGUGGUAGAUUUCUCGUGUUUGAAUCCUCACUUUGAAAGUUUUGGAAUUUUAAGUAGAAUGUUACUAUUAAAGACUAACUAAUUAUUUGUCAACCGGCUACAUGUCAUCGGUUAGCCACGUUUAUUUGCAAACACCAAUAAUACUUUGUUCACAUACCUUUUUCCAAUUUCACUUUAAUGAUAUAAGAAAAAAAGAUUGAGAAAUGAGUGAUAUAAUAAGUUUUUGUUUAUUAGUGAUAUAAUAAGUGAUGUGAAAAUAUAGAGGGAGAUAGAAAUAAGAAAAUGCUAUUGUACACGAUUAUAUUUUUUACGACAAGGCACGACUUAAUUCCCACCGUGUGAUCUUAAUCAGAUUGGGGUUUUUAUCAUCAGCCCACAAUCCUUGUUUUCCAUCAAAACGUGCAAACUACAAUCAUCUCCCGUCGUGCAUUGAAUUUGUCAUGUGAUAUAGAAAUUCUCUAGAAAUAAAUGAGUGAAAACGAGAUGAAGAAAAAAUGGAGUGUGAGUGAAUCAUUAAUCUCUAUUGCCUUUUUUUUUACAUUUAAAGACUUAUAUUAAAGAAAUUGAAAUGUCGGGAGUAAAACCAAAUAAGCAUUCCUAUUUUUAAAAACUCCUAUUUUUAAGACUUUGACCAUAUUUAAUCCUUAUUCUUAUCCUAAAAGAUUUUACAUUGUCCACUAAAUUUUACUCAAAUUUAAUCCAUAUCUCAGGGACUUGUACGAAGGUUCAAGAAAGCGCACAAGAAAUUUGACGAAGUGUUAGAGAUAAUCAUCAAAGAUCACGAGGCUUCUGCUCGCCUUACCGACCAGAAAAGCGUGCAAUCUAUUGACUUCAUUGACAUAUUGCUAUCACAUAUGCACCAAUCAAAGGAUAAACAUGCUAUUACCAAAACAAACAUCAAGGCUAUUUUGUUGGAUAUAAUUAUCGGAGCAGUUGACACAACUAUCAUGUCGGUUGAUUGGAAUAUGGCAGAACUAAUAAGGCACCCAAGGGUUAUGAAGAAACUUCAAGAUGAGUUAAAGAAUAUUGUAGUGGGUAUGGGGAGGAUGGUAGAAGAAGCUGACUUACCAAAGUUGCCAUACCUCGAUAUGGUGAUGAAAGAGACCUUUAGGUUACAUCCACCUACUCCACUCCUCCCACCUCGUGAGUGUACGGAAGAUUUUACAAUCAAUGGUUAUUUCAUUGCGAAAAAGUCACGAGUUUUAGUCAACUCUUGGACAUUAGGACGAGAUCCUAAGAUGUGGUCAGAUAAUUUUAAGGAUUUUUAUCCAGAAAGAUUUCAUAACACCGACAUAGAUUCUCAUGGGCACAAUUAUCAAUUUUCACCAUUUGGUUCCGGUCGUAGACGCUGUCCCGGGAUGCUAUUGGAUUUAACUACGGUUCCGUUUCUUCUAGCUCAGCUAGUGCAUUGCUUCAACUGGGAGCUUCCACCGGGCGUGUCUACUGAUGACAUGGACAUGACUGAGGAAUUUGGCCUUACAACGCCAAGAACUCAGAAUUUGCUAGCGAUUCCAACUUAUCGCUUAAUAAAUGAAGGUUAAUUGAAUGCAUUCAACCUCAUGAGAAAGCAGGAAGUUACUUUAAUGUGUUUUUUAAUUUAUUCCUUUCUUUGUUUUUCCUUGAAUAAGAUCUUCAUGUGCUCACAGAGCUUCUUAAUUUGCUGCACUUGGAUCGAUCAUACCUAAGAGAUUAGGAUGAUUUUAAAUUUCAGCAGUGUAAUGAUUGUAAUAUUUAAUAAUCCUGUUACUCAUGAUGGGUUUUAAUAACGUUAAGUUGGCCGCAUUCAUGUAUUUAAAAAUUGCAUUUUAUUUUCCUUUGGACAAAUCUUUCUAGCCCAAAAACCAACACAAAAACUAGUAUCAACCAACAAUUCAACACAGUUCGUAGAUAUCGGAGAUCAUUAAGCAUUCAUUCAAGGGUUCAAUUUUUGAGAAGUGUAUAUAAAGAAAGAUUUGUUAAAAAAGACUUACUCACUUAAUCUAAUCUCAAAGCUUCAAAUAUAUUAGUCUUGGUGGUGCCAACUAUCAAAUACUUAAUAAAAAAUAUAAACAACUUUUAAAUACAACAAACGAAAUGAUAACUUGAUGGUGUAUGAUGGGCAAAUAAAUAUUGAUUUUUUUAGUUAAAAGGUGUAUGAUGGGCAAAUAAAUAUUGAUUCCACAUGUCAAUUUGUUAUAUAGCAUUUUUUUUUUGAAAGCAAAAUCUUUAUUGAUAAGGAGAGGUAACCAAGAGCAAAAAGGUAGCUCAAAGAAACAGUAUAAGAUGCAUCAACAAAGUUCCACACAAAGGACUAAUAGGCAGCAAAAAGAAAAAGAGCGCAGAUGCAGAACAGGAAGCAUUACAAGGGGCAGAGAAUGAGAAAAGUAAAGGGGGCAAAGCAUUCAAGAGAGAGCAGCCUUCAAAAAAACCCCUCCAUUAUAGAAAGCCACGAGCCAAGCUUCAGUAGACCAAUCAGCUAGGAUAACAACAAGUAGGAACUAGCAAAUAACACAGCUUCAUGAUCACAGAGCAAAAUGUGCAGAUACCAGUGCAGGGAAACACUACCAAUGGCAGAGGAGCUGUAAAGAAAACAUGCAGUAAAAUAUAUAUAGUCAAAGAGUAAGGAAGAUUCAGUUCAGCUUCUCCCAGAUUGGUUCAAUUCUAUCGCACCCUGACUUUGCUAAUUCAUCGGCCUCACCAUUUGCUUCUCUAAGUGUAUGAGCCACACCCACGCAAGCUACUUCCUUCAUAAUCCAAUCUAUAGCAUUCAGAUCAUUUAUAAGCGCUAGAGGUCUAUUGGAUUUGCAACGGACCCAACCCACCGCAAGUGUAGAAUCACUUUCAACCAGAACUUGAGAGAACCCAAAUUCUUUGGAAAAAAUCAGCGCCAGAAGAAUGGCUUUUACUUCAGCUUGGUAAGCCCAAGAAACCCCCAAAGGUUUAGAAAACCUGCCCAAGACAGCGCCCUCCGCGUUUCUCAGAAUUCCACCAGCAUCGCUAAUGCCGGGGGAUCCUCUAGCAGAACCAUCAACAUUAAAUUUGAGAAUAUUAGCCUCCGGAGGGCACCAAACACAGUUUCUUAUCUUCCUCACUUUCCCCAAAGUCUUAAUGUUUUCAAAAUUUUGAGAGAAAUCAACAAUAGAGUAGGGACAACCUUUCCACCAUGCUUUUGUCCACGACAUAACCCUUAACAAGUGCAGGUCCCACACAUGCUCAUAAACAAAUUCCUUUUGGUUAAAAACCAAAUCAUUACGGGCUAACCAAAUUGACCAGACCACAGCACAUGGCACUAGUUCCCACAACACACGAUCAGAUUUAGCACGAAGGGAAGGCCAUUCCUUGAACAAGUCACCAACAGAACCCGGAACACACCAUUGAACCCCAUCUCUAGUCAAGAUGGAAGACCAGAAUCUCCAAGGUUUAGCACACCACUACAUUAGGUGAUGGACAGAUUCGAGAGCCAUCCCACAUAGAUCGCAAUAGCCACCAUUUUCAAUAACAAUACCUCUCUUUAUCAAAUUUUCCUUGACAGCCACCCGGUUUUCCAGCAUUUGCCACACAAAUAAUCCAACUUUGGGGGGGAUUAUUUUCCUGCAUUGCUUGGAAAUUAACCACGAAACCGGUCAAAAAAAUCUCAGUUCCGCAGCAGAAUACCCCUCUUUUACAGUGAAGAUGCCAUUGGGAGAGCCCGACCAAACGAUUGUGUCUUCAUCAUCACAUGGGAAGAUCAGAUUCAGGUUUGACACUAGUUCCUGGAUUCUCGGUUGUUCCCAAUCGAAAAGCCGGCGGCGGAGCCCCAAAUCCCACAACCAACGACCAUCUUGGAAGAUUCCCAAAUCCGCAACCAUAGCAUUUUUAUUUAUGGCGAGGGCAAACAAGCGGGGGUAUCUAUAUUGCAGUGGGUUAAAGUCUAGCCACGGAUCAUGCCAGAAGCGAAUAUUAUUUCCCCUUCCGACACUACAGCAGCACCCUUCUCUAAAUACUCUUGCAAAAACUGAAUCUUCAAGCAGGACCUUAAAAAUGUCCAAGAGCAUGACAGAGCAGCGAUUAAAAUUAGUUGCAGCAAGAUGUAAAAGAAGAAGUCUAUCAUCCCACCCAUAUUUCUUGCAAAUCAUCUUCCUCCAUAGAGCGUUCUUCUCUCCCCCAAAGGAAAGACCGCAUCAAUUUCUCGAGAUCGCCCACCACACCAACCGGAGCCAGAAAUAGAGACAUGUGGUAAAUUGGAAUGGCGCUUAAAACUGCUUUCAACAAGACAAGCCUUCCACUAAGGGAAAGGUACUUAGAUCCCCAAGAGCCGAGCCUUAGUCUCAUGUUUUCUAUUAGGGGUUGCCAAAAUCUUUUCCUACGGGGGUUGUCACCAAGAGGAGCUCCAAGAUAUUUGAUUGGGAGGGUACCAAUCUGCACACUAAAGACAUCCGCUGCUCGAGCCAAAUCCUCAUGAGAAAUAUUGCACCCAAAAAUCUGAGAUUUGGACAGAUUUAUCUUGAGCCCUGAGAUUGCCAAGAACACUUCUAUGGCAGCUGCAAUAGAUUCUAGAUGUGCUAUAUUAUUGUCACAUACAAUUAACGUAUCAUCCGCAAACUGAAGAUGAUUGAUCUAUAGCUCCUCCGCAACAUGAAAACCACAUGGCUCCUCAAACUCUAGGAGUUUAUUCAGCAUGCAAGAUAAACCAUUUACACAUAUAUUGAAGAGUAAUGGUGAUAGUGGGUCUCCUUGACAAAACCCUUUUUCUAUAUUAAAGAAGUCGGUGGGUGAACCGUUGACCAAAACCGCAAGAGACGUCGUUGAGACGCACUCCUCAAUCCAUUGAAUCCAUCGAUUGCCAAAGCCCAAUUCCUUCAUCAUCUCCAACAAAAACAGCCAGUCAAUAUUGUCAUAAGCCUUGGCGAAGUCCAAUUUCACAAUCAGCCCCCCCUCAGUUCGAUUUUCCAUAGAGUGAAUGAUUUCAUUAGCUAUAAAAAUGCAAUCAGCUAUUUGGCGCCCCGAUGUGAAAGCGAAUUGGUUUUCUGAAAUGAUAAGUGGCAGAACCUUUUGUAGACGGGCAGCAAGAACUUUUGAGAUGAGCUUGUAAACGCUUCCGAUUAAGCUAAUCGGGCGAAAGUCAGAGAUGAAGCUUGGAUUGACACUCUUUGGGAUGAGUGCAAUGAAAGCAGAAUUCAUGCCCCUGACAAGUUUUCCAUGAGAAUGGAAGUCUUGGAAAACUCUUAGAAUAUCACUUUUCAGAGUGUCCCAGAAUGCUUUGAAAAAAUUCAGAUUAAAGCCAUCUGGCCCCGGAGCUCUAUUUCCAUCACAAGACUGUAAAACUGCCCAUAUCUUUUCUUCCGUGAACGGUUGUUCCAACAUGGAAUUAUCAUCCACACACACCUUUGGCAAGUUAUCACUCUUGAGGCUUGCCCCCCCACCUAGGGCCCCUCUUGAAGAAAGAGUGAAAAUGGUUAAGAAUGGCCAGCUUGAUGGCAGCCGGAUCGGACAGGCAAACACCAUUAAAAAUCAGGUUAGCCAAGCUGUUUUUGGAUUCUCUAACUUUUACAGAGUUGUGAAAGUAAUGAGAGUUUUUAUCACCCAACUUUAACCAUCUCAAUCUCGAUUUCUGGAUCCAUUUGCUUUCCUCUUUUCGGUAUUCAGACCAUAACUGAUUAAGAGUUACAAAUCUACCUCUUCUUAACUCCUCUGACACACCUUCUCGCUCCAUCCGAGCCAUUGUAUUGUGAAGGUUCUCUUCAAGAGCCUUAAUUUUUUCAGAUCCCCAAACACCCCUACGGGAAUGCCAUGCUUUAAUUUCUCCUUUGAGGCCUUUUAAUUUCUCUUGGAGCAUAAAACUAGACCAGCCUUCAACUAUAGCCGAAAUCCACCACUCCUCGACUAAGUGCUUGAAGCCAUCCUCAACAAGCCAGCAAUUAUAGAAGGUAAAGGGUUUUGGGCCAAAAUUUUGAGAGCCAAGCUUUAGUAAGACAACCCUAUGAUCUGAAAUCCACCAAUCUUCUACAACCUGGGACGCCCCGUCAAAGCGCUGAAUUGCCUCUCCAUUCAACAACCACCUAUCUAGCUUGCUCCAAAGGCCACCAUUCCUUGUGCUCCCCCAAGUGGACUCCCCAUUCCACAGAGGCAGGUCUGUAAGUUCAUUUUCCUCAACAAAUUUUUUGAAUGUAGCAUCUCCCAUAGUAUUAUCAUCGCCUCCUCUUCUUUCACCAUCAUUCAAUAUGACAUUAAAAUCACCACCCAAGAUAAUUCUCCCAGUAGCCAAGCGUAAAUCAGCACUCAAGGAAUUGAAGAAAGCUGCUCUGUCGGCCGGGUUGUUCGGCCCAUACACAUUACCAAUCACGUCAAGCAAGGAGGAGUUAUCAAAAUUAACGAGCAGAAGAAGGUACCUCUGGUUCUUUAUAACUUGAACUACCUUGAAGGUGGAUUUUCUCCAAAGAGACACUAAUCCCCCAGCCACACCAAGAGCAGGAACAAAGUCAAAUUCCAUACUCAUAGAUUUGGCCCAACUCACAAUCGUCUUCUUUCUAUUUUCAUCCAUCUUUGAUUCCUGAAGCAAACACACCUCUGGUUUAAUCUUCAAAAAAUCUAUGGGUAUGGAAUUUGACUUUGUUCCUGCUCUUGGUGUGGCUGGGGGAUUAGUGUCUCUUUGGAGAAAAUCCACCUUCAAGGUAGUUCAAAUUAUAAAGAACCAGAGGUACCUUCUUCUGUUCGUUAAUUUUGAUAACUCCUCCUUGCUUGACGUGAUUGGUAAUGUGUAUGGGCCGAACAACCCGGCCGACAGAGCAGCUUUAGCUAUAUAAUAUUUUUACAAUCUAUUUAAUAUUUGAUUGGUUUUAAAAGGUGUAUGAUGGGCAAAUAAAUAUUGAUUUUUUUAGUUAACAACAUCAUUAUUAGUUUUAUUUUAAAUUUUAAAUUUUUUUAUGUUCUAAAUCAAAUAAAUAUGAUUUUUAAAAAAAUUACAGCAUCAAUAUUUUUUUAUUUUUCUGAAAAAAUAUUUUUUAUAUUGCUCUUGGCCAUGGCUUAAAGCGAAGGAGAGAGGUGGUUCGAUGAACCCAUUGGCGUGCUUAUCUCCGGUGCGUGGUGGAGUGGUGGGAUAGAAUAAGCUUGGUUGUUUGAGAAUGAAUGGAGCACGUUGCCUACUUAUCUAUGGCUUAUUAAUUUUGUUAUUUUGUUUCUUUUGUUUCUUAUCUUUUCUACAAGAUGGUUAUGCUCAAUUAUAAUUGAUAAUUGGUUGCAACUACAUUGUAACAAACUUUAUUCAUGGGUUGAAGUAACUUUCCAUGAAUUUGCUUUUCAGUUUAAAUUUCUCUUUUGAUUGGGAUUUAUCUUUGUUUUGUUACAUGAUGCACGCAAGUAGUUUUUUACUUGGAAAAGAGAAGGAGGUGAAUUGUUAGAGAUUAAUUGUUAAAUAUUUCAGGAAUGAUCGUGAUAAUAACUUGAUGAUCUAAUAGAAAAACCCUUAUCUGCACUUUCGAACGAUAAACGGGGUAUUUUCAAGCAGUCGUUGUGCCAUUAAAUCUGUCACAUGGACACUUGACACAAGCAAUCCAAGUAAGCCUAACCACCUGCAAAAUUAAACUAACUAAAUAAAUUCCAAGUUAGCUUUUUUAGUAAUACAAGAAUGUAACAAGUUGUUAAUUUUAUUUGUGCAGAUUCUAUAUGAGAAAAGAGCUAGAAAUUUUGGUUUUCUAAGUUUGUCUCCUUUGGGAUGCUUGCCAGCUCUUAGAGCACUGAACCAGGAAGCUGGGGUGGUUGUUUUGAAGCAGCUUCUGGACUUUCUCUAGCACACAAUAAUGCUUUGAGCAGUAUUCUCACAAGCCUUGAUCACAUACUUAAAGGGUUUGAGUACUGUCAUUCUAAUUUCUAUGAUUGGCUACAAGAUAGAAUAAACAACCCUGCAAAUUAUGGUAUGUAUUGCAAUUUGCAGACCACUCAUUUCCCAACCAUACCUAAACAACCAAAUAAUUUAGACACUCAACUGACAUCUCAUUUUUCACUCAGGGUGUCUGCUAAGUGUCUUCAGUGUGCUGAUGUCCAUGAAUCAUUACUCUUAAUUUCCAUACUGCCACUGUAUAUCAAUCACAAUGUAUGUUACCAAUUCAAUUUUGAUUUUCGUUGAAGGUUUUAAGGAAGGAAUUAAUGCUUGCUGUGGAAUUGGCCCAUAUGAGGGCAAUUUACUUGUGGGGGCACCAAGAAAGUUAAAGAGUAUGAUUUAUGUGACAAUAGUGGCGAGUAUGUAUGGUGAGAUUCUUUCCACCCAACGGAGAAGAUCCAUGAGCAAAGGAGAAAAAUUACACGUGUCAAUUUGUUAGAUAACAAAUUCCACGUGUCAAUUUGUUAGAUAGUUAUAUAAAUUUUUUACAAUCUAUUUAAUAUUUGAUUGUUGAUUUUAAAAGGUGUAUGAUGAGCAAUUAAAUAUUGAUUUUUUUAGUUAACACCAUCAUUAUUAGUUUUAUUUUAAAUUUUAAAUUCUUUUAUUUUCUAAAUCAAAUAGAUAUUGUUUUUUUUUUUAAAUUUGCAGCAUCAAUUUUUUUUUCCCGAAAAAAAUAUUUUUUAUUUUGUAUAUAUUUGAAGUAAUUCACAUUUUAAUUCGAAAAUAAUAAAAUUUUAAAAUUAAUAUUCCAUAUAAUUUUUAUAACAAUAUAAAAAGCACAAAAAUAUAUAAGUUUCGAAAUAUAUACAAAAUAAAAACACAUUAACUAUUUUUUUAAGGAAAAAAAACAUUUAUUAUUUUUCUAGCCAAUUAAGGAUAAAUAGAAUCAAUAAUAUGUCCAGUUCAAAAAAGAAUCAAUAAUAUGUCAAGCUAUAGAAGGGGGAAAGUAAAUAUUAAUUUUACGUUUGAAAUUCAAAUUUCAUUGAAUCUAGAAAUUUCAAAAACAUGUUAUCAUUUUCUAAAUCAAAUUGAUAUUGAAUUUUUUUAAAUUUACAACAUCAAUAUUUUUUUAUUUUGAUUUUCUCAAAAAUAAUAUUUUUUAUUUUGUAUAUACUGGAUUAAUUAUUUCCAAUGUACCAAAUAUAUUGACGUAAAAAAUAUUCAAUUUCCUGUCAAAAAAUAAUAAUUAAAAUUUCAAAUAUCAAAAGUAAAUUUUAAAAAUAAAUAAAAAUUUAUGAAAUAAUAUUACCACAAUUAAAAAUCAUUAUGAAUUAAAAAAUUCUCAAAAAUUUCGAAAAUACAAUAUAUUUCUCGAAAAUAUUAAAAUUUAAAAAAUGAUGAUGACAAUUAAAUAUAUCAAAUAAAUAUUUAUUUGAGAAAAAAAAAGAUAAAAGAUACGUUUCAAUUUUUUUUCAUCUGUUGUUUAAUAUAUUCAUAAUAAUUAAGGUAUUAAUUAACGUAUCUGUAAGACCCAAGAUUUUAAGCUUAGGAUCAGUGGAAGAGAUUUCCAUUUACGAUUAGGGUUGAUGUAUUGUGAAGGGAAACCUGAACUAGAGUUUACCAAAUGAAAUAAAUUUAUGAAGGAGAAAGUUCAGGAAAAUUCUGAGGUUCGUAUUGAAGUCGAUAAAAGUUAUAGCACGAUCGUUUUACGCUUAAACCUAGGUCAGAAACCCUAGUAUAUAGCUAAUUUUCACUUUUAGGCACGACGGAAGUUAAUUCCAAAAAUCUUCAGAGAAAUGUUAGAACUUCUCUUUUUCCAUAUAACACAAUCGUUUCGAGGCGAAACUCUAGAAUCUAAGAACGUCUGAUUCCAAUCAUCGGAAGUUUGCCGAAACCGAAUCCCUGGUAUUUCAAAACCCUAGAAUUUCUCGACAAUGAAGACUUUUUCUAUUCAGAGCUUCAAAUGAAGAUUCUACACGCGUACACCCAUUUCUCUUGAUGAUUUCAAUCUUUCUUCCGAAGGAAGUUUUCCAUUCCGACAUCCGAUGCAAAAAGCAACUUAUCGGGUAAAAUAGUUUUAUACCGACUAUGCUUUAGUUGCCAAAAAUACAAAAAGACCUCAUUUUAGUUUUGGAAUUCUUUCGCCAAAACCUAUCUUAGAAUUCCCGGAGAAUGACGCCGGAAAAAUCAGAUUCGCGAAACUUUCAUUUUCCCGCGAAUUUCCAACCUUUAUAUAUAGCAAAGAAAGGAAGAAAAACUCAAAUUUUCCUCCAUUUUCUCUCCUCAAGGCCGCGAGUUCAUCCAAGGGAGAAGGAAGAAGAAUUUUCUUCAUUACUUGCUUGAUCGUUGAUCCGUUAGUUGCUACUUCAAGGCUUCGAGGUAUAGUCGCUAAUCCUUACCUCCGAUCGCUUUUUCCAUAGCUUUUCUGUAGAGUUUUCUGAGCGGAUAGUUUAUGGGUUUUUGCAAAACUAUCAUGAAUCUUUCAUUUCUGAUUCUAAACCUCUUCUAUAUGUGCCCAAGAUCACUUCUGCCGGAUUAGAUUUUCCGUUAUGUCGCCGGAAUUCCGCCGGAAUCAAUUUUAGCCUUAAAUACCCAUUUUUGGAGUUUUUGAGGUAAAGCUUCAACCUUUAGGCUAAAAACUAUCGCCUUAGCUUAGUGUUAGUAGGAUUAGUUGUCAUAAACGUCGUUAGUAACGUCCCUGCAAAAUUUGGUUUUUGGGAUUUCAGUUUUGAAAUUUCUAAGUUAAAAAUCAUGACCAAAAUACCCCUGCGACAGUUUUUGAUCCGAUAAUUUUUCCGAGCUCAGAAUACCCUUAGUUACGGCUAAUGAAAGCAUAGGAACCAAGUUUGAUCGAAGAAAAAUCGAGCCCCACAAUUGUGAAAAGUGGCCGAGCCCUAUAGGGGAGGAAGGGGAAAAUUUCCUUUUCCGAAAACUUGUCUUUUCGCGCUAGAUUAUCGUACCUUAGAGUAUAGAUUACUUCGAGUAACCUUAGUAAGUAUCGAUAGCUUAGUUUUCGAUAGAUUCUGAUAGUAUUUCUGUGGUUUUGCUCUAAAGGUGAUUUUGAGGAAUUCCCAGAGGAGCAAGCCUUUGAUUGUGAACAAGUGUUAGGAGAUCGUCCUGGAGAAUCUACAGGUGAGGGCUUCUCACUGAAUCUCUAGUUAAUGCUUAGGGUCGAUGUUUCGACAUUGUUUACUGUUUAUGCACUGGAAUUGUGUGUGAUUGGAAAAUGUUUUCUGAGGCUUCGGCUGACAAUGUAGAUGAUUCAUCUACUGAAUGUUUUUGAGAUUGACUUACAUGCUAUGUGUUAUGUGGGUAAUCUAGGAUGUGUGGUGCAUGCUUUAUAUGCUAAGUGCUAAGUGUUUAUGAUGCGAUUUAUCGAUAUAUGACAUGUUGUUGAUUGUGAUGAAUUGAAUAUGCUCUGUACUGGAAUCUGAGUUUCUGAACGGUGAGAAAAGCGGGCAGGUCAUGCCGAUUUUAUUUUGAGAGUUUUGAGGAAGCUUGAAAGGACGAAUGAGAUUCGGGCCUUGUUAUGAUGUUUAUGGAUCGAGACAUUCUCUGGAGUCUUUGGGGAUUAGGAGAUCCCGAGAACUUAUAGGAUUUGCGAUAAGACUAAAAGGAUAAUUAUUUUGUAAAGAAAACUCAUAAGACAUUAAACAACCUCUAAAUCUUUAAGUAAUGGUAAUAAUCUCGGAAGGAAGCUUUGGAUGCAAAUCAUAGUUUUGGAAAACAAGAAGUGUCGUCGGAUCCCAGUAUUGAGAAAGUUGAGGGGCUUCGAGAAUGUAGAUGUUGUGGUGCUGUUGGAGCAGCGUUUGUUGUUGUGCUGUUGGAGCAGCUAUUGGGGUUGUGCUGUUGGAGUAGCUAUGUUGUUGGGUGUAUCUUCGACUUUGCGGCGCGAAUCCGUAUGUCCAAACCCGACGGGUUGGGCCGAUUCGGCAAUAAUUGUUGACACGCGCGAAUCCGUAUAUUCAAUCCGAUGGAUUGGAUCGAUUCGGCGGUAGUCAUUCAGGCACGCGUGAGUCCGUAUGUUCAAUCCGAUGGAUUGGAUCGAUUCAGCGAUUGCCAUUUUACCUCGCGUGAAUCCGUAUGUUCAAUCCGAGGGAUUGGAUCGAUUCAGCGACAACUUUUCGACACGCGCGGAUCCGUAUGUUCAAUCCGAUGGAUUGGAUCGAUUCGGCGAUAGUCAUUGGACACGCGCAACGUCCGUAUGUUCGACUCCUUUGAGUGAACCGACUUGGCGUUGUCAUUUGUUGCGUGUGCGAGUCCGUAUGUCCAUCCCGAUGGGUUGGAUCGACUCGACAUGCCUAAUUGUGGGAGUUGCGUGUGCGAGUCCGUAUGUUCAACCCAAGGGGUUGGAUCGACUUGACAUGCCUAAUUGUUGGGCUAUCCUGGGGAUAAGUCCGGGAAACCGGUAGUUUCCGAGUAUGUGAUACUCUUUGCUUGUUGAGCAGUUGUGACCAUCGGAUUGAGAUGAGUCGGAUGAUCCGGAGAUCAUCAUGAGUUACUAUGUUGAUGUGAAGAAGUGUCUUUUGUCGCAGAAUCGACUUUACCUUAGGGUAAGCUUUUAGAGAAUUUAAUUUACCUAGAACACGUGGCGACGUGUCGAGUGAGAGUCAGAGACGUUGUUUGACUAAUCAUCCUGCAUUCAUGCAUACUGAUUUAGUUGUCGAGUGUGAUUGUUAUUUGUUAAUCCUAUUUGGAACAUGUUAAUUGUUAUUAUUGUUGUUAAGUUCAUUAUGGAAUAUGCAACCCUAGGAUGUUAUCCCUAGCUAUAAGCCUAAGUGGCUAUUCUCUUAUCUAUAUCUAUUGGUGCUAUUAUUUAUGUAAUUCUUUGGAGUUGACCCUCGCGUCUUCUGUGUGUGCUUUGGCGGACAAACGCCCUUUGUCAGAUGUCUUUGGCGGACUGGUUCACGACGGUUCACCCUUCGGGGGAAACUAGAGUUGGGAUGCUGGAACAGGAGCGCAUCGCGAUAGCGAGCGGAGGACGGAUGGUGUACAUAGACUAGGUCGUUCUGGAUUUCGAAUUCGGACGACAAUCAUGCUAGCAUGUAGGUUUUAGUGCUGGUGUGAGCUCCUCGAGAUGGGAUUAGUGUAGGAGUAGAGUCUUAGCUCUGAACAUCAUUUGUUUUCUUUGGGGACAUGGUAGUUUCCCACCUAUAGCUUUUUGUGUGGUUCCUUUACGGGAAUCACAGAGAGUUGGUUGGACUUAAGAGGUCUUAUUUUAGGCCAUCUGGGCUGACUUAUUCUUAUUUUGAGGGACAGUGUUGCAGACACCUAGCCUUUCUUUUGGAUUAUACCUUUUGCCUACGGGCGUUCUUUUCUACUACUUUCCGUCACUGGAGGUUACUCGUGACGAGGUUGGGUACUUACAGCGGGGGUUGUAAAUAUAUAUUGUAUAAUAGUUUUAUUGCUUUUCGCAUUUGGGUUUUAUUUAAUUCAGUCUUGUCUUAGUUAUUAUAUCGAAAAAAAAUAUUCACGUUUUUCCGCAUUAGGUUUAUUUUGGUUACUAAAGUGACGCCACCGAAAUCGGGGUGUUACAGUAUCAAAUAGAAUAAACAUAUUCUCCGUACAACGCGCGGGUAAAAAAACACUAGUAAUUUUAAAAUAAUAAAUGAAGUGGCAUAUGUCAAAAUUAUCAUUUGCCAUACUAUUGCUAUUGACAGAAUGACAUGGCAUAGUCAAGGGUCCCAUAGUCAGUCCGUCCCAUGUAGCAGCAUUGCCUGCUGUUUUUAAUGUUCAAACUGUAAUUAAUUUAUAAUCAAUGUUAAUUAUUUGGUCAAAUGAUAUUCAAUUGAGAGUUAUUUAAAAAAAUUGUCAUAGCUAAGACUUGAACAUAGGACCUAAAGGGAGGAAAGCUAAUCCAAAUUGGCACUACACCACUUUGUUCUUGUUAAGAAGAAUGCAUAUUAUUUUAUAUAUAUGAUAUACUAAGGUUAUAUUUUAAAUUAUUAUAACUUUUUAAUAUAAAUCGAGUCAAACAAUUAACCCAAUGGUUGAACCAUUGACUCAUUGAUCCAGUGUCUCAACCGAAUCGAUCACCGAUCUAAGUCUGAUAACACUGGUUGGUUUAUUGGGAGCUAGGACCGCACACACAACACAAUCAUGAAUCGGAAAAGAAAAUCCAAAGAUAUUCGCACUGUUUUAUGUUGGUAUAAUGUGUGGGUGAUGCUUGAAGUCUAUUUAAAUAUUAAUGAAAGAACUUGCACAUGUUAAAAUUAUUAUGUCAGGGGUCCCCUAUUCAGUCCGCGAUAUGGGACCCCUUAUCGUUGCAUAUUGGAGUUUGGACCGCCAUAUAUAUGUGGUUUUCAGGGCAUGUUUGGAUUGGCGUUGGAGAGGCCAAACGUGCGUUGCGUUGCCGUAAACGCCGUUUUGUCGUUUCGCCAAGCCGUUUGGAUCUGCGUUUUUCUUAACGCGUUAACGCUAUUUUGCAUCAAAAUCACGUUUUUUUGGAAUCUAAAAAUUUGAGCGUUGGCGUUGGGCGUUCAGCGUUGAUGGGUGAAAAUACUCACGUUUGUUAAAAUCAUCCAAACGGUAUUCAUUAUUUUAAAAUCACGUUUGUUACAAAUCAUCCAAACAUAAAUCACGUUUACUCAAACACAAUUUUACUCAAAAUCAUUUUAACAAAAUCACGUUAAUUCAAACACCAGUUUCUAACGGGAUGCCAAACAGGCACUUUGUGUAUGUAUGUCUCUUUGUCUCUGCGUUGGGUGCUGUGAGGUAACUAGGACCACACAAUUCACAAUGAGGCUAGCUUCAAGACAAGCACUUACCAUUCCUUCCUCAAUUAUUUCAAGAGACUGUGUGCGAUGAUGAUCAAUUAAUCAACAUGGCAUGGCAUUGUCAGGAUUGGUUUCAAGCUGCUGCUUCACAUCAUGUGUCUCUGCAUUGGGGCUUAAAUGUAGUUCCAGAUUGGAGUUUCAAUCCUAUAUUAUAUAUUUUAAUUAUAAUAUAAUAUAAUACAGGAUUGUCUUUUUUUUUUUGGUCAAAAAAAUACAGGAUUGUUCGGCUAGGAAGUUUUCCUUUUAGGUCAUUUUGUUUUUGAAAGAAGAGGCCCCAAUAGGGUAGCUCAUACUUUAGCAGCUCCAAGUUUUCUGUAUCGUGAUUGUUCAUGGACUCAUGGAGUCAUGGUGGGGAGAGCCACUUGUGGAUAUUCUUGUCAGCCUUGUAGCUGAUGGUCCAGAUUUUAAUUGAAUAUAUAUAAAUGAAGGUAUAAAUGAAACUACUACGAAGUCUUGAACUUUUUAAUGUAUAUAUCAAUCAAUAUAAACCGUCGCGUUGAGUAAUUAAAAAGGUAAAGAAUUGAACCUGUAAAUUACAUUCCUGCCGCCACACGCAUGACGCAUCAGUACCUUCUACAUAUUUUUCUAAGAAUUGUAUUGACAGUUACAUUCAAUUGAUUUCCGGAAAAUCCAAAAUUAAAAUAUAUUUUUAUUUUAAGUAAAAUUAAAAUGAAUGUUACUAUUCAUCCUACAUGAAUAUUGUGAUUGCACAUCCACUAAGCUUUGUUUCUAUUAUAUUUUUCGCAUAUCUUUAAUUUUAAAAAUAGUUAUUAUUAUUUUUUUUGAAAAUGGUUAUUUUUAUUUUUAUUUUAAAAAAAUUAAUUACUUUUUAAUUUAAAAAUUAUAGUCUAUGUUUAGCACGCCUAGAUAAUAAGCUAGCUGAAAGCUAAAAUGUUAGUUAAAAGUUUAUAAGCUACUCCCUCCAUUCCUAUAUCUGUCACUAUUCUGAUUUUUUUUCUUAUUCCUAUUUAUUUGUCACUUGUAGAAUUUCAAAAGAGCAUUAAUCAUAUUUUACUAAUUCUACCAUUCAUUUAAUGGUGGAAUGAAUAUUGAAAGGUCACGAGUAAUAAGAGAUAUAUAUGGUAUAGUAGGAAGCUAUAUAUCAAUUUUAAUAAAACAAGACAAGGUUGGGAGAGAACAAAUGGUGGCAUCAUGCCAUGUUUAUAUUUUUCCCAAAAUAAAUCCAAGUUAUUUACAAAUUUAUUUUAAUUUUUGUUCCAACUCAAGAGUUAAUGCUCCUUAUUUUUCCAAAAGAAAAAGUAGAACUUUAAAUAUUAUUUCUUAAUACAUAUGUCACAACCUUAAAAUGGCAAAUAUUAAGGAAUUGAGUGAGUAGCUAAUAGCUGAACUUAUUUUUUUGUUAAUAAAAGUUGUAUGGUUCAAAAGUCCAAAUUUAAGAGAAAAUCUCGAGAUAAAACAAAAGACAAUCCAAAAACACUGAAUAUAACAACUUUGCUAGGAAUGUUUCUUCUUAUCCAGACUCUGUUUGGAUUGAGGAGGGACCUCUGGGGUUGUCUAGUCUUUUGAGGGAUGAUGUAUUGGCAUCUAUGCCGAACUCAUUUUUGAUUUAAUUUUAUUUGAUUGUUGAUUUCAAAAAAAAAAAACUACCAAGCAAUCAAGUCUAUUGAAAACCCAUUAAAGAAAGAUUCAAGUAGCAGUUGCAACAUGAGGUCUGAUAAGUCUUAUAAGACUUUUCAACUUUAAAUUAAAUAGAAUAAAAUAAAUUAAUAAAUAUUUUAAUUUAAUAAAAUAAGCUUAUAUUUUUCUAAAUGAAGAAAAUAAUUUUUAGAAUUUAUAUUAAAAAUUGAAUAGUAAUUAUUUCAAAAUAAAAUUUGUUGAGUAUCUUGUUUGAUAAAGAUUUUCUAAGUGUUGGCUGCAUUUUGUCUAAGUUGUUUGAUAUGUUAAAUGGUGUGACAAACAUUGUCUUUGUCUGUUGUGCAACCCCAUGUCCUAAGCAUCUGGUAGGACAUUGUGAUUCGGGUUGCUGGGAGAUUUUUACGUGUUUCACGUUGAGUUUUAAUUGUGAAGAUUCGUCGGUGACAUCACACGUUUUAUAAGCUGAACGUAUCUUCUGCGAUUAGAAGAAUUAACCUAUUUGGAGGAAUAGGAUUAAUUCGUGUAGACCAAGUUAAUAUGUGAAAUUGGUCUUGGUGUGCUAUUUUUGGAGGAGAUCUUUUUGAAGAUUUACUUCCAUUUUGCUACAUGGACUCUUUGAUGCUCAAGCCCAUUGAAGACACCGACGGUGGAGCAUCUACUUAAUGUGUUCAAGGAACCCUAGCUGCUGUACGAGAGAGAUUUACACAUGUGUUAGUUGUACUCAGGAUUUUCCUUGUGAGUUUUGUAAUCAACUCCACAAAACACAACCAAUUUUACCGUUUUCCUAAAACCACUUUCAAAGACCUUUCUUUUCCCAUUUCACUCGUCUUGCAUAAAAAAAAACCGUCUUCAUGAGACCGCGGUAAAGUGGAGCAGCCACGACACAAAGUUCCUUACCUUAGCUGGAUCUCGCUGGUGGACUUAGAAUAAAGUUUGCAAAAUCUCAACCCGAAGAACAUCACAUGGCUGAAACUUCAAACAUCGAAGAUAGGAUUUUUCUCACUCAAAACUUAUAAAAACCAAACCUUUACUAUCAAGCAUUUCAAACUAGCUUUUAAAAAUGUUUCGUGCUAAGGUCCUACCAGAUCUAAAGGAAUAUUCUAGCAAACUCUAGCAGAGCACAAAUAAGGAAAGAUGAUGAAAUAAAAGUGUACAAUAUCAUUAAUGAGUAAAAUUCUAGUGAGAACAAUAGAGAACCCCCCAUUUUAUAGAGGGUGGAUUUGUAACCGUACCCUAUGGAAUUUGGGGAAUUAGACCUUAAAUCCAAGGCCCAACUCCCAAUACAAGUAAAUAAAACAAGCCCAAAUCCAACACCUGGGCAGGCGACUCUCCCUGCCUAGCUGAGACCGUCUUCCUUUGGCGGUCAUGUCCUUGUCUGAGAGCCCGCACACGAUUUGACCUAGAGUCCUUAUCUUAUGUCUUGCUUAUGUCUCUGGCGGGUCUCAUACUCGCGAGGGACUCACCCAGUCAAUGUUCCGUGUUAAGGUCUUACUAGCUAGAUCUAAAGGAAUAAAAGUGUACUAUGUCAUUAAUGAGUAAAAAACUAGUGAGUACAACAGAGGACCCCCUUUUAUAGAGGGUGAAUCUGUAACUCUAUGGAAUUUGGGGAAUUGGGCCUUACAUCCAAGGCUCAAUUCCCAAUACAAGUAAGUAAAACAAGCCCAAAUCCAAGACUUGAAUUUAUAUAUGGUAUUCAUCUGAUGGUCUACUAUCAUUAAGUGGUUUACCCAAUAUUUUUCUUUAAAAAACGUCAACAACAUUCUUUUAAAUAUAUUUUGUGACAGUUACGUUCGAGAAUGACUGCCAGGUUCUAGACAGUACAUGGGUCUCAAAACAUAAUGAUCCUUCAUAUUUAUCUUCCAUUAUUAGAAAUUGCUUGUUUUCGUCUUCUGGUUUUAACCCUUGUAGUUUUUGUUUAUGUUAAGAGUCAAUGUAACGUUGUAGCUGAUUAUCUUGUUAAAAAAGUUUUAUCUUCAAAAAAUUUGUGCGGCUUGAAGACUAUCCGACAGAUUUGUUACCCUUACUUAUCAUGAAUGUACCGUUUUCUUUUGUAACAAAGUUUUUAUUAUUUUCUAAAAUUUAUAUAGGUGAUAAAAAAAAUAUGAAUUAGUGGGUCUAGAUUUUUUAACACACAUACGAAAUUAUCUAUUAAGUAUAAUAUAUUCCUCCGCUAAGGAGAAAUUAAACUAGCGUGAAAUACUGGAAUGUGUCAUUUGAUUCAUUUCACACUCUUUUUAAAAUUGUUACUCAUUCACACUUCAUUUUUUUUUAUUAAUUUUAUUCAAUUACUUUUUCUUUAUAUUGAUGUUUUUAUCACAUAAUCUAUUAUCUCUCUCGUACUCUUAUAUCUAUCCAUAUUUGUGAAUGACUUAUUUAUUACCUCUUAUAGCAAACUUGUAUAAUAUGAGAGGCCUAUUUAAUUAAAGAACAAUAUUCACCAUUUAACUCGUACAUUCAAAGUAAAAGAACUCGCACAUGUCAAAAUUAUCAUGUCAGGGGUUCCUAUAGUCCGGGAUUUGGGUUUGGCGCCCCACCCUUUAGGCCCCACGCCCCAGCCUUUUUUUUUAUCUCAAAAGUACCCAUUGAUAAAUGAUUAACCGAUAUAAAUAUAGACAUCGGUUAAUUAUUAACCGUUAUUUUUCCUCUGUAUGAACACCUUCAUCCCAUUACCAGAACACGAAGAACAAUAUCGGUUAAUCAUUAACCGAUGUCUAUAUUUAUAUCGGUUAAUCAUUUACCGUUAUGAUUUCUGGCAGUUUGAUCACAUUAUCACCAUUACUCCUCCCUCCACCAACCCCUCCACCAUUACUCCUCCCUCCACCUGCCCCCCAUAACUCGCCCACACAACCUUAUUCCACCAUUACUCCACUCCUCCCUCACAUUUCACAUUCCCACCACCACUACCAUCUCCACAUUUUCCACCACCACCACCACCAACACCACCUCCACCAAGGGGAAGCUCUAAACUCCCGGUAAGUGUUGUUAGCUUUUCGGUUUUAUCUCAGUAGUUAGUUGUUAGUUUAAGUAGUUAGUUGUUAGUUUAAGUAGUUAGUUUAGUUAGUUAAGUUGGUAAUUUAGGCUGCUGUAUCGUGAACUGCAUCGGUAAAUGAAUUUCCGUUAAUGGAUCGGAUUAUGAUAUUCCAUUAUAGUACCGGAUUUUGAUUUGCCGUUAAUGUGUCGGAUAUUGAUUUACCGUUUUGGCUCCAGGGAUGACAGAGUCCUUUUUUUUUGGUGAAUCACAAUUGAUACAUGCUGCUAGAUUGGAAAAUGAUAAUCCAGAGGAGCAACCAUCACUAGUUGAACCUCCGAUUAUAUCUAUAGAUGUCUCUCAUUUGUAUCAUACAGAUCAGGUACUCAUUGCACAAAUUUUUGCAUGUUUUGUUUAUGCUUUGUUUAUGCCUUAUUUUAUGCCUUAUGCCUUGUUUAUCCUGAAAUAGUGUUUCCCUUUGAAAGAUGAUCUUAUGAAAUGGGUUCGCGACAUUUCUAUGGCAAAUAAUUUUGUUUUGGUGACAACAAAGUCUGAUAGUGGUGCGAAGGGAAGAAAAGAAUAUGUCAUUCUGGGGUGUGAGAAGCAUAGUGUGUAUAUUCCCUACAGAGAUCCUGAUCUUGUUGAAGGAACGUCAACACAAAAGGCAGGUUGUCCUUUUAGGCUAAAAGGACGACGUACGAAAGAUGGUAAAGGAUGGUGGUUGAAGGUGAUGGAGGGUAGACACAUCCAUCUCGCAACUGAGUCACUACUUGGCCACAAUUACGCUGGUCGACUGAAUAGUGAGGAGAAGGAGGACGUGAUAAAUCAGGCUAAGACUUGGGUUCCACCUAGAAAGAUGUUGGCGUCCUUGAAAGAAAAAGAUCCUUCAAACUUGACUACCAUCCAACAAAUUUAUGGUGUUUGCAAGCAGUUCAGACAAUCCGUUCGUGGGUCACUGACAAAGAUGCAAUACUUGCUGAAGAAGUUGGACGGUGAGAAGUAUGUUCACUUCGAAAGAAAUGAACCAGGAUCGGAAGUGAUUAGAGAUAUAUUUUGGGCUCAUCCGAAUGCCGUCAAAAUUUUCAACACAUUCCCAUAUGUAGUGAUCAUGGAUUGCACAUACAAGACCAGCAAAUACAAACUACCCUUGCUCGAGAUUGUUGGCCUGACCUCCACAGAUAAAACAUACUCAAUAGCAUUCUGUUACAUUGGCAGUGAGACCACAGAUGACUACAUUUGGGCACUGGAGUGUAUGAAGUCUCUGAUUUCCGACCAAUCCAGGUUGCCUAGAGUGAUUGUGACGGACAGAGAUCUUGCCUUAUUGAGUGCUGCUUCACAAAGCCUUCCCACCACUACCCAUUUACUAUGCUUGUGGCACAUCAACAAGUGUGUUUUGGCAAAGUGCAAAGAGUAUGUUGGCACAGAUGAUUUUGCUCAAGAGGUUAUGGACAAGUGGGCCGAAUUGGUAGAUGCUCCAACAGUUCCAGAAUUUGAAGCUCAUUGGAUUGAAUUGUUUAACAUGUGCAAGCUUAAACACAAGUUGAAAAUUGCCACUUAUUGUUCUACUACAUGGUUGGUCCACAAGCAGAAAUUUGCCAAGGCAUGGACAAAUCAUGUGAUGCAUUUUGGAACAACAACAAGUAACAGGUACAAAAAUUAUGUUAUGACUUGUUAUAUGUAUUUCAUUUCAUAGAUUAUUACAGUAUUAAUUCUUACAUGCGCGUUGUUGGUUUGCAGGGCUGAAGGUGCACAUGCCAGCUUGAAGUUGAUGUUGCGGAACAGUAAGGGUGACCUAGCCACAUCAUGGGAUGCGUCGCAUAGUUUGACCAUCAAUCGUCACACUGAGAUAGUAGCAUCGUUUGAGCGCAGUAUGAAUAAAAUUGAUCACCUUUUCAAGACCCCUUUCUACACAAAUAUUAGGGGAUUUGUGUCAAUCAAAUGCCUGAAACUCAUUGAUGCUGAACUGACAAGAAUGUAGUCCUACGGCGGCAGAUGCGAUUGCUUAUAGAGAGAGACUCAUGGACUACCUUGCGGUUGUCAACUUGCAAGUUACAAGUCAACCACUCUCAUGUCAACUACUUCCAAUUAUUUAUAUUUGUGAUUCAAUGUGACAUGUUUGUGAACUUGCAGAUUAUGAGAGGAUUCCGUACGAGGCCAUUCAUCCAUUCUGGAAGAGCCUAAGUUGGGAGCAUGUACCUGUUGCAGAUACUGGCAGCUCAGAUAUUUGCGGACUAAACCAUGGAGAGAUGCACCCAGAAGUUGAGGCACUGACACGUUAUUUCCAUUCUUUGGAUACUGGAGGGCAGAGUAUGGUAAGGAGGAAGCUUCAGGCGAUAUAUCGUCAUGAAAGUAGUACACUAUGUACUCCUGAGCUUCGGAUAAAGUCCAAUCGCACUCCUAAGUUGAACGAGAGCAAUCCACCCAAGGGUCGAGCAAUAGGAUCCUUGACUCAUGAUCCUUCAGCGUUUGAACUUACUGACAAGACGAUUAAAGAGGAAAAGAAGUCUUCACAACCAGCAACGAGGAAGAAGCGUGUGAAGAAGUCUGAUACAAGCCAUUUCAUGUGUAACUUUCCAGCAUUUCUCCAUCCAUAUAUUGACAGAAUUACAGAUGUUGAGGAUGAUGGUAACUGUGGCUAUAGAUCCAUUGCUGCAUUAAUGGGGCAUUCCGCCGGUCAGGACGGUUGGCCUUGGGUUAGGGCUUCAUUGAUACAAAAACUUGAUACCAAUGUGUUAAUGUAUAAUAGGAUGUGGGGCACAAAUGUUGUUUAUGGCUUACAUGAUCGACUCACUCUUCCUCUUGGUGACCCGGCCACCCCUGACAAAUGGUUUCAACUGCCAGAGAUGGGAUACCUUGUUGCCACAAAGUACCAAUUGGUUCUCGUAUCCUUAUCCUCUAUGGGUUGUAACACAUACUUUCCACUGAUAGGAGCCGGUCCACGAGAUGAGCAUACUGUUAUAGCUAUUGGACAUGUGAUAAAUCACUGGGUACAGGUAUAUUUUGACCAAAUACACUAAUAUUUUAGUUUCCUACUAGCUUGUCGAUUAAUUUUUGUAUGUGGAAGUUAUCUAAUUUUAUGGUUAUUCUCUAAAAUGUAGCUCCAAUUAACUCCUGGACAUCCUAUGCCGACUAUUGCUCCCCAGUGGGAUUGGCACGCUGAUCUUGCCUCCAAAUACUGGCGCAACCCAUAUGGUCCACGUUUAGACAUGUACGCUGCACAAUUCCAAGCUUGGCUUGGUGCUUUUAGUGGUCAUGCGGACUAUGUGGACAUCACCACAGAUUGAAUGUUCUUGUAUUGUGUAAUAUUAAUUUGUAAACUCUCUGUAAUUUUAAUCUUGUGGCCCUUAUCCACAGGUUGUUGUUAAUGACAACUAUUUAGACAUUAUCGUAGAUUGGCAGGUUCAUGCGUGUACUUUUGGUAAUGUUAAUUUGAUGUACUUUUGGUAAUGUUAAUUUGAUGUACUCUUGUCAUUUUCAUUUUCAUUACCCUCCACCACCAACCCUGACAUUACUCUCAACCACCAGCCCCAACCACACUUCUACCAUCCACCAAUACACCUUAAAUGAUUUGACCGCACUCCUGAGCUAUAAAUCUCUGUUGUGUCUUGCCUCUUCUUCUUACUCUUCAUUCCUCAUCUUCCUGUCUAUUGUGUCUUGCCUCUUCUUCUUACUCUUCAUUCUACACAAUGGAACAAGAUCCAAAUCCAUUCGUCCGCCAUUGCAAAGGUCAAAGCAACAAAUCUAGCAGCUCUCGUCCUCUCAUUCCUGGCCCGGCUGGCGCCAUCCAGGCUGCCAUGUAUGCCCGUAGAUCUACCCCAAACACACCAUUCAUUCCGACCCAGGAAAUCGUGAGGCGUGUGCUAGAUCAUGGAUCAAGAGUGGGGAAUUGCCACUCCACUGGACUCUCUGACAGCGAACGUUGAGAGGGUGGAGAAUUUUGUUUGUUGUUAUCAAAUCUUGCACUCCCAAUGGGUUCGGAGAUGCGAAAGUUACCCUCAAGGUAUGUCUUGUCCUUGCUUUUGUAAGGCCUUGUUUUUGGUCCCCCUUGACUAACCGUUCUUAUUUACUUCUCAAACGAUUUCAAAAAUUUAGGACCCCACGGGUGCUGUUGAUGCUAGCAUCCAUCGCAAGGCCUUUACUCACAGUGAAUUUGCGAAUGACAUAACUGUUGGAUCUGUUCUCGUUCUCCAAAAGGUCUGAAACCUAAACAUGAAACUUGCUUCAUUUUUUGGACAAAUAAGCAUGGUUUGAUUAAAGUAUGCAUUUUACUUACAGGUUGUUGUGUUUGCACCUAGAGGAACUGUUUGUUAUCUUAAUAUAACAUUGCCCAACCUAGUGAAGGUAUUCCCAAAAGAUUGCGGACCCCAUGACUUCAUCGAUAUCACAGAGGAAUAAUUUUGUUUUCGGUGUUGCUUAUGUUUAAUUUGGUUGUGUAACCGUUUAACUUAUUGUCAUGGAUUACUACAUGCUUUGAAUUAUUUAUGUUGUCGUUGUUACUGUUUUUUUCAUUAUAAGAGUCAUAAUAUUAAGACUAAAAAUAGAACACAUGUAAAUAAAAAGAGGCAAUAGUCAUAACAUAACAUAAAAAGUCCUAACAUAUACAUAAUAAUGGAUCCCACAUAACAAGUGUAAUAAAAUCACUCUCCCCGACCCCGCCCCCUGCGACCUCUGGGUCCACGAGCUCUACCUCCACGAACACCCUCUCCAGGAUCACCCUCUCCACGAGCUCUGCCUCCACGGGCUCCGCCUCCACGGGGUCUGCCUCCACGAGCUCUGCCUCCCGCAGCUGUGGCUCCUCGAAUAGCAGAAAAGGCAACUCCCUGGGUACCAACGAAGGAACUCCGUCGAAAGAGAUCGAGCGCCCUCUCAGUGAGGAUUCAGGGCUGUGUCCCUGGAGCAAGAGCACCUGGCACCUCCAGUGACUGCUCCAACAACUCCACACCCCUACGUAUAGCAGACUGCAUAAAAAUAAUAUACAAAAAAAAUGUCAUUAACAAAAAUCACAAUUGAAUGGAUAAAAAUAAUAUACAAGUAUAGAAUCCAAACUUACCACGACACUAAGCUCCUGCCUCUUAUCCUCAGGGAUGAUGAACACAUGGGACACUCUGCUAUACCACCUCAUGUAACCCUCCACCGCCUCUCGCGGAUAUGUAGCAGGGAUCCCCUGAGGGCGGAGGUGCGGCUCAAACUCAGCAUAGGCAGCAUCUAUGGUCUCAGCAAGGGACCCCGUCGUCUGGAUCUCAGAGGGGUGUCGAGGGAUGUCCUGUAUGUAGCCAAACUGGUGCAUAACCCUCUCUGGUAGAUGUCGGCUCACAGACCGGCCGUAAGGUGUCUUGAUGUAGCCGGAAUAGAAGGCCCUGGGAUCCCGCGGUCGAACAGCCCGAUGGUCCUCAAAUGGGGUCCAUGUGAUAUCAUCUAAUGUAAGCUCAUCCAGCAUGACUCGUCUCUCAUCGAGUCCGGAAUGCGCGAUCCGGGACGUGGACCACCGCUGCGCCCUAGGCUGGUCCUGUGUUUAGUCGGGUACCUCCGUCCUGAUAAUGACGCUGCUGGAUAUGUACUCAUAUGCCCAUGACAGCAAGAGGGAGGUGAACCCUCCGAUCUGGGCUGUCUUCCUGCGGGACGCACGACUAAGCUGUUCGUACAACGAUGCCAGCGCAAUCGCACCCCACGCGUACUCCGACACGCGAGCGAGGUCCUCCAGCAUCUCGAUCCAGUAGACAGUAGUGUGGUAACCCCCACUCUUGCUGGCAAAGAAUGUGGCACCAAGCUGGUUCACCAGCUAGAUCCUAGCAGCAUCCUCAUGGCAGUGCUCUACAAUGAAAUGAAUUAAGUUAACAGUUAUUAAUAAGACGCUAAAAAUAAAUACAACUUAAUAAAGUAAUGAUUAAGACAUACCAUCCAAAGCAAACAUAUACAUGGCCUUCAGAAUAAGGAACCGGAUAUUCUGGCCACCCGCCGCCUCAAACUCAAGCAGAUAAUCAGCAGCAGAUCCUCCCAGGAGCUGGGCGCAGAGCGCUACACACUCAUCUCGCUCCCCCCUGUCCGGCGUGUAGAACCUCGACCCCGCGGGAAGAUGGAGAAGAGCCGACACGUCGUCCAGGGUGAUAGUCAUCUCCCCGAACGGCAUGUGGAAGCUACUCGUCUCCUCAUGCCAUCUCUCAACAAGGGCCAGUAUGAGAGGUGGGUCUGUCUCCGGUAACCCGCACCAAGGCAGGUGAUACAAACCCGUCUGCUGCAGCAGCUAUCGCACAUGUGUAUGGGCCUCUGAAUCGCCAUCAUAGGGGAGGUUCCAUACCUUCCCCCCAACAGUGGCCACCCUCAGUGUCCGAAGGUCAUCGUACCGCGGGUCUGUGCGUAGAAGUGCCUGCCACAUCCAAGGAGCCUUGUGGUCGGGAAAAUGCGCAAGAAGCGACAGAUCCUCAGGCCCCCCGGGAAACGGUGCCACCCUCUGGAUGAGGUCAUCCACACCGCCCUGUGCCCCCUCCUCUGGCACGACAUCAGCAGCAUCAAUCUCCUCCUGGAGAAUAAGAGGCUCCUCCUCCUCACCACUAAGCUCAGAAGAAGACUCCUCGCCACUAGGCUCAGAAGAAGACUCCUCCCCAGAUGUCUCCUGACGAGGUAACUCAACCAUCGGAGACAACGGAGUAGGAUCCAGCUCAGUCGCAUCCCUAGUAGCAGACGGAGCCGGAGUAGCUGACGGAGCCCCGACCGGAGUAGCAGAUGGAGAUGGAGACGGAGCCGAAGCCUCUACUGCUUGAGUGGCUGCAAUAUGGUCGCCGCGCCUGGUAGAAGCAUGCAAGCGCUCGUGUCGAUCCACUGGAUCCUCACUAGUACAAGCAUGUCGCGACCUCUUCCUCCCGCCCUUCAUUCUCGCUAUCUGUGCAAAACAAACAAAUUUAACAAUACUUGUCAUAAUAAGUAAAGCAUUUUCACAUAUGAGCAUAUCAUUUGAGUCAUUUUUUUACUUAAUCAGGAAAUUUCCAACCAAUCAUUUAGCAACUAACCAUAUGAAAAGGAAAAUAUAGAGAAUUAGUUGUUAGUUUGCAUGUGAAUGUGAUUAAAUUAAAUUUCUAGCUGUGUUAAGGUCAAGCAACCAUCAUCACAAGCAAACAAAAACAAUAAACAACUUUCCUAAUUACAACACAUGAAGAAUAUGAAACUCAAAUCUAUCUUGAUCUUUUCCAAUUCUCAACAAAUCAGCAAAGUAAUCCUGGAAGUUAAAUACAUGCCAUGGUUAAAUAUUGGAAAUAAAUUUUGGAAGUCUGCACUGUAAUAUCGGAAAUUCAUUUUCCAUUAUCAUAUCGGAAAAUCAUUUUCCAUUAUCAUAUCGGAAAUUAAUUUUCCGAUAUUACAGUGAACCCAGAAGCAGACCCAAAUGCACCCCACUCGUGCCCAUACUCAUUUCAUGGAAUUUCAGGCAACAAAACACGACAAAACCUACCUCUAAUCAUCAAUCAACUACCCUAGUGUUCAACCAUUGACCUAAUUCAAACUUGAAAUGUGAGAAUUAUUGAAGUCAAAACUUACCUUUUGAAUGUAAUGGAAUGGGUCUUUGAGGGAGCUUUGAUGAUGAUUAGAACCGACCUUUGAGAUGAUUGAAGUGGUGGAACCGAGCUUUGAGAGAGAUUGAAGAGGGUGUGAUUUGGGGAGGGAAAUUUGGGUUUUGAAAUAAUGGGUUUCAAAACCCAAACUGUCGAGUUUAUAUGUCACGAUCGGUAAAUGAUUACCCGUUAUAGUGUCGGGUAAUCAUUUACCGUUAUUAAUCAACUGGUUUUUUGGUAAUUUCGCUCCUUCAGGUGGGGCGUGGGGCCUAAUGGGUGGGGUGUUAAACCCAAAUCCCCUAUAGUCCGUGACAUGUAGCAACAUAAGAGUGGCUCCACCCUUGAGUCGUGAUAAGGAAUGAAAGGUUUGAGUUUCAAGCUGCAGCUUCACAUUAUGCGUUUUACAGAAUGGGACCCCUUUUUCGCUAAAGCUCUUUGUCGGCUUUUGUACCCUAGUAGUAUAAUUUUUUUUAGAAAUUACAGUUUUGGGGUACUUUUUUAUUUAUUUACCAAUCUAGUAUAAAUCGUCACUGUCAGUGGCAAUUCUAUUUAUUUAUUUUAUUUUUUUAAAGAAUCGCCAAUAGUAUUGGCGUUUUCAUUUUUUUUCGUUUUUUAUAUAAAUCGCCAACCAUGUUGGCGUUUUCUUAUUUUUUAUUUUUGUUUUUUCUGACAAUCGCCAACAUAGUUGGCGUUUAUUACCUUUUUUAUUUUUUUAAAAUCGCCCACAUGUUUUUUUUUAAAUUAGUAAUUAAAAUGAUAUUUAAUCAAUUGAUUCUCACACACAAUUUUAUGUUAUUACUCACUUUUGCAGCACUUUGAUAAUAAAUUAUUUGGUCUACCGGCAAGUUCUCGCGCUAAGCUGAGGAUUUGGCAUGCAAUUGGGACCUGAGUAAGAUGGUCAAUACUCUUCAUCCCCAACUAAACUAUGUAAUGCAUAUGUUUAUCUUUAAAUAUCGGUUCAAAUAUUUAUGAUUAAAGUGCUGCAAAAGUGAGUAAUGACACAAAAUUCUGUGUGAAUAUCAAUUGAUUAAAUACCAUUUUAAUUACUAAUUUAAAAAAAUUAAAAAAACGUGUGGGUGAUUAAAUAAAAACAAAAAGGUAAAAAAGCCAACAUAAUUGGUGAUUGUCAGAAAAAACAAAAAUAAAAAAUAAGAAAACGCCAACAUGGUUGGCGAUUUAUAUAAAAAACGAAAAAAAAAACGCAAAUACUAUUGGCAGUUCUUUAAAAAAAUUAAAAAAAAUAAAUAGAAUCGCCAUUGUCAAUGACGAUUUAUACUAGAUUGAUAAAUAAAAGAAAAAGUACAUCAAAGCCAUAAUUUCCAAAAAAAACUAUACUACUAAGGUACAAAAGCCUCUCGUACACUCCAUAAGCCUGCUGCUUAUAAAAUAGUCGUGUGAUAAGAAAUGAACAGGGUAGGUUUGAAGCUGCUGCUUCACAUUAUGUCUCUCUGCGUUGGGGAGUAAAUGUACGUAUAUAGUUUCUGAUUGGAGUUUGUUCUCCAGAGACUGUCGGCAGCAGCAGCUUUUAUCAUUUUCAUUUUGUUUUAAAAGAAGAGCCAAUGGUGAUGGUUCAUGGUGGGGAGAGCCAAUGGUGGAUAUUUUUAAUAUAUAUACCAAUCAAUAUAAAUCUUGGCGUUGGAGUAAUUGAAAACGUAAAGAAAAGUAGGUAAAGAAUUAAAUUUCUAAAUUAUUGAAUCUGUAAAAUUACAUUCUCCUACCACAUGCAUGAGCACCUUACUCUUUUAGACAUUUUUCUAAGAAUUGCAUUGAUUGUUAGUGUAAAUUUUAUUUACACAAAAUCUAAUUAAUUUUCAACAAAUCCAAAAAUAUAUUUUUAUUUUAAGUAAAUUAAGACCAAUAUAGCUAUUCAUGUGUUGUGACGGAAUAUCCAUUAAACUUUAUUUAUUAUAUUUUUAGGGGAAAUCUUCCAUACGGCAUCUCUCUGAGGAGGUACCGGUCCACCAAAAAAAAAAAGGACUACAACUGCAAAUAUUUUAUUUUUGGCGCCAUAUUUGUAAAUCCACUAGGGGUCUAUUUCAAACUUCAAGAUUCAUUUCCACUUACAGUCCCUUUUUCUCUUUAAUUUCAUAUCCAACGCCUAUAAUAUGGUAUAUUUUAGGUACUAGUCCUCUAAAAUAGAUCUGGGCUUCAUCACCGUGUUCUUCAUCAUCAUCAUCAUCAUCAAGAUAGACACCGCGAACAUCAUUUUUCCGGCGACAUUCAUAAUCUGACACGAGAAUUCUUGUCCGCAGAUCCACCACCUUCGUUCCUCUAGAAGAAUCCCACAUCAUCGUGGGUGGUCCAUUCAUCUCCGGCCGGAACUCCGCCGUAGCGCCACCGUGUUCUUCAUCAUCAUCAUCAGCAUCACCGUGUUCUUCAUCAUCAUCAAGAUAGACACCGCGAACAUCAUUUUUCCGGCGACAUUCAUAAUCUGAAACGUGUACUUGUCCGCGGAUCCACCACCUUCGUUCCUCUAGAAGAAUCCCACAUCAUCGUGGGUGGUCCAUUCAUCUCCGGCCGGAACUCCGCCUUAGCGCCACCACACAUUCGUCUUCUCCGGCUAAUAAAUCUGGAUAUUUUCCAGAUCUGGAUAUUUCCCAGAUUUUGACAUUUUUCCCAAAAUUGUUGUCUUAGUUUUACCUGCUGAAUUCGUUAAAGAUGGAUAAAGAUUAAUACCACCUUUCUUUUGAGACUUUUACCAUGCCCUCAGUGAUAAUUGAAGUCUUCCAUUUGAUUCCAUGACGGCAACGGUACACUUAAAGUAACGUAAUUAUGAAUAGUUUAGUUUUACCUAUAAUCUUGAAUAAACUGAGGUUAGUUAAUAUAUGGUUUGAUUAAACGAGUGUUGGUUGUCGACAACACUCGGAAGUACUACCCUUGGUGGAGGGACUAUUGAACAUCUAGGUUAAACCACAACUACCUAAUUCAAUGACGUGUUAACCCAUUAUUAGUUGUUACAACGAAGAAGAUGACAUUAAAGUAGUUGAAAUUUAGUCUUUAUUGGAUGAGAGUUAGUUAUUCUAAUGACCCUGCUAACUAAAUGUUGCUUAGUCACGCUCUAGCAAUUCAUAUAAUAGGGUUAGUUGUUCCAAUGAUCCACUUAACCUAACAUUAGUUAUUUGAUAGACAAUUAAAGGUAGAUGAAAUCUAGUCUACAAUGGAGGAGAGUUAGUUAUUCUAAUGACCCUUCUAACUAAAUGUUACUUAGCCAUGCUCUAGCCAUUCAUAUAAUAGGGUUAGUUGUUCCAAUGAUCCACUUGACCUAACAUUAGUUAUUUGUUGACAAAGUAACUUGAUGACAACAUAUAAAAUACUCUCAAUUGAAUAACCAAGUUUGUUGUUACAAUUAUCAACUUAACUAACAUUAGUUGACUUAAUGACAAUGUAACGUGAAUACUGUCUUAGUUAAACUCUCAGUUGUCUAUGCUCGAGGUUGAACAAAAUAUAGUACUGUACAAAAUAAGGUAACCAAUUAUAAUUGUAUAUGAUCUUAAGCUAGGGUUAACUCACCUAUAUGCUAUAGAAGAUUAUGUUUUUAAGCUCAAAUUAGCAGGUAAAAAAACAUUAGGUAACUACUGGGCCGUCGAUGACGUUAACAAAAAAUGGCCUAUAUGUUAUUCUGUCAAUAAAGGCUUACAGGAAAAAAAAACUUAACAUUUUAAAGGUAAGGCCCACCAGAAACGCAAUGAAGAAUUAGUCCAGAAAAAAAUGGGAGGGGUUCUUUAGUGGUUUAAGCAAAGCUACAAGAUUGGACAAAAAAAAAAACAAAGCUACAGGCAAUUGACCAAAAAAAAAAAGCAAAACUACAAGCACAAAUCUGUCUUUAGACAAAAUACUUGAGCCAAUUCAACUUUCUUCACAUGAAUGCAUAUUCUGCUAGUCAUUUCAUCUUUAUCUGUGCUCUAUGUAAAUUCGUUAAAGAUGGAUAAAGAUUAAUACCACCUUUCUUUUGAGACUUUUACCAUGACCUCAGUGAUAACUGAGGUCUUCCAUUUGAUUAUAUGACAAUUACGGUACACUUAAAGCAACGUAAUGAUGAAUAAUUUAGUUUUUCAUCUGACCCUAUGUCCCUAUUUACUAACUGUUAGGAGUACAAUAGUCCCGACAGUCAUCUUUUAUUAUCUCCUUUUGAACCAAUUAUUAGUAGGGACCUUAUCCCUUAGUUAUUAUAUAGUGAGUUAAAUUAUGUUGAUGAACAUCUUAACCAAACGUUGGUGAUUCUAAUAUCUCGUAUAAACUGAUGUUAUCUAUUAUAAUGGCCUACCUAACAUAAUGUUAGUACUUCUAUAAUCUUGAAUAAACCUGGGGUUAGUUAUUAUAUGGUUCGAUUAAACGAGUGUUGGUUAUCGACAAAUGUCGGAAGUACUACCCUUGGUGGAGGGACUAUUGAACAUCUAGGUUAAACUACAACUAUCUAAUUCAAUGACUUGUUAACCCAUUAUUAGUUGUUACAACGAAGAAGAUGACAUUAAAGUAGUUGAAAUUUAGUCUUUAUUGGAUGAGAGUUAGUUAUUCUAAUGACCCUGCUAACUAAAUGUUGCUUAGUCACGCUCUAGCAAUUCAUAUAAUAGGGUUAGUUGUUCCAAUGAUCCACUUAACCUAACAUUAGUUAUUUGAUAGACAAUUAAAGGUAGAUGAAAUUUAGUCUACAAUGGAGGAGAGUUAGUUAUCCCAAUGACCCUUCUAACUAAAUGUUACUUAGUCAUGCUCUAGUCAUUCAUAUAAUAGGGUUAGUUGUUCCAAUGAUCCACUUGACCUAACAUUAGUUAUUUGUUGACAAAGUAACUUGAUGACUACAUAUAAAAUACUCUCAAUUGAAUAACCAAGUUUGUUGUUAAAAUUAUCAACUUAACUAACAUUAGUUGACUUAAUGACAAUGUAACGUGAAUACUGUCUUAGUUAAACUCUCAGUUGUCUAUGCUCGAGGUUGAACAAAAUAUAGUACUGUACCAAAUAAGGUAACCAAUUAUAAUUGUCUAUGAUCAUAAGCUAGGGUUAACUCAGCUAUAUUAUCGGCUAUAAAAGAUUAUGUUUUUAAGCUCAAAUCAGCCAAAAAAAAAAUCAUUAGGUAACUACUGGGCCGUCGACCACGUUAACAAAAAACGGCCUAUAUGUUUUUCUGUCAAUAAAAGCCUACAUACGUAAAUAAAAAAAAAUUAACAUUUUGUUUCGGUAAAGCCCACCGGAAAAACAAUGAAGAAUUAGUCCAGGAAAAAAAGGGAGGGGUACUUUUGUGGUUUAAGCAAAGCUACAGGCACAAAUCCGUCUUUAGACAAACUACUUCAGCCAAUUCAUCUUUAUCUGUGCUCUACCUCAUCUCCACACGCCAUUGAUAAGCAACAAGAAGAGUUAUAACACUCUAGUAGACCAGUUCAAUGUUUAUUUUUUAGCGUUUCCCUUGCAUAGCUAGAGCACGAAAACUAGGUGUAUUCCUUGUAGAGCAGAUCCAAACCCUAUCUUGUCUUCCACAAUCGAAUAAGAUCCUCCCUGUUGCAUUGUGAGGCCUUCAAAUCUGUUACGGCUUACUAUUGUUGGCGUGGUUAUAUUGAUUUAUCGGGCUACCCGUGUGCUGUUCACGGAUUUGUGAAGAAAUUUGUUUGUGAGUAUACUCCUUGAGAUCGACUUCAUCUCCUUUGAGUUGUGUGCGUUAUUGUUGUCUUUGGUUUCAUGCAUUUAAUUUUAUUUUAUGGAAGUUAAAAACUAUAGUGAUGCCGCCGGAGUUUCUACUCCGUCAAAGGUCCUCUAAGUAGGUAAUAAAUUUGAUAUAUAUAUAUAUAUAUAUACAUAUAUAUCUCUUGUGUAGGUCUGAGUUGAUCCAAUGAGCGACAACAUGGAGGUUGACUCGAAUUUUGGCCUGGAUGAGGACUCGCAGAGUUCACCAUCUAAUGACUCGUGGUCAGCAAAUGAGGAGGUAUGUAUUGACCGGUGUAUUAUGUCCUUGUAACAUACGUUAACCAUGGCUGCGCACUCUAAGAGUCUCCUUCUUGAUUGUUUGUAGAACGAAUAUGAAUAUGAUUUUGAGGCCCUUGAAAAUUAUUUUCACGGUGAUGACGGUCAAUCUAUGAAUGAAGACGACAAUGACUACGAUGAUGGACAAAACAACAAUUCAUCUUAUCAAUUUGAGGGUGAGGGCCUUGGUGACCACGGCGAUUAUGAUCUUCAUGAGGAUGAGCUUGACUCUGGUGAAAGGUCGACAAGCGAUCUGGAUGGCGAAGAAAACAGCUCUUUUUGUGAUGAGGACGAAGGUUCGCCUGACACAGCUAACCCAGCUGACAAUACAGAUGAUGUAGCGGGGGUAAAUUAUAACGAAAUGCAUGGCAAAAUACCGGUCAAUCCUGUCAGAAUUGAUUCAAAGGAUGACUUUCUCCUUCUGGAUCUAAUGACCAUGAGACUGGAGGAAAUCAUGAGGUUUUCAUUUGUGAGCUUGGAGCUGGCGUUCGAGUUCUACUGUUGGUUUGGAAGAUUGUCCGGAUUCUCUAUUCGUAAAGACACCAAACGCUGGACCAAGAAAGGAGAGGUACGCCAACAAACUUUUGUGUGUCAUAGGGAAGGCUUUCACAAGAACAGUGAUGUGAAGCGGACAGCUGAGGCUAGGAGUAAUUAUAGGUGUGGAUGCAAAGCUAAAUUACGGGUCCAUAUUCAGGGUUACUCAAAACGGUGGUACAUCAGCUUGUUUGUACACGCUCAUAACCACGAGGUGCUCCAAAGAAGUCAUGCAGCAAUGUUGGCUGCACGAAGCGGAUAUCUUGAGUUUGACAACUCAUUUGAGUUCGGGUCUAACAACAGCCGACGUCUACAAUUCACAUGUUGCACAGGUUGGGGGCUAUAACAACACGCAAUACAGCUUGAAAGAUCUGCAGAACCAAGUUGGGAAGCAACGACGAGCACAUGUUUCAGAUGGACGCAAAGCAUUAGAUUAUCUAGCCUCGUUAGGUACCAAAGACCCAUCUAUGUUUGUGCGGCACACGGAGGACGCUGAUAAAAAUCUGGAACAUUUGUUUUGGUGUGACGGGAUAGGUCGGAUGAACUACAGCGUGUUUGGGGAUGUUUUAGCAUUCGAUGCCACAUAUAAAAAAAACAAAUAUCGGCGUCCCCUCGUCAUAUUUUCAUGUGUCAAUCACCAUAAUCAAACAACCGUUGUUGGUGGUGCUGUAAUUGGCAACGAGGAAGAAGAAACAUAUGUGUGGUUGCUAGAGCAGUUGUUGGAGGCAAUGGACAAGAAGAGUCCAACAACAGUUAUCACAGAUGGAGAUAAGGCAAUGAGGAAUGCCAUUCGGAGGGUCUUUCCCAAUGCCAGUCACCGACUCUGUGCGUGGCACUUGAUGUGUAAUGCAACCGAUAAUAUCAAAAUUCCUGACUUCCUCCCUAAGUUCAAGACUUGUAUGUUCGGUGAUUUUCAAAUAGGUGAUUUUAAAAGAAAGUGGGAAUCAUUGGUUGAAGAAUUUAAUUUACAUGAACAUCCGUGGAUUAUUGACAUGUAUGCCAGAAGACAUACGUGGGCUGCGGCCUACUUUCGUGGUAAGUUUUUUGCCGGAUUUAGGACUACAUCUCGGUGUGAAGGGUUCAACGCCCAACUUGGGAGGUUUUUCAAGAGAAGAUACAACUUGAAAGAGUUUCUACAGCACUUUCAUCGUUGUCUCGAAUACAUGCGACAUAGAGAAGUUGAAGCUGAUUUUCGUUCAGGCUAUGGAGACCCGGGUUUGAAAGCUCCACCCCUUUUUCAAAGUAUUGAGCUUUCAGCCUCACGUAUUUUGACCCGACAAUUAUUCUUCCGAUUCCGUCCCACCAUUGUAUCUGCCGCUGACAUGAUAAUUACUAAUUGCGAAGAUACCCUUGGCAUGUCCAUGUACACGGUCAAGCGGUCCCAGGAAUCUAGUAGGGAGUGGCUUGUUUCAUACUAUACGGCUACAUAUGAAUUCCGAUGCUCAUGCAUGAGAAUGGAAAGCAUUGGUUUAGCUUGUGGCCACAUCAUUGCUGUCUUGGUUGAUCUCAAUAUACAUAACAUUCCCAAGUCACUUGUGCUUGAAAGGUGGAGUCAAGGUGCAAAGGAUCAUUUAUGUGAAACGUCGGGGUCAUCCCCGUCGCUUUUCCGAGAUUCCGCGGUCCUUGCCAGGUAUGUUUGUAUGCUCGAAGCCUGUAGGAAAAUGUGUACACUUGCUUGUCCGCUUAUUGAUGACUUUCGCAAGACAUGGGAGAUUGUUGGAGGUCACACUCAACACUUAGAGAAUAAAAACAAUCCCUCAGUUCCAGAAGGUGUCACUGGAACUCCAUCUGCUAACGCAGGUCUAACGACUCACCGGCGCAGGGGUCGUCCCCGUGGAUCGUCAACUUCUCGAUUGAGGGCCAAGCGACCCUUGAAGUGUAGCGCAUGCAAAGUGAUUGGCCACAAUCGCUUAACUUGCCCAUUGGUUAAAGGAACGUCCACCGAUGGAUCCUCCAUGGGAGGGGAUCAUGAAUUUGAUGACUUUGAAGGUGUUAUUUUUUUAAUACCUAUGAUUUUUAGUGAUCAUUUCCAUGAUUAACAAAAAAACAAAAAAACUGUAUAAAUCUAACUUAAUUUGUUUCAUGUUGCAGCCUACUAGGACGCCACAGACGGGUAAGGCCAUAUGCUGCAUGUCUUUCGCAUUCGGUAUCGUUGGAUAAGUGCUAUGGAAACUGUUUAACGUGAUGUAAUGUUUUAAUCCAUUAUUUGUUGCCUUUGUAUUAUUGUAAUGCAUUAUUAAGGAGUUUCAGUUGCAUUAGCACAAAGUCGUUACCGAAUAUCCCAACAUAACUUAUGGAUAUUACUCCCCUCCGUCCUCAUAUAUACGCCACUUUUUGAGAUUUUUUUAAUCCCAAAAUAUAAGUUAAUUUAUAUUACCAAUGUAGUAUUUAAUGCCUUUUUCCAAACUUACCCUUAUAUUUAAUAUGAAAGACAUAAUGUAAUUUUGAAAAAGAAAUUAAUUUGAAGAGAGAAGUUGAUGUGUAAUCUAGGAAACUCAAUAAAACUUUUUACAAAUUUAAUAUUAGUAACUUCUUUUCUUAAUUCUUGAGAAUUAGGUAAAAGUGACUUAUAAACGAGGACGGAGGGAGUAUUCGACUAUGACUUCGCUGUCGUCUCAAAUAUGCUGUAUCACACCAUAGUGACUCUGGCUCGCUACAAUAGUGACUCUGGCUCGCUCCCGUGUAGUUCUUGGAACUCGGCGUGCCAGCUAAAAGGAGUUGUCUCGCAAAAAUCGAGGUGCCAACUUUAUGUCACGCAAUUAUUGAGAGGUAUCAGCUUUAUGUCACACACUUGCGAGAUGUUUCAGCUUUAUGUCACGCUUCAUUGUGUCCUUCGGCGCGAUAGCACACACUCUGAGAUGUUCUCAACUGUUGGUCCUUCAUUAGCUUUAUGUCUCACAAUUAUCUAGUUCACCUUAUGAUGUCAGGCACGUUCUUCCAUAAGGAAGCUUCAUGGAAUCCGUCUUUAUCCUAAUAAGAACAACACGGGUUUCAUGCCCAAAUACUGUCAAUAAUCGUGGCUUACUUACUACCAUUCCUUACAACAAAGAUCGCAUAUUUAGAAAACAAUAACUAUGAUUAGUUGUUUUUGGAUAUGCAAAAAAUAUGAUUAAUGUAUUACUUUACGAAAAUAGCAUACUUUCCAUUAUAUUUAAGUUUUCACAUUUUCUCUUUAUAAUUAAUGAUAUGAUAUUUUUUUAUACAUCGGAAGUAUAAUUAAUGAUAGAGUGAACAAAUUUAUAGAAUUGAGACAACUAAUUUGAGGGGUAUUUUGUAUAUUGUUUUAAUAGUUUAAUGUAAAAUGUCUUAUAUUUCCUUAAGAUAUUAAAAACUAGGUACCGUUUAUGGUAACAACUAACCAGACAUCCAUAUACGAUGGUAUUAACUAGCCAAUAUCACAUUAAAUUUACUACUAACCGUUUAUGGUUAAAAAUAUGUGAUGAUGGCCAAAAAAAGAAUAAUGGCUUGUUCAUACUCUUUGUUUUUUUAACUGUACCCUUAGAUGUGCAUGUUUUGAUCCUUUUUUAUCUAUUAUACCCUUACUAGUAAAUGAAAAUUAAAUUCUCAUUACAUCAAAUCAAAGUCUUGGCUAGUAACUGUAAUUUAAAUUCCAUGAAAGUACCGAAAAGAUAUUCCAAAGUUAUAUAGAAAAAGGUGUUAAUAUUAAAUUAUGUCAAAGAAGAAAUAGAUGUAAUUGGAGGGAGUUUAUAUUUUUUUAAUUCUAAUAUGGAGGGAAGAAUGAUAAAUGGUUUUAUCAUAUGAGAGAAUAGAAAAAAAUUAAUUAUCCACUAUCUUAUUUAGAAAGCUUUAUAACUUCAUGAUUAUGACGUGAGACGAUAGAAUUGGAAAAAAGACUCCAAUAACCCACUAUCUAGGAUGACACUUAAAAAAUAAAGGAAGAGUAACAGACAAAGCUAAACCAGUUGAGAUAAAUUUUUUUUUGUCACAUUACAGUUCAGAGGAUCAUACAUGCCACACUAAACAUUAAAUCCAUGACAAAGCCCCUUUUUUUUAAGAAAGGUGAAUUCUAGUCCACCUGAAAAAGAAGAUACAAGCAAGCAAAGGGACUAACAUGAUAAAAUCCAAUGCAGAAAGGAUAAAAAUAUAAAAGACAUAAGGGAAAGAAGAACAGAAACAACAACUACAGAUAUACAUCACGCCAGAGCAUAGAAAAAUAAAAAAGUAACACAACAGCUUUAAGAGCGCAUCCAUAGGGAAAACAACGCCAGCAUCUUGAUUCCACUACUAAUACACCAGAACCGUAUUUGCAGGAGCAUAAUAAGAUGAGACCCUUCAAGGAAGGGGGAGGGAGAACUUCUGACAUAGGCUGAGGCAGAGUGCGUUCAUAGCCCUGUUUUCCAAUACUAUCGGCGAUAGUAUAAGGGGGUUGAAAUAUUUAAAGGCACCAAUAAGGUUUACUUCAGCCAUAAAAUGUCCAGGUAUCUUUAUGCGACAUACUCUCUAUCCCACAAAAUGAAAAUGACCACUUAAGUAUGACAUCCAUGUCUAAGUAAUCUAAAUAUUGUAUACAAAAUGAAAAUGACCACAUUUGCCAAGAGAUGCACGCAGCAACCCAAUAUUGUGGUUGAAGGAAAUUUAGUUAAGGGGCAGAUUGUUUCGCCUAGAAUAUAUUAGCUUUGUGUAUCAUGUUUGGAGUCCAACGCAGAUUGUUUCGCCCAGAAUAUAUUAGCUUUUUCUAUCAUCUUUGUAGUCCAAAGCUCGUUGUGAUUACCCCUAAACAUUUCAAUUGCGAUUUCCAUCCGGAUAGCACUUUCAUUAAUCUACUAAUGCAAAACAAAGCAGUCAGGAAAAGUUGAAGCAAAAUAGCUAUUUUGAUUGGCAAGCAACCAAUCAUGUAUGAUGUUGCUAACCUCGGCAGGGAUAUUGGAUCUAAAGUUAUGUUCCAUACCCAUCCAAUCCAACACGCGAAGCGCGGAGUCAUAACUGGAAAUAUGAGCAUAAAUUCAAACGAUAAUUAGAUGAACACUGAGAAUGUCAGGUAAACAAAACAAGUCAAAAAAAAAAAACCUUUCUCCGGAUGGGGGAAUCGGACUACCACAAAUAACUUUCCAAUCGUCCUUUUUAAAUGCGUUUUCUGAACAAUUGACUGCAGAAUCCUGCGCGGGAAGAAGUUGGCCAACGACCAAACACUGCAAAGUGCAAACAAGAUGUAAAUACAGACGUUAUUGUGUACAUUUUCACGGAAAUAGUCGUAAAGGAUACCAAGUUCCUCAUCAUCUCAUUUCUGGGCUCUAUCUUGUGCUUUUGAAGAUUUGAAUCGAAAUGGUGAAUGACUCCAUCAGUAACAGAUACAAUCAUUAAGUACCAGUGAUCCGUCGACCGUUCCUCUAUUGGAAUGUAUAUCUACAGCAGGAAGCAAAACUAAGCAUCAACUUUUAACACAUUAUAAAGGACUUUUUUAAAGAUGUUAAUUAAGUAUUUGCAUCUAACAUAUUUGAUAGAGGGGGUAGUAGGCAUCCAAGUUUUGUAUUUGUCCUUCAGGUUUGAGAUUGUCAUGCUUUCGUUUACGUCUAUCUGUUUGAACAACAAAUGAAAUUUUAAAAUAAUAAUUUGCCGACCAUAGUACUAUAUAUGUGAUAUCAAAUAGUCGACACCGAGACUAAACUGCAAACGACGGUGGCAAUGACCAAAUGGUUUGUUCCGAGGCUAGUUGUUGAUUAAGUGUUGCCUUUGUAGAACUCCAUUCAAUUACCUGUAACAGAGAAAACAAUAAAUACACCUAUAAUUUUAACAACAAUACGAACAAUGUAAUGAGACACGUAACAACAAGACAUACAUUGGAAGAAAUUCUGUUGAACGGGAUAAAACAUUCAAAAUCUUUUCGGGUGGCAACAAGAUUUCUCAUCCUCAGGAGCUCCUCGCUGCAGAAGUCGGUGAAAAAUGUCAGAUGAUUCGGUGGUACAACAUUUACGUCACCAACAAUAUAAAAACUACAUCUAUUGUGUAUUACAAACUUACCUAUGAGUUAGAUUGGUGUGAAAAAGGUAAGCAACAAAGGGUGCAUCUGCGAUCGGGACACCCAGAUCACUUGGAGGUCUAAAUUUAUAUUUGAUUGACUGAAAACGAACAAUGAACGUCAAACAUUUGCACAAUAUUGUGGAUAAUAUCAGGAAAAAUGGGAUAGCGAUGCUGCACUCACAUUUGGCAUAACAACCAUAGAUAGUGGUCCACAUCGGAGCGCCUCUUCAUUUUCCCUUAGUUGUAAUGUUUUUUUCCCAGCACGCGUUUGGACACCACCAUAAUUUGAUGGAAAUUUUGGUGGACCGGUUGUUGGCCUAGCCGUUGAUAUAAAUUCUGUGUUGGACAGGGUUGAAGUUGUCACACUGUGCGGGAAGCUAUUCAUUUUAUUCGUCAAAGCUAUGGGGUGGUCUGUGCGAAUUGUUUUCAUCUUUAUUCCCGGACCAAUAGGUACAUUGACCGUCUUGGUGGGAGUACCAAUUUCAAUGCAACUCUUUUUGGGUGUGUGGCUAGUUCGGGGAGUACUGUCCACGGCGGCGCCAUCGUCUGAAGGUUGAGUUGUCCUAAAAGAGUCAUAGCGGCCAAACAUUUGAGUGGCACCUAUAGGUGCAAGGGGAGAACUACCGUAGUAACCUCUAAGUCGCUUAUUAUGCAUAAUAGCUGCAUGAGAAACUUUCGAAUGUGGUCUGGGUGGUCUCGCAGACGGAGUAGCCGUAGACCCUGGAGAGGUAGAUGACGAAGGGUUGCCAGAUAUGGAACCACUUCGCUGUCUGGACACUGAAGUUAUCAUACCAUCAAAAUUCUUGCACGUGACUUCAAUCUUAGCCUCUAACCUAGCAAACCGUGUUGAGAGAUUUUCUAUUCCAUCAGCAGUUUCCUGAUUGAAAAGGAAUCCAUUUGGAAAUUAGUAAAUGGAAAGACCUAAGUAAUAAAUAAAUAUAUUAAAUAAUACGGUUAUAUUACUUUUACGCGCCCAGACAUGUGGACCACAUCAUUAAAUAGAGACGAAACUUUUAACCUUAGGAAUUCCAACCGAUUCCAUUGGUCCCUUUUGAAGUCCGAAAAUGCAGACAUUAGUGCGGAGUAAAUCAGAGCUACAUCCCCGCAAGAAGAUUCGGGCUCAGAUUGAGGUGUUGACCUGCAUCAAAGCAUUUGUCUUAAAAGCUCAAGAACAUUUGUCUUACCCGUCCCCCACCACAGACAACAUACUAACAUUUCAUAUACACAAACCCAUUUUUUUCAUGUGAAAGUAAUAAAUGGUAGUGAAUGUGCUUACAUUGUGAUAUCCUCGUUGUCUAUGUUGGAGGAGGAGCUUCUUUUGCCUUCCAUAAAGGACACUUUGCUCUUGUUCUAUCGUUCUUGGUGACUUCCACUUCUCUGCCUAAUGUCAUAAUACCAAAAUACUCAGUUUCAUACUAUAAGUAGAUAAUACUAUAAUUUGUACUAUAUUUCAAAAACAUAACUUGGUUUGUAAAAACAAUGAUUAUUUUCUCUGUUUCAUGAUUAUAUAUCAUUAUUUAAUAUCAUAUUUCAUCGGUCCUUAAUAAUAAAUUAAAGUUGUAAAUAUCACUCUUAUUAACAAAGUCUAUCCAACUCUCACUAUCUACUUAACCAAUAAUAAGAUUUCUUUUCUUCUUUGUAUAAACUUCUUAUACAAAGAAGAUAGUGAGAGUUGGUAUUUCAAUCAAAUAUUUGUUAAUUAAUCAACUCUUUAAACAGAGUGAGUAAUAAUUUACACACUGCAUGAACAGAAGGAGACUUUCCUAAAUGAAGCCAAUGACAUGAACGUGAUUGACUUGCAGCUACCAACUUGUCACCUCAUAAGAUUUGAUUUAUCCAAUAGCUAUAAAACCGGCUCAGAAAAGGGACUCCCAAUGGGUUAAAAUUACUUUCCUGUGCCAUAUCUAUGCGACUACUUGAAACAAGGACAUGUUUUGACGGAUUUGGUUCCUCUCCAUCCAACUUCUCUCCAUCCCCUCUCCAUCCAAAAUCUGAGCCAUCGAUUUUAAAUUUUAAAGGUGAGGAUUAAUUCAUGUUUUCUCUCUCUUCUUAAAUUGAUUCAAGCCUUUAAAUACAAUUCAUUUUUUCUCUCUCUUCUUAAAUAGAUCCAAGCCUUUAAAUUUCAAAAUCAAUGGCCCAGAUUUGGAUGGAGAGAGGAUGGAGGGAACAUGGAUGGAGAGGAUCCAAACCCUGUUUUGACAAGGUAAACACCUGAUACAUCCGUUUCAAAGCACAUCUAGUUUUAACUUUUUUUUGGUUCCCUAUUUAUUGUUUUUAAUACAUUCUAAGCAUUUUUUUCUCAUUAUUUCACAUAUAUGCCUCAUUUCAUAUUGUAUUCAAAUAGCUGACCAAUGACUUAUAUUUUUUUUCUUCAUAUAACUCAUUUAUAAUAAUUGUGUUUAAGUUAAAUUAUGACAUUAAUUGAUAAACUCAUGCACUUUCUGUAUAACGUAGAGAAACAUAUCCUCCAUACAAAACUUUUCUUUCUAAUAUUCACCAUUUUUAGAUAGUGUAAUUUUAUACCUCCUACUUUAACCGGGUAUAGUAGGUCAACACAUUCUUUUAAAAUACAAAUAUGUUUAAAAAUUUGUCAUAUAUUAAAUUUCUUAAGAAAAAUGUAUUUACGGAUUUACCAAUUAUAGCAGGUUAAAAAAAGUGCUCUAAAAUUAGACCACUUUAAAAGUCGUCCACAUUAGGUCAGUCAUGUUAUGGUGAGGUGUAGUGCUGUGAGGGAGACAGGUUAUAAUAGGUGCGCGACAACUAAAAAUAAUUAUAUUUUAACAUCUGAUUUUUUUUUAUAUAUCUUGAAUAGAAUGAAACCCGAGGCUAGUUGAUGAUCAAGUGACAUAGGUAGCCGUAACUUAUCAUGAUCUUUUGCUUUAUGUCAGACGAAGCUUUCAACCUAUCUCCUUUAUGUCAACAAAACAGCUUUACUUCACGGCACCCAUCUCCUUCAUGGGUCAAAAUCAACUUUAACUUUUCAAGCUAAUCCAAUUCAGAUUUACUUCAGCCGACGGGGGCGAGCUAAUCGUAUCACACGUAGUCACGUAUUGUUCUUCACGGUAAUUAAUUUCUUGCGGUACGUCAGACGCAGUUAUCGAGGUCAACUUGCGUCAGGCACUGUGAGCGACGUACAUCUAUAUGGUCACGCUAUAUGGUCACGCGCUUACUAUGACAUACAUAACCUUUCCCGGCACCCUUCGAAAUACACAACAGCAAGCGCGGCACGUGUUUUCAUGAUGCACGUUUGCAUUAUUGUAGUUUCAUCUGCAGUGUUUCACUUUUGAACUGACUUUUUUGGUGGUGCAGUUAAUAAAUAUAAUAAUUUAAAAUUUAACGCUUGAGCUCGUAGCCAUGGUAAUGGUAUUUCAACGGCACGGCUACUAUUCCUUUGCGGCAAGGCUACAGUGUUCCCGUAAUAAUAAAAGGAUGAAAAGAUAAAAUAACUAGGUUGAGUUUACGACUUGGGAUAAAAUCAUAGGAAGGAUAAACUAAUGUGUAAUAAAUUUUAGGGUCAAGAUUAUUUUUUGUCUAAUCACAUGCAUAAUUAAUCUUAACCCCUUUGGCUAAGUUUGAAAACAAAUCACUGUAAAGUUAGCCUAUUAUUGUAAGUGAAAAAUCUCAUAACCUAGUUAUUCUUUAAUAUACCACACUAAACUAUCGAAUGUAUUGGUAUCCGGUUUUGGGAAUGAACAAUGUUUGUAUUUGAAUGACAUAAAAACUUAUAAUUCAACAACAUGAGAUGUGUCAUAUAAGUAAUAUAUCCCUAAACCCUAAACAUUAGAGUAAAUAAUUACCAUUAGUAUCAUGAAUAGUCAACAUUUCAUCUUGUCAACAUUUCAACAAAGAUGAAAUGUUGACUAUCCAAUUUAAUAAAGGUAAUUGUGGCUACUGAAAUCUAUUAGAAAUACACGUUUCCUAAGCUCAUAGUAAUGUUCAAAGUCUUCACAUAUGAUCACACUAUCGUACAUUCAUGCUCAAGUAACCUUAAUUGAAUCUAAUAUGAGAGUAAAUAACACUAGUAUGAGUGAACAAAAACAUGUUGCUAGUUUGGUUGCUUAAAAACGAUUUCGGUGGGUACAGACUGACACAUAGGAUUUAAGCAACCCAAGCAGAAUUCGCUCCAACCACGGUUGCUUAGUUUACUUUUAGUUGGGUCCCAUUAUACCUCUUAUAUUUAUAUUAUUUCAAGGUAAUGACACUAUACAAGCACAUGAAUGAAAGAGAAAAUAUGAAUUUUUAGUCAAAAAGUAAGGAGAGAGAAAAUAAGCAACCGUUGCUUAAAUUUAAGCAACCCAACUGCCACGUCAUGUUGCUUCAGUGGUGCUAAAAAAUAAGCAACGUAGCUUAUGUUGCCAACUGGAUUUAAGCAAUCUCAUUGGAGAUGCUCUUAGUCGGCCAAACUUUAUUCUUGUAAUAAAAAAAAGUACAAAGUAUUUUAUGAUAAUAGUAAUAUUUCCUUAUGAUAAAUGUUGCAUGUUGCGGAUCAUAUCACACUAGCACAUCUAUCCCAUGCGUUUAUAUCUAGUUCGUUUGCUAUUCGUUUCUGGUUCAUACCACCUAUUUAAACAUUCCUGUGACAAUCAAAAUUUUGCUACUCUGCUCUCGUUUCUAUAGUUCUUCAUCCCUCUUAUUUUCCUCUCCUGUUGAAAUCAUCUUCCUUUUGUGUUCCGCUCAGUCCAGGCAUGACCUCCUGGGUUGAUGAACUGGCCAACGUGUUCAAGCUUUUACCGGCCUUCAUUGUAUGUAGGUUUAAGUGUGUAGGGAAACUAUUCGACUACACCACAAACCCCAAAUUUUGUGCAGAACAAGCAAGUCAUAUGCUGUCACUUGGGGAUCAGCAUAUCUUCACGUCUCCGGUCUCUCACAUAAUAUAUGAUUCAGGGAUUCACCUACUUCAUUUAUUACAGAACGGGCCUUCUGAUGGCGUUCCAAAGGAGUUUUUGGAUUUCAUUGAACAGUCUGGCCAGAUCAUUUCAUCGUGGAAUGGAUUAGUUGUGGUUCGUUGUAGGCGGAAAAACCCAUUCAGUUAUUUCAUCUGUGAUCCUGUAACCAGUUCAUGGACUCCCCUCACCUCACCGUGCCCUAAUUACUAUGUUGAAGGUACUCUCAAUAUAAUUAUCAUCCCAUCUUCGAAUCCGACUGCCAAUGACUACCGCUUGCUUUCAAUGAUCCGAGGCCCUUCGAUUUUCAAACACUAUUAUGUCUUAAAGGAGUACAACCCUGUAGGGGACUACUGGCAAGUAAUUAACCCAAACAUGGGUUUGGGCGACCGUAAUGUCAAUCUUGGUCAACCAGCAAUUGUUAAUAAUUGGCUAUAUUUUAUGUCUGAUAAUUAUGAAUACAGCUUCUUCGGAUCUGAUCGCUUCUAUUUGCCAUACGUAGUGGCCUACUCACUCCAUGAUCAUACAUCUGUCCUGUUGGACCUUCCAAUUGAUGUUCUCCAGGAACCCUUCGACGGGAAGUUUGGGGUUUACACAUGGGGAUCUAGAUGGACUUCGAGAGAGUGUCUAUGUCUCGUAAGGUUUAUCAACUCUUCGUUCUCUGUGUGGACUUGUGCAGACUCGACUUCUGUAAUUGCUACUUGGGUUCAAAUUCUUCAUAUUACCAAGGAUGAACUAGGGCUGUCCGGUGAAAGUUUUUCUCUCUUCUCUAUGUACGUGGAACCGAUAAGAAAUCACUACACUGUUGUCAAUGGAGAUUGCUUAAUCUUUGCCACCAGAGAUAAAAUUUAUGCUUACAACAUAAACGGCCCUUAUCCGUGGAAACUUUGUCAAGUUGGGAUAAAUGAAACCAGGACAAAUGUGAUCUUGGUUCCGUACUCCAGUACAUUUCGGAUUGUCCAUCGUGGUCAUUCAUCUUCCUUUAAUGAGUUUCUUGCAAACAACUUGAUUAGAAGAUAACCUUAUCACAUAUGAAUAUAUUUUGACAUUGUUGCAUUAUUAUUGCUUGUUUUUGUUUUUAUUCCUCUCUUUAAUGCGUUAAAUCCUAUCCAUGAAAACAUCUCAGCCCUUUUUUAUCUUUUACGUUUGUUUGAGGAAGAGGAUUGAUGUACCAAAUGUUUGCUUCAAUUUUGAACUCAUGUUUAUCUUCUUGUUAGUAUUGCCGAACAGAAUUAUUGUACCAUUUGAUGCCAAGGUACCACGACAAAUACGAUUCAUGAGUACAAAUAUGACUAUCAGUAAACCUAACAAAACCAUCACUUUUAUUUUAGCUUUUAGUUGUUGAUCCUAAAUGUGAUUUCCAUUGGGAUUUUUUAAAUCUUUUGGAAAGUAAAAUAAUAUAUAAAUAAUGAAAGGUUAAAUAUGUUUUUUUAUAAGCAAAAUUGUACUAUAGUUGUAUUACGAGUAUCUCAAACCACGGUAAUUACAGAGAGCAAGAACAAGAAAAUAAAAUAGGGAUUCGAAUCCUGCCGAGGUACUCUCGAGCACCCCUCCAGCGGGAAUUCAGCCAAUGAAUUAAUCCAAUAGCACCAAAUAAUAAAGCACGGACUUGGUCAGUGGUCACAGUGAAAGAGUGAAAGUGCCCAGGAAUGCUUACAUGAUAAUAUAUGUAAAUCUUACUUUCUUAUAUAAUCGUGUUUUAUUUGUUUCAAAUUACCUGUUUAUUUUAUUAAAUAUCUGAAAGCAAAAUUUAAAAAUACAACAAAUUAAGAAAUAUAUGAAAAUGAACAAGUUUAAUAUUUACUUUUUGAAAUAAAUAACUUGAACCCUACGGGUGUCGAUUUAAGAUGAAAAAAGUUGUUUUUUGAAUUCGUAAGUUGAAAGUUUGAUUCCUAAAGGAUUCAAACAAAAUAGAUAAGUUAUGUAAGUGUUGAGUCUUUUCCUUACGUUAUGUAGGCUAAGUCUAUUAUGAAGUCUUUUGAUGUAAUGUAAUGAUGAAAUGCAGAACAUCAUUAGAUAAGUUGCUUGUUUAAGGGUUAGAGAGGGUGUUUGGCAUCUCUCUCAUGUAUCUUUCCCCUAAUUCCCAAUUUGGGAUUAGGGUUCUUCAUCAAUAAUACUUUUACAUUUUCUGGGUUCAAUCACCAACAUGUGCUGAAAUAAAUAAACAAGUUUAAUAUUUACUUGUUGAAAUAAAUAACUUGAUCCCUACGGGUGUCGAUUUAAGAUGAAAAAAGUUGUUUUUUGAAUUCCUAAGUUGAAAGUUUGAUUCCAAAAGGAUUCAAACAAAAUAGAUAAGUUAUGUAAGUGUUGAGUCUUUUCCUUAAGUUAUGUAGGCUAAGUCUAUUAUGAAGUCUUUUGAUGUAAUGUAAUGACGAAAUGCAGAACAUCAUUAGAUAAGUUGCUUAUUUAAGGGUUAGAGAGGGUGUUUGGCAUCUGUCUCAUGUAUCUUUCCCCUAAUUCCCAAUUUGAGAUUAGGGUUCUUCAUCAAUAAUACUUCUACAUUUUCUGGGUUCAAUCACCAACAUGUGCUGAGAUCAAUCUUGGGAAAUCGUUGGUGUUCAUCACACGUGGGUUAAAAUUGGGAAAUCGUUGGUUUUCAAUGACUUAAGCAAUUGUAAUUUUAUCCAAUGUUUACCUAGAGUGGUUUAGACAAAACCAUACAAAAAUAUCAUAUGCAAGUAUGCAACAUACGUACCCUAUUUUAAAAAGAUAGAAAAUUUCUAUUUCAAGGUGACAUAAAGGUGAAUAAGGACGUGAUCCAUAAGUGUGAUGGGUGCCGUAAAGGUCUUGUCGACCCAUGUGCAACACCGCUUUCCGAAGUGCGUAAAGGCUUUAGAUAAGCAAUAUGUGUACAUACAAUAUUCGCAUAAUCUUAUUAGAUAUUGAAGAUCUCGACGUUUGAAAGACAUAAAGUAGGUGUGAUAGAGUUGAUGUGACAACACAUUGCUUACCUAUUGUCACAUCUCAUUCUAGAAAACUCAAAAUGUGAUCAGAAAAGAAAGGUAAUGGGCAAAUAGAUAAGGACACAUCGGGCCCCGUGCGUGAUCAAUGAACGGGGUGUGGGUUAUAAUGGGCACCGCAAGUGUGAUUAUUAGUUUUUAUUUUUUGUAACGUUCUUAUCAAAAAUGACUUCUAAUCGACAGUUUGUAACCUCUGUUGUUUUUUUAGAAACCAUUUAUCAAUUUUUCUUGGUCAUUUUUUUAAGAAAGAAACAAAAUUUUAAAAUUAAGUCAAAUAAUAAUCUCUAAUGCAAAGAUAUAUAUUUCCAAUGCAGAAAUAUAUUGGAAAAUUACAAGCAACAAUUGCGUGAUCACAUUCCAUAGGAAUUAAGAUGAUUCAUGAUUGUUCUAAUAAAAAGAAAAAAAUCAUUUAAAUUUAACAUAUUUUAUUUUAUCGUGUACCAAAAAAAAGUUUAUUUAAUGGGACCUUAUUUUAUACUAAGAAAUAUUAGUUUUAUUCGUUUAUAUAAUUUGUAUAAUUUAUUUUGUGGGAACUUAUUUUUUUCUAAGAAAUAUAAGUUUUAUUCGAUUGUGUAAUUUGUCCCGGUUUUUCUAACAAAAAAGGUUCAAUUAUCAAGAAGUAGACAUCUCAGCUGCCAUAGUUGAUUCUAAAAUCCAAGUCAAAUUUAUUUCCGAUAUGCACAUAAGAUUUUUUAUAUAUUUUUAUAGGAAAAAAAAUUGGAUAUAAAUUGGGUCCCCAUAAUUUGAAGCACAACAGAGAUUUAGAUAUAAAAUAAGGUAAGGAAUCCGUAUAGGACUUCUAUUAAAACCAGAGCGCACAAACGAUCCCCAUUCAUUACAUUAAGCAUGUCAAAGUAAUUUAAGUAUACGAAAAAUCAAAAUGACCACAUUUACCACAGAUCCACGUAACAUAAGGAUCAUCGUAUACGAAGACAACUUUGUUAGACCUUGGGUAGUUGAGCAAAGAAUAUUUUUGUAUCAUUCAUCAAUUGUGCAGUCCAAAGCUCGUUGUGCUUACCUAUGAAUAUUUCAGUUGCGAGUCGCAUCCUAACUGCCCGUUCAUUUAUCUAGGUAUACAAUAUUGCAAAUUAGUCACCACCAUAAGUGAACUAACAUAAUAACAAAUUUAAUAACGGUAAGCUUCAUCUAUAGUUUUACUAACCUUUGGAGGGAUAUUGACAGUAAACUUAUGUUCCAUACCCAUCCAAUCCAACACGCGAAGGGCAGAGUCGUUCCUGGAAAAUAAAAAAAUGAAUUCGGUCGAAAUUUAUAUAAUGGAACAGGUAAACAAAACAUUUCAAGACCCGCGAAAAAAAAAUGAAACCUGUUUCGAGUAACGGGAAUCUCUGCAGCAUCAGUAAUUUCCCACUUCUCCUGGUCAAAUACAUUGUCUAGAAAAUCCGAAGGAUAAUCGGGCGGGGUAAGAAGUUGGCGAAUUACAUUACACUACAAUAAUUUAAAAACAGACGUUAAUCACUGCCCAUUCAAUAUUUUGAUAAUUUUACCAAUUGUUUUAAUGUUGCUUCUACCAAGAUUGUCAUCGUUUCCCUCUGCGCCUCUACUUGGUGUUCUUGAAUAUUGGAAUCCAAAUGAUGAAUGACUCGGUCAGUAAUUGAUACAACCAUUAAGUACCAGUGAUCCGUUGACACAUCCAGUAUCGGAACGUAUAUCUACAUAACGAAUCAAUUCUAAGAAUCAUCGUUUCACAAAUAUUAUAUUCAGGUUAUAUUUGUGUUAAAUCUUACAUAUUUGAUGGCGGGGGAAGCAGGCAUCCAAGAUUUGUAUUUGGCCUUCAGAUUCAAAAUAGACAUCUUUUCAUUUAUAUCAAUCUGUUUGAAAAACAUUAGUCGAAUAUUAAUUAAUUAAAAUGCCGAUGAAAUACUAAAUGAAAGCUAAUAUGAGAUACUGAACCGUAAAAGAAGGUGGCAGGGACCAAAUGGUUAUUUCAGACGCUAGUUGUUGCAUUCAUGUUUCCUUCAUGGCGCUUGUUGUGAGACCCAAGUUUUUAAGUUUGGAAUAAACCGAAUAAAAUUCCUUUUCACGAUUAAUUUAAUGUGACGUGAAGGAAAACCUGAACAAGUGUUUAUGGAAUGGAAUUAAUUUGUGAAGGAGAAAGUUCAGGAAAAGGCUAAGGAUCGUAUCAGAGUCGAUAAAAGUUAUAACAUGACUAGCAUUCGCUUAAACUUAGGUCAAGAACGCUAGAAAUGGCUAGUUUAAGUUUUAAUACACGAUGGAAACUAAUUCCAAAAAUCUUCUAGAGGAAUAUAAGACUUUAUCUUAUUCCUUUUCAAAACGAGCGUUUCGAUACGAAACCCUGGAAUGUACGAACGUCAAUUUCCAAUACUCGGAAGUUUGCCGAAACCGAAACCCUAAUAGUUCAGAAACCCUAAAAUCGACGGACGAUGAAGACUUUUUCCAUUCGGAGCUUCAAAUAAAGAUUUCAUUCGCGCAUGCCCACUCUAAUCGACGUUCAGAAUCUUUCUUCAUAAGGAAGUUUCUGCAUCCGAGGUCAAAACCAUAAAGUGCAUAAAGUGCAUUUUUAAGCCGGUACACAUUAAAAACAAGCCUCGAAAACCAAAAAAUCAUACUGAUAUUUCUUUGAAGAAUUAGAAGAUUCAGCGGGAAGAAUAUCGUGUCUAAAAUAAGUUGGAAUCAGUAGGAAAAAUCAGAAUCGCGAAAUUCUCAUUUUUCCGCAUUUUCCAUUUCCUAUAUAUAGUAUGAAAAAUGAAAAAAAACAAAAAAAUCCCAAAACACACACACACGGCCGAGAGCUCUUGGAGGAAAGGAGGAAAAGUGAUUUUUUUUUCCAAAUCUUGACCGAUCGUCGUUCCGUUCGUUGCUACGCGUAGACAUCGAGGUACUGAUACUAUUCCUUACUUCUGAUCGUCAAUUCUGUCGCUUUUCUCUAUGUCUUUCUGUGCUCAAAGUUUUGAGCUUUUUGUAAAACUGUCCAAAUAAGCUGAUUUCAGUGUCUAAACUUAUUGCCUACGUGCUCUAGAGCGUGAAUAUCCGGUUGUUUUCUGCUGAAUGUCGCCGAAAUGCCGCCGGGAUCAAUUUCUGUUGGAAAAACCCAUUUCUGGGUAAAGUUCCGUUCUUUAAGCUGAAAAUUCACGACUGAGCUUAGCUUUAGUAGGAUUAGUUGUUAUAAAUGUCGUUAGGAUCGAGCUCAUCUAAUUUGUUUUUCGAAAUUCUGAUUUUGAGUUUCCGAGCUAAAAAUAAUGACCAAAAUACCCCUGCGACAAUUUUCGACCCGAUAAUUUUUCUGAGAGUUUCCCUGGCCUAGAUAUCGCCUAAGAAUACCUAGGAAUUGAUUUAGAUCGAAGAAAAAGUUCGAAAACCCUAUUUUCCAUAGUGACCGAAACCUAUUUGCUUGGGUACCGUGUCCAAAACUAAUUUUUGGGUCUCUAUGACCUGAGCCAUUGCGUAGCUCUUUCAAUUGUCGAAAUUUUGGCGCCGGUUUCGUGUCAUUCCGAGUUCUGUAGCUCGAGUUAUGCACGUUUUAGCGAAUAAAGUGUUUUUGUACAAAACUUGAAUCGAGUCAAAACCCAUCCAUUCGGGGAAAGCCCUUCCAUUCGUGCCUAAAUGUGGUACUCUGAAGCUUCUUGAGCUUAGUCGAACAUUAGUUAGGAUUGUUUCGACGGUAUCAACUUGUUUUGAUUCAUUAUUGCUUUGUUUGCUCAAAGGUUCGAUUGUGGAAACUUUGGGAUUGACUGAACAAGCUUGUGUGCGAGACCUGCACCGCGAGACUAGAACAACUCGAGGUUAGGGCAACUUACUUACUAGCUAUUUGUAUUGUAGGCGUCGAUAACUUCGACUUGAAUAUUGCUUGAUAUUGAAUAUUGCUUGGAUAUUGUUUAUCGCUUUGAAUUGGAAAGUGUUUUCUGGAGGCUUCGGCCGAAUGAACUUAUAUGAGACGUGUGUCUCCGUUUUUUGAGAGGCUUCGGCCGUUUACUGGUUUCAGUAUUACUGCUUCCUAGUGGAUAGGACAGGGUUAUGUUUUACCGCAAUUACUUAAUUCACAUGCCAUACUUGCUAAGUGAUUAAAUGGUUAAUCUUAGGCUAUGUGAAUACUUGUGCACAUUAUUCUGGAACAUGCAAUUAUUAUUGGAAUAUGCUGACCAUAUUGUGCAACUUAUAUCGGUUAUUCGUGGACUAACCAAAUGUGAGGAAUAACAGUUAGUUAUGCCCCGUUGGUGGCGAACUCUUAAAGGUUUAUUUCGAUAGGACGAACUGAGGUUCAUGCUCUUGUCUUCUUUUGUGGUUUCAAGACCUUCUCAUGGGAUUUUGGGGAUAUCGGGAUCUUUUGAACUUAUAAUUUUGGAAAGAAAAUAUUUUCAUAAGAAAUUCCAUAAUGCUUUAAACAACAUUCAAACUCUUUUAACUAAAUGUUAAGGAUCUCAAAUGAACUUCUAGGAUUUGGAUAUUAAUUUUGAAAAAUGAGAAGUGUCGCCGAAUCGAAGUUUUGAGGAAGCUCAAAAGUUUUUGAGUAUGCUUAUACUCUUUCGCUCGAUGAGCAUUUUAUUUAUUUGACUAUCUGAAGGAUAAGUCAGGGAACUAUAAGUUUCCAAGUACAUUGUUACUUUUCGCUCGCUGAGCAGUUUUUGACCAUCGAAAUUUGAUGAGUCAGAUGACUCAAGAAGUCAUCAAGGGUGAUUGCACUCCUUUCAUAAUUAAUUGUCUUUUGUCGCCGAAUCGACAUUUACCUUAGGGUACAGUAGAGCUAAUAAACUCUAACACUUUUGCUGAUUAAGCAAGUUUUUGGUCAAUGACGACCUUAUAUGCCUUCGGGUACAGUAUAUACCUUCGGGUACAGUAUAUCUAUAUACCUUCGGGUACAGUAUAUCUAUAUGCCUUCGGGGUACAGUAUAUACCUUCGGGUACAAUAUAUCUAUAUGCCUUCGGGUACAGUAUAUCCAUAUGCCUUCGGGUACAGUAUAUACCUUCGGGUACAGUAUAUCUAUAUGCCUUCGGGUACAGUAUAUACCUUCGGGUACAGUAUAUCUAUAUGCCUUCGGGUACAGUAUAUGCUUUCGGGUACAAUAUAUACCUUCGGGUACAGCAUGCCUUCGGGUAACUCGGGCAUUCGAUGGGGGAUAUGAUCGACCGUAUGGUUAGGAUCGACCUGUUGAUGUCAGGCAUAGCGGAGGGAAAAGUCGACCCACAGGGUUAGGACUGAUCCGACUAUGUCAAGGUUGUAAGUGACACUCGAGGGUUAUGGUCGACACAAUGCCAGUGCUAGGACCGACUCGAUCGUGCCCAGCCUAUUUCUUCCGGAACCUUUUGAAUUGACGUUGCAUUGACAUAACAUGCACUCUAACUAUAUUUGUUGAGAUCUUGAUAAUUUGAUGUUGAUAAACAUCGUUAUGAGUUUUUGAUGAUUUGAUAUUGGUGAACAUCGUUAUGUUAUUUGUUGAAUUGUUGAGAUAUUGAAUAUUGUGUUGUUACUAGAGAUUAGAUAACAUGCCAUGUAUAUACCUUAGGGUAGGCAAUGCAGAACUUAUAUGUAUAUAUACAACAUAUAUAUAUACCCCUUUUAUCGCAUGUUGAUUGUAUAUCUAUUGUAUUCUGUAAGUUGACCCUAGCGCCUUGGCUUUGUUUGUAUGUUUGUGUUUGGGCGGUCGGCCUGCUGCCAGGCGUCCGUCAGCCGGUUCGUGAUGAUUCGUUGUGCGGGAAAGACCCGGAGCGAAAUGACUAUUACUGAAGCUUUCGACGAGGACCCGGACUUCAUGCCUGAUCGAGGGAGAGUCGAUGAUAGUAGUGUGGGAUAUGGGUGGUUAGAGUCUUUUGAGUUGGUUGUUACUGUCAUAGCUCUGAUUCGUCAUUUGUACUUUUGGGACAGGGUAGUUUCCGACAGGUUGCUUUCGGUGUGGUUCUCCGUAGACGGGAAUCGCAUGGAGUAGUUGGACGUAAGAAGUCUUUUUGGAAGCCUUUUUGGGCUGACUUACUUUUCGGAGGACUGUAUUUAUAAGACUUAUGACUCCAUUUAUGAGUCGCACUUGUUUGCCGCUGGGCAACACCUUAGUUACUUGAUGUUACUUUCCGUCACUUGAGGACACUCGUGACGAUGUUUUUAGUUGCAGCGAGGGCUGUGCUUGUAUUGUAUAUUAAUCGCUGUUAAUCGCGAUUGGGGUUGAGUCUUUAUUUCGGCAAGUCUUUUUAUUUUAAAAAAAAAAAGGAAAAAAAAUACCUGCUUUUCCGCUUUAUUUUAUUUUUGGUUACUAAAGUGACGCCACCGAAAUCGGGGUGUUACACUUGUUCUAGGAAUGAACAUUGAGGAUAGGUAUAGUACCUAGAGUGUGGAGA